AAGUAAAAGAAAUGUUUACAAUUGGAGAUUCAAAAAGGUUGCAAAAGAAAGAAGCAAACUUUCUAUUUAACAAAUAUCAAAGGGGGAAAAGAAUAAGAGUAAAAUCAGUAAGUAUAGGAGAAGUAUGAACACUAUAGUCAAUGAACAAAAUAUGAAUUGUAGUUUGGCCAUUUAGCAUCCAUCACUCUAACAGAGAAUCAGGACUUGCAAGAAGGUUGAAAGGUUUGCCUAUCGAGUCUUUCAAGAUUAUGAUUUGACCCUCUUUCAUAAGAAAGUCUUCAUCGAGGGUAUCUACCUUCCUUUUCAAUAUGUUGAUCUCAUAAUUCAACAGCAUGUUCAUCUCACUGUAGCUCUUAACUUCCUCCCACAUGAAAUCCCUCUCCUGAAACACUUUUGGUAGUAUCGCCUUCAUAACACCAAGUUCCUUCAUGCAUUCUCACAAAUCAUUAGUGAGCUGGUUGAUAUUUCCGUCCUUUUUUAGCACUUGCUAGAAUCAACCGUAAACCAUACAAAAACAAGAAAGACACAAAGAUCACCAAUAACAUUUCAUCUUAAAUUCAAAGCAAACUCAUAGCCUAGAAGUUCAAGUAAAUCAUGAAUCCUUUUUAACUGUUAAAAUUAACAGUAGAUAACUCGUGACCUUGUCCAAGAAUUAAGUCAGAUGAACGAGUAAACUUACCGAAACCCCUUCGGGUAACUUUACCACAUCAGAGCACAAUCAGAUCAAUGGGUUUGAGGAUAUCACAAAGUUUAUCAUGUUCUUGAUUGGUUCAAGUGAUUACACAUUAAGGCGAUCAGAUAUUUCACAGAAGACUACCACAUGCCAGCAACUCAUGUAUACAAGUUCAUAAAGAAAACCAUGAACUUCAGAUGGAACAAAGAUGAACCUAAAAUCAAACAAAAUUAGAAAGCUAAUACAGAGAGAGUAACAUGCAAACAGGCUAUCAUAUAUGAAGACGAGGUAUCCAAAGUUGAAAAAUAAAAACUAUUCCGUUGCAAUGAGAUCUUAACAUUGCCUGCUUACCUGAAGCUCAAGAUAUUUAAACUUGGAUGUGGCAUAAGAAAGAGCAUCCAACGCAUUUUGCACUUUACAUUUGAGAAUGUCGUUACCUCUAGCUAUUACGGCUAGAUCAGCCUGAAGUUGCUUUAUGUCCAUCUCCUCGGAAUAGAGCUUCUCCCUUAGCAUAGUUGUUAACAAAGUCUCCGAUUUAAGCUCUUUAACCUUUUCCUAGUAGUUUUCCCAAACAUAAUCUCUAUUGUCUUGAGCUACUCAAUUUUUUGCUUGUAACUGAGUGAGCUGCUGCCUUAGAUUUUGAUUCUCCUCUGACACUUGCUCUAUUCUCUUAGACAAAUCUUCAAGGUGUUUCUCCGAAAAUGACAUCUUAAUUCUAUUAUCUACUUCCUUCUCAUUAAAUGAAGAGACUUCCCUUUGUAGAGAUACAUUCUGCUCUGCAAGCUCCCUCGCCCUUUCACAGAGUCUAUGUUGUUCAAUUUGGUAUUUCUCAACUUUUAGAGACCAAUCGCUGGAUCUUCUAUCCAACUCCUUUUCCAGUACUGAUUGUAACUCAUUCUUUUCUGUCUCCAAUCUUUGUGUUCAUGAAUCUAUUUCUGCCUGUAAUAUGCUGGCUUCUUUCUUAGCAGAAGCCCUUUCAGCAACUUGAUUCCGUAGCAUGCUUGAAACUUCAGAAGCCAUUUGUACCUUCUUCUUUGUUAAUCUUCUAAUAGUCUGAAUCAACACUGGAAUGCUAAGGUCUCUGCCAUGAAGAAACAUUUGUCAUUACUUUGGACAAGCAAAUGCAAAUUAAAACAUCAGUUUAAGUGUAAAAAAGGAAGCUAUAGCAAAACGAUAUGCAUACCGGCUUGAAUCACGACCAGAUUUCUUAAGAUGAACUUUCUUACUGUGACUAUGGGGAGAUUCGCUCAGAUCCGUGAAAUUCUUUUUUCCUGACCCACUUUUAUAGAAGGAUCCACAUGAUAAUGAAAUACUCCUCCAAAAAGAAACUUCCUUGGACUUUAAUAGUGGUGAAGGGGUCUUGUUUGAAUCAUUAGUUGAUGAUUGAAAAAAGAAGAAGUUGUUCUUCAUCAUCUCUAUGUAUGGAGACUGUAUAUGAAUCAAACUAGUGUCCACGAGAUUUCAAAGGACAAAGCAAAACACUCAUAAAUAGCCACUCACAAAUCAUUAACCAUUUAUGAAAAUACUGCAAGCUAACUAAAUACUUAUGAGACAAAGCAAAACAUCUCUCUUUCUACAGGCUUCUUCUUCAACAACAACAUACGUAACCCCUACCUUGGCAAGUAGAAAAUUUGUUUCCCAUAAAUCCUCAGCAAGGAAAGCAAAAACACGAGGAUAUUAACAACAGUAGCAAGUAAGAAAAUAGAGGUAUACGAUACAACAAGUAGAAAAGAAAAGUAUAUACUAAUACUACUACCAGAAGAGACAUGACGCGAAACUAUUUACUACUAGUCUUCUAUUGAAAAUUAAUAAAAUACCCCACAAAUAAAUAGCACAAGAACAAAUCAAAAAACUUAUCAAAUCCUUCUAAUAAAACAAAUAAUCAUGGUAAAUAAUAAAAAAAAAGAAAUUACUGGAUCAAAGAGUUGAAAGAGUAAGAGCCGGCAAAAGGUUGUCAGAAUCUGUAGGAUUCUUGUCAUUUUUUCUUGAAAUGUAAAAAUAGCAAAAGACUAGAAUGGAGUAAACUUUUUUUCUGCGUCUUUCAUUCAUCAUUGUACAAUGCAUAUAUACAACUAACAAGGCUUUGUAAAUUGCAAGUAAAUAUUUACAAGGAUCUGUAUAUGGCAAGUGAAUACUUACAAAUAUCCAGAAAUAUGACAAGUGAAUAUUUACAUACUCAUAAUGAAAACUUGAGAAAUACCCAUGAGAGAGAAAGAGAGAGAAGAAAAGUGUAACAAAUAAUUUGUGUUAUUCAAUGGCUAUAAAUAGCCAUAUGAGGUCAAAUUUUCCAUAUAAUAGAAAUAAAAUGUAAACUAAAUUAACUCUUUUUCAAAUUAGCACACAAAUUAACUUAAAUUAUGAAAUUAAAGAUAUUUAUUUUUUCAAAAUUUAACUUUUCCAUAUAAACAUCACUGAAUUGAUAUAAGCAAUAUUUUGAAACGUGAUAAAUUAAUUAAAUAACACAAAAAUAUUGUAAUAUUGUAUUUCUUUUAUCUCUAGAUCUUUUUUAAUACAUAAGAAAUACUAAAGUCAUACAAUAAUCUCCUUUCUUUUUAUAGUCCAAACUUACCAUUUAAAAAUCGUUUCAUUUGAAUUAAUAAGAUCAUAGUAGAUUGUACAAAAUCAGUUAAUAAAUAAUAUAUAUUUCCAUUAAAUAAAUAAAGUACGAUAUAAUUGUAAUAAGACUACACAAUCAACUAAUUAAUUUCACUUAAUUAGAUUAAAUUUUAUGAUCAUAAUAUAUAGACUAAAGUUCCUUAAGUUUAAUGUUGUAAAUUUCAAAAUAUAUUUAUGGCUAAAGUAGUAGUCAAUGUUCGUUGUUUUUUUAAUCAAUAUAUGUAUAUCAAUUACGGAACUUUGCGUAUAUUCUUUAUUAAAAUAAUUGUCAAUAUUAACUGAUUUUUACCGCAAUUUAAGCUAAUUAGUUUGAUAACAAUACAAUUAUUAUUAAUAUUAUAUAUUUGUUAACCAUAAAUUUUUCCUAAUUUUAUAGCUUGAUUAUAUUUAAUUAAUCUACAAUUACAUAAAGGACUCAAAUAUGGAAACAAUUGAUAUUAAUUAUCUUUAUAAUUUCAAAAAUUUAAUCCCAUGAAUUUCUCAUAUUCUUAUAGUUUGAUUAUAUCAAAUUGAUAUUAAUUACCUUUAUAAUUUUGGGAAGAAUUUUUAAAAGGUAAUGAUUAUUUUUUCCUAAUUGCUGAUUUAUUUCUCAAAAAUUUCUUAUAAAUUUAUAAUUUGAUCAUAGUUAAUUGAUUAUUUAAUUAUCUUUAUAAUUUGCUAAAAACUCAAAUAAGGUAACAAUUAUUUUUUUGUCAAUUACAGAUUUUCUUUAAUUCAAUCUUUUAUUGUUUUACUAAACUAGUUCAAAUUUAAUUGUUUUGAGGCAUGACAUCUUUUUGUCUAUAAAUCUUUUUUAAUACAUAAGAAAUGCUAAAGUCAUAUAAUAUUCUCCUUUAUUUUAUCAUAGAUAGUAUCUUGCACAAAAUCAAUUAAUUAAUUAUAUGUAUUUUUAUAUAAAAAAUGAUGUAUGACAUAAUUGUAAUAAAAUUACACAAUCAACUAAUUAAUUUCAAUUAAUUAGAAUCAAUUUUAAUAUCAUAAUAUAUAGACUCAAGUUCUUUAAAUUCAAUGUUUUAAAUUUUAAAAUAUAUUUAUGGCUAAAGUAAAAGUCAGUGUUCGUUGUUUUUGUAACCAAUAUAUGUAUAUCAAUUACGAAACUUUGCAUAUAUUUUUUAUUAAAGUAAUUGUCAAUAUUAACUGAUUUCUAACUCAAUUUUAUCAAAUUAAUUUGAUAACAAUAAAAUUAUAAUUAAUAUCAUAUAUUUACUUACCAUAAAUCUAUCCUAAUUUUAUAGCUUGAUUGUAGUUAAUUAAUCUACAAUUACAUAAAGGGCUCAAAUAUGAAAACAAUUGAUUUUAAUUACCUUUAUAAUUUCGGCAAUUCAAUCCCAUGAAUUUAUUAUGUUUUUAAUAGAUUGAUUAUAUUAAAUUGAAAUCAAUUUCCUUUUUAAUUUUGGAAAGAAUUUAAAAAAGGUAACGAUUAUUUUUUUCCUAAUUACUUAUUUAUUUCUCAAACAAUUCUUAUAAAUUCAUAAUUUGAUUAUAGUCAAUUGAUUAUUUAAUUAUAUUUAUAAUUUGCUAAAAGCUCAAAUAAGGUAACAAUUAUUUUUUUCUAAAUUACGGAUUUUCUUAUAUUCAAUCUUUUAUUGUUUCACUAAAAUAGUUCAAAUUUAAUUAUUUUGAGGGAUGACAUUUUUUUGUCUAUAAAUCUUUUUUAAUACAUAAGAAAUGCUAAAGUCAUACAAUAAUCACCUUUAUUUUUUUAAUCCAAACCUAUCAUUUAAAAAUAAUUUCAUUUGAAUUAAUAAAAUCAUAGUAGAUUGCACAAAAUCAAUCAAUUAAUUAUAUAUAUUUUUAUUAAAUAAAUGAUGUACGAAAUUAUGUUCAUAUCUUCAUAUCUUAUAACAAAAAUUAUGUUCCAUCCAAAAAAAGAGUUGUCAUAUUAUUCAUCCCUGUCCUUUAUAUAGAGCUCUUCCCAUCUUUGUUCAAAUCCCUAGCCAACAAGAAUGAUGUCCCCCUUCAAAAAGUAUUACAUCUUACUCAGUCUUUCUAUUGCCUAUAAAUAGUCUAGCACAUCAAUGAUGUCUUCUGUUAGAGCUAAUUAUCAUGUUUACACUAAAAAUAAAGAAGUGCUAAACUAUUCAUGUUGAUCUUCUGGACAUCUUCAAAAAAACCCUUGUUUCUUUCUGUCCAAACUGUCCACCAUAUACAUGUUGAAUAAUUUUCCAUCUCUCCUCCUUUAUUACAUUUACGUCCUCGUUCUAACUGCUUAGUACUUUUUUAAUGCUCCCAGGUUCUACCCACCUGAUCCUUUUCAGGUUGAAAACAUUCUCUACAGUUGCUCUGUCUAUUUCCAAUGUAAGAAAAGAUGGUUGAUUGUGUAAAGAAUGGAUCUUGGGCCUAGCUCAACCCCAAAAGCUAGCACAUGAGGGGAGGAUUGCUCAAGUUCAUAUAAGAAGACCGACAGUUCACUCCCCAACAAUGUGGGACUUUCACCCACUCUAAUAACUAUGUAUGCUUGAUGUAAGCAUAAACAUUAAAAACAAAGACAUCAAAGACUCUCAUUGACAUAUAAAUAAUGGAUCCCAAAUAACUUCAAAAGUUACACGCAAAAAGAAAAUGGUACAAAAACCAAUUCCACCUUCAUAAUAACUGUGUCUGCUUGAUGUAAGCAUAAAUAUAAAGAACAUAAUGACAUACCAAAAAAUUAUCAAAAUGUUCUACAAUGUAGUGCAUAGUUUUUUUUGUUUUUUGAAAUUGAACGCAGUGCAUAGUUUAAAAAUGUGCAAACAACAUUUAAUGUGGCAGGUGAAGCAUCAGGUACUGGAAGAAAAAUUUAAUACAUGUUGGAGGCAAAUGAAAGAGGGUAUUUAAAAGAAUAAUCAGAGGGCAGGGUGGAACUCCCUCAUAGCAAGUCAAAUAAAGUGUAAAAUUAUAUAAAGAAGAUGAAACUAGAGGCUUCUGUAUGUGUCUCACAUACUUGGCAUAAACCAUGUGUGAAUGAGCAUAACAGAAUCAAAUGCACUGAGACAAAGUAGGCAUUUGAUUGCAGAUCAAAUGGAGGAGUCUGCCAACCGACUAGAUUUAAUAGCAGCUUUAGUCCAUGCACCAUUUUGAGGUAAAGUUAUAUGGUUAAAAAUUUGGACGUUACUUAAUAUAUGCACAAACUGAACAUGAACUGCCUAGUUAGACAAGUGUUUUUUGUAGCUGGCAAAUGAAAGAGAAUAUCUAAAAGAAUGAUCAGAGGGCAGGGUGGAAUUCCCUCAUAGCAAGUCAAAUGAAGUUUAAAACUAUAUAAAGAAGAUGAAACUAGAGGCUUCUGUAUGUGUCUCACACACUUGGAAUAAACUAUUUGUGAAUGAGCAUAACAGAAUCAAAUGCACUGAGACAAAGUAGGCAUUUGAUUGCAGAUCAAAUGGAGGAGUCUGCCAACCGACUAGAUUUAAUAGCAGCUUUAGUCCAUGCACCAUUUUGAGGUAAAGUUAUAUGGUUAAAAAUUUGGACGUUACUUAAUAUAUGCACAAACUGAACAUGAACUGCCUAGUUAGACAAGUGUUUUUUGUAGCUACCCAGUGACAACCUUAGUGAAAGAAUACAUCAAUGAGAAGUUAAUCCAGUAAGCUUAAUGAGCUUUCCCUGCAAGGAAUGAAAGUGUGGAUGACCCAACAUCAAAUAUACGAUUGUUAUUAUACACACAAUCUCCAUACAACAGCAACAACAUACCCGAUGUAUAUUCGGGCAGAAUAUAUGCAAACCAUACCUCUACCUCAGAGACGAGAAGAAAAUGGUAGCAACAAUCCUCACUAAAUACUUCAUAAGAUAAAAAACAUCCAAUACUUACAAAACCAAAUGAAGAAAAAGAAGUUCAUUGUCUUGAUCACCAGAAAGUAAAAGAAAUGCUUACAAUUGGAGAUUCAAAAAGGUUGCAAAAGAAAGAAGCAAACUUUCUAUUUAACAAGUAUCAAAGGGGGAAAGAAUAAGAGUAAAACCAGUAAGUAUACGAGAAGUAUGAACAAUAUAGUAAAUGGUUUCCCCAUUUAGCAUCCAUCACUCCAAUAGAGAAUCAGGACUUGCAAGAAGGUCAAAAGGUUUGCCUAUCGAGUCUUUCAAGAUUGUGAUUUGACCCUCUUUCAUAAUAAAGUCUUCAUCGAGGGUAUCUACCUUCCUUUUCAACAUGUUGAUCUCAUAAUUCAACAGCAUGUUCAUCUCACUGUAGCUCUUAACUUUCUCCCACAUGAAAUCCCUCUCCUGAAACACUUUUGGUAGUAUCUCCUUCACAAUGCCAAGUUCCUUCAUGCAUUCUUGCAAAUUAUUAGUGAGCUGGUUGAUAUUUUUGUCCUUUUUUAGCACCUGCCAGAAUCAACCGUAAACCAUGAAAAAUAAGAAAAACACAAAGAUCACCAAUAAUAUUUCAUCAGAAAUUUAAAACAAACUCAAAGCUUAGAAGUUCAACCAAAUCAUGAAUCCUUUUUAACUGUUAAAAUUCACAGUAGAUAACUCGUGACCUUGUCCAAGAAUUAAGUCAGAUGAAUGAGAAAACUUAUCGAAAUCCCUUCGGGUAACUUUACCACAUCAGAGCACAAUCAGAUCAAUGGGUUUAAUGGAUUUAAGGAUAUCACAAACUUAAUAAUGUUCUUGGUUGGUUCAAGUGAUUGCACAUUAAGGCGAUCAGACAUUUCAUAGAAGACUACCACAUGCCAGCAACUCAUGUAUACAAUUUCAUAAAGAAAACCGUUAACUUCAGAUGGAACAGGCUAUCAUAUAUGAAGAUGAGGUAUCCAAAGCUGAAAAAUAAAAACUAUUCCGUUGCAACGGGAUCUUAACAUUGCUUGCUUACCUGAAGCUCGAGAUAUUUCAACUUAGGUGUGGCAUAAGAAAGAGCAUCCGACGCAUUUUGUACUUCACAUUUGAGAAUGUCGUUACCUCUAACUAUUGCAGCUAGAUCAGCCUGAAGUUGCUUUAUGUCCAUCUCCUCGGAAUAAAGUUUCUCCCUUUGCAUAGUUGUCAGCAAAGUCUCCAAUUUAAAAUCUUUAACCUUUUCCUGGUAGUUUUCCCGAACCUAAUCUCUAUUGUCUUGAGCUACUCGAUAUUCCGCUUGUAACUGAGUGAGCUGCUGCCUUAGAUUUUGAUUCUCCUCUGACACUUGCUCUAUUCUCUUAGACAAAUCUUCAAGGUGUUUCUCCAAAAAUGACAUCUUGAUUCUAUUAUCUACUUCCUUCUCAUUAAAUGAAGAGACUUCCCUUUGUAGAGAAACAUUCUGCUCUGCAAGCUCCCUCGCCCUUUCACGGAGUCUAUGUUGUUCAAUUUGGUAUUUCACAAGUUUUAGAGACCAAUCGCUGGAUGUUCUAUCCAACUCCUUUUCCAGUACUAAUUGUAACUCAUUCUUUUCUGUCUCCAAUCUUCGUGUCCGUGAAUCUAGUUCUGCCUGUAAUAUGCUGGCUUUUUCCUUAGCAGAAGCCCUUUUAGCAACUUGAUUCUGUAGCAUGCUUGAAAUUUCAGAAGACAUUUGUACCUUCUCCUUUGUCAAUCUUCUAAUAGUCUGAAUCAACACUGGAACGCUAAUGUCUCUGCCAUGAAAAAACAUUUGUCAUUACUUUGGACAAGGAAAUGCAAAUUAAAACGUAAGUUUAAGUUUGAAAAAGAAAGCUACAGCAAAAUGAUAUGCAUACCGGCUUGAAUCACGACCAGAUUUCUUAGGAUGAACUUUCUUACUAUGACCAUGGGGAGAUUUGCUCAGAUCCGUGAAAUUCUUUUGUCCUGACCCACAGUCAUAGAAGGAUCCAGAUGACAGUGAAACACUCCUCAAAGAAGAAACUUCCUUGGACUUUAAUGGUGGUGGAGGGGUCUUGUUUGCAUCAUUAGUUGAUGAUCGAAAAAAGAAGAAGUUGUUCUUCAUCAUCUCUAUGUAUGGAGACUGUACAUGAAUCAAACUAGUGUCCAUGAGAUUUCAAAGGACAAAGCAAAACACUCAUAAANNNNNNNNNNNNNNNNNNNNNNNNNNNNAGAGGUAUACAAUACAACAAGUAGAAAAGAAAAAUAUAUACUAAUACUACAAUCAGAAGAGACAUGACACGAAACUAUUUACUACUAGUCUUCUACUGAAAAUUAAUAAAAUACCCCACCAACAAAUAGCACAAGAACAAUUCAAAGAACUUAUCAAAUCCUUCUGAUAAAACAAAUAAUCAUGGUAAAUAAUAAAAAAAAAAAGAAAUUACUGAAUCAAAGAGUUGAAAGAGUAAGAGCCGGCAAAAGGUUGUCAGAAUCUAUAGGACUCUUGUCAUUUUUUCUUGAAAUGUAAAAAUAGCAAAAGACUAGAAUGGAGAAAACUUUUUUUUUGUGUCUUUCAUUAUUCAUCGUACAAAUGCAUAUAUUCAACCAACAAGGAUCUGUAAAUUGCAAGUAAAUAUUUACAGGGAUCUGUAUAUGGCAAGUGAAUAUUUACAAGGAUCCAAAAAUAUGGCAAGUGAAUAUUUACAUACUCAUAAUGAAAAACCUGAGAAAUAACCAUGAGAGAGAGAGAAGAAGAAAAGUGUAACAAAUAUUUUGUGUUAUUCAAUGGCUAUAAAUAGCCAUAUGAGGUCUGAUUUUCCAUAUAAUAGAAAUAAAAUGUAAACUAUAAAUUAACUUUUUCAAAUUAGCACACAAAUUAACUUAAAUUAUGAAAUUUAAGAUAUUUAUUUUUUCAAAAUUUAACUUUUCCAUAUAAACAUCACUGAAUUGAUAUAAACAAUAUUUUGAAACGUGAUAAAUUAAUAACCCAAAAAUAUUGUACUAUUGUAUUUCUUUUAUCUCUAGAUCUUUUUUUAAAACAUAGGAAAUACUAAAGUCAUACAAUAAUCUCCUUUCUUUUUAUAGUCUAAACUUACGAUUUAAAAAUUAUUUCAUUUGAAUUAAUAAGAUCAUAGUAGAUUGUACAAAAUCAGUUAAUAAAUAAUAUAUAUUUCCAUUAAAUAAAUAAAGUACGAUAUAAUUGUAAUAAGACUACACAAUCAACUAAUUAAUUUCACUUAAUUAGAUUAAAUUUUAAGAUCAUAAUAUAUAGACUAAAGUUCCUUAAAUUUAAUGUUGUAAAUUUCAAAAUAUAUUUAUGGCUAAGGUAGUAUUUAAUGUUCAUUGUUUUUUUUAAAUCAAUAUAUGUAUAAAAAUUACGGAACUUUGUAUAUAUUAUUUAUUAAAAUAAUUGUCAGUAUUCACUGAUUUUUACCGCAAUUUAAUCUAAUUAGUUUAAUAACAAUACAAUUAUUAUUAAUAUUAUAUAUUUGUUAACCAUAAAUUUGUCCUAAUUUUAUAGCUUGAUUAUAUUUAAUUAAUNNNNNNNNNNNNNNNNNNNNNNNNNNNNNAAUUGAUAUUAAUUACCUUUAUAAUUUCAAAAAUUUAAUCCCAUGAAUUUCUCAUAUUCUUAUAGUUUGAUUAUAUCAAAUUGAUAUUAAUUACCUUUAUAAUUUUGGGAAUAAUUUUUAAAAGGUAACGAUUAUUUUUUUCCUAAUUGCUAAUUUAUUUCUCAAAAAUUUCUUACAAAUUUAUGAUUUGAUUAUAUUUAAUUGAUUAUUUAAUUAUCUUUAUAAUUUACUAAAAACUAAAACAAGGUAACAAUUAUUUUUUUUUCAAUUACAAAUUUUCUUAAAUUCAAUAUUUUAUUGUUUUACUAAAAUAGUUCAAAUUUAAUUGUUUUGAGGCAUGACAUCUUUUUGUCUAUAAAUAUUUUUAAUACAUAAGAAAUGCUAAAGUCAUACAAUAAUCUCCUUUGUUUUUAUAAUCCAAACUUACCAUAUAAGAAUAAUUUCAUUUGAAUUAAUAAGAUCAUAGUAGAUUGCACAAAAUCAAUCAAUUAAUUAUAUGUAUUUUUAUUAAAUAAAUGAUGUACGAAAUUGUUGUAAUAAAACUAUACAAUUAACUAAUUAAUUUCAAUUAAUUAGAAUCAAUUUUAUGAUUAUAAUAUAUAGACUCAAGUUCUUUAAAUUUAAUGUUGUAAAGUUUAAAAUAUAUUUAUGGCUAAAGUAGAAGUCAGUGUUCCUUGUUUUUAUAACCAAUAUAUGUAUAUCAAAUAUGAAACUUUGCAUAUAUUUUUUUAUUAAAAUAAUUGUCAAUAUUAACUGAUUUCUAACUCAAUUUUAUCAAAUUAAUUUGAUAACAAUAAAAUUAUAAUUAAUAUCAUAUAUUUACUUACCAUAAAUCUAUCCUAAUUUUAUAGCUUGAUUGUAGUUAAUUAAUCUACAAUUACAUAAAGGGCUCAAAUAUGAAAACAAUUGAUUUUAAUUACCUUUAUAAUUUCGGCAAUUCAAUCCCAUGAAUUUAUUAUGUUUUUAAUAGAUUGAUUAUAUUAAAUUGAAAUCAAUUUCCUUUUUAAUUUUGGAAAGAAUUUAAAAAAGGUAACGAUUAUUUUUUUCCUAAUUACUUAUUUAUUUCUCAAACAAUUCUUAUAAAUUCAUAAUUUGAUUAUAGUCAAUUGAUUAUUUAAUUAUAUUUAUAAUUUGCUAAAAGCUCAAAUAAGGUAACAAUUAUUUUUUUCUAAAUUACGGAUUUUCUUAUAUUCAAUCUUUUAUUGUUUUACUAAAAUAGUUCAAAUUUAAUUGUUUUGAGGGAUGACAACUUUUUGUCUCUAAAUCUUUUUUAAUACAUAAGAAAUGCUAAAGGCAUACAAUAAUCUCCUUUCUUUUUAUAAUCCAAACUUACCAUUUAAAAAUUAUUUCAUUUGAAUUAAUAAGAUCAUAGUAUCUUGCACAAAAUCAAUUAAUUAAUUAUAUGUAUUUUUAUAUAAAAAAUGAUGUAUGACAUAAUUGUAAUAAAAUUACACAAUCAACUAAUUAAUUUCAAUUAACUAGAAUCAAUUUUAUGAUCAUAAUAUAUAGACUCAAGUUCCUUAAAAUUUAAUGUUGUAAAUUUUAAAAUAUAUUUAUGGAUUAAGUAGUAGUCAGUGUUCGUUAUUUUUUUUACCAAUAUAUGUAUAUCAAUUACGAAACUUUGCAUAUAUUUUUUAUUAAAAUAAUUGUCAAUAUUAACUGAUUUCUAUCUUAAUUUGAUCUAAUUAAUUUUAUAAGAAUAAAAUUAUUAUUAAUAUUAUAUAUUUAUUAACCAUAAAUCUAUCCUAAUUUUAUAGCUUGAUUAUAUUUAAUUAAUCUAAAAUUACAUAAAGGACUCAAAUAUGGAAACAAUUGAUAUUAAUUACUUGUAUAAUUUCAAAAAUUUAAUCCCAUGAAUUUCACAUAUUCUUAUAGUUUGGUUAUAUCAAAUUUAUAUUAGUUACCUUUAUAAUUUUUGAAAGAAUUUUAAAAAGGUAAUGAUUAUUUCUUUUCCUAAUUACUGAUUUAUUUUUCAAAAAUUUCUUAUUAAUUUACAAUUUGAUUAUUUAAUUAUCUUUACAAUUUGCUAAAAACUCAAAUAAGGUGACAAUUAUUUCUUUUCUUAAUUAUGGAUUUNNNNNNNNNNNNNNNNNNNNNNNNNNNNNNNNNNNNNNNNNNNNNNNNNNNNNNNNNNNNNNNNNNNNNNNNNNNNNNNNNNNNNNNNNNNNNNNNNNNNNNNNNNNNNNNNNNNNNNNNNNNNNNNNNNNNNNNNNNNNNNNNNNNNNNNNNNNNNNNNNNNNNNNNNNNNNNNNNNNNNNNNNNNNNNNNNNNNNNNNNNNNNNNNNNNNNNNNNNNNNNNNNNNNNNNNNNNNNNNNNNNNNNNNNNNNNNNNNNNNNNNNNNNNNNNNNNNNNNNNNNNNNNNNNNNNNNNNNNNNNNNNNNNNNNNNNNNNNNNNNNNNNNNNNNNNNNNNNNNNNNNNNNNNNNNNNNNNNNNNNNNNNNNNNNNNNNNNNNNNNNNNNNNNNNNNNNNNNNNNNNNNNNNNNNNNNNNNNNNNNNNNNNNNNNNNNNNNNNNNNNNNNNNNNNNNNNNNNNNNNNNNNNNNNNNNNNNNNNNNNNNNNNNNNNNNNNNNNNNNNNNNNNNNNNNNNNNNNNNNNNNNNNNNNNNNNNNNNNNNNNNNNNNNNNNNNNNNNNNNNNNNNNNNNNNNNNNNNNNNNNNNNNNNNNNNNNNNNNNNNNNNNNNNNNNNNNNNNNNNNNNNNNNNNNNNNNNNNNNNNNNNNNNNNNNNNNNNNNNNNNNNNNNNNNNNNNNNNNNNNNNNNNNNNNNNNNNNNNNNNNNNNNNNNNNNNNNNNNNNNNNNNNNNNNNNNNNNNNNNNNNNNNNNNNNNNNNNNNNNNNNNNNNNNNNNNNNNNNNNNNNNNNNNNNNNNNNNNNNNNNNNNNNNNNNNNNNNNNNNNNNNNNNNNNNNNNNNNNNNNNNNNNNNNNNNNNNNNNNNNNNNNNNNNNNNNNNNNNNNNNNNNNNNNNNNNNNNNNNNNNNNNNNNNNNNNNNNNNNNNNNNNNNNNNNNNNNNNNNNNNNNNNNNNNNNNNNNNNNNNNNNNNNNNNNNNNNNNNNNNNNNNNNNNNNNNNNNNNNNNNNNNNNNNNNNNNNNNNNNNNNNNNNNNNNNNNNNNNNNNNNNNNNNNNNNNNNNNNNNNNNNNNNNNNNNNNNNNNNNNNNNNNNNNNNNNNNNNNNNNNNNNNNNNNNNNNNNNNNNNNNNNNNNNNUAUUUUAAUAAAAAUAAUUUCAAAUAAUAUUUUAUAAAAAUAAUAUAAAAUAUGGCAUAUUAAUAAUAUUUGCAUUAAUUAUGCUUCUAUUUUCUUACGCAGUAUUUGAUUUUACGUAUUAAAAAUAACAUUGAAUCAAUGGUGAAAGUGGAGGAAGUUCUUUCUUUAUUGGGGUUUUUCUUUUUGGGAAAGCUGACAAUUUCUUGACUAUCAACCACCCAACACAAAGCUGACACUUCUUGGUAGAUUGGUUAUUUUUUCAUACGAUACUAAUUUAUAUACAUUUUCCUUGAUAUUUGUUAUAUUUUUAGUUUUAUUUUGCGUAUCAUAUUAGUUUAUAUGCAUUUAUCUUUUAUGUUUGGUAUAUUAUUAUGAUCCUAAGCUGGGAGUCUAUCGGAAACAUCCUCUCUAGUUCACCUGAGUAGUGAUAUGAUCUGCAUACACUAACCUCCCCAGACCUCACUAUGUGGGAAUACAUUAGGUGUUAUUGUUGCUAUUGUUGUUUCUUAUACAGUAUUUGAUUCAAUGUAUUAAAAACAACACGAAUUACAUAAUUUCUUUUUUCUUUUUACAUAAUACCCCCACUUUAAGCAUGUUAAUGCAUGCAUUAGAUCCAUUGCAUUUCUAAUGCCAUAAAUUUUGAGGUAUUAGUAAUAUACACCUCAAUAUAUAAUAGAGUAUAUAACUAAUUUUUGCAUUAGUUAUACAUAAGAUAAAAAUAUAUAUAUAUCAAACAAGGGACUACUAAUACACAUAAAAUUAAUGGAUGCAUUAAUUUUUACGUAAUACAUUCCAUGCUUUAUCAUAGAUUUGAUUAUUAUUCCUUGUCUUGAGCCAGGAGUCUAUCGGAAACAACCUUUCUACUUCUCCAGAAGUAGUGAUAUGGACUAUGUACAUCUUACCCUCUCCAGAUCCCACUAUGUGGAAAUACACUGAAUUUAUUAUUGUUGUUAUUAAUUUUUUAAUGCACUCUAUCAAAAGACUCCAUGCUUCUCAUUUAAUUAUACCUUUAGCUCCUCUUUAAUUAUGAUAAUUGCUCUCUGACUCCACCUUGCAUUUUUAAAAUAUAAAUAAAUAGCAAUGAAUUUAAUUUUGCUCAUUACUCUACUAAUUGUAGUAAUAUUAGGUGAAUUCAUCAACUUAGAGUACAUUCACUCAUGCUACAUAUUAUAGAUAUAGUUCAAAAAAGGAAUUAUACGUUUGACAUAAUACAUAAAUAUGUUUUCAACUUUACAUUAUCAGCAAAUAUUUAUAUAGUUUAAUUUUGAGUGUUGCACAAAUAAAUACUUAGACUAUCAUAUAAAGGUACAAUAAAUAUAUAUAUGCGAGUCUUGUAUCGCAAUUUGUCAUGCAAAAUGUGUGCAUCUCAUACAAUUUGUCAAGUAAUUAAAGCGUUUGUGUUUAGGGGAGUGCAUCGGUCGGUUCGGUUGGGUUUUACAUAUUAUCGUUAGAUUUAUCGAUUUUUGGUUUUUAAAUAUGCUAAACCAAUAACCAAACCAAUAAAAUAUUUUUUUUAGUUUUUAGUCCUUAACGAUUUGGUUUUCGGUUUAACCGAUAAGAAAAUACUCAUAAAAUAAAAAUAGUAGUAACUAACAUGUAAAAAAUGAAUCUCAGUUGCAACAAAAACCAUACAUGAAGUGUUUAAAUUUACAAAAAUCUUCAAGUUUGAACUAAAUGUUGUUAGGAGAAAUUAAGAGUUUAUAUAAUUGAAAUAAUAGGUUUGUUAAUUUGUAGAAAUAAAAGAUAAUAUAUAAUAAAUCUUAUAUAUUUUCUUAUUGGGUUAUCGGUUUACCCAAUAACCUAAUAAGAAAAAAUCAAACCAAACCAAUAACCCAAUAAUUUUUUGUAACACCCCAUACUUUCAGACUUGAACGUAAAUUGUUAUUUCUACUUGUACACAUUUCAAAAACCAUAAAUCUAUUGUGAAUAUAGUGUUUUAAUCAACUAUGUGGUGUAUAAAUUUAGUUGAGCAUGAAUUGAUAUCAUAGAGGUCCCCUAACUUAAGGACGAGUUGAAAGCUUUUCCAUCGACUGAGUUUUAGUAAGCGUCAAAAGUUGGGUCAACUUCAAUCGGUCAUUACUCUUUGUAUCUAUUGAAUUAGAGUGCCUAUUAUAUAUCAAAUUAAAGGACUUCGAAUUAUCUUUCCAACAAUACAAAUUCCGCAAAAAUCCGACACCCGAGGAAGAAGUUAUGGCUUUGCAAAGUGGAGUGUGUCGUGUAGCAUAAGGUGUGCGACGCACACCCUAACUUAUGCCAUAAGGUGUGCGAUGCACAACCUAUGUGUGCGAUAAAGAGUGCGCCGCACAACCUAUAUUAUUUGAUAAGGUGUGCGCCGCAUACAUUACUACUCAAGUGACUUAAACACUCCGUUUUGGGGCAAAAUGGUCCUUUUCCCACCCUUAUUUAGCCAUAAACACGAAAUUCAGUUCCCAAAUACCCCAAAAUACACCUUCAUUCAUCAAAAUUGCUCAAGAAAUCUCCUUAGGGUUUCAAAAUAAAAACCCAAGCAACUCAAGAUUCAACCGUGGGUUUUUGAAACUAAUUGCAUAUUUGGAAUCCCCAGAACGUAGGCUUCAAGAAACACCUAUCAUCUUCGCAUAUAGAGGUACGUGGGGUUAUCCUAAAAUCUCAUGGGCCUUUAAAUUCAUGUUUUACAAUGGGGGUUUUUAAACUACAAAUAUAAUCAUGUUUUGAACAUUUUUAUAAUAUUGAUUUGGUCUUUAGGCCUAUUUCCGAAGUGAUUUGACAUAUUAUAUAUGUAUAUGCAUGUGUUUCUAAAAGGUGUUAAUUUGUGAGCAUGAAAUAUAUGGAAUCCCUCUCUUGAAGUGAAUUUGUUUUAAAUGUUCAUAUGGUGUAAAUUGUUUGAAAACAUCUUGAAAAGCAUGACAUAAAAUGUUUUGAGAAUUGAUAUGAUUUUGACUUGAAAACGAGAGGGCUAUUUGUGUUGAAACAUGUUGACUAAAAUGGUUGAAUGAGUAGAAUUAUGUGAUAUUGAUGGCUUACAAGUCGGGUAUGACGAUACCCUAUAGAAUAUGAUAUGUGAUUGAAUUAGAUGAAAUUUGAAUGCAUUGAUUUUACAUGAGAUAGGUGGAUGCUCGACGAAGGCAUUUGAGUGUAAGGGCUCAUCGUUGGAAACCGUGUUUGCCGACAUGGGAAUUUGGUAACCUGCUUUGUGAUCUUGCGUACCUGACUUUAUGUCAUUCCCAAGUUGGGACUAUGGUUAGGAGCCCUGCUUUAUGAUCUUGCGCACUACCAUUGGGUCAAGACACCCUGCUGUGUAUUCUUGUGUAUCUUCCCCUCACUUAUACUCUAAUCUCGGUGGCAACCGAGGUUUGACAGUUGGUGUAAAUAUGAUAUGUUGGGUAUUCCACCUAGCUCAGCUGCAUUACAUUGUUGUUGAAAACAAUUACAUUACGCCAAUGUGUUUUCAAAUGAUUUGAUAUGAAACUGCUUUAUAAUGGCUCUCAACUAUAUUUUUUUGAAAUGUUAUGUUUUGUUUUGAUAUCUCUGCGUACCAGUACUUUUAUAUUGACCCCCUUCCCUUCCAGGUUCGGAGGCACAGUCUAGCUGUCCAGAAAAUCAGUAGAUUCCUCAGACAGAUUUGCAGAGUCACUUGGUGAGCCUUCUAUAUUUUGGAAGGCCUGAUAUCUGGCAAUUUCAUUUAUCAUUUAUUAGUUUUGGAUCUACUGGGGGCCUUGUCCCAGUUUUCAGAUAGAUAUUUAUUUUAGUCAUGUAGUAGAGAUUUUGUAGACGUUAUAGAGAUGUUGUGUUGAGAUUGUGGGACAUUAUUCCCCGUUAUUGAUUUCAUAUGAUUCUUGACUAUGUUUUCGUAAGAUUGUUUGUCUUCCGCAUUUCUUUUAUCAUAUGGGUUAUGUGCAUGAUUAUCAGACAAAUAGGGGUGUUUUGAGCCUUUAUGGUUCGGAAUGCUCGUCACGGCCAGGCCCCAGUUUGGGUCGUGACAAACUUGGUAUCAAAGCACGGUUUAUGGUCCAGGGUGUCGGCAAAAUUAUGUUGGGUAGAGUCCUAUUUAUGGGUGUGUAGCGCGCCACACUUAUAAGCAGGAGGCUACUAGGCAUUCAGGAAUGUCUCUCUUUCUUCAUGUUCCAGUUCGUGCAAUAGAGUCAAAAUAGUUCUCUUUAUACUAUCAUUCAUGCUAUGGUGUCGCCCAUAUGAAGGUAAAGUCAUCCCAAAUUCUUUCUUUACUCUGAUGUUCUCAGACAUGUCCCAUUAUUGGGGUGAUUUAAGUGUAAAAAGUUUAGAAUCACAUGAUAUAGUCUUUUCCGAUUGUGUCUUAUAAGAAAAAAAAAUUGUGCAAAGACUCAAGAGGAGUCUAUUAGUGCUUCAAUAUGUGUUGAUUCUGAUGUAAACGUUGAUCCUGAUGGAAUCAUACGUUCCAUAUUAAGGUAUUAAGUGCAUCUAGUCCCUCCCAAAAAUCUUGAUACAGAUGUGGACGGUGUAUAGCAGAAUGUUGGAACUAUAUUUCCACCCGAAUAGUACCAUAAGUUAAAGUGUUGUUGUCAUGACCUAUCGGUAAUAAAAUUAGACCAAGAAGUUAGUGAUGUGAAGUCACAAAGUUAGAAGUCAGAGUGAGGGUGAUUUUUGGUGUAAAUGAAUAUUUUAGUUGAAUAACCGAUAUUUGAGGAUUAUUUACCCCUUUAUAGUGAUAAACUAAUGUGGUAGCUAGUAGCACGUGUGGAUGGUAUGGUAGUCCAUGGGGGAAGUAUUUUACUCAGAUUUUUAUUUAUACAGAGUAAGAUGUGUAUUCUUAGACCAUUAAAUAUUAUGUGUCAAUUUCCUAUCUCUUGUAAUAUGUAAUCUUGUUAUCAUGGUGUUUUUGAAAAAAAAUAAUUUAAAGUCUAGUGAAGCCGUGUGGGACUCUUUCGAUUCACUAGCUUAGUUGCCUUGUCAUCCAUCUCAUUUUCUUGUUCAAAAUACAAAACCAAAGUCUAGUGAAGCCGUGUGAGGACUAUUUCGAUUCACUAGCAACUUGUUGUCCAACUUGUUCUUUUGUUGGUUUAAUAUAUGUAUGGCUGAAUCUGUUUGGCAUGAGAUGGAAUUGGUAAAGAGGUGAUUCGUCCUUGUGAGUUAGUUUAGUAUAAGGUAGAGAAGGAGUUGUUAGUCAGGGUGAUUUGUUGGUUGCUUGAAUGUGAAAAUGGCUAAUUAGCGAGUGUAAGUUAUGAUUAUANNNNNNNNNNNNNNNNNNNNNNNCAGUCUAAAUGUAUGCUUGAGUAAGUAAGUAUGAGGUGAGAAAUCCACAUAAGCAGAUAAGAUCGUAUGGGGUUAUAAUAUCAGAUUAAGGUUGAUCAUGUCUAUUAUGUGACCUUACCCGUUGACUUUUUUCGUUGGUAGUUGUAAACUAGUACUACUUAUGAAAAGGUAUGUAGCAAAUUAUGAGAUAUUUGGAUAGUACUACAUGACUGGCACAGAUUUUUCGAAGUUUUGCAGGAGUUCUCGAAACUAUUUUCUAAAAAAUUAAGAGUACUUUGAAAAAAAUCUAUAUAAAUCUUUUACUUAGUGAUUGCCUAGACAUCAAUUAGGACGGGGAGUCAGGGGUGGAAGUCCCAACAUGAUGAAAUACCUAAAAGAUGGUGAGGGCAAAUCAAGGAUCAUAGGAGGUCAACACAGAGUAGUUUCUUUCAAACUAAUCAGUUUUUAUGGAUACAGGGAUCGAUACACAAAAUGAGCGUUUCUUUCAAAAAAUCCCCAAUCAAGUCGGGAGCCAUGACAGAGCAUAUAAGGCUUAAUAAUGGUACUUUUGGUAGCCCAAAAACCGGCUCAACACCUAUUUAUUGACGACCUUUCGAAUUGUCCAUCUCAUUUCUUGAGAUCAUGGAGUACAAACAAAAGUGUCUUGUCUUCUUUACAAAUAUUGUAUUUAGAAUUUUUCUAAAAAAAAUAGUCGCUAGCAAAAGCGACUUUGUGUCUACUAAUCGUCUACCUUGAGUACUGGUACAUGCAGAAAGCAAGACCCUGACAAAUGAUUUCAGGAGAAACUGUUUUUAAUUUACCGAAAGAAUCAUUGCAUGUCAUUGCAAAGAGGGCCAUUGCAUAUCAUCGUCAUUCAAUAUCUAUUGACGCUCUAGACACAAUGCUGGCAUCGAGGAUAUCAUCAGCAUUUAAUAUAUCCGUUGACACGCAAGACACAAUACUGGCGUCGAGGAUAUCAUCACCAUUCAAUAUCUAUUGACGCGCUAGACACAACGCUGGCGUCGAGGAUAUCAUCAUUAUUAUAUAUCUAUUGAAACGCAAGACAAAACGCUGGCGUCGAGGAUAUCAUUAUGAUGCAAUAUCUGUUGACAUGCAAGACACAAUGCUGGCGUUGAGGAUAUCAUCAUCAUGCAAUAUCUGUUGAUGUGCCAGACACAACACUGCCGUCGAGGAUAUCAUCAGCAUUCAAUAUAUCUAUUGACACGCAAGACACAACACUGGUGUCGAGGAUAUCAUCAGCAUUUAAUAUAUCUGUUGACACGCAAGACACAAUGCUGGUAUCGAGGAUAUCAUCAUCAUUUUAUAUCUGUUGAAACACAUGACAUAAACACUAGCGUUGAGGAUAUCUUAUCAUUUUAUGAAUUAGCAUCUGAAUGCAUCGAGAGCACACGAUUUGAAGGUACGCCUUUAAGUCUCUAUCUAAGGAUGAAUGAUAUAAAAGAUUUCCUAGAAAUUGAAAAUUUGAGGGUCAUCUAUAAGUCAUAUAAUUUGAAAUAAGAUAGUGUGCAAGAUCACCUAUGAGUUGAUAACCUGUAGGUCAUUCAGAAGCCACAACAACAUCCUAGCCAGAUAGUGUGCAAGAUCGCCCAAAAAUCGAUAGUUUAAAGGUUAUCCAUAAGUCGCAACUAAAUCCUUACCGGAGAAUAUGCAAGAUUAUCAAAUUGAUACGUCCAAGGGUUAUCUAUAAGCCGUGUCAUAUCCAUGAUCGAUUAUGUGCAGGAUUACCCAAAGACUAAUAAUUUGAGGGAUUAUCUAUGUCAUGUUGUAUGGAAGGUCGGAUGAUGUGCAGGAACACUUGAAAGCUAGUGAUUGGAGGGAUAUAUGUAAGCCAUCACUUAUUCAAAGUUGGAUAAUGUGCAGGAUUACCUAAAAUCUAGAAAUCAAAAGGAUAUCUAUAAGUCGCCUAGUAUCCAACAUCAAAUAAUGCGUAAGAUUAUCCCAAGAUUGAUAAUUUAAAGGAAAUUUAUAAAUCGAUCAUCGGCUAUAACCGUAGAGGUUAUCAUUCUACAUGCAAAAAAUGAUAUAGGUACCCAAAGGGUUGCCACAACAGUACAAGAUUACAUGGUUGUAGAGACCGUUCUACAUAAAGUAUCGCUAGUGUCCAAAAGGGCCACCCACUUUGAAGACAUAUUCAACCGACAAAUUUCAUAAUUAUACAACAACCAAAAGGGUUGUUGUGUUUGGUAUUGCCGAUUAUUUCAUUCCAAACAGGUACAUGAAGAGAUGACUCCGCUUUUCAGGCCACAACUCACGUGGAGAUAUGGUAAAAGACUGCAUACCUAUUUUGUGAAUUAUGUUUAGCACUAACACUUUUUGCUUGAAGCAACGAGAUAAAUGCUAAUAACAUUUGAUCAUUCAAUUUCAAUUCUUUUUAGAAAGGGCAGAGGAUGAAACAAUAUAUCGUUUAGUUAGUCGCAAGUGUGUAUUACGGCCAAAAAAAUCAUAGCGAGGGAGAUGCAACUUUAUUUAGAGAAACAGAGAUUCUCUCAGGCACUUUUUCCGAGGCUAAUCUUUUGUAAGCCUUUACUUUCAUUACAUCUCAACUACCUCUUCAGAGGCGAAUUCUGGCACUAAGUUUAUUUAGUCCAAUUUAUAUGGUUGACAACACAAUAUAUUUUGAAUUGGGUUUUAAGUUGCACGAUAUCAUCCGAAGUGAAAUCAAAACUGGGGUAUGGUACAAAAGGACAAAACAUGGUCGAAACUUGACCAGACAAACUACUUUCAGGUCUAAUUUGUUUGCACUUAUUGGAUUUAUAAACCUGUUCAGACCUCAAACCAUUAAGUGCAUUUGUUUUUAUUAGGAUUUUAGCUCUUUAUAGGUCUGAGUAGGUCUUAAUCAUUCAGAUGUGGAACCAAAUCUAAAUAUCAUUUACAUAUAUUCUUGUGUAGGAUAAAAUUCACCCCCACUCUAUCCACAAUCACCUGUCCCCACCACCAACCACUUCCACCAUCACAACCAAAAUCACUACCAACUACACUGCCAGCCGCUACCACACCUACCACGUCCAUUAUUCUAAUUAUAUCCAUUGCCAACUAGGGGUGUUCACAGUUUGGUUUUUAACCAAACUGAACCACGAUCCAAACCAAACCGAUUAAAAAAAAAUCUAUAUAUGGUUAGGUUUAGUUUGGAUUUGAAUUUUAAAAAAUCGAUACUAAUUUGGUUUGGUUUGGUUUGGUUUUACUCUAAAAUAACGGACAAAAUAACCAAAACGAACCGAUAUACAUAUAUAUUAUAAUUAUUUAUAUGUUUUUCAUAAAUGUAAUCUAAAUAUUUGUUACAUUUUAUAUUUUAAUCAUGAUUUAACUUUAGUCGUAACACAUUCAGUCAUAUGUCUUCAUCUAGUUGACAAUACAUUAUGAGAUUCUAAAUGAAUUUCAUAUUUUGAAUGACAAAUGAUACUAAUUGUGAAAAUAAUAUCUUGUUAUAUAUUGAAAUUUACAGCUGAAAUUCAUUAGAUUAUACGCAAUCACUAAUUUUAACUUUCUUUUGAACCUUGUUGAGCAAGAAGUUUAUGUGUACCUUUUGGGGGUUUAUCAUAUCAUUCUAUUAAAUAUAGUUUUUAAAUAUUUUUUUAAAAGCGUUCAUAUGGUGUUAUCAUGGCUUUGCCGAAGUAUGACACUCAGUUGACAUCAUAGUUUCAAGAUUGAGAUACAACACUCGGUUGACAUCUUAUAUGUUAGAUUGGAUUUGUUUUUUAAAAUUUUCAACUUUUAUCAUUAACUAAAGUUAUAAACCAAAAAACCCGAAUCAAACCGAACUAAACCGACAAGAACCAAACCGAUGAUUAUUUUUUUAUUUGGUUUGGUUUGGUUUUAGAAAUUUAAAAAUUGAUUAAGUUGGUUUGGUUAUGGUUUUGACCAAUAACCGACCCAUAUCGACCCAUGAACACCCCUACCGCCAAUGCCGCCACCAUCAACUGCUACCGGUAGAUCACUACUACCAACCAACUCAUCUAUCAGAGCUAGCACUACCACUAAUAACCACCAACACAUCAUCAACUUCCACAUAUUCUUCGGACACCAUCACCACCACUGUCACCGGCGUCACCACCUCUACCACCACCAUCCACUACACUCACUACAGUAUCUGUACUAACAACCAUUCCACCAUUACAACUAAUAGCGUCUCCAACGACCACCAACACAUUGUCAACCAUCAUGCAUACAAUUUUUCGUCACCACGAUCAACACCUCCAACUACUAACAUUAACCAACUUCACAUCACAACCACCACCACCACUACCAAUCGCCAAUAUCAUGACAGUUACUACAAUGCCAACUAUCUCUACUAUCACAACUAUCAUCACCAAUAUUACUAAUCCCUAAUAUCAAUUAAUUUAUUAAACCACCACCACCAUUACAAACCAUCUCCACUAUCACUAACAAACAUAAAUGUUUCUUUUUUUAAUCAAAUAAUAAUUUAAUUGCAUUAAAUUAAAAAAAAUUCCAAUAGAUAAUUAUAUUAUAUUUAGAGAUAUAUAAAUUUUGCACAUUCAGAUAUUGAGAAACACCCAACCUUAAUCAUUUAGUUUUCAGAUCUAGAGACAUUAUCUUAACCAUUCAAAUGUGCAUUCAAAAUGAUUCAAAUGUCUGAAUAUUAAUAAAAACAAAUGCAGUCUUAGCUGAAACACAAUGGUGUGGUUGUGUGAUACUUUAAAGGAGUCCUUGAAAGUCAAAGAAACUACGUGAAAACAUGGAAGUUUGAUGAUCACUUCUCAGAGUUGUAUUCAACGAAGGAGAAGUCAAUUACAAUUGUCCGUGAAGUAGCAUUUAAUACAUCUUCGCUAGACUGAAAGAAUCAUCUAUAUCUAUACUACAUUAAAAGCAUGGGACCCCUAACUUAAAAGUUUACAACAAUACCGUUCCAAUCAGCCUAAAUACCUACUAUCUAGUAAAAAAAAGUGGAAACUAAUUGGCAUAAAGAGAAACAACACAGAUGUUUAAUAGGAACAACCCGUCAUUGUUCUUAUCUCAACAAAAUAUGUGUUAUUUAAAAAAAAAGCAAGCAGAGGGGUAACUCUCAAAUCUCAAUCUCAUGCUUUUAUCCUACCAAGUAUGUUCUAUUCUUUAAUGCACUACAACAACAACAACAACAAACCCAGUAUAUUCCCAUAUAGUAAUGCACUAACUUCCUUUUUUUACCUAAUGAAUUGAACUUUUUAGUGAGGAUCUAAAUGAUUUUCAGACUUUGUUUAACAUUUGAUUCAUUAAGAUGUAUUAACAGGUUGAAUAUUUAAAAAAAACACUUAAUAGAAUGAUAUCUUAACCAUUCAGAUUUACACCUUCAUUAAGUGAAAGCAAAUGAAAAGGGAUUGUAGUGUAAAGUCUAUAAAUAUGGCUUAGUGUAACAAAUAUAGUUGACACAAUUCAAUACUCCUAUUAGCAAUCUAUUUCACCUGUUUCUCCAGCUCAUCCAUAACAUCUGUAAGUAUUUUGCUGUUGAUCCUGAAGUAUUUGAUGAGACAACUAGAUAUGCAGCAAAAUCUUUAAUCUGCAAGCAUACAAUAAAGAGGGAAAUUAUUGGAUGAAAAAUUCAAAAAGACGAAAUGGGAACUCAUGAAGGUAAUCACUCACUGAACACAAGAAAGAAAAAGUAACUUUGAUGCAAUAAUCAUGCUGGUUAGUUUUGCAUUAAGUAUUCCCAAAGCAACAUGCUCUUCCAUCAGUUUUUGGAACUCAUCACGAUUUUUACGUACAACUUUCCUUAUUUGAAUCAACGGUGUAUGCCCAGUGAGAAAGAGAUAAAUCAAAGUCUCCAAACAUAAAUUUAAUUUUAACCCCCGAGUCUAAUAAGCAAUAUACCAUCCGCAGUUUCCUUUGCUCCUCCUCUUCGCUCUCUAAAUCACGUAUGUAUUCCUAAAACAGAGAAGGUUGAAACAUAACUUUAAAACUGAGGUGUACAAAUGAGAUGUUUGGAAAAAGUUAUUUAUGAUGUAUUAGAAAAAUGAGUAGUACCUGGAAAAUCUCCAAGCGAUUUUCUCAAGGCGGGAGCAUCUUUCAUCAGUUUCCAAGCGGUCCUGAACUUUCCGCCACUAGCUACUGGCCUGAACAAAAUAAGUCAGCAACAAUAGAACUAUGAAAGUUCUAUCUCCUGGAAAUAGAAAAACCUCCUGGAAAUAGAAAAACAUAAUCUAGGAACUGAUGCUAAUUCCACUAGAACAAAUACCUUAAUAAAGUCACAGGAUUUUAAAAAUUCUAAGUACUCCACUCUAUUGCGCUUCUGCUCCUCCAAUGCCUUUGUAUGCUCCUAAUAAAAUCCAGAACAAACUAAAAAAAAUAAAAUUUCUCUAUAAAGAAGAAAAUAUUUACAAAGAGACUUUAACUACACUUGCAUGAAAGUAUUGAAAAACUUUUUCUAUUUUACGAUGGAGGGGGGAGAGGAAGAAGCAUAUCAUAGUUUCAAGUUUCAAGAAAAAUUACAUACAAUACAUGGAAGUCUUUUUAAAUUGGAAUUCAAUGGUGAACAAAUUUAAAUGUUGUACCCUUAAGCCAUUAAAAAUGUAUUCAAAUAACGCAAGAUUUUAAGUUGAAUAUCUACAACAUUCCUUCUUUCUACUCUUUAAGCAAAACAAAAAAAGGGAACAAACUAAAAGACAUCCUGCAAAGGAAAGGAAUGGAAUGAAUGUUGUUAAUCAAGUGGACCAGCACCUAACUCAACUUUGAUAACUAGGUAAGGUGGUGAAGAUUGUCCAAGAUCAUAUAAGGAAACUACAGAACAUACACCAUACUAGUUUGGGAUUCUCAUACAUUAGUCGCACACCAUGACUAGACAUUUGUAGCAUCAGUUAACCUAGGUCGGCUAACAUCUAAUAGGCUAACAUCAAGAUAGAUCUUCCUAUAAUACCAUGUUUAAGAAAUUGGACCUUGUUUCUAUCUCAAAUGAAAGGCUAACUUAAUUUGUGAGGAGCCAAAGACCAUAUAAGGAAACUACAGUCCGCACACUUAGUUUUUAACAUAUAGAAGCUUACAAGAAAGUUCUGCAAAAGAAGCUUCACCUUUUUCUCAAGUUCCUCCACAUAAUCUUCAAAAAGGUCCUCACGGUCUUUAGCUUGCUCAACAGCUUUAAAACAUUCAUCAUGUUCGAAUAUGGAGAUUGCCUUACCGAAUAAUCAAUAACAAAUAGUUAGUGGAUCAAAUGGAACUUACACAAGUAAUGGAUCAACUUCAAGGUACCAAAACACAUACAAACAAUGAACAAGAUUAGAAAACAAGCAGUAGACAACUUAAAAUUAUAAGUGAAAGACAAACCUCCAUCUUGACGAUGGUGACAACUCCUUGCAAUCCUGUAAGAUUGAGAACAACGAACAUUGUUGUGAAAAAUACCACUUAUUCUUUUAAACAAGUCAAAUACCAGUCUCUAAUACAUCAUGAAUAUUAUGAUAAUAUCUUUUUAUUUUUGAAACUGGUAAUGUGAAUAUCAUGAUAUACCAAAUGGAAGACACCCACAAAAGAAAAUUUCACUUACUUCUAACAUUAUCCUGAAAUGUUCUCGAGCUUUUUUCUGUUUAACACGCCUCUUUUCAGCUUCCAGUUUUUUCUUUUGGCUCAAAUACUGGAACAGACACACAACUUCAAAAUGAUCACUAUAGACCUUGGGUGUGUUUGGUAUGAAGGAAAAUGUUUUCCUAGAAAACAAGUUGGUUUCUUACUUGUUUUCUUAUGUUUGGUUGUUGAAAGGAAAACAUUUUUCAGAAAAUAUUUUCUAGUGUUUCGUUGGUGGAUAAAAAAAUAUUUUUCAAAAAAUACAUUUGAGAGUUGUAUAAACAUUUCAACUUAAGAGUAAGAUUCAGAGAGUUUUGGAAAAUGUUUUUCCUACUUUUUGAAGGGAAUUCAUUUUCCUUAAAUUUAAGAAAAAUAAGUUAAUUUGGAAAACAUUUUCCAAAAUAUUUAAGUCAACAAACAUGAAACAAUUGUAUAUCAAACACAAUCUAUCUUUUUGCAAUACGGUAUGCUGAAACAUUGAAGCAGCAAUUAACCCAUUCCAAUGCCGACUUGGAGAGAUACCUCAUUAAAAGCUUGCUUCCGCUCACAAAGGGAUUUUAGAGCUCCAUAUCUCCGGUCAUUAAUUACUGCUCUCAUGGCCUGAAAAAUACAAUUCAUGUCAAAUGAUCUCCCUCAAUUGUUUGGUACGCACAAAACAGUCAAGUAAUAAACCUGAUCCCACGUGCAAUCAGACCCAAUAUUUGCAGAUUCCAAAAGAGUUUAUUAGAUACUUAAAAUAGAAAUAAUAGAAAUUUCGAGAACAUACAUUAAAUGGGACAAAAAGCAAUAAUCAACUAUACCGCUUUGCUCUCAUAAACUAAUGGUCCUAGCUCGACUGUUUUCUCAUCUAAUGGAGUAGCACCUUCGAUUUCAGUUAUUGCAGCAUCUUUCUUAACAUUCUGCAUUUUAGGUACAACACCAAGCACAAAGGACAAAACCAAACCUCAGUGGAAUGGAGCAUAUUCUUCACCUAUUAGGAGUUGACUAACAACUGCACUACAAAAUUGUUGGAUCAACACCCAGCAUAACAGCUAUGAAAAGCUUUCUUGGUGUUUUAACCAGUAACCAGUAGUAAUUAACUAAUCACAUAAGUAUUUUAGAAGGACAAAGUACUUCUCUAUUCUCUGAAGAAAAUCCAUCACCAUACACUACUACAUCUUGAAUUGUAGUAGUCUCAGAACUAAAGAAAAAUUGAAUUCCAAAUAAGAACCAACACAAAACAGAGGCAAAUUUAUAACAUAUAAAUCUGAAAACAGCUGGCAAAGCAGGUUUUGAAGAAUUCUUCAUUUUGACUGUUUCAAUCAUCGGAGAAGAAACCUUAUCGGAUAAACUUGAUGAUACUGAAGCCAUAAUAGUUGGUAAGUUAGUAGCUGGUGACACAACAAUUGGGCUUGAUUUAGCACCGUUUUCCGAGACUAAUGAACCAUCUGCACCCGGGGAUGAUGUUUUAACAACAGAAAUGGAUCUAAAAUCAGAAGCGUGUGAAAUGGUGUCCUUUUCAUGAGCCAACUGUGAAUUUAUAAAUAAUUGAACUUUAUGAGAAUAGAGUAUCCAAGAAAAUAGAAUAUUGCCCCUUCUUAUCAUGCUAGCAACUGUGAAUGCAUAAAGAUUUUAUGAGAACUAGAGUAUCCAAGAAAACAGAAUAUUGUCACAUCUUAUCAUGCUAUUUAAAGCACAGAACAAUCCCUUCUUAUCAUGCUAUUUAAAGCACGGAACAAACCCAUAUUGGAUUUAAAUCUAACAUUACCUUGACUUCAUCAGGCAUUCUCCAUUUAGACGUUCUAGUAACCUUGUUGUAGUAAUACGUACAGAAAACAAACAAAGCAAUCAGCAUUAUGCACAAGUAACACACAAAAGUACCCACUGUAGAAGAACAAUUGGAAAGACGCUAAGAAAAUAUAUAAGUUACACACUUUCUUCCCUUAGGACUUGUAAAUUCUCUCCAGUCAGUUGAUGCGUCUGCCCUCUGUCCCAAUGAAAAUAGCAUGAAAGUAGGUCAAGUCAAAAAACAGAACAUAAAUAGUACCCUGAGAGUAGAAAUUAGUAACUUCCAGCAGUACAAUACUGGAUGGAAGUGUUAGAAUAUGAAUGACAUACUGUCCCACAUGGAAAAGGACUAGAAUGUACUGUGUAGAAUAUAACUACAAGCAGGGUGGAAACAUUGACAAGAUGCGACUGAGCUAUAGCUAUCCAAAGGUGAUCAACUGAACAACAUUCGCCAGAUAAUCACAUUUUGUAUAUGUAUAUAUAUAGGUCAAAUUCUAUCAUUUCUGAGUAUUUUUUAAUGAACACCCUUGCCACAAAAAACAAGACUGAGUGUGACAGUAAGGGUGUUUAAAUCCUGCACUGAGGUUCUAAGUUCCAUACUCAACACAGCCCCCCCAUAAUUUUUUUUCCAUUUGGACACGUUUGAAACUCAUAAACUACAGUUAUGCUUUUUUUCGAUGAAUCAAUUUCUGAACAUGUAUUUUUUUUCCCAAUUAGCUCUUGCAAAAGAUCUAGUAACUAGCAUGCGAUGUAUAAGAAUUUUGUUAAAAUAAACUCAAAGGUAAAUUUAUAAAUUGGUUGUUAUACUAGCUAGCUUGCAUGGGGCAGAGUGUUUGGCUGGUCAGGAGCUCGCAUUUUCAAAAGAUAAAUGCAGCAGAAAUGAGGAUGUUGAUAUUGGUGUGUGGGCGUACUAGGAGAGAUAGAAUAAGGAACAAAGAUAUGCGAGAAAAAAUGGCAGUGCUCUCUGUGGUGGACAAUUGACAAGAAGACUAGAGGGUUGGGGAUAAAGAACCUGAAAAUUCAAAGUAAGGCUCUCAUGAUGAAAUGGUUGUGAAAAUAUGCAAACAAUAACCAGCAGCUAUGGAGGAAAGUGAUUGGGGCUAAAUAUCCUAAAGAAUAUAGAUGGAUGACUAAUGAUGUGAACACACCUACGGGGUUAGCCUCUAGAGAUCUAUUAGAUCUAUUAGACACUAGUGGAAUGAAGUUAAAAGCAACUCAAAGGUUAAAGUGAUGGAUGGAAACAAGACUAGUUUCUGGAAGGAUAAUUGACAUGAGGAUGGGAAUAUGGAAGUGAUUUUUCCAGAUAUCUACAACUUGGUAUUGUUUAAAUAGAGGACUAUAGCAGAAUUAUGGACACCACAUGGGUGGAACUUCAAUUUCAGAAGGCAACUUAAUGACCGGGAAGUAAUGAGAGUAGUUGAAUUUUUUAAUACUGUGGACUUAUUCAAUGGACUGCAGACAGUGAAGGAUGUACUAUGGUGGAUGGGAAAUGAAAAAAGAAUGUUCAGUGUCAACAAAGCCUACAAGAUGAUGAACCAAAUAAAUCACCCAGAUCCAAGAUGGCCAUGGAAGCAAAUAUGGAAAAGUAGGAUACCUCACACAGUGUCGUACUUUGUCUUUUUCUGGUUACUGACCAAGGAAGUAGUUCUUACAUAAGAUAAUGUCAUGAAGAAAGGGAAAACCUUGUGCUCAAGAUGUUUCCUCUGUGGAGAAACUUUAGAGACGGUUAACCAUGUAUUUCUACAUUGUAAGUACACCCAACAACUUUGGAGAAUCGUCUUAAGACUAAAAGGCAUUUCCAGGACAAUGCCUAGGAAAGUAUCCGAGACUUCAAUAUACUGGGAGAAGCAGGUGUACAUGUGAAGGACAGAGGCAGAUGAAGAAUUAUCCCUAGUGCUAUAUGGUGGACUAUAUGGAAAGAAAGGAAUUCUAAAUGUUUUGAGAGCAUAGAGAAUAGUGUGCAGAAGGUUAAACUCAACUGCAUUUUGCUUUUAUGUUUUUGGUGUAAUCAACUAUACUCUAAUGAUACUGCCUCGAUAAUUGAUGUUCUAGACUAAAUUUAGAUAUAGAACAAUCGAUUUAGGAGUACUCUUGUAUAUAAAGGUUUCAGUACAACCCAUUUAAUGUGUGAUAUAAUACAAAGUUACCAAGUUAAAAAAAAAGAUAAUAAUUUUUCGAGUACUAAAAGUUUAUAAAAUAACAAAUAAAGCAAUUAAAUCUGAGUUCAAAUUGGGUGGGUUGGGUUAUGACCCGCAUUUUAGAGCAUUUCAACCCAACCCAUUUCAGCCCAAGUAGCUUUGGGGCGGGUUAAUAACCCGCCCAUUUAUUAACUUAGACCUCUUUGAUCCGCCCAAAUCUAGCCAACCCCGCCCAUUUGACACCUUUAGUUUAAUAGAAGUAAAGUGGACCAUGCCAGAACACAUACCAGAUCUAUUGAGCUGAAGUAAAGUGGACUAUCAAAGGACACACAACAAUCUGUUGAGCUGUUGGAUUAGAGGGGAUUAGCAAGAGUUUGAAGAAAUGGGGGACAACAAUCCUUCCUUGUAUUUGGUGGGCUGUAUGGAGCGAGAAAAGUUGAAGGUAUUUUGAAGAUAAAUAUAAUUCCAUUCAGAAAGAUAAAUGGAAUAGCAUUGUAGAUUUUUGUUUUUUGUUUAAGGGCCAAUGUGUACAGGAUGCAUAACAGGUAGUAGAUCUCUUUGAAUCCUCUCAUUAUUUUCAUUAUUUUUCAUUUCUUUUGGACUGCUAGCAUAACCUUAACGCUGACGAAUACAAAGUAAUAUCUCCGAAAAAGAACUGUUUUUCUCAAAAAGAAAAGAAUAUAAAUGUUCAAACUUCCUUACAGCUCCAGUUGUUGGUCCGUUAAUACAUGUCCCUCACAACCAACCAAACAUUCUUUGAUAACCGUCGUGUUUGGGCCAGCUUGCUCCUUGACUAGUUACACCAGGUACUGCUACCUCCCACCAGCACAGAUACUGGGUAAAUUUGUCCAUCAAGGCUUGGAAAGAUGGUAAGAAAUCACCUAGUGUUUUUAUCUCUCUUGGAAAUUAAACUUGAGACCUCAUGGUUCUCAAUCUAUUACAUUGACCACUAGGUCACACUCUUGGGUGCAAGUGUACAACCAGCCAAACUAUUAUUCUGUAAACCAGAAUGAGAAGUGUGAAGCGCAAUAUUAUAUCAAGUUUCCUCUCUCCAUAUCGCCAUAGAGUUACAAUAACAUUACAUUAAUCAGAAAGUAAAUAAAAUUGUUUAAACUAGACCAAAUAUAAUCCUGUCGUGUAUGCUUAAACACAUUUUUUAGAACAAUAGUGUUAAAUAUAAAAUAUUUUAGAACUAUAUUGGAAAUAAAAGGUCAAUGCAAAUCCCAAAUGAAGCCUACAUAGUAUAGUAAGAUCGAGGAAAUCUGCUCGCUAAACAAACUUUCAACAGAAAUCACAUAUACUUUAGGAAAGAAAAAGUGGUUCUACGAAGCUUCAUAGAAAAAGAAUUGUGUACUUCUUUUUUCAUUGAUAAGCACAGGAAACUGGAUAAAACCACCCAUAAAAAUCUCGAUGACACGAGACCUCACCUCCAUUUCUGUCAUCAGCUCUCGAGGUUUCUCCCAGGUAAAGAUUCUUGUCCUUCUAUUAUAAUAGUAUCUAAAAAUCAAUUCAAGAAUUGUAAGAAUGUUAUUAAUUGGUUGGAGUAAUAAAGCCAUAGGAAAUAUGACAACAUUAGCAACCAUAAUUGGCCUAAUGAUCAUAAAAGAUGCUGAAAAUAGCAAUACCUACUACCAUUUAGCCACAUGUAAAAUAUGUAUGAUAAUAGAGAAAUGGGGUCAAAAUGAAGUUAUCGGUAGAGGUGUAUCAAGUUCUGCUGAUCAACAGUCCGGUAGAAUUUGGUAGCGGUGAACGGUAGCCCAUAUGAUAACUUUGACAAAGAGGACUGAAACAAAGGGGCCUAUUAUCUCCAGUGCUAAUGGAAGCAGAAUGAUGUACAAAGCACUAGAUGUGGAUACUUGAGGGAUUUCUUAGCAGUGAGGGGGCCAACAUAUCCACCACUUGUUCAUAGAAAAUACAUUAAGUGUUUGUGAUGCAGACAUUAACCUAUUCAUAUGAGUAACCUAUGUGAAUAUAAUCCAAAAGCAAGAAUUUCAGAAAUCCAAAUCGGCAUGCUCUUUUUUCUAUCUGGAGAACAAAAAGUGGUAAAAAGAUUGGAUCUGAAUGAAAAUGAUAUUUUUGCCGAGCUUCUUUUCUUGUAUACCACAGUUUUACACCUUUAUUGUUCACUGGAAUCUUAAUUUGCUUACCAAAAACUAUCGUUGAAUUCAAAUGUUGACUCUCUCAGUCAACACACACCCAUUAACCCAUUAAGCAUGUUACUUGUUGACAAUAUUUAUGCAAAACGGGUACAAUAAAACACAUUUUAUUCUCACCAGAACAACCAAGGGAGCUGCUAAUUCUUCAGUCUUCUGCAUAGUUGUCGCAGAAUUCACAUUAUGAUUACUUAUUGGAAUCCAGGGUUGAACCCCUGAUGGAAACCUUUGAUCAUUUAUCUGUGUCUGAUACUGGGAGCCAGAAAAAUCUGCAUUUACCUUCUGUUAAAGACAAUAACAAAAUAUAAUUCAUCAAUAUAGGAAUAGAACAUCGGAAACUGAUUGACAAUAACCACAAAAGAUCUUCCCAAGGCCUUACAUUAUAUGAAGAAGAAAGAGGUAAAUUUGGGCCACUAGAACCAGGCAUGUGGUUAUUUGACAUCGGAAGAUUUCGCUGAAAAUCAUGGGGAAUAGGUGGUCCCUGAGGCAUACUAUGCAUUCCUACUACAGGUCUACCAGUAACCUGUUGCAUAGCUUGAGGAAAUUGGAUUUGAGAAGGUUGAUACAUCACAACAUUUGCAUUUCCAAGUGGCAUAAAUUGUUGAGAUGGCCCGAAACCAUAAGGUUGUGCCUGCUGGGCUAGAAGCAUAGGCUGGAACUGCUAAAGAUGUGGGGAAAAUAGUUAUCAUAAUGUCUCUACAUUCAAAAGUCAUUUAUCCCUCCCCUAAGCAUCCAUAACUUUACCUGCAGUAACAUGGAUGGAAUAGCACCGGGAGCAGGACCAGCCAGAGGAGGUAUAGCAGGACCAAUAUCCAUGCAAGGAAGAACAGAUGAAAUCAGAAUAUAGCUACUUUUCAAUCAUAUUUAGUUAAUUUUCCAAUCAAUGUUGAAAGCUUGUAUCCAUGCGCAACUCCCUAAAUUGAUUUGAAAGACAAGGCAAGAAUUUUGAAGCCAAACCACAUAGUAACAUGAAACCCUUUUCUUCAUCUAAUAAAUAGAAAGCUUGAAACGAGAAUAAAGAGAGAUAGGAAAUAGAUGACCUAUCACAGCGUUAGACGAGAAUGGACAAAAUGAUAAGCAUCUUUACCUUAUGGCUUNNNNNNNNNNNNNNNNNNNNNNNNNNNNNNNNNNNNNNNNNNNNNNNNNNNNNNNNNNNNNNNNNNNNNNNNNNNNNNNNNNNNNNNNNNNNNNNNNNNNNNNNNNNNNNNNNNNNNNNNNNNNNNNNNNNNNNNNNNNNNNNNNNNNNNNNNNNNNNNNNNNNNNNNNNNNNNNNNNNNNNNNNNNNNNNNNNNNNNNNNNNNNNNNNNNNNNNNNNNNNNNNNNNNNNNNNNNNNNNNNNNNNNNNNNNNNNNNNNNNNNNNNNNNNNNNNNNNNNNNNNNNNNNNNNNNNNNNNNNNNNNNNNNNNNNNNNNNNNNNNNNNNNNNNNNNNNNNNNNNNNNNNNNNNNNNNNNNNNNNNNNNNNNNNNNNNNNNNNNNNNNNNNNNNNNNNNNNNNNNNNNNNNNNNNNNNNNNNNNNNNNNNNNNNNNNNNNNNNNNNNNNNNNNNNNNNNNNNNNNNNNNNNNNNNNNNNNNNNNNNNNNNNNNNNNNNNNNNNNNNNNNNNNNNNNNNNNNNNNNNNNNNNNNNNNNNNNNNNNNNNNNNNNNNNNNNNNNNNNNNNNNNNNNNNNNNNNNNNNNNNNNNNNNNNNNNNNNNNNNNNNNNNNNNNNNNNNNNNNNNNNNNNNNNNNNNNNNNNNNNNNNNNNNNNNNNNNNNNNNNNNNNNNNNNNNNNNNNNNNNNNNNNNNNNNNNNNNNNNNNNNNNNNNNNNNNNNNNNNNNNNNNNNNNNNNNNNNNNNNNNNNNNNNNNNNNNNNNNNNAUUAUAUAUGUAACAUCAUACUUCACUACGAAUCAAAUAAACUUAAGCUCUUGCAUAUAUCGUUCAAGCCUAUUAGAUUACUUCUAUAAAACUAGUAUCAUUAACCAAGAAAUCAUCACAUCCACCUUCAUGGAGAUCAAUUGUUCAAAACUUAAUGUUUAGUGGUAAACAUGAUUUUACAACCCAACCUUAUGCAUGAUUCUCACUUGGAUACCAUGAAAUAGACAUUAAGAAACACUAGUACACUAGAACUUCCAAACAACAAAUAAUUGAUCUUGACCUUACGGUCUUUCUUUUCAUACCUCAUUAGAACGUACUAUUUUAACACAUCAAGCCUACUAAUUCUUUCCCACAGAACAUACAUCAUUAAUCUCAUGCCACUAUUUUUACCACCACAUUCUACAUUAAAUUCAAGCACAUAGUCCUGUACCAAUCAUCUAUCACUACUGAAAAAUGCAACAAACUAUGCUAGUUCAUAAAAUUUGGGACAUACUAUACAAGCGCCUAAAAAAUCACUACAUACCUUCUCAUAAGUAGUACUAGUUUACAAUUAUUAACGAAAAGAAGGUCAGGGGUAAAGUUACAUAAUAGACAUGAUCAACCUUAAUCUUAUAUUAUAACCCCAUACAAUUUUUUUUACUUAUACGGAUUUCUCACCUCAUACUUACUUACCAAAACAUACAUUUAGACUACCUUCAAAUUCCACUAAUAACCAUGAGUCUAUACUUACAACUUACUGGCUAAUAUAGCCAUUUUCACACUUCAAGCAAUCGAGAAAUCACCCUAACUAACAACUCCUUCUCUACCUUCUACUAAACUAACACACAAGGAAAAAUCACCUCUUUACCAACUCAAUCUCAUGCAAACAGAUUGGUAGUCCUGUACCAAUCAUCUAUCACUACUGAAAAAUGCAACAAACUAUGCUAGUCCAUCGAUUAUUCAACCAAAAUAUUCAUUUACACAAAGUCACCCUUGCUCUGACUUCUAACUUUGUGACUUCACAUCACCAAAUUCUUGGUCUAAUUUCACUACCAAUAGGUCAUGACAACAACACUUUGACGCAUACUACAAUUCGGGUGGAAAUAUAGUUCCAACAUUCUACUACACAACAUCCCCCCCUUAAGCAAGACAUUUGUAACAUAAAUUUGAAGAGGACUACAUGCAAUUAAUACCUCAAGCUGAAAAGCAUGAUUCAAUCAGGAUCAAUGUUUACAUCGGAAUCAAUACACAUUGAAGCACUAACGGACUCUUCUCAAGUCCUUGCACAAAUUUUAACUCUUAUAUGGUUCAAUCAGAAAGGACCAUACCAUUUAGAUUCUAAAUUUCUGCACUUGAAUCACCUCAAUAAUGAGACAUAUCUGGGACAUUAGAGUAAGGAAAGAAUUGGGGAUGACUUUUUUUUACUUUUGUAUGGGCGACACCAUAGCACAAAUUAGAGUAUGAAAGAGGAACAUUCUGACUCUAUUGCAUGAACUAGAACAUGAAGAAAGAGAGACAUUCCUAAAUGCCUAGUAGCCUCCUGCUUAUAAGUAUGGCGCGCUACACACCCAUAAACAAGACUCUACUCGACGCGAUUUCACAGACACCCUGAGACUAUGAACUGUGCUUUGAUACCAAGUUUGUCACGACCCAAACCGGGGCCCUGGCCGUGACGAGCAUUCUAACCAUGAAGGCUCAAAACACCCCUAUCUAUUUGGUAAUCAUGUACAUAAUUCAUAUGAUAAUAAGAUAUGCGUAAGAUACACAAUAAUGUGAAAAAUAUGGUCAUAAAUCAAAUGAAAUCAACAAAGGGGAAUUAAUGUCCCAUAAUGUAUAUCGACAUCUGAACAACCGUCUGCGAAAUCUCUAAUACAUGACUGAAACAAAUUACUGUCUGAAAACUGGGACAAGGUCCCCAGUAGACCUAAAACUACUAAAUGAUAAAUGAACUGACAGACAUCAGGCCUUCCAAAAUAUAGAAGGCUCACCACUUGAUUCUGUAAAUCUGUCGGAAGAGAUCUACUAGUUAUCUGGACCCCUAUACUAUGCCUCUAAACCCGGGAGGGAAGAGGGUCAAUACAAAAGUACUAGUAUGCAGAGAAACCAAAAACAAAAUGUAAUAUUUUUUUCCAAAUAUAGGUGAGAGCCAUUAUAAAGCAGUUCCAUAUCAAAUCAUUUAAAAACACAUGGGCAUAAUGUAAUAGUUUUCAACAACAAUGUAAUGCAGCUGAGCUAGGUGGAAUACCCUACAUAUAACAUUUACACCAACUGUCAAAUCUCGAUCCUAACCAUAGUCCCAAAUUGGGAAUGACAUAAAGUCAAGUACAUAAGAUCACUUAUCCUGGUACCAAAUCCCCAUGUCGGCAAACACGGUUUCCAGCGAGGAGCCCUUACACUCAAACGCCUUCUUCGGGCAUUCACCUAUCUCAUGUAAAAUCAAUGCAUCAAACUCUAUUUAAUUCAAUCACAUAUCUUAUUAUUUAGGGUAUCGUCAUAUCCGACUUGCAAGCCAUCAAUAUCACAUCAUUCUUUCAUGCAACCAUUAUAUUCAUCAUAUUUCAACAUAACAACCCUCUCAUUGCAAGUCGAAACCAUGACCAUUUUCAAAAUAUUUCAUGUCACGCUUGUCAAGAUGAUUUCAAACAUUUCACAUCAUAUGAGAAUUUAAAACGAGAUCAUAUAAAAAGAGGGAUUUCAUAUAAUUCAUCCUCUCAAGUUAACAUCUUUUCGGAAUACAUGCAUAUACAUAUAUCAAACCACUUUGAGAAUAGGCCUAAAGACCAAAUGAAUAUCAUAAAACGUUUAAAACUGGAUUAUAUUCAUAAUUUCAAAACUCCCAUUUUUAAAACAUGAAUUUUUAAGCCCAUGAGAUUUUUGAGAUAACCCCACGUACCUCUAUAUGCGAAGAUAAUAUCUGCUUCUUGAAGCCUACGUUUUGGGAAUUCCAAAUAUGCAAUUAGUUUCAAAAACUCACGGUUGAAUCUUGAGUUGCUUGGUUUUUUAUUUUAGAAUCCUAAGGAGAGUUCUUGAGCAAUUUUGAUGAAUGAAGGUGUAUUUUGGGGUAUUUUGGGAACUGAAUUUUGUUUUUAUGGCUAAAUAAGGGUGGGAAAAGGACCAUUUUGCCCCAAAAAUGGAGUGUUUAAGUCACUUGAGUAAUAAUAUAUGCGGUGCAAACAUUAUCGCAUAAUAUAGGUUGUGCGGCGCACUCUUUAUUGCACACAUUAGGUUGUGUGUCGCACACCUUAUGGCAUAAGUUAGGGUGUGCAUCGCACACCUUAUGCCAUAGGUUAGGGUGUGCGUCACACACCUUAUGUUGCACGACACACUCAACUUUGCAAAGACAUAACUUCUUCCUUGGGUGUCAGAAUUUUGCAAAGUUGGUAUCGUUGGAAAGAUAAUUCGAAUACGUUUCAUUUGAUAUAUAAAGGACACUCUAAUUCAAUAUAUACAAAGAGUAAUGGUCAAUUGAAAUUGAUCUAAGUUUCAACGCUCACUAAAAUUCAAACAAUAGGAAAACUUUCAACUUGUCCUUGAGCUUGGGGACCUCUAUGAUCUCAAUUCAUGCUCAAAUAGGUUUCCACACUACAUAAUUUAUUAACACACUAAAAUUGCAUUGGAUUUAUGGCUUUUGGAACCUUUACGUAAAGAAAAUGACGAUUUUCAUUCUCGUCCAAAAUGCGGGGUGUUACAAAAUUUGUUAGAAAAUGGAAAAUACAACCAUAUGGAGUACAUUUUAGCUGCACCGUACUCUAAAUACACUAAACUGAACUUUAAAAGUACUAAUGCAUUUCUUACCUGUUGGUGUGUAGCAUUCAAAAGUUUUAUUGUCUUUGGUAGGAAGAUAGCCACAACGCCGGUUUCAAGAAUGAAGAUUAAACUAAAAAGAAGCCAUGCUUGCUCUAGAGUUCCUGCUAUAUGAUACGACAUUACUCUACAACGUUGAACCCACUUUCCUAAUCCUUGGAGUCUAAGUUCUUCCGAGAAUGAAAUAUGAUUAGGUAACACAUCCUCAACAUCAUUUGAAUCAGUGACAGGAGGGUUACUGUCGUGAUGUUCUCGAUCAGCGUCCAAACUAUUUCUCUACAACAAGGCUAGAAUCAUUGGGUCCAAUCCAUUCUCCUUCAGCACCACUGCAAAAUUAGGAUCAAGCCCUUCAUCUUGCAAUAAAUUAGCUAAUUCAAGAUCAGUGUGUCUUCCUUUCCGCUUUAACAUAGAUGUAAUCCUGGGAUCACUCAACUUUUUUUGAAAUGCAAGUGCCAAAUUCAAGUCCAGUAUCUGUUGGUUUGAAGAAGUGGAUGUACUAGAAUCACCGCCUUGGCUUUCAAGGCCACUGCUAGAACAAACAACCAAUGAACUAUUAUGCUUUAAAUUUCUGUCAACAUAUGAUGAUCCUACUUAGGCUCUUGAACAACUGAACGACAGAACUACUACGUAGAGCUAGACUUGGUCUUCCACUAUCUCUACUCUUAUCACUAUUAAUCCCCUCAAUGUUAUUCAAGGGACUGCCAUCACCAGUGCAAGGCACAGUUGCAUUACCAAGAUGACCAGCAUCAGCACUACUACUGCGUUUGACACUUGAGCCACACCCCUCAAAAGAGCUUGCGGACCUAUUUUGGUCUUUUCUGUGGAAACUUCUCUAAGGCAGAUAAUUGUGCUCUUCAAGGCAUCUCAUCUAGCUGCUAAUGGGUCUGUAACUAAUAAAUGCCGUGAAACAGUAACACCCAACAGAACAGAUGCUACAACUGCAUAACUAAUAUAAUGUCCAGAGUACCUGAAACAAAAUUGUUGCAGUAAAAGAUUAGAAGAUAUUUUUUUGAUAACAAAAGAUUAGAAGUUUCUAUUCACCAAAUAAUAUUAAAAGGGAUACAUAUGACACAAGUAUAAGAAGACUUGAUUAUGGAAGAAAAUGAAUUAGCAUGGGUUAACAAUAAACCAGUAAUGAACUCCAACACAAGUAUAAGAAGACUUGAUUAUGGAAGAAAAUGAAUUAGCAUGGUUUAACAACAAACCAGUAAUGAACUCCAAAACAGAUCAGGAACACCCGAGAUGUACCGGCAACAAAAACUACAACAACUCAACUUUUCAGAAGCUAAAAACCAUACAAGCAAGAUCCCAAGUUCCAAUUUGAUUGGAUGAAAAGGUAGUGAAUUCAUUACUUACCACAAAGAAAUAAGAAAUUAUUUCACAAUACGAGUUAGAAAAGGAGACAGAUAUAUGUAGGAAAUGAACUACCAAGGAUUAUCAUGGCAGCUGAUGUUGUUGCCCCAAGCUAGUUUGAUUCCUUUGCUGUCAGACCAUACAGGAUAGAAUACACAAGAAGUACUACAAGUGAACCAACAUAUAGAAUUCCAAGAUGCAGAGCCCUGCAGAGCCCAAGUUCAAAGUGAAGAAGAGUAAAUUAUAGAGUUCAGAGAAAAUGUUGAAAAGAUAGUGCAGAAAAUAUGAUGAGCAGUAUAAAUGAGAACCCACUGAACACAUAAUAUAACAAGGUGACUUUCUAAUCUAAAGCAGCAUUUAAAUUAAUUUGCUUAGAAGUGAGAUUUUAAGAUCUACUAUUUUUACUGGACUACUGGAGAGUGUGUUUUGUUCUCUCAGAGUUAGUAUUCCUUUUAUUCAAAUUGAUUUGAGUUACACCCAUUGUUUAGCGUUCUUUGGCUCUUAAUUUUAAAAGUCUGUUAGUUGAGAACAUUUUGGCCUAUCUUCCAUAUCUUAUAACAAAAAUUAUGUUCCAUCCAAAAAAAGAGUUGUCAUAUUCGUCAUCCAUGUCCUUUAUAUAGAACUCUUCCUAUCUUUGUUCAAAUCCCUAGCCAACAAGAAUGAUGUCCCUCUUCAAAAAGUAUUAUGUCUUACUCUGUCUUUCUAUUGCCUAUAAACAGUCUAGCACAUCAAUGAUGUCUUCUGUUAGAGCUAAUCAUCGUGUUUACACCAAAAAUAAAGAAGUGCUAAACUAUUCUUGUUGAUCUUCUGGACAUCCUCAAAACAACCCUUGUUUCUUUCUGUCCAAACUGUCCACCAUACAUAUGUUAAACAAUUUUCCAUCUCUCCUCCUUUAUUACAUUUACAUCCCCAUUCCAGCUGCUUAGUACUUUUUUAAUGCUCCCAGGUUCUACCCACCUGAUCCUCUUCAGGUUGAAAACAUUCUUUACAGCUGCUCUGUCUAUUUCCAAUGUAAGAAAAGAUGGUUGAUUGUGUAAAGAAAGGAUCUUGGGCCUAACUCAACCCCAAAAGCUAGCACAUGAGGGGUGGAUUGCUCAAGUCCAUAUAAGAAGACCGACAGUUCACUCCCAAUAAUGUGGGACUUUCACCCACUCUAACACCUUCACGCCCAGGCCUAACAAGAGCAUGGUCUGGGAACUCAAAUGUGGAUGGACCUGCUAUUUGAGAAGGAAUAUCAACUGUUGUUUGUAUGCAAGAGAGAACAGAUGAGCUGUUGUUAUUGAAUGCAUUGGGUCUAUCAGCACGUACAGGUUCAUGCAUUAUGCCAUUAGGUUUUGCAGCAGUUCCAACAUUUUCAGCAGCACUACAAGUCAAAUUUUGAUGCACUGCAGUAAGGAAAGAAAACUUAAACAUUAACUUGAGACAACAACACAAGCUUCUCAAAUGUAGGUUCUAGCAAGAACAAAGAUAACAAGCAAAUAGAAGGCAAUGAAUAUAAGGAUAAGUCUAGACGGGCUUAGGGACAGGCUCCAAAAUGAACACAAUGCUCAUCAUUCUUGUGCAGAUAAGAUCAGACAACUUAUUGUUUUGAUGUUAAGAGUUUCUUGUAGAGGGUGCUGAAUCCAUUUUGCAACUUUGGAGGCCUUGUAAAGCAUAGAGAGGCUCAUUUUUUUUAAAGAAAAUAUUACCCACAUAGUAUAUAUGCUAUCAUUUUCAAAAAAAUAUGGUGCUUGCUGGUUUUACCAAUAUCAUGUAUGGUUGUACCUUCCAAUGCAACCUCCUGGCAAAAAAUCUAACCACUAAUAGGCAUCUUUCAGCAUAGAAGAUACUAAGAUUGUCUUACUAGGAAUUAGGUAAGUACAAGUUCUUGAAGGGAAAUUGUUUGCAUCAUUGAAGAUCAGAAAGCCAGGUAUACAGGAGAUUAGACAUGUUAAAGAAAAAAUGACAGGUUUAAUAUCUGGAAAGACAUCAAAAACUCUCCUUGAUAUAUAAAUGAUGGAUCCCAAAUAACUUCAGAAGUUACACACAAAAGUAAAAUGGUACAGAAACCAAUUCCACCUUUAUAAUAACUAUGUCUGCUUGAUGUAAGCAUAAACAUUAUCAGGAAAGUCAUCAAAGACUCUCAUUGACAUAUAAAUAAUGGAUCCCAAAUAACUUCAGAAGUUACACGCAAAAGAAAAAUGGUACAAAAACCAAUUCCACCUUCAUAAUAAUUGUGCCUGCUUGAUGUAAGCAUAAACAUAAAGAACAUACUGACAUACUAAAAGAUUAUCAAAAUGUUCUACAAUGUAGUGCAUAGUUUUUUUCGUUUUUUGAAAUUGAACGCAGUAUAUAGUUUAAAAAUGUACAAACAACAUUUAAUGUGGCAGGUGAAACAUCAAGUACUAGAAGGAAAAUUUAAAACAUGGUAGAGGCAAAUGAAAGAGGGUAUCGAAAGAAUGAUCAGAGGGCAGGGUGGAACUCCCUCAUAGCAAGUCAAAUGAAGUUUAAAACUAUAUAAAGAAGAUGAAACUAGAGGCUUCUGUAUGUGUCUCACAUACUUGGUAUAAACCAUGUGUGAAUAAGCACAACAGAAUCAAAUGUACUGAGACAAAACAGGAAUUUGAUUGUAGAUCAAAUAGAAGAGUCUGCUAACCGACUAGAUUUAAAAGCAGCUCUGGUCCAUGCACCAUUUUGAGGUAAAGUUAUAUGGUUAAAAAUUUGGACGUUACUUAAUAUAUGCACAAACUGAACAUGAAGUGCCCAGUUAGACAAGUACUUUUUUGUAGCUACCCAGUGACAACCAACUCAGCAAGGUUAAUGACCUUUCCCUUGCAUGGAAUGAAAGUGUGGAUGACCCGACAUCAAAUAUACGAUUGUUAUUAUACACACAAUCUCCAUACAACAGCAACAACAUACCCGAUGUAUAUUCGGGCAGAAUAUAUGCAAACCAUACCUCUAUCUCAGAGACGAAAAGAAAAUGGUAGAACCAAUCCUCAAUAAAUAAUUCAUAAGACAAAAAACAGCCAACACUUACAAAACCAAAUGAAGAAAAAAAGUUCAUUGUCUUGAUCACCGGCAAGUAAAAGAAAUGUUUACAAUUGGAGAUUCAAAAAGGUUACAAAAGAAAGAAGCAAACUAUCUAUUUAACAAGUAUCAAAGCGGGGAAAGAAUAAGAGUAAAACCAGUAAGUAUACUAGAAGUAUGAACACUAUAGUCAAUGAACAAAAUAUGAAUUGUAGUUUGGCCAUUUAGCAUCCAUCACUCCAACAGAGAAUCAGGACUUGCAAGAAGGUUGAAAGGUUUGCCUAUCGAGUCUUUCAAGAUUGUGAUUUGACCUGUUUCAUAAGAAAGUCUUCAUCGAGAGUAUCUACCUUCCUUUUCAACAUGUUAAUCUCAUAAUUCAACAGCAUGUUCAUCUCACUAUAGCUCUUAACUUCCUCCCACAUGAAAUCCCUCUCUUGAAACACUUUUGGUAGUAUUGCCUUCACAAUGCCAAGUUCCUUCAUGCAUUCUUCCAAAUCAUUAGUGAGCUGGUUGAUAUUUCCGUCCUUUUUUAGCACCUACUAGAAUCAACCGUAAACCAUGAAAAACAAGAAAGACACAAAGAUCACCAAUAAUAUUUCAUCAGAAAUUUAAAAUAAACUCAUAGCCUAAAAGUUCAACCAAAUCAUGAAUCCUUUUUAACUGUUAAAAUUCACAAUAGAUAACUCGUGACCUUGUCCAAGAAUUAAGUCAGAUGAACGAGCAAACUUACCGAAACCCCUUCGGGUAACUUUACCAUAUCAAAGCACAAUCAGAUCAAUGGGUUUGAGGAUAUCACAAAGUUUAUCAUGUUCUUGGUUGGUUCAAGUGAUUACACAUUAAGGCGAUCAGACAUUUCACAAAAGGCUACCACAUGCCAGCAACUCAUAUAUACAAGUUCAUAAAGAAAACCAUGAACUUCAGAUGGAACAAAGAUGAACCUAAAAUCAAUUAGAAGUAGAAAGCUAAUGCAGAGAGAGUAACAUGCGAACAGGCUAUCAUAUAUAAAGACGAGGUAUCCAAAGUUGAAAAAUAAAAACUAUUCAGUUGCAACGAGAUCUUAACAUUGCCUACUUACCUAAAGCUCGAGAUAUUUCAACUUGGGUGUGGCAUAAAAAAGAGAGUCCAAUUAAUUUUGUACUUCACAUUUGAGAAUGUUGUUACCUCUAACUGUUGUGGUUAGAUCAGGCUGAAGUUGCUUUAUGUCCAUCUCCUCGGAAUAGAGCUUCUCCCUUAACACAGUUUUCAGCAAAGUCUUUGAUUUAAGCUCUUUAACCUUUUCGUGGUAGUUUUCCCGGACAUAAUCUCUAUUGUCUUGAGCUACUCGAUAUUCCGCUUGUAACUGAGUGAGCUUCUGCCUUAGAUUUUGAUUCUCCUCUGACACUUGCUCUAUUCUCUUAAAUAAAUCUUCAAGGUGUUUCUCCGAAAAUGACAUCUUGAUUCUAUUAUCUACUUUCUUCUCAUUAAAUGAAGAGACUUCCCUUUGUAGAGAGACAUUCUGCUCUACAAGCUCCCUCACCCUUUCACGGAGUCUAUGCUGUUCAAUUUGGUAUUUCUCAAGUUUUAGAGACCAAUCGCUGGAUCUUCUAUCCAACUCCUUUUCCAGUACUAAUUGUAACUCAUUCUUUUCUGUCUCCAAUCUUCGUGUCCGUGAAUCUAGUUCUGCCUGUAAUAUGCUGGCUUCUUCCUUAACAGAAGCCGUUUUAGCAACUUGAUUCUAUAGCACGCUUGAAACUUCAGAAGCCAUUUGUACCUUCUCCUUUAUCAAUCUUCUAAUAGUCCAAAUCAAUACUGGAGCGCUAAGGUCUCUGCCGUGAAGAAACAUUUGUCAUUACUUUGGACAAGCAAACGCAAAUUAAAACAUCAGUUUAAGUGUGAAAAAGGAAGCUACAGCAAAAUAAUAUGCAUACCGGCUUGAAUCACGACCAGAUUUCUUAGGAUGAACUUUCUUACUGUGACCAUGGGGAGAUUUGCUCAGAUCCGUGAAAUUCUUUUUGCCUGACCCACUGUCAUAGAAGGAUCCAGAUGACACUGAAACACUCCUCUAAGAAGAAACUUCCUUAGACUUUAAUGGUGGUGGAGAGGUCUUGUUUGCAUCAUUAGUUGAUGAUCGAGAAAAGAAGAAGUUGUUCUUCAUCAUCUCUAUGUAUGGAGACUGUACAUGAAUCAAACUAGUGUCCAUGAGAUUUCAAAGGACAAAGCAAAACACUCAUAAACAACCACUCACAAAUCAUUAUCCAUUCAUGAAAAUACUGCAAGCUAACUAAAUACCUAUGAGACAAAGAAAAACAUCUCUCUUUCUACAUGCUUCUUCUUCAACAACAACAUAUGUAACCCCUACCUUGGCAAGUAGAAAAUUUGUUUCCCAUAAAUCCUCGGCAAGGAAAGAAAACACACGAGGAUAUUAACAACAGUAGCAAGUAAGAAAACAAAGGUAUACGAUACAACAAGUAGAAAAGAAAAAUAUAUACUAAUACUACUGCCAGAAGAGACAUAACACGAAACUAUUUACUACUAGUCUUCUACUAAAAAUUAAUAAAAUACCCCACAAACAAAUAGCAUGAGAACAAUUCAAAGAACUUAUCAAAUCCUUCUGAUAAAACAAAUAAUCAUUCUAAAUAAUAAAAAAAAAGAAGAGAAAUUACUGAAUCAAAGAGUUGAAAGAGUAAGAGCCGGCAAAAGGUUGUCAGAAUCUGUAGGAUUCUUGUCAUUUUUUCUUUAAAUGUAAAAAUAGCAAAAGACUAGAAUGGAGAAAACUUUUUUUUUCCUGUGUCUUUCAUUCAUCAUCGUACAAUGCAUAUAUACAACUAACAAGGAUCUGUAAAUUGCAAGUAAAUAUUUACAAGGAUCUGUAUAUGGCAAGUGAAUAUUUACAAGGAUCCAGAAAUAUAGCAAGUGAAUAUUUACAUACUCAUAAUGAAAAACUUGAGAAAUACCCAUGAGAGAGAGAGAAGAAAAGUGUAACAAAUAUUUUGUGUUAUUCAAUGGCUAUAAAUAGCCAUAUGAGGUCAAAUUUUCCAUAUAAUUGAAAUAAAAUAUAAACUAUAAAUUAACUUUUUAAAAUUAGCACACAAAUUAACCUAAAUUAUGAAAUUUAAGAUAUUUAUUUUUUCAAAAUUUAACUUUUCCAUAUAAACAUCACUGAAUUGAUAUAAACAAUAUUUUGAAAUGUGAUAAAUUAAUUAAAUAACCCAAAAAUAUUGUAAUAUUGUAUUUAUUUUAUCUCUAGAUCUUUUUUUAAAACAUAAGAAAUACUAAAAUCAUACAAUAAUCUCCUUUCUUUUUAUAGUCUAAACUUACCAUUUAAAAAUUGUUUCAUUUGAAUUAAUAAGAUCAUAGUAGAUUGUACAAAAUCAGUUAAUAUAUGAAAUAUAUUUCCAUUAAAGAAAUAAAGUAUGAUAUAAUUGUAAUAAGACUACACAAUCAAAUAAUUAAUUUCACUUAAUUAGAUUAAAUUUUAUGAUCAUAAUAUAUAGACUAAAGUUCCUUAAAUUUAAUGCUGUAAAUUUAAAAAUAUAUUUUUGGCUAAAGUAGUAGUCAACGUUUGUUGUUUUUUUUAAUCAAUAUGUGUAUAUCAAUUACGGAACUUUGCAUAUAUUCUUUAUUACAAUAAUGGUCAAUAUUAACUGAUUUUUACCACAAUUUAAUCUAAUUAGUUUGAUAACAAUACAAUUAUUAUUAAUAUUAUAUAUUUGUUAACCAUAAAUUUGUCCUAAUUUUAUAGCUUGUUUAUAUUUAAUUAAUCUACAAUUACAUAAAGGAUUCAAAUAUGGAAACAAUUGAUAUUAAUUACCUUUAUAAUUUCAAAAAUUUAAUCCCAUGAAUUUCUCAUAUUCUUAUAGUUUGAUUAUAUCAAAUUGAUAUUAAUUACCUUUAUAAUUUUGGGAAUAAUUUUUAACAGGUAACGAUUAUUUUUUUCCUAAUUGCUGAUUUAUUUCUCAAAAAUUUCUUAUAAAUUUAUAAUUUGAUUAUAGUUAAUUGAUUAUUUAAUUAUCUUUAUAAUUUGCUAAAAACCCAAAUAAGGUAACAAUUAUUUUUUUCUCAAUUACAGAUUUUCUUAUAUUCAAUCUUUUANNNNNNNNNNNNNNNNNNNNNNNNNNNNNNNNNNNNNNNNNNNNNNNNNNNNNNNNNNNNNNNNNNNNNNNNNNNNNNNNNNNNNNNNNNNNNNNNNNNNNNNNNNNNNNNNNNNNNNNNNNNNNNNNNNNNNNNNNNNNNNNNNNNNNNNNNNNNNNNNNNNNNNNNNNNNNNNNNNNNNNNNNNNNNNNNNNNNNNNNNNNNNNNNNNNNNNNNNNNNNNNNNNNNNNNNNNNNNNNNNNNNNNNNNNNNNNNNNNNNNNNNNNNNNNNNNNNNNNNNNNNNNNNNNNNNNNNNNNNNNUCGUUGUUUUUGUAACCAAUAUAUGUAUAUCAAUUACGAAACUUUGCAUAUAUUUUUUAUUAAAAUAAUUGUCAAUAUUAACUGAUUUCUAACUCAAUUUAAUAUAAUUAAUUUUAUAACAAUAAAAUUAUUAUUAAUAUUAUAUAUUUAUUUACCAUAAAUCUGUCCUAAUUUUAUAGCUUGAUUGUAGUUAAUUAAUCUACAAUUACAUAAAGGGCUCAAAUAUGAAAACAACUGAUAUUAAUUACCUUUAUAAUAUUGGUAAUUCAAUCACAUGAAUUUCUCAUGUUUUUUAUAGAUUAAUUAUAUUAAAUUGAUAUAAAUUACCUUUUUAAUUUUAGGAAGAAUUUUAAAAAGGUAACGAUUAUUUUUUUCCUAAUUACUGAUUUAUUUCUCAAAAAAUUCGUAUAAAUUCAUAAUUUGAUUAUAGUCAAUUGAUUAUUUAAUUAUCUUUAUAAUUUGCUAAAAGCUCAAAUAAGGUAACAAUUAUUUUUUCUAAAUUACGGAUUUUUUUAUAUUCAAUUUUUUUUUUUUUUUUACUAAAAUAGUUCAAAUUUAAUUGUUUUGAGGGAUGAUAACUUUUUGUGUCUAAAUCUUUUUUAAUAUAUAAGAAAUGCUAAAGGCAUACAAUAAUCUCCUUUUUUUUUUAUGAUCCAAAAUUACCAUUUACAAAUUAUUUCAUUUGAAUUAAUAAGAUCAUAGUAGCUUACACAAAAUCAAUUCAUUAAUUAUAUGUAUUUUUAUAUAAAAAAUGAUGUACGACAUAAUUGUAAUAAAAUCACACAACCAACUAAUUAAUUUCAAUUAAUUAAAAUCAAUUUUAUGAUCAUAAUAUAUAGACUCAAGUUCCUUAAAAUUUAAUGUUAUAAAUUUUAAAAUAUAUUUAUGGCUAAAGUAGCAGUCAGUGUUCGUUGUUUUUUUUUUUUACCAAUAUAUGUAUAUCAAUUACGAAACUUUGCAUAUAUUUUUUAUUAAAAUAAUUGUCAUUAUAUUAACUGAUUUCUAUCACAAUUCGAUAUAAUUAAUUUUAUAACAAUAAAUUUAUUAUAAUAUUAUUAUAUAUUUAUUUGCCAUAAAUCUAUCAUAAUUUUAUAGCUUGAUUAUAUCUAAUUAAUCCACAAUUACAUAAAUGACUCAAAUAUGGAAACAAUUGAUAUUAAUUACUUUUAUAAUUUCAAAAAUUUAAUCCCAUGAAUUUCACAUAUUCUUAUAGUUUGGUUAUAUCAAAUUUAUAUUANNNNNNNNNNNNNNNNNNNNNNNNNNNNNNNNNNNNNNNNNNNNNNNNNNNNNNNNNNNNNNNNNNNNNNNNNNUUUUUUAAUACAUAAGAAAUGCUAAAGUCAUACAAUAAUCACCUUUAUUUUUAUAAUCCAAACCUAUCAUUUAAAAAUCAUUUCAUUUGAAUUAAUAAAAUCAUAGUAGAUUGCACAAAAAAAAUCAAUUAAUUAUAUGUAUUUUUAUUAAAUAAACGAUGUACAAAAUUGUUGUAAUAAAACUAUACAAUCAACUAAUUAAUUUCAAUUAAUUAGAAUCAAUUUUAUGAUCAUAAUAUAUAGACUCAAGUUCCUUAAAUUUAAUGUUGUAUGUAAAUUUUAAAAUAUAUUUAUAGCUAAAGUAGUAGUCAACGUUCGUUGUUUUUUUACUAAUAUAUGCAUAUCAAUUACGAAUCUUUCCGUAUAUUUUUUUUAUUAAAGUAAUUGUAAAUAUUAACUAAUUUCUAUUUCAAUUUAAUCUAAUUAAUUUGAUAGCAAUAAAAUUAUUAGUAAUAUUAUAUAUUUAUUUACCAUAAAUCUGUCCGAAUUUUGUAGCUUGAUUAUAUUUAAUUACUCUACAAUUGUAUAAAGGGCUCAAAUAUGAAAAUAAUUGAUAUUAAUUACCUUUAUAAUUUCGGAAAGUCAAUCCCAUGAAUUUCUCAUGUUUUUAUAGACUGAUUACAUUAAAUUGAUAUCAAUUACCUUUUAAAUUUUGAAAAGAAUUUUAAAAGGUAACAAUUAUUUAUUUUCCUAAUUACUAAUUUAUUUUUCAAAUAUUUCUUAUAAAUUUAUAAUUUAAUUAUACUCAAUUGAUUAUUAUUAUCUUUAUAAUUUGCUAAAAACUCACAUAAGGUAACAAAAAUAGGUAAAACUUAUUUGUUUACAAAAAUAGGUAAAACUUAAUUAUUUUGAGGGAUGAAACCUUUUUUUAAUAUUUUUUUAUUCAGAAUGAUUACAAUAUUUUCUAUAUAAAUUGAUCAAUUACUAUUUAUUAAUUGGUUAUUCUCUUAAAUAAUUUUUUUUUGUAAUAUUUCUUUUAGUCAAUUGUAAUGAAAUCAUUCAUAUUUAUUUUCUUACAAUACUAUUAUAAAAAACAUAUGAAAUGUAAUUUAUUAAAUAUGAAAUAUGAAAUAAUAUUAAAUAGUUAAAUAAUCAACAAAAUAGCUUUUUGUAAUGAAAUGAUGGUUUAUUGUUGUAAAAAUUCAAAUAGGUAGUUCUCAAUAUGACACUUGUCUUAGUUUUAGGCUAGACUAUCCUCCUUUAUUAUAUAGAUAGAUAAUUUCAACAAAAUUAAUUAGAGUAUUUUCUUAUAAAAUUUUAUAAAAAUAAUAUAAAAUAUGGUAUAUUAAUAAUAUUUACAUUAAUUAUGCUUCUAUUUUCUUACACAGUAUUUGAUUCUACGUAUUAAAAAUAACAUUGAAUCAAUGGUGAAAGUGGAGGGACUUCUUUCUUUAUUGGGGUUUUUCUUUUUGGGAAAGCUGACACUUUCUUGACUACCAUCCACCCAACACAAAGCUGACACUUCUUGGUAGAUUGGCUAUUUUUUCACACGGUACUAAUUUAUAUACAUUUUCUUUGAUAUUUGUUAUAUUGUUAUUUUUAUUUUGCGUAUCUUAUUAGUUUAUAUGCAUUUAUAUUUUAUGUUUGGUAUAUUAUUAAGAUCCUAAGCUGGGAGUCUAUCGAUAACAUCCUCUCUACUUCACCUGAGUAGUGAUAUGAUCUGCAUGUACUAACUUCCCCAGACCCCAAUAUGUGGAAAUACACUGGAUGUUGUUGUUGUUGUUUCUUAUACAGUAUUUGAUUCAAUGUAUUAAAAAUAACACAAAUUACAUAAUUUUUUUUUUUAACAUAAUACCCCCACUUUAAGUAUGUUAAUGCAUGCAUUAGAUCCAUUGCGUUACUAAUGUCAUAAAUUUUGAGGUAUUCGUAAUACACACCUCAAUAUACAAUAGAGUAUAUAACUAAUUUUUGCAUUAGUUAUACAUAAGAUAAAAAGAUAUAUAUCAAACAAGGGACUUCUAAUACACAGUAAAUUAAUGGAUGCAUUACUCUUUCAGUCAUUACUCUUUGUAUAUAUUGAAUUAGAGUUCCUACUAUAUAUCAAAUAAAAGGUCUUCGGAUUAUCUUUCUAACGAUACUAAUUUUGCAAAAAUCCGACACCUGAGGAAGAAGUUAUGGCUUUGCAAAGUGGAGUGUGUUGUGCAGCAUAAGGUGUGCACCGCAUACAUUACUACUCAAGUGACUUAAACACUCCGUUUUCGAGGCAAAAUGGUCCUUUUGCCUCCCUUAUUUAGCCACAAAUAGGAAAUUCAGUUCCCAAAUACCCCAAAAUACACCUUCAUUCAUCAAAAUUACUCAAGAACUCUCCUUAGCAUUUAAAAAUCAAAACCCAAGCAACUCAAAAUUCAACCAUGGGUUAUCCUAAAAUCUCAUGGGCCUUUAAAUUCAUGUUUUACAAUGGGGGUUUUGAAACUACGAAUAUAAUCAUAUUUUAAAUGUUUUUAUAAUAUUGAUUUGGUCUUUAGGCCUAUUUCUGAAGUGAUUUGACAUAUUAUAUAUGUAUAUGCAUGUGUUUCGAAAAGGUGUUAAUUUGAGAGCAUGAAUUAUAUAGAAUUCCUCUCUUGAUAUGAAUUUAUUUUAAAUGUUCAUAUGAUGUAAAUUUUUUGAAAACAUCUUGAAAAGCAUGACAUGAAAUGUUUUGAGAAUUGAUAUGAUUUUGACUUGAAAACGAGAGGGCUAUUUAUGUUGAAACAUGUUGAAUACAAUGGUUGAAUGAGAAGAAUAAUGUGAUAUUGAUGGCUUGCAAGUUGGGUAUGACAAUACCCUACAGAAUAUGAUAUGUGAUUGAAUCAGAUGAAAUUUGAAUGCAUUAAUUUUACAUAAGAUAGGUGGAUGUCCGAAGAAGGCAUUUGAAUAUAAGGGCUCAUUGUUGGAAACCGUGUUUGCUGACAUAGGAAUUUGGUACCCUACUUUGUGAUCUUAUGUACCUGACUUUAUGUCAUUCCCAAGUUGGGCCUAUGGUUAGGAGCCUUGCUUUGUGAUCUUGCGCACUACAAUUGGGUCGAGACACUCUGCCGUGUGAUCUUGUGUGUCUUCCCCUCACUUAUACUCUAAUCUCGGUGGAAACCGAGGUUUAACAGUUGGUGUAAAUGUGAUAUGUAGGGUAUUCCACCUAGCUUAGCUGCAUUACAUUAUUGUUGAAAAUAAUUACAUUACGCACAUGUGUUUUUAAAUGAUUUGAUAUGAAACUGCUUUAUAAUGGCUCUCAACUAUGUUUUGUUUUGAUAUCUUUGCAUACCAGUACUUUUGUAUUGACCCCCUUCCCUCUCAGGUUCGGAGGCACAGUCUAGGGGUCUAGAAAAUCAGUAGAUUCCUCAGACAGAUUUACAGAGUCAUUUGGUGAGCCUUCUAUAUUUUGGAAGGCCUAAUAUCUGGCUAUUUCAUUUAUCAUUUAUUAGUUUUGGAUCUACUGGGGGCCUUGUCCUUGUUUUUCGAUAUAUAUUUAUUUCAGUCAUGUAGUAGAGAUUUCGCAGACGUUAUAGAGAUGUUGUGUUGAGAUUGUGGGACAUUAUUCCCCGUUAUUGAUUUCAUAAGAUUUUUGACCAUGUUUCCAUAAUAUUGUUUAUCUUUUGUAUUUUUUUUAUCAUAUGAGUUAUGUGCAUGAUUAUCAGACAAAUAGGGGUGUUUCGGGCCUUCAUGGUUCCCCAUGCUCGUCAUGGCCAGGCCCCCGGUUUGGGUCGUGACAAACUUGGUACCAGAGCACAGUUUAUGGUUCCAGGGUGUCUGCAAAAUCACGUCGGGUAGAGUCUUAUUUGUGGGUGUGUAGCUCGCCACACUUAUAAGCUGGAGGCUACUAGGCGUUUAGGAAUGUCUCUCUUUCUUCAUGUUCCAGUUCGUGCAAUAGAGUCAAAAUGUUCCUCUUUCAUACUGUUAUUCGUGCUAUGGUGUCAUCCAUAUGAAGGUAAAGUCAUCCCAAAUUCUUUCCUUACUUUGAUGUUCUCAGACAUGUCCCAUUACUGGGGUGAUUCAAGUGCAAAAAGUUUAGAAUCUAUAUGAUAUAGUCUUUUUCGAUUGUGUUAUAUAAGAAAAAAAAUUGUGCAAAGACUCGAGAGGAGUCUGUUGGUGAUUCAAUAUGUGUUGAUUCUAAUGUAAACAUUGAUCCUGAUGGAAUCAUGCUUUCUAGCUUAAGGUAUUAAAUGCAUCUAGUCCCUCCCAAAAAUCUUGAUACAAAUGUGGAUGGUGUAUAGCAGAAUGUUGGAACUGUAUUUCCUCCCGAAUAGUAGCGUAAGUUAACGUGUUGUUGUCAUGACCUAUCGGUAAUGAAAUUAGACCAAGAAGUUAGUGAUGUGAAGUCACAAAGUUAGAAGUCUGAGGGUGAUUUUUGGUGUAAAUGAAUAUUUCAGUUGAAUAACUGAUAUUUGAGGAUGAUUUACCCCUUUAAAGUGAUAAACUAAUGUGGUAGCUAGUAGCAUGUGUGGAUGGUAUGGUAGUCCAUGGGGGAAGUAUUUUACUCAGCUUUUAAUUUAUACAGAGUAAGAUGUGUAUUCUUAGACCAUUAAAUAUUGUGUCAAUUUCCUAUCUCUUGUAAUAUGUAAUCUUGUUAUCAUGGUGUUUUUGAAAAAAAUAAAUUUAAAGUCUAGUGAAGCCGUGUGGGGCUCUAUCGAUUCACUAGCAUAGUUGCCUUGUCAUCCAUCUUAUUUUCUUGUUCAAAAUACAAAACCAAAGUCUAGUGAAGCUGUGUGAGGCCUAUUUUGAUUCACUAGCAACUUGUUGUCCAGCUUGUUGUUCUUUUGUUGGUUUAAUAUAUGUAUGGCUGAAUCUGUUUGCAUGAGAUUGAGUUAGUAAAGAGGUGAUUCAUCCUUGUGAAUUCGUUUAGUAUAAGGUAGAGAAGGAGUUGUUAGUCAGGGUGAUUUGUUGGUUGCUUGAAUGUGAAAAAUGGCUAUAUUAGCGAGUAAGUUAUGAUUAUAGACUCAUGGUUGUUUGAGGAAUUUGAAGGCAGUCUAAAUGUAUGCUUGAGUAAGUAAGUAUGAGGUGAGAAAUCCUCAUAAGUAGAUAAGAUCUUAUGGGGUUAUAAUAUCAGAUUAAGGUUGAUCAUGUCUAUUAUAUGACCUUACCCCUUGGCAUUUUUCGUUGGUAGUUGUAAACUAGUACUACUUAUGAGAAGGUAUGUUGCAAAUUAUGAGGUAUUUGGAUAGUACUACAUGACUGGCACAAAUUUUUUGAAGUUUUGCAGGAGUUCUCAAAACUAUUUUCUAAAAAAUUAAGAGUACUUUGAAAAAAAUCUAUAUAAAUCUUUUACUUAGUGAUUGCCUAGACAUCAAUUAGGAUGGGGAGUCAGGGGUGGAAGUCCCAACAAGAUAAAAUACCUAAAAGAUGGCGAGGGCAAAUCAAGGAUCGUAGGAGGUCAACAUGGAGUAGUUUCUUUGAUACACAAAAUGAGCGUUUCUUUCAAAAAAUCCCCAAGAAAGUCGAGAGCCAAGACAGAGCAUAUAAGGCUUAAUAACGGUACUUUUGGUAGCCCAAAAACUGGCCCAACACCUAUUUAUUGAUGACCUUUCAAAUUGUCCAUCUCAUUUCUUGAGAUCAUGGAGGACAAACAAAAGUGUCUUAUUUUCUUUACAAAUAUUGUAUUUAUAAUUUUUCUAAGAAAAUAGUUGCUAGCAAAAUUGACUUUGUGUCUACUAAUCGUCUACCUUGAGUACAAGUACAUACAGAAAGCAAGACCCUGACAAAUGAUUUCAGGAGAAACUAUUUUUAAUUUACCAAAAGAACCAUUGCAUGUCAUUGCCAACAGGGCCAUUGCAUUGUCAUUCAAUAUCUGUUGACGCGCUAGACACAAUGCUGGCAUCGAGGAUAUCAUUAUCAUUCAAUAUAUCCAUUGACAUGCAAGACAAAACGAUGGCAUUGAGAAUAUCAUCAUUAUUCAAUAGCUAUUGACGCGCUAGACACAAUGAUGGCGUCGAGGAUAUCAUCGACAUUCAAUAUAUUUGUUGACCCACAAGAAACAACACUGGAGUCGAGGAUAUCAUCAUCAUUCAAUAGAUGUUGAUGUGCUAGACACAACGCUGGCGUCGAGGAUAUCAUCAGCACUCAAUAUAUCUGUUGACACGCAAGACACAACGCUGGCGUCGAGGAUAUCAUCAUCAUUCAAUAUUUGUUGAUGCGUUAGACACAACGCUGGCGUUGAGGAUAUCAUCAUUAUUAUAUAUCUAUUGGCACGCAAGACACAAUGCUGGCAUCGAGGAUAUCAUUAUCAUGCAAUAUCUUUUAACAUGCAAGACACAAUGCUGGCAUCGAAAAUAUCAUCAUCAUGCAAUAUCUGUUGACGCACAAGACACAACGCUGGCGUCGAGGAUAUCAUUAGCAUUCAAUAUAUAUGUUGACACGCAAGACACAACAAUGGCGUUGAGGAUAUCAUCAACAUUUAAUAUAUCUGUUGACAUGCAAGACACAAUGUUGGCGUCGAGAAUAUCUUAUCAUUUUAUGAAUCAACAUCUGAAUGUAUUGAGAGCACACGAUUUGAAGGGACGCCUUUAAGUUGCUAUCUAAGGAUGAAUGAUAUAUAAGAUUUCCUAGAAAUUGAUAAUUUGAUGGUUAUUUAUAAGUCAUAUUAUUUGAAAUAGGAUAGUGUGAAAGAUCACCUAUGAGUUGAUAGCCUGUAGGUAAUCCGUAAGUCACAACAACAUCCUAACCGAACAGUAUGCAAGAUCGCCCAAAAAUCAAUAGUUCAAAGGUUAUCCAUAAGUCGCAACUAAAUCCUUACCGGAGAAUUUGCAAGAUUAUCAAAUUGAUACGUCCACGGGUUCUCUAUAAGCCAUGUCAUAUCCAAGAUCGAUUAUGUGCAGGAUUACCCAAAGACUUACAAUUUGAGGGACUAUCUAUAAGUCAUAUUGUAUUCAAGGUCGGAUGAUGUGCAGGAAUAUCUUAAAGCUAGCGAUUGGAGGGAUAUCUGUAAGCCAUCUCUUAUUCAAAGUUGGAUAACGUGCAGGAUUACUUAAAAGCUAGAAAUUAAAAGGAUAUCUAUAAGUCGCCUUAUAUCCAACAUUAAAUAAUGCGUAAGAUUAUCCAAAGAUUGAUAAUUUAAAGAAAAAUUUAUAAAUCGAUCAUCGGCUAUAACCGGAGAGGUUAUCAUUCCACAUGCAACAAAUGAUAUAGGUACCCAAAGGGUUGCCACACUAGCACAAGAUUACACGGUUGUAGAAACCGUUCUGCAUAAAGUAUCGCCGGUGUCCAAAAGGGCUACCCACUUUGAGGACAUAUUUAACCGACAAAUGUCAUAAUUAUACAACAACCAAGAGGGUUGUUGUUUUUGGUAUUUCUAGUUAUUUCAUUCCAAAUAGGUACAUGAAGAGAUGACUCUGCUUUUCAGGCCACAACUCACAUGGAGAUAUGGUAAAAGACUGCAUACCUCUUUCGUGAAUUAUGUUUAGAAAUAACACUUUUUGCUUGAAGCAUUGUCGAGAGAAUCCAAGAGGUUGAAAAUCUCAAAUCAAAACCAUGGGUGCAGAUGACUUCAAAUAGGACGCAGUACCCGAAUCAAACCCUUUUUCUUUUUCCUCUUUAUGAUCACGCCCGUUCCAUGUGAAUCCAUACGAGAAGAUGCGAGAAUCUUUUAGAAACACACUUAGGUGUCUCAUCCAACGUUCAAAUCACAAAAUUCUCGGAUAGAGGUUUACGAAUUCAUACAUAGGUGGAGUAUUUUCAUUGGCUUGUGAAGAUUAUUCCCUUUCCACCAAUUUCUAUGGGCCACUUUUUGGAAUUCCGUUUAACGAAAUCAAAAUAGAGGUACAGUUCGUUAGGGUCCGGAUCUUUUGAAUUUCAAAAAUGAACCCUUAAUCCCCUUCUAUAAGUAGCUCUCUUUAGAGCAAGAAAAAGGGAUUUUUUUGGGGAUUUUGGAAUUUUUUUCACUGGCCUCUCCUUUCCUUUAUGGGUUCUCCUCUUCUUUCUCUUUGGAGUUCGAAAUUUUAGACGCAAAGGGGGUUCAAAAGUUUUGGGUUGAAAAUUUGGGGUUAGAGAAAAUCUUCAAAAAUUUAGAAAUCCACAAAAAAAGGGGGUUAGAAAGGGGGGCUCUCAGAGGGAAAAAAUAUUCUCUUUACGCCUAAGAAACAUACAUUCUUAGGAGGUGCGUCUGAACUGUCGAAGCAGCUGCGAGUUUUUCGGUGGUCGGAAUCCUAUCUUCAGCUUAUUAUCCCAUUUUGCUGCCCCAAAAGAGGUAAAUACAUCUUUCUUUUUAAUUUUGUUGUGGUUAUCAUUUUCUUCUUCAUGGUUCCACUUCUGUUUACUGGGAAUGACUACUGUAGAGGCCUGGAAGGCAUAGGCUUUUCGUGUUUGAUAUAUUGUUCUACUAAAAAACUCAUUCUUGCCGUGUUUGAUUGGCUGUCGUUCAUGCUUGAUCUCUCUCAUUUUAUUCUAUCUGAAUAUUACUAGUCAGCUUUAAUGCUUCGACUUUAGAAACUAUUUUGCUGGUCUCAUUUUGAUGUUGCUUUCUAGUUCAUAGAGUAGGAGGGUAAAAUCUUUACGUAUUUUUGAAAUUCGAAAAAAAUUUUCAAAGAAUAGAUAUUAGGCAGCAUGUUCGCACAUUUUUUCGCUCAAACGCAGGAAAUUGUUAUAAAUAAGAACUCGCAUGUUAUUUUCUUCUGACUUGCCAUUCUCGAUGUACAAUAGUCUCAUUUGAUUCUAAAGUUUAUUUUAAAAUAUGAGAGUGGACCAUAGGGAUGAAUUAUGUUUUCUUCAUGGCUAAUUCAAUUUGCUGUAACUGACUCAUGAGAACAAAUUAAAGUUUGACAGGCUAAUGUUUCUUUCCUUUCUUGCUUUUCUUGUUCGCAUAUAAGUUGUGGCAUCUUGUCUCAUGAUUAAAUUACCUAAAAUUGGGUUUUUGUAGUUUUUGACUCUCAUUUGUUUGUUAACCCAGUGGUAACGAAGGAAUUAAGAUUUCAGCCUUGCUUUUCUUGAAGUUUCAGCUAUCGUAUUCCUUGCCUAAAGUGAUUAAGUCUUUAACUUUGUAUGUUUGGCAUUCUGGAAUUUGAACGUUGCUUGUGAUCCAUCGUUUAUGUAGUAUGAUCCAAGAGUUUUAACUCUUUUUUGUGACAUGCUUAAUUGGGUCCUUUUGUGGCAUUAAAGUGAUAAAUUAUUUUUUUUAUUUCGAUAAAGACCAUAAGAAUUCUUGUUGAAGCUUUAUUUCCUCCUGUAGUUGAAAUUUCUUUAAUUGAUUAUGAACAUUUUCUUCAAACAUUAUAGACUUUUUCUCCUGUGGCAUUUUUACCUGUGUAUGAGUGUAUUUGAAUGAAGCAGGAAUGCUAUAGCUUAUUAAUUGUUAAAAUCUUGGACGUAUGUUAAUUUCUUCAUUCCUUUCUUUGCAUGCACCCCCCUUGGAAUUCAAAUGGGCCCCUUCUCUCUUUGCAUUUCAUAAAUGGGCCAAUGAGGCCUAUCCUUCCGAGUUAAGCCAAAAAGAAAAUCCAAGAAUCCAUCGCAUGGCGUAUGGAUACGAGGAAUUGAAAGAAGAAUGGGUUAAAGUUCCAUCUUUGAAGCGGCAAACGGGACUUGAAAAUCUAGUUAUUUCUUCUUUAUUGAUUUAUUUAUCCAUUGUUUCCAUUAUUUAUUUAUUUACUUAUUUAUAUUUUUGUUUAUUUAGUGACUAAUUUAUUUAUUCAUUUGGGCCUCAAAGCCAAAGUUGUAAAUUUAAAACAGGUGGAGCGAGACUCGAGCCAAAAAGGUCUCGAAAACAUAAAAUAAAGACAGGUGAAAGAUGGGUCAAAAACCUAACUAGAUUAGAACAGGGUCGACGGUUUGGGCUUAAAAUCCUAAAUCACUACUUCUCCUCUUUCCCCUUUUUCUAUUUGCUUACUUGUUUUACGUUUGUUUUGCGAACCUAGUAAAAUCCUUAGUCAAGUCGCUAAAAAACUGGUUUUGCAUAAACACCAAAAUAUUCCUAAAAAUCGCUUUUCUUUUCAAAAAAUAAACUUUUUCAAAGUUAAUCAAAAGACGAUUUUCAAACAUUUGGAUAACCGCAAGUUAAAGGACAUUUUAGGUGCCUAAUACCUUCCUAAAAUGCUAGUAGGAACCGCUUAUCUAGAAUCUCUAACUUAAAAUGAUUUUUCUAUUUUGAAUCGUUUGCAGUAACUCUCUAAAGGUUUCUUAAUUCCUUUUAAAAAUUAAGUGGCUACUCUCAAAAAGUCAUAAUUUCCACAAAACAAUAUCAAUCACAAUCACAUCCACACAUCUACUACCCCCACCCGAAAGUAGCAGAUGAAUAAGGGUUUGUAGUAAUUCAAGUACCUUAUCCUCUUGACGCAUGCACUCCUUCUCUUUUAGUUCAUUAACAAAUUUGUUAAAUAUUUCAAGUAGAAAGCCCUCAUCACCCAUGAUUCUGUAAAAUAAUAACAGCAAAGAAAUUCACAUUCAAUGAUACGACAUAAUGAGAAUCAUGAGAUUAUGAAUAAAAAAGUAAAAAUCCAGAGCAUUUCAUUUUAUAGUCAAAGAGGCUAGACAAAUUAAAACUAGAGAUUUAGCAGCAUACUUCAUCAGAACCGUGAAACAAUUACAAAUGCCAGAAAUUAAAAAACUAAAACAAUCACAAACGUCAGAAAUUUAAAAACAAACUGCUAGAGCUAUUAAACGCCCAGUGUUGGAACAACUAAUAAUUGACAUCUACCAAUUUCUAGAGGGAUAAGUACAACAUUAGAAAUCACUUAGCAAAAUGGUAAUUCAUGCUAAUACUAUAAAGAAAUAGCCUACCAAAAUGUUGAGGAAUAUAAAACAACAAAUCAUUCAACACAACUAUUCUUCUAAGGUACAUUCUAGAACUAUGUGAAUUACUGAGUUUAGAAUAUUGAAGGAGUUGGUCCUUGAAAAUAAUAUCAAUUAUCAUUCUCCAAUGGUCCUUGCAAUCAUGUUACUAAUUCUAGAUCAAUAAAAGCAAAAGAAGCUACUUGCCUAUCUCUGAAGAGGGAUUUGCAGUCCUCCCAUUUCGAUGAUGCAGAAUUUCCUGCAACCACAGCAAACAAAUAGAUUAUGGUUUAAAGGAAAUAUCAUGGGAUCCCAUCCAUUACAAUGUGAGAGAUUGUAAACUGUUUACUAUACCUUUGAUGCAUGAAGAAGUUCAUAGAACUCAUCAGCUAGACGUUUAAGCUUUUUAGCUUUUUUUUCUUCUUUCUUCCUGGCCCUUUCCAGUAACUCCUCAAAGACAAACUAUGCAGAUGAAAUAUGCACAUUCAAUACUCAAUGACCCGGCAAGCCCAAACGCGUAGAACAUAUAGUUUAGAAAGGAAGAAUGGAAUAAGAUUCAGUAUAAUCCAUGUAUGUCCUCUUAUUCCUUCGUUUGGAAGGCAAGGGGGAUAUAAUGUAAGAGUAUUAUUACCAUCUUUUGGAGUAACUCCUCACAUUAUAAUCUUUGAUAAAAUGCUUUACAAAAGUUUUGAGCUAUUGAAAGUAAACUAAAAGCCUUAAGAGACCCAACCGUCUAAGCAUAAUUCUUCGACAAGAUACCCCUUGCAAUUCCCUCUUCCCACAUACAUAGAUUAUACGCCAUGACCAUAAAUAACCUCCAAAAUCCAAACGAUAUAUAAAGAAUAUCCUCAUUACAAAAAUAGCAAAUGAUCGUUUAUAUCAUCCAGUUAUGUUGUUUAACCAGUUUCGUAGAGUAAAACUCUUAUCCACUAACCGUAAAAAUAGAAAACUACAAGGCAAAUUGCUUUGAAUUAAGUAACUUAAGCUAUGUGUGGUAGGUGUAAUUGUAACACCCUAGAAAAUGGGUCCCGAAGCGUCACACGGUGCUUGAGGCUACGAGUAUCCCCAAGCUAACUCUUUGAGCCAUUUUCAUUCAGUUCAACACAAAUCAACGAGGUUUCCAUAAAUAACCCUCAAAUAUCAACAGAGUAAUCAUNNNNNNNNNNNNNNNNNNNNNNNNNNNNNNNNNNNNNNNNNNNNNNNNNNNNNNNNNNNNNNNNNNNNNNNNNNNNNNNNNNNNNNNNNNNNNNNNNNNNNNNNNNNNNNNNNNNNNNNNNNNNNNNNNNNNNNNNNNNNNNNNNNNNNNNNNNNNNNNNNNNNNNNNNNNNNNNNNNNNNNNNNNNNNNNNNNNNNNNNNNNNNNNNNNNNNNNNNNNNNNNNNNNNNNNNNNNNNNNNNNNNNNNNNNNNNNNNNNNNNNNNNNNNNNNNNNNNNNNNNNNNNNNNNNNNNNNNNNNNNNNNNNNNNNNNNNNNNNNNNNNNNNNNNNNNNNNNNNNNNNNNNNNNNNNNNNNNNNNNNNNNNNNNNNNNNNNNNNNNNNNNNNNNNNNNNNNNNNNNNNNNNNNNNNNNNNNNNNNNNNNNNNNNNNNNNNNNNNNNNNNNNNNNNNNNNNNNNNNNNNNNNNNNNNNNNNNNNNNNNNNNNNNNNNNNNNNNNNNNNNNNNNNNNNNNNNNNNNNNNNNNNNNNNNNNNNNNNNNNNNNNNNNNNNNNNNNNNNNNNNNNNNNNNNNNNNNNNNNNNNNNNNNNNNNNNNNNNNNNNNNNNNNNNNNNNNNNNNNNNNNNNNNNNNNNNNNNNNNNNNNNNNNNNNNNNNNNNNNNNNNNNNNNNNNNNNNNNNNNNNNNNNNNNNNNNNNNNNNNNNNNNNNNNNNNNNNNNNNNNNNNNNNNNNNNNNNNNNNNNNNNNNNNNNNNNNNNNNNNNNNNNNNNNNNNNNNNNNNNNNNNNNNNNNNNNNNNNNNNNNNNNNNNNNNNNNNNNNNNNNNNNNNNNNNNNNNNNNNNNNNNNNNNNNNNNNNNNNNNNNNNNNNNNNNNNNNNNNNNNNNNNNNNNNNNNNNNNNNNNNNNNNNNNNNNNNNNNNNNNNNNNNNNNNNNNNNNNNNNNNNNNNNNNNNNNNNNNNNNNNNNNNNNNNNNNNNNNNNNNNNNNNNNNNNNNNNNNNNNNNNNNNNNNNNNNNNNNNNNNNNNNNNNNNNNNNNNNNNNNNNNNNNNNNNNNNNNNNNNNNNNNNNNNNNNNNNNNNNNNNNNNNNNNNNNNNNNNNNNNNNNNNNNNNNNNNNNNNNNNNNNNNNNNNNNNNNNNNNNNNNNNNNNNNNNNNNNNNNNNNNNNNNNNNNNNNNNNNNNNNNNNNNNNNNNNNNNNNNNNNNNNNNNNNNNNNNNNNNNNNNNNNNNNNNNNNNNNNNNNNNNNNNNNNNNNNNNNNNNNNNNNNNNNNNNNNNNNNNNNNNNNNNNNNNNNNNNNNNNNNNNNNNNNNNNNNNNNNNNNNNNNNNNNNNNNNNNNNNNNNNNNNNNNNNNNNNNNNNNNNNNNNNNNNNNNNNNNNNNNNNNNNNNNNNNNNNNNNNNNNNNNNNNNNNNNNNNNNNNNNNNNNNNNNNNNNNNNNNNNNNNNNNNNNNNNNNNNNNNNNNNNNNNNNNNNNNNNNNNNNNNNNNNNNNNNNNNNNNNNNNNNNNNNNAAAUAAUUCUCGAAUCUGUCCUUUGGUGGACUGUUUUGAUAGUCUGAAGUAGAUCAACCAUAAUGUUUUACUCCGAUAUUCAAAUUGGAUGAAACCAAUUUCAUUAGAAAGAGGACUCUCAUAUAUUUCCGUUGAUAUAUAGUAUCUCACCCAUAUCAUUGUGUACGAGGAGUUAUGAUCGUUUGAAGUUGACCCAAAAAUUCACUUUUGAUAGGCUGAGUAGAUCGACCAUAACUUUUUGCUUUGAUAGUCAAAUUGGAUGAAACCAAUUUCAUUGGAAAAAGGACUCGCAGAGCUUUCCAUUUAUAUAUAGUAGAUCACCCAGAUCAUUAUGUACAAGGAGUUAUGAUCAUUUAUAGUUGGAGCAAAAAUACGCUAGGCCUCAGUACUUUUUCCUGCACGUUUUACUGUUCACUACUAUUCACAGUUCGAUCGGAAUGUUUUAUAACUCGUCGCUUGGGUGUCCAUUUUGGAUGAUCCACAUAUCAUUGAAAAUAUUAUUCGAUACUCUACACAAUGGUGAGUCAUAAUCUAAGACAUUUCGCACGAAAAAUUUAUAAUUCAUUCUAGAAUAUAGAACCCAACAUGUUUACGCACAAAAUUUUAUCGAAAAAUUUCCUGGGGUAUUACAGUAAUAUUAAACACCUCCGUCCAGGAAAUAAAAACUAAGGAAAAUGGUACCAAAACUGAAGAAUUGGAAGCAAAAGCUAACACCAAAUAUUUGAUCAAUUGGUCCUCGUCUUUAUUCUUGAAGGUUUCAGGCUUACUUGCUAACUGACACACUACUCUUCUAUUAACUCCAUUACAAGAACAUCCAAAUUUAAUGUGGGAUAGGUUAUGGUUGAUACUAAAGGAAAAUGCCACUAACCACAGUUGACUACCUAUGAGUUGCCAAUUUAGCAAUCACAAACUGGCCGAUUUCCAGUGAAACAUAACAUGGAAGUACUACUAAUGCUUCUGCACUCAAUCCACUCAUCUUAUGCAUGACCUGUCCCAAAGACAAAAUGGGGAAAAAUACAUAGAAAUCCAUUUAGUGAAUGGGGUACUUCAAUUUUCACAACAUUCAAUUCAAUAUGGGUCGAUGUGAAACAGUAUACAGUGCUUAGCCAUAAUUAGACCUUUAAGUUGGUAUCUGACAUUGGUGGAGAGCUAAUAUACUUGGCGAUUGCAACCUUAAAAUCAUCAAGCGUCCAGGCUGAUGUCAAUCCAAUCUGAAAGUAGAGACGGCUCAGCCAAAAUAUUAGGUACUAACCGAAGCACAACAGAGGUUAAAAUGAAGAGUGGUGAUUACCUCGGCCAUCCUAACUGCAUCUUGAAUUUGUGACUUGUCAUCAAGAUACUGAAGCAACAUACAAGUAAUAUAAAUUCAGAAUGCUUAUCAGUAACAAAAAUAGGAUACCAAAUGGAGCCUUGUCAAUGCAUUUGAGUUACCAUAAAGUCUAUAAAUUACAAUUAAGGUGAUGGGGAUGAAAUUUCUUUCAUGAAUACCAACAUUUCUCCACUUGUUCAAAGUCAUCUACAAUAUCACAAGACACUUGACACAUAAACUUAAUUGCACUGAUCAGGUGAAAUUGAAGGAAAAAUCAAGCACCCCUGUUUGGAUAAUAGAAAAAAAGUGAAUAAAUAAAAAUGGAUAGCAUCUCUGUUAACAACGCUUUCGUUAUAUUUACUUAAUAAGAAUCAUUUAUGCAUACAAACAGUAAUACAAACUUUAAAGAUAGAAGUUCACAUCUUUAUUUUACAAGGGAAAAAGAAAAGAUUUUCAGCAUCGGAGUUUAUGUAUAACUCUCACCAUCCCAUAGCAAGAGCCUAACUCAAGAAAACAUUACCAAAUUCAAUCAUUGAAUAAGAGUACGAACAGGAUCAUUACCAUGCUAGGAUACUAGGCAAACUCCCUCUUUCAUCAAGCAACGAGAUAAAUGCUAAUAACAUUUGAUCAUUCAAUUUCAAUUCUUUUUAGAAAGGGCAGAGGAUGAAACAAUAAAUCGUUUAGUUAGUCGCAAGUGUGUAUUACGGCCAAAAAAAUCAUAGCGAGGGAGAUGCAACUUUAUUUAGAGAAACAGAGAUUCUCUCAGGCACUUUUUCCGAGGCUAAUCUUUUGUAAGCCUUUACUUUCAUUACAUCUCAACUACCUCUUCAGAGGCGAAUUCUGGCACUAAGUUUAUUUAGUCCAAUUUAUAUGGUUGACAACACAAUAUAUUUUGAAUUGGGUUUUAAGUUGCACGAUAUCAUCCGAAGUGAAAUCAAAACUGGGGUAUGGUACAAAAGGACAAAACAUGGUCGAAACUUGACCAGACAAACUACUUUCAGGUCUAAUUUGUUUGCACUUAUUGGAUUUAUAAACCUGUUCAGACCUCAAACCAUUAAGUGCAUUUGUUUUUAUUAGGAUUUUAGCUCUUUAUAGGUCUGAGUAGGUCUUAAUCAUUCAGAUGUGGAACCAAAUCUAAAUAUCAUUUACAUAUAUUCUUGUGUAGGAUAAAAUUCACCCCCACUCUAUCCACAAUCACCUGUCCCCACCACCAACCACUUCCACCAUCACAACCAAAAUCACUACCAACUACACUGCCAGCCGCUACCACACCUACCACGUCCAUUAUUCUAAUUAUAUCCAUUGCCAACUAGGGGUGUUCACAGUUUGGUUUUUAACCAAACUGAACCACGAUCCAAACUAAACCGAUUAAAAAAAUCUAUAUAUGGUUAGGUUUGGUUUGGAUUUGAAUUUUAAAAAAUCGAUACUAAUUUGGUUUGGUUUGGUUUGGUUUUACUCUAAAAUAACGGACAAAAUAACCAAAACGAACCGAUAUACAUAUAUAUUAUAAUUAUUUAUAUGUUUUUCAUAAAUGUAAUCUAAAUAUUUGUUACAUUUUAUAUUUUAAUCAUGAUUUAACUUUAGUCGUAACACAUUCAGUCAUAUGUCUUCAUCUANNNNNNNNNNNNNNNNNNNNNNNNNNNNNNNNNNNNNNNNNNNNNNNNNNNNNNNNNNNNNNNNNNNNNNNNNNNNNNNNNNNNNNNNNNNNNNNNNNNNNNNNNNNNNNNNNNNNNNNNNNNNNNNNNNNNNNNNNNNNNNNNNNNNNNNNNNNNNNNNNNNNNNNNNNNNNNNNNNNNNNNNNNNNNNNNNNNNNNNNNNNNNNNNNNNNNNNNNNNNNNNNNNNNNNNNNNNNNNNNNNNNNNNNNNNNNNNNNNNNNNNNNNNNNNNNNNNNNNNNNNNNNNNNNNNNNNNNNNNNNNNNNNNNNNNNNNNNNNNNNNNNNNNNNNNNNNNNNNNNNNNNNNNNNNNNNNNNNNNNNNNNNNNNNNNNNNNNNNNNNNNNNNNNNUACAACACUCGGUUGACAUCUCAUAUGUUAGAUUGGAUUUGUUUUUUAUAAUUUUCAACUUUUAUCAUUAACUAAAGUUAUAAACCAAAAAAUCCGAAUCAAAGCGAACUAAACCGACAAGAACCAAACCGAUGGUUAUUUUUUUGUUUGGUUUUAGAAAUUUAAAAACCGAUUAAGUUGGUUUGGUUAUGGUUUUGACCAAUAACCGACCCAUAUCAACCCAUGAACACCCCUACCGCCAACGCCGCCACCAUCAACUACUACCGGUCGAUCCUUACUACCAACCAACUCAUCUAUCAGAACUAGCACUACCACUAAUGACCACCAACACAUCAUCAACUUGCACACAUCGCUAACAACCACUAACACAUCAUCAACUUCCACACAUUCUUCGGACACCAUCACCACCACUGUCACCAGCGUCACCACCUCUACCACCACCAUCCGCUACACUCGCUACAGUAUCUAUACUAACAACCAUUCCACCAUCACAGCUAACAGCAUAUCCAACGACCACCAACACAUCAUCAACCAUCAUGCAUACAGUUUUCCAUCACCACGAUCAACACCUCCAACUACUAACAUUAACCAACUUCACAUCAUAACCACCACCACCACUACCAAUCGCCAAUAUCAUGACAGUUACUACAAUGCCAGCUAUCUCUACUAUCACAACUAUCAUCACCAACAUUGCUAAUCACUAACAUCAAUUAAUUUAUUACAACCACCACCACCAUUACAAAUCAUCUCCAUUAUCACUAACAAACAUAAUUUUUUUUUAAUCAAAUAAUAAUUUAAUUGCAUUAAAUUAAAAAAAUUCUAAUAUUUAAUUAUAUUAUAUUUAAAAAUAAAUAAAUUUUGCACAUUCAGAUAUUGAGAAACACCCAACCUUAAUCAUUUAGUUUUCAGAUCUAGAGACAAUAUCUUAACCACUUAGAUGUGCAUUCAAAAUGAUUCAAAUGUCUGAAUAUUAAUAAAAACAAAUGCAGUCUUAGCUGAAACACAAUGGUGUGGUUGUGUGAUACUUUAAAGGAGUCCUCGAAAGUCAAAGAAACUACGUGAAAACAUGGAAGUUUGAUGAUCACUUCUCAGAGUUGUUCUGCUCGAUAAACUAUAACAAUUAAGGUAAUAUAACCAUUAACANNNNNNNNNNNNNNNNNNNNNNNNNNNNNNNNNNNNNNNNNNNNNNNNNNNNNNNNNNNNNNNNNNNNNNNNNNNNNNNNNNNNNNNNNNNNNNNNNNNNNNNNNNNNNNNNNNNNNNNNNNNNNNNNNNNNNNNNNNNNNNNNNNNNNNNNNNNNNNNNNNNNNNNNNNNNNNNNNNNNNNNNNNNNNNNNNNNNNNNNNNNNNNNNNNNNNNNNNNNNNNNNNNNNNNNNNNNNNNNNNNNNNNNNNNNNNNUUUUUUUUUUUAAAAAAGCAAGCAGAGGGGUAACUCUCAAAUCUCAAUCUCAUGCUUUUAUCCUACCAAGUAUGUUCUAUUGUUUAAUGCACUACAACAACAACAACAAACCCAGUAUAUUCCCACAUAGUAAUACACUAACUUCCUUUUUUACCUAAUGAAUUGAACUUUUUAGUGAGGAUCUAAAUGAUUUUCAGACUUUGUUUAACGUUUGAUUCAUUAAGAUGUAUUAACAGGUUGAAUCUUUAAAAAAAAAGCACUUAAUGGGCUGAUAUCUUAACCAUUCAGAUUCAGACCUUCAUUAAGUGAAAUCAAAUGAAAAGGGAUUGUAGUGUAAAGUCUAUAAAUAUGGCUUAGUGUAACAAAUGUAGUUGACACAAUUCAAUACUCCUAUUAGCAACGUAUUUCACCUGUUUCUCCAGCUCAUCCAUAACAUCUGUAAAUAAGUCUUUUGUUGUUGAUCCUGAAGUAUUUGAUGCAACAGCUAGAUAUGCAGCAAAAUCUUUAAUCUGAAAGCACAAAAUAAAGAAGGAAAUUAUUGGAUGAUAAAUUCAAAAAGACAAAAAGGGAACUCAAGAAGGUAAUCACUCACUGAACACAAGAAAGAAAAACUAACUUUGAUUCAAUAAUUACGCCAGUUAGUUUUUGCAUUAAGUAUUCCUAUAGCAACAUGCUUUUCCAUCAGUUUUCAGAACUCAACACGUUUUUUACGUUCAGCUUUCCUCAAUUCUUCCUAUUUGAAUCAACGGUGUAUGACCAGUGAGAAAGAGAUAAAUCAGAGUCUCCAAAUAUAAAUUUAAUUUUAACCCCCGAGUCUAAUAAGCAAUAUACCAUCCGCAGUUUCCUUUGCUCCUCCUCUUCGCUCUCUAAAUCACGUAUGUAUUCCUAAAAUAGAAAAGGUUGCAACUUAACUUUAAAACUGAGGAGUACAAAUAAGAUGUUUGGAAAAAGUUAUUUAUGAUGUAUUAGAAAAAUGAGUAGUACCUAGAAAAUCUCCAAGCGAUCAAUUUUCUCAAGGCGGGAGCGUCUUUCAUCAGUUUCCAAGCAGUCCUGAACUUUCUGCCACUGGCUACUGGCCUGAACAAAAGAAGUCAACAACAAUGGAACUAUGGAAGUUCUAUCUUCUGUAAAUAGAAAAACAUAAUCUAGGAACUGAUGCUAAUUCCACUAGAACAAAUACCUUAAUAAAGUCACAGGAUUUUAAAAAUUCUAAGUACUCCACUCUAUUGUGCUUUUGCUCCUCCAAUGCCUUCUGAUGCUCCUAAUAAAAUCCAGUACAAAGUAAAAAAAAUAAAAUUUCUCUAUAAUGAAGACAAUAUUUACAAAGAGACUUUAACUACACUUGCAUUAAAGUAUUGAAAAACUUUUUCUAUUUUACGAUGGAGGGGGGAGAGGAAGAAGCAUAUCAUAGUUUCAAGUUUCAAGAAAAAUUACAUACAAUACAUGGAAGUCUAUUUAAAUUGGAAUUCAAUGGUGAACAAAUUUAAAUGUUGUACCCUUGAGAAGCCAUUAAAAAUGUAUUCAAAGAACACAAGAUUCUAAGUUGAAUAUCUACAACAUUCCUUCUUUCUACUCUUUAAGCAAAACAAAAAAAGGGAACAAACUAAAAGACAUCCUGCAAAGGAAAGGAAUGGAAUAACUGUUGUUAAUCAAGUGGACCAACGCCUAACUCAACUUCAAAAACUAGUUCAGGUGGUGAAGAUUGUCCAAGAUCAUAUAAGGAAACUACAACACAUACACCUUACUAGUGUGGGAUUCUCAUACAUUAAUCCCACACCAAGACUAGACAUUUGUAGCAUCAGUUAACCUAGGUUGGCUAACAUCUAAUAGUAUAACAUCAAGAUAGAUCUGCCUCAAUUGGACCUUGUAUCUAUCUCAAAUGAAAGGCUAACUUAAUUAGUGAGGAGCCAAAGACCAUAUAAGGAAACUACAGUCCGCACACUUAGUUUUUAACAUAUAGAAGCUUACAAGAAAGUUUUGCAAAAGGAACUUCACCUUUUUCUCAAGUUCCUCCACAUAAUCUUCAAAAAGGUCCUCACGGUCUUUAGCUCGCUCAACAGCUUUAAAACGUUCAUCAUGUUCGAAUAUGGAGAUUGCCUAACUGAAUAAUCAAUAGCAAAUAGUUAGUGGAUCAAAUGGAACUUACACAAGUAAUGGAUCAACUUCAAGGUACCAAACACAUACAAAAAAUGACCAAGAUUAGAAAACAAGCAGCAGACAACUUAACAUUACAAGUGAAAGACAAACCUCUAUCUAGACGAUGGUGACAGCUCCUUGCAAUCCUGUAAGACUGAGAACAACAGACAUUGUUGUGAAAAAUACCACUUAUUCUUUUGAACAAGUCAAAUACCAGUCUCUAACACAUCAUGAAUACUAUGAUAAUAUUUUUUUAUUUUUGAAACUGGUAAUGUGAAUAUCAUGAUAUAUCAAAUGGAAGACACCCACAAAAGAAAAUUUCACUUCUAACAUUAUCCUGAAAUCUUCCUGAGCUUUUUNNNNNNNNNNNNNNNNNNNNNNNNNNNNNNNNNNNNNNNNNNNNNNNNNNNNNNNNNNNNNNNNNNNNNNNNNNNNNNNNNNNNNNNNNNNNNNNNNNNNNNNNNNNNNNNNNNNNNNNNNAUUGAAAGAGAGUUUUGGAAAAUGUUUUUCCUACUUUUUGAAGGGAAUUCAUUUUCCUUAAAUUUAAGGAAAAUAAGUUGAUUUGGAAAACAUUUUCCAAAAUAUUUAAGUCAACCAAACAUGAAGCAAUUGGAUAUCAAACACAAUCUAUCUUUUUGCAAUACGGUAUGUGAAACAUUGAAGCAACAAUUAACCCAUUCCAAUGCCGACUUGGAGAGAUACCUCAUUAAAAGCUUGCUUCCGCUCACAAAGGAAUUUUAGAGCACCAUAUCUCCGGUCAUUAAUUACUGCUCUCAUGGCUUGUCAAAUACAAUUCAUGUCAAAUGAUCUCCCUCAUUUGUUUGGUACACACAAAAUAGUCAAGUAAUAAACCUGAUCCCACGUGCAAUCAGACCCAAUAUUUGCAGAUUCCAAAAGAGUUUUGAAUGCACUCUUUGCCUCCUAAAUAAAAUUAGAUACUUAAAAUAGAAAUAAGAGAAAUUUCGAGAACAUACUUUAAACGGGACAAAAAGCAAUAAUCAACUAUACCGCUUUGCUCUCAUAAACUAAUGGUCCCAGCUCGACUGUUUUCUCAUNNNNNNNNNNNNNNNNNNNNNNNNNNNNNNNNNNNNNNNNNNNNNNNNNNNNNNNNNNNNNNNNNNNNNNNNNNNNNNNNNNNNNNNNNNNNNNNNNNNNNNNNNNNNNNNNNNNNNNNNNNNNNNNNNNNNNNNNNNNNNNNNNNNNNNNNNNNNNNNNNNNNNNNNNCAUAACAUCUACGAAAAGCUUUCUUGGUGUUUUAACCAGUAACCAGUAGUAAUUAACUAAUCGCAUAAGUAUUUCAGAAGGACAAAGUACCUCUCUAUUCUCUGAAGAAAAUCCAUCACCAUACACUACUGCAUCUUGAGUUGUAGUAGUCUCAGAACUAUACAAAAAUUGAAUUCCAAAUAAGAAGCAACACAAACCAGAGGCAAAUUUAUAACAUACAAAUCUGAUAAUAUACACCGGUGGCGCGAUAGAAUUUCCAAGGUUACUGCUAUUCCAAUUUUCUCCGAAUUAGCAACAGCUGGCGAAGUAGGUUCUGAAGAAUUCUUCAUUUCGACAGUUUCAAUCAUCAGAGAAGAAACCUUACCAUAUAAACUUGAUGAUUCUGAAGCCACAAUAGUUGGUAAGUUAGCAGCUGGUGACACAACAAUUGGGCUUGAUUUAGCACCGUAUGCCGAGACUAAUGAACCAUCUGCACCCGGGGAUGAUGUUUUAACAACAGAAAUGGAUCCAAAAUCAGAAGCGUGCUAAAUGGUGUCCUUUUCACAAGCCAACUGUGAAUUUAUAAAUAAUUGAACUUUAUGAGAAUAGAGUAUCCAAGAAAACAGAAUAUUGCCCCUUCUUACACGCUAUCAACUGUGAAUGUACAAAGAAUUUAUGAGAACUAGAGCAUCCAAGAAAACAGAAUAUUUUCCCUUCUUAUCAUGCUAUUUAAAGCACAGAACAAUCCCUUCUUAUCAUGCUAUUUAAAGCACGGAACAAACCCAUAUUGGAUUUAAAUCUAACAUCACCUUGAAUUCAUCAAGCAUUAACCUUGUUGUAGUAAUACCUACAGAAAACAAACAAAGCAAUUAGCAUUAUGCACAAGUAACACACAAAAGUACCCACUGUAGAAGAACAAUUGGAAAGAGGCCAAGAAAAUACAUAAGUUACACACUUUCUUCCCUCAGGACUUAUAAAUUCUCUCCAGUUAGUUGAUGUGUCUGCCCUCUGUCCCAAUGAAAAUAGCAUGAAAGAAGGUCAAGUCAAAAAAUAGAACAUAAACAGUACCCUGAGAGUAGAAAUCAGUAACUUCCAGCAGUACAAUACUGGAUGAAAGUGUUAGAAUAUGAAUUAUAUAAUGUCCCACAUGGAAAAGGACUAGAAUGUACUGUGUAGAAUAUAACUACAAGCAGGGUGGAAACAUUGCCAAGAUGCGGCCGAGCUACAGCUAUCCAAGGGUGAUCAACUGAACAACAUUCGCCUUCUGUCAUUUCUGAGUAUUUUUUAAUGAACACCCUUGCCACAAAAAACAAGACUGAGUGUGAUAGUAAGGGUGUUCAAAUCCUACACCGAGGUUCUAAGUUCCAUACUCAACACAGCCCCCCACAUAAUAUUUUUUCCAUUUGGACACAUUUGAAACUCAUAAACUACAGUUAUGCUUUUUUUCGAUGAAUCAAUUUUCGAACAUGUGUUUUUUGUCCCAAUUAGCUCUUGCAAAAGAUCUAGUAACUAGCAUGCCAUGUAUAAGAAUUUUGUUAAAAUAAACUUAAAGGUAAAUUUAUAAAGUGCUUGUUAUACUAGAUAUCUUGCAUGGGGCAGAGUGUUUGGCUGGUCAAGAGCUCGCAUGUUCGAAAGAUAAACAUAGCAGAAAUGAGGAUGUUGAGAUUAAUGUGUGGUCAUACUAGGAGAGAUAGAAUAAGGAACAAAGAUAUGCGAGAAAAAGUGGUAGUGCUCUCUGUGGUGGACAAUUGACAAGAAGACUAAAGGGUUGGGGAUAAAGAACCUAAAAAUUCAAAGUAAGGCUCUCGUGAUGAAAUGGUUAUCGAAAUAUGCAAACAAUAACCAACUGCUAUGGAGGAAAGUGAUUGGGGCUAAAUAUCCUGAAGAAGAUAGAUGGCUGACUAAAGAAGUGACCACACCAUACGGGAUUAGCCUCUAGAGAUCUAUUAGAUCUAUUAGACACUAGUGGAAUGAAGUUAAAAGCAACUCAAAAGUUAAAGUGAUGGAUGGAAACAAGACUAGGUUCUGGAAGGAUAAUUGACAUGAGGAUGGGAAUAUGGAAGUGAUUUUUCCAGAUAUCUACAACUUGGUAUUGUUUCAAUAGAGGACUAUAGUAGAAUUAUGGACACCACAUGGGUGGAACUUCAAUUUCAGAAAGAAACUUAAUAACCUAGAGGUAAUAAGAGUAGUUGAAUUUUUUAAUACUGUGGACUUAUUCAAUGGACUGCAGACAAUGAAGAACGUACUAUGGUGGAUAGGAAAUGAAAAAGGAAUGUUCAGUGUCAACAAAGCCUACAAGAUGAUAAACCAAAUAAAUCACUCGGAUCCAAGGUGGCCAUGGAAGCAAAUAUGGAAAAGUAGGAUACCUCACACAGUGUCAUGCUUUAUCUUUGUCUAGUUACUGACCAAGGAAGUAGUUCUUACACAAGAUAAUGUCAUGAAGAAAGGGAAAACCUUGUACUCCGGAUGUUUCCUCUGUGGAGAAACUUUAGAGACGGUUAACCAUGUAUUUCUACAUUGUAAGUACACCCAACAACUUUGGAGAAUCUUCUUAAGACUAAAAGGCAUUUCCAGCACAAUGCCUAGGAAAGUAUCUGAGACUUUAAUGUGCUGGGAGAAGAAGGUAUAGAUGUGAAGGACAGAAGUAGAUGGAGAAUUAUCCCAGGUGCUAUAUGGUGGGCUAUAUGGAAAGAAAGGAAUUCUAGAUGAUUUGAGAGCAUAGAGAAUAGUGUGUAGAAGGUUAAACUCAACUGCAUUUUGCUUUUAUGUUUUUGGUGUAAUCAACUAUACUCUAAUGAUACUGCCUCGAUAAUUGAUGUUCUAGACUAAAUUUAGAUAUAGAACAGUCGAUUUAGGAGUACUCUUGUAUAUAAAGGUUUCAGUACAACCCAUGUACUGUAUGAUAUAAUACAAAGUUACCAAUUUCAAAAAAAAAAGAUAAUAAUUUUUCAAGUACUAAAAGUUUAUAAAAUAACAAAUAAAUCAAUUAAAUCUGAGUUCAAAUUGGGUGGGUUGGGGUAUGACCCGCAUUUUAGAGCAUUUCAACCCAACCCAUUUCAACCCAAGUAGCUUUAGGGCGGGUUAAUAACCCACCUAUUUAUUAACUCAGACCUCUUUGAUCCAGCCAACCCCACCCAUUUGACACCUUUAGUUUAAUAGAAGUAAAGUGGACCAUGCCAGAACACAUACAAGAUCUAUUGAGUUAAAGUAAAGUGGACUAUCAAAGGACACACAACAAUCUGUUGAGCUGUUGGAUUAGAGGGUAUUAGCAAGAGUUAGAAGAAAUGGGGGAGAACAAUCCUUCCUUGUAUUUGGUGGACUGUAUGGAGCGAGAAAAUUUGAAGGUAUUUUGAAGAUAAAUAUAAUUCCAUUUAGAAAGUUAAAUGGAAUAGCAUUAAAGAUUUUUAUUUUUUGUUUAAGGGCCAAUGUGUACAGGAUGCAUAACAGGUAGUAGAUCUCUUUGAAUCCUCGCAUUAUUUUCAUUAUUUUUCAUUUCUUUUGGACUGCUAGCAUAACCUUAAUGCUGACGAAUACAAAGUAAUAACUCCAAAAAAAACUAUUUAUCUCAAAAAGAAAAGAAUCAAAAUGUUCAAACUUCCUUACAGCUCCAGUUGUUGGUCCCUUAAUACUUGUCCCUCACAACCAGCCAAACUUUCUUUGAUAACCGUCAUGUUUGGGUCAACUUUCACCUUGACUAGUUACACCAGGUACUGCUACCUCCCACCAGCACAGAUACUGGGUAACUCUAUCCAUCAAGGCUUGGACAGACAGUAAGAAAUCACCUAGUGUUUUUAUCUCUGUUGGAAAUUAAACCUGAGACCUCAUGGUUCUCAAUCUACUUCAUUGACCAUUAGGUCACACUCUUGGGUGCAAGUGUGCAACCAGCCAAACUAUUAUUCUAUAAACCAGAAUGAGAAGUGUGAACCGCAAUAUUAUAUCAGGUUUCCUCUCUCUAUAUCGCCAUUGAGUUACAAUAACAUUACAUUAAUCAGAAAGUAAAUAAAAUUGUUUAAAAUAGACCAAAUAUAAUCCUUCCUUGUAUGCUUAAACACAUUUUUUAGAACAAUAGUGUUAAAUAUAAAAUCUUUUAGAACUAUAUUGGAAAUAAAAGGUCAAUGCAAAUCCCAAAUGAAGCCUACAUAGUAUAGUAAGAUCGAGAAAAUCUGCUCGCUAAACAAACAUUCAACAGAAAUCACAUAUACUUAGGAAAGAAAAAGUGGUUCUACGAAGCUUCAUAGAAAAAGAAUUGUGUACUUCUUUUUUCAUUGAUAAGCAUAGGAAACUGGAUAAAACAACCCAUAAAAAUCUCGAUGAAACGAGAGCUCACCUCCAUUUCUAUCAUCAGCUCUCGAGGUUUCUCCCAGGUAGAGAUUCUUGUUCUUCUAUUAUAAUAGUAUCUAAAAAUCAAUUCAAGAAUUGUAAGAAUGAUAUUAAUUGGUUGGAGUAAUAAAGCCAUAGGAAAUAUGACAAUAUUAGCAACCAUAAUUAGCCUACUGAUCAUCAAAAGAUACUGAAAAUAGCAAUACCUACUAGCAUUUAGCCACAUGUAAAAUAUGUAAGAUAAUAGAGAAAUGGGGUCAAAAUAAAGUUAUCGGUAGAGGUGUAUCAAGUUCUGCUGAUCAACAGUCAGGUAGAAUUUGGUAGCGGUGAACGGCAGCCCAUAUGAUAACUUUGACAAAGAGGACUGAAACAAAGGGGCCUAUUAUCUCCAGUGCUAAUGGAAGAAGAAUGAUGUACAAAGAACUAGAUGUGGAUACUUGAGGCAUUUCUUGGCAGUGAUGGGGGCCAACAUAUCCACCACUUGUUCAUAGACAAGAAAUUAAGUGUUUGUGAUGUAGACAUUAAAUUAUUCAUAUGAGUAACCUAUGUGAAUAUAAUCCAAAAGGAAGAAUUCCAGAAAGCCAAAUUGGCAUGCUCUUUUUUUUGUCUGGAGAACACAAAGUGGUAAAAAGAUUGGAUCUGAAUGACAAUGAUAUUUUUGCAGAGCUCCUUUUCUUGUAUACCACGGUUUUACACCUUUUUUGUUCACUGGAAUCUUAAUUUUCUUACUAAAAACUAUCAUAGAAUUCAAAUGUUGACUCUCUCAAUCAACACACACCCAUUAACCCAUUAACUUAAGCAUGUUACCUGUUGACAAUAUUUAUGCAAAACGGGUACAAUAAAACACAUUGAAUUCUUACCGGAAUAACCAAGGGAGCUGCUAAUUCUCCAGUCUUCUGCAUAGUUGUUGCAGAAUUCACAUUAUGAUUACUUAUUGGCAUCCAGGGUUGUACCCCUGAUGGAAACCUAUGAUCAUUUAUCUAUGUCUGAUACUGGGAGCCAAAAGAAUCUACAUUUACCUGCUGUUAAAGAUGAUAACAAAAUGUAUUUCAUCAAUAUAUGAAUGGAACAUCGGAAACCGAUUGACAAUAACCACAAAAGAUCUUCCCAAGGACCUACAUUAUAUGAAGAAGAAAGAGGUAAAUUUGGGCCACCAGAACCAGGCAUGUGGUUAUUUGACAUCGCAAAAUUUCACUGAAAAUCAUGGGGAAUAGGUGGUCCCUGAGGCAUACUAUGCAUUCCUACUACAGGUCUACUAGUAACCUGUUGCAUAGGUUGAGGAAAUUGGAUUUGAGAAGGUUGUGACAUCGCAACAUUUGCAUGUCCAAGUGGUAAAAAUUGUUGAGAUGACCCAGAACCAUAAGGUUGUGCCUGCUGGGCUAGAAGCAUAGGCUGGAACUGCUAAAGAUGUGGGGAAAAUAGUUAUCAUAAUGUCUCUACAUUCAAAAGUCAUUUAUCCCUCCCCCAAGCCUCCAUAACUUUACCUACAGUGACAUGGAUGGAAUAGCACCAGGAGCAGGACUAGCCAGAGGAGGUAUAGGAGGCUUCUUAACUAAUAUCCAUGCAAGGAAGAACAGACGAAAUCAGAAUAUAGCUACUUUUCAAUCAUAUUUAGUUAAUUUUCCAAUCAAUGUUGAAAGCUUGUAUCCAUGCACAACUCCCUAAAUUAAUUUAAAGGACAAGGCAAGAAUUUUGAAGCUAAACCACAUAGUAACAUGAAGCCCUUUUCUUCAUCUAAUAAAUAGAAAGCUUGAAACGAGAAUAAAGAGAGAUAGGAAAUAGAUGACCUAUCACAACGUUAGACUAGAAUGGACAAAAUGAUAAGCAUCUUUACCUUAUGGCUUGGGUUCAACAGCUACUGAUGGCCUAAGUAUCUUUUCUUCGGGUGUAAAGAAGCACGUCUGUUAAUGCAAAACUAUGAUCAUUGAACUGAAACAUGAGGUAUGAGUAGGUAUUAGGAUAACCAAAAAAUACUGAGACUGGAAUGGGUUGAGCCUCAAUCUUCCCUUCUGAUGUUCUAUGUGAUACUGACAUCACUACUAGAAUCUGAAAGCCUGACUUGGUUAUUCUCUCUAUCAUCUCUCCCUUAGCUUUAAGCCAUCAAAUUAAGUUUGGGAGAUCCCUUACUAGACUCUAAACUAAAGUACACUCACUGUACUCUGGGGUCUGGAAAACUACUAUACACGCAUAUCAUGGCACUUAACCCUAAUGACUACACCUGAAAUUGGAAAACCCACUAUUAAUACUACCUUCUGAGAUACACUUUAUCAUUCUAUAGACCCAGUAGUCAUCAUAUAAUACUUGCAUACUUACUAACUUCGGGUCUUCAUGGGUAUCCCCAUAGUCGAAGUGCACACCCUCUAGUGCUUUAACUCUUAUUUCUAUUAGUUAAGCCUUUAAAAACUCAAACUUAGAAUCUAGCACUCAACAUGGAUAUAACCAAGCCUUCAAUGAAUCAUACCACUUCCUACAUAGCCUACCAAUAUUGCGACUCUAAACUUACAUCUCUCUACUAUAAGAAUCAAGAUCAUAUAAAAGGGCUCAACACUAUUAAUCAAAACUCCUUAAUUUGGCUAUUCAGAACACCAUAUACCAUCUAACUAGUCUUUCUCCACCUAGCAACUCAACGGUACCACUUGUCACACAAAACAUGUAAUAGUCUUAGAAAAUACCGCAACCUCAGAUCACCUUGGGCAUACUUCUACAUUAUAUAUGCAACAUCAUACUUCACUGCGAAUCAAAUAAACUUAAGCUCUUGCAUAUAUCAUUCAAGCCUAUUAGAUUACUUCCAUAAAACUAGUAUCAGUAACCAAGAAAUCAUCACAUCCACCUUCAUGGACAUCAAUUGUUCAAAACUUAAUGUCUAGUGCUAAACAUGAUGUUACAACCCAACCUUACGUAUGAUUCUCACUUGGAUACCAUGAAAUUGACAUCAAGAAACACUAGUACACUAGAACUUCCAAACAACAAAUAAUUGAUCUUGAUCUUACGGUCUUCCUUAUCAUAACUCAUUAGCACGGACUAUUUUAACACAUCAAGCCUACUAAUUUUUUCCCACAAAACAUAGAUCAUUAAUCUCAUGCCACUAUUUUUACCACCACAUUGUACAUUAAAUUCAAGAAUAUAGUCUUGUACCAAUCAUCUAUCACUACUAAAAAAUGCAACAUAACAUGCUAGUUCAUAAAAUUUGGGACAUACUAUACAAGCGCCUCAAAAAUCACUACUUACCUUCUCACAAGUAGUACUAGUUUACAAUAGAAGGUCAAGGGGUAAAGUUACAUAAUAAACAUUAUCAACCUUAAUCUUAUAUUAUAACCCCAUACAAUCUUUUCUACUUAUACGGAUUUCUCUCCGCAUACUUACUUACCCAAACAUACAUUUAGAGUACCUACAAAUUCCACAACAACCAUGAGUCUAUACUUACAACUUACUGGCUAAUAUAGCCAUUUUCAUACUUCAAGCAAUCGAGAAAUCAACCUAACUAACAACUCCCUCUCUAUCUUCUACUAAACUAACACACAAGGACAAAUCACCUUUCUACCAACUCAAUCUUAUGCAAACAGAUUCAGCUAUAUAUAUAUAUAUAUAUAUAUAUAUAUAUAUAUAUAUAUAUAUAUAAAAAAAACAAAAAAAANNNNNNNNNNNNNNNNNNNNNNNNNNNNNNNNNNNNNNNNNNNNNNNNNNNNNNNNNNNNNNNNNNNNNNNNNNNNNNNNNNNNNNNNNNNNNNNNNNNNNNNNNNNNNNNNNNNNNNNNNNNNNNNNNNNNNNNNNNNNNNNNNNNNAAGUCAACUAUGCUAGUGAAUCGAAAGAGCCCCACAGGGCUUCACUAGACUUUAUUUUUUUCAACAACACCUUGAUUACAAGAUUACAUAAGAUAGAAAUUUAAUAUGCAAUAUCCAAUGAACUAGGAAUACACAUCUUUCUCUGUAUAAAUAAAAUUAGAGUCAAACAAUUCCUCCACGGACUACCAUACCUUCCACACAUGCUACUAGUUACCACAUUAGUCUAUCACCAUAAGGGGUAAAUCAUUCUCAAACAUCGUUUAUUCAACUAAAAUAUUCAUUUACAUAAAAGUCACCCUCGCUCUGACUUCUAACUUUGUGACUUCACAUCACCAACUUCUUGGUCUAAUUUCACUACCAAUAGGUCAUGACAACAACACUUUAACGCAUACUACUAUUUAGGUGGAAAUAUAGUUCCAACAUUCUACUACACACCAUCCCACCCCUUAAGCAAGACAUUUGUAACAUAAAUUUGAAGGGGACUAAAUGCAAUUAAUACCUCAAACUGAAAAGCACGAUUCCAUCAGGAUCAAUGUUUACAUCAGAAUCAAUACACAUUGAAGCAAUCAACUAAUUAAUUUCAAUUAAUUAGAAUCAAUUUUAUGAUCAUAAUAUAUAGACUCAAGUUCCUUAAAUUUAAUGUUGUAUGUAAAUUUUAAAAUAUAUUUAUAGCUAAAGUAGUAGUCAAUGUUCGUUGUUUUUUACCAAUAUAUGCAUAUCAAUUACGAAUCUUUCCAUAUAUAUAUUUUUUAUUAAAGUAAUUGUCAGUAUUAACUAAUUUCUAGUUCAAUUUAGUCUAAUUAAUUUGAUAGCAAUAAAAUUAUUAUUAAUAUUAUAUAUUUAUUUACCAUAAAUCUGGCCUAAUUUUAUAGCUUGAUUAUAUUUAAUUAAUCUACAAUUGUAUAAAGGGCUCAAAUACGAAAAUAAUUGAUAUUAAUUACAUGUUUUUAUAGAUUGAUUACAUUAAAUUGAUAUCAAUUACCUUUUUAAUUUUGGAAAGAAUUUUAAAAAGGUAACAAUUAUUUAUUUUUCUAAUUACUAAUUUAGUUUUCAAAUAUUUCUUAUAAAUUUAUAAUUUAAUUAUAGUCAAUUAAUUAUUAUUAUAUUUAUAAUUUGCUAAACACUCAAAUAAGGUAACAAUUUUCUUUUUUCCUAAUUACGGAUUUUCUUAUAUUCAUUCAUUUAUUUGUUUACAAAAAUAGGUCAAACUUAAUUAUUUUGAGGGAUGACACCUUUUUUUAAUAUUUUUUACUCAGAAUGAUUACAAUAUUUUUUUAUAUAAAUUGAUCAGUUACUAUUUAUUAAUUGGUUAUUCUCUUAAAUAAUUUUUUCUUGUAAUAUUUCUUUUAGUCAAUUGUAAUUAAAUCAAUAAUAUUUAUUUUCUUAUAAUACUAUUAUUAAAAACAUUUGAAAUGUAAUUUAUUAAAUAUGAAAUAUGAAAUAAUAUUAAAUAUUUAAAUAAUCAACAAAAUAGUUUUUUGUUAUGAAAUGAUGGUUUUUUGUUGUAAAAAUUCAAAUAGGUAGUUCUCAAUAUGACACUUGUCUUAGUUUUAGGCUAGACUAUCCUCCUUUAUUAUAUAGAUAGAUAAUUUCAACAAAAUUAAUUAGAGUAUUUUCUUAUAAAAUUUUAUAAAAAUAAUAUAAAAUAUGGCAUAUUAAUAAUAUUUGCAUUAAUUAUUCUUCUAUUUUCUUACGCAGUAUUUGAUUCUACGUAUUAAAAAUAACAUUGAAUCAAUGGUGAAAGUGGAGGGACUUCUUUCUUUAUUGGGGUUUUUCUUUUUGGGAAAGCUAACACUUUCUUGACUACCAACCACCCAACACAAAGCUGACACUUCUUGGUAGAUUGGCUAUUUUUUCAUACGGUACUAAUUUAUAUACAUUUUCUUUGAUAUUUGUUAUAUUGUUAGUUUUAUUUUGCAUAUUGUAUUAGUUUAAAUGCAUUUAUCUUUUAUGUUUGGUAUAUUAUUAUGAUCCUAAGCUGGGAGUCUAUCAGAACAUCCUCUCUACUUCACCUGAGUAGUGAUAUGAUCUGCAUACACUAACCUCCCUAGACCUCACUAUGUGGGAAUACACUGGGUGUUGUUGUUGUUGUUGUUCUUUCUUACACAGUAUUUGAUUCAACGUAUUAAAAAUAACAUUUAUUACAUAAUUUUUUUUUUACAUAAUACCCCCACUUUAAGCAUGUUAAUGCAUGCAUUAGAUCCAUUGCAUUACUAAUGUCAUAAAUUUUGAGGUAUUAGUAAUACACACCUCAAUAUACAACAGAGUAUAUAACUAAUUUUUGCAUUAGUUAUACAUAAGAUAAAAAGAUAUAUAUCAAACAAGGGACUACUAAUAGACAUUAAAUUAAUGGAUGCAUUAGUUUUUACGUAAAACAUUCCAUGCUUUAUCACAGAUUUGGUUAUUAUUCCAUGUCUUGAGCUGGGAGUCUAUCAUAAACCACCUUUCUACUUCUCCGGAGGUAGUGAUAUGGACUACGUACAUCUUACCCUCUCCAAACCCCACUAUGUGGAAAUACACUAAAUUUAUUGUUGUUGUUGUUAUUAAUUUUUUAAUACACUCUAUCAAAAGACUCCAUGCUUCUCAUUUAAUAAUACCUUUAGCUCCUCUUUAAUUAUGAUAAUUGCUCUCUGACUCCACCUUGCUUUUUUAAAAUAUACAUAAAUAACAAUGAAUUUAAUUUUGCUCAUUACUCUACUAAUUGUAGUAAUGUUAGGUGAAUUCAUCAACUUAAAAUUAGAGUACAUUCACUUAAGCUACAUGUUAUAGCUAUAGCUCAAAAAAGGAAUUAUACGUUUGACAUAAUACAUAAAUGUGUUUUCAACUUGACAUCAUCAGUAAAUAUUUAUAUAUUUUAAUUUUGAGUGUUGCACAAAUAAAUACUUAGACUAUCAUAUAAAGUUAAAAUAAAGAUAUAUAUGCUAGUCUUGUAUCGCAAUUUGUCAUGCAAAAUGCAUGCAUCUCAUACAAUUUGUCAAGUAAUUAAAGCAUUUGUGUCUAGGAGAGUGCAUCAGUCGGUUCGGUUGGGUAUUACAUAUUAUCGUUAGAUUUAUCGGUUUUCAAUUUUUAAAUAUGUUAAACCAAUAACCAAACUAAUAAAGUAUUUUUUUCGGUUUUUAGUCCUUAACGAUUCGAUUUUUGGUUUAACCGAUAAGAAAAUGCACAUAAAAUAGAAAUAGAAGUAACUAACAUGUAAAAAAUGAAUGUUAGUUGCAAGAAAAAUCCUACAUGAAGUGUUUAAAUUUACAAAAAUCUUCAAGUUUGAACUAAAUAUUGUUAGGAGAAAUUAAGAGUUUAUAUAAUUGAAAUAAUAGGUUUGUUUAUUUGUAGAAAUAAAAGAUAAAUAUAAUAAUAAGUCAUAUAUAUUCUUAUUGGGUUAUCGGUUUACCCAAUAACCCAAUAAGAAAAAAUCGAACCGAAACAAUAACCCAAUAAUUUUUUGUAACACCCCAUACUUUCAGACUUGAACGUAAAUUGUUAUUCUACUUGUACACAUUCCAAAAACCAUAAAUAUAUUGUGAAUAUAGUGUUUUAAUCAACUAUGUGGUGUAUAAAUCUAGUUGAUCAUGAAUUGAGAUCAUAGAGGUCCCCUAACUCAAGGACGAGUUCAAAGCUUUUCCAUCGAUUGAGUUUUAGUAAGUGUCAAAACUUGGGUCAAUUUCAAUCAGUCAUUAAUCUUUGUAUAUAUUGAAUUAGAGUGCCUACUAUAUAUCAAAUAAAAUCCCUUCGAAUUAUCUUUCCAACGAUAUCAAUUUCGCAAAUAUCCAACACUCAAGGAAGAAGUUAUGACUUUGCAAAGUGGAGUAUGUCAUGCAGCAUAAGGUGUGCGACGCACACCCUAACUUAUUCCAUAAGGUGUGCGACGCACAACCUAAUGUGUGAGAUUAAGAGUGCGCUGCACAACCUAUAUUAUGCGAUAAGGUGUUGUCCGCAUACAUUACUACUCAAGUGACUUAAACACUCCAUUUUUGGGGCAAAAUGGUCCUUUUCCCACCCUUAUUUAGCCAUAAACACGAAAUUCAGUCACUAAAUACCCCAAAAUACACCUUCAUUCAUCAAAAUUGCUCAAGAACUCUCCUUAGCAUUUCAAAAUAAAACUCGGGCAACUUAAAAUUCAACCGUGGGUUUUUGAAACUAAUUGCAUAUUUGGAAUCCCUAAAACGUAGGCUUCAAGAAACACCUAUCAUCUUUGCAUAUAGAGGUACGUGGGGUUAUCCUAAAAUCUCAUGGGCCUUUAAAUUCAUGUUUUAAAAUGGGGGUUUUGAAACUACGAAUAUAAUCAUGUUUUGAACUUUUCUAUAAUAUUGAUUUCGUCUUUAGGCCUAUUUCCGAUGUGAUUUGACAUAUUAUAUAUAUAUGCAUGUGUUUUGAAAAGGUGUUAAUUUGAGAGCAUGAAUUAUAUGGAAUCCCUCUCUUGAUGUGAAUUUGUUUUAAAUGUUCAUAUGGUGUAAAUUGUUUGAAAACAUCUUGAAAAGCAUGACAUAAAAUGUUUUGAGAAUUGAUAUGAUUUUGACUUGAAAACGAGAGGGCUAUUUGUGUUGAAACAUGUUGACUAAAAUGGUUGAAUGAGAAGAAUGAUGUGAUAUUGAUGGCUUACAAGUCGGGUAUGACGAUACCCUAUAGAAUAUGAUAUGUGAUUGAAUCAGAUGAAAUUUGAAUGCAUUGAUUUUACAUGAGAUAAGUGGAUGCUCGACGAAGGCAUUUGAGUGUAAGGGCUCAUCAUUGGAAACCGUGUUUGUCGACAUGGGAAUUUGGUAACCUGCUUUGUGAUCUUGCGUACCUGACUUUAUGUCAUUCCCAAGUUGGGAUAUGGUUAGGAGCCCUGCUUUAUGAUCUUGCGCACUACCAUUGGGUCGAGACACCCUGCUGUGUAAUCUUGUGUAUCUUUCCCUCACUUAUACUCUAAUUUCAGCGGCAACCGAGGUUUGACAGUUGGUGUAAAUAUGAUAUGUAGGGUAUUCUACCUAGCUCAACUGUAUUACAUUGUUGUUGAAAACAAUUACAUUACGCCAAUGUGUUUUCAAAUGAUUUGAUAUGAAACUGCUUUAUAAUGGCUCUCAACUAUAUUUUUUUAAAAUGUUAUGUUUUGUUUUGAUAUCUCUGUGUACCAGUACUUUUAUAUUGACCCCCUUCCCUUCCAGGUUUGGAGGCACAGUCUAGCUGUCCAGAAAAUUAGUAGAUUCCUCAGACAGAUUUGUAGAGUCACUUGUGAGCCUUCUAUAUUUCGGAAGGCCUGAUAUCUGGCAGUUUCAUUUAUCAUUUAUUAGUUUUGGAUCUACUGGGGGAAUUGUCCCAGUUUUCAGAGAGAUAUUUAUUUCAACCAUGUAGUAGAGAUUUCGCAGACGUUAUAGAGAUGUCGUGUUGAGAUUGUGGGACAUUAUUCCCAGUUAUUGAUUUCAUAAGAUUCUUGACCAUGUUUUCGUAAUAUUGUUUAUCUUCCGUAUUUCUUUUAUGAUAUGAGUUAUGUGCAUGAUUAUCAGACAAAUAGGGGUGUUUUGGGCCUUCAUGGUUCGGAAUGAUCGUCAUGGCCAGGGCCCCGAUUCGGGUCGCGAAAAACUUUGUAUCAGAGCACGGUUCAUGGUCCCAGGGUGUCUGCAAAAUCAUGUCAGGUAGAGUCUUAUUUAUGGGUGUGUAGCGCGCCACACUUAUAAGCAGGAGGCUACUUAGCGUUUAGGAAUGUCUCUCUUUCUUCAUGUUCCAGUUCGUGCAAUAGAGUCAAAAUGUUCCUCUUUCAUACUGUCAUUCAUGCUAUGGUGUCACCCAUAUGAAGGUAAAUUCAUCCCAAAUUCUUUCCUUACUCAGAUGUUCUCAGACAUGUCCCAUUAUUGGGGUGAUUCAAGUGCAAAAAGCUUAUAAUCUCUAUGAUAUAGUCUUUUUCGAUUAUGUCAUAUAAGAAAAAAAAAUUGUGCAAAGACUCGAGAGGAGUUUGUUGGUGCUUCAAUAUGUGUUGAUUCUGAUGUAAACAUUAAUCCUGAUGGAAUCAUGCUUUCCAGCUUAAGGUAUUAAGUGCAUCUAGUCCCUCCGAAAAAUCUUGAUACAGAUGUGGAUGGUGUAUAGCAGAAUGUUGGAACUGUAUUUCCACCAGAAUAGUAGCAUAAGUUAAAGUGUUGUUGUCAUGACCUAUCGGUAAUGAAAUUAGACCAAGAAGUUAGUGAUGUGAAUUCACAAAGUUAGAAGUCAGAGUGAGGGUGAUUUUUGGUGUAAAUGAAUAUUUCAGUUGAAUAACCGAUAUUUGAGGAUGAUUUACCCCUUUAUAGUGAUAAACUAAUGUGGUAGCUAGUAGCACAUGUGGAUGGUAUGGUAGUCCAUGGGGGAAGUAUUUUACUCAGAUUUUAAUUUAUACAAAGUAAGAUGUGUAUUCUUAGACCAUUAAAUAUUGUGUCAAAUUCCUAUCUCUUGUAAUAUGUAAUCUUCUUAUCAUGGUAUUUUUGAAAAAAAAAAAUUAAAGUAUAGUGAAGCCGUGUGGGGCUCUAUCGAUUCACUAGCAUAGUUGCCUUGUCAUCCAUCUCAUUUUCUUGUUCAAAAUACAAAACCAAAUUCUAGUGAAGCCGUGUGAGGCCUAUUUCGAUUCACUAGCAACUUGUUGUCCAGCUUGUUGUUCUUUUGUUGGUUUAAUAUAUGUAUGGCUGAAUCUGCUUGCAUGAGAUGGAGUUGGUAAAGAGGUAAUUUAUCCUUGUGAGUUAGUUUAGUAUAAGGUAGAGAAGGAGUUGUUAGUCAGGGUGAUUUGUUGGUUGCUUGAAUGUGAAAAAUGGCUAUAUUAGCGAGUAAGUUAUGAUUAUAGACUCAUGGUUGUUUGAGGAAUUUGAAGACAGUCUAAAUGUAUGCUUGAGUAAGUAAGUAUGAGGUGAGAAAUCCUCAUAAGUAGAUAAGAUCGUAUGGGGUUAUAAUAUCAGAUUAAGGUUGAUCAUGUCUAUUAUGUGACCUUACCCCUUGACUUUUUUCUAUGAGAAGGUAUGUAGCAAAUUAUGAGGUAUUUGGAUAGUACUACAUGAUUGGCACAGAUUUUUUGAAGUUUUGCAGGAGUUCUCGAAACUAUUUUCUAAAAAAUUAAGAGAUUUAGCAGCAUACUUCAACAGAACCGUGAAACAAUCACAAAUGCCAGAUAUUAAAAAACUAUAACAAUCGAAACUAACUGCUAGAGCUAUUAAACGCCCAGUGUUGGAACAACUAAUAAUUGACAUCAACCAAUUUCUAGAGGAAUAAGUUCAACAUUAAAAAUCACUUAGAAAAAUGGUAAUUCAUGCUAAUACUAUAAAGAAAUAGCCUACCUAAAUGUUGAGGAAUAUAAAACAACAAAUCAUUCAACACAGCUAUUAUUUUAAGGUACAUUCUAGAACUAUGUGAAUUACUGAGUUUAGAAUAUUGAAAGAGUUGGUCCUUGAAAAUAAUAUCAAUUAUCAUUCUCCAAUGGUCCUUGCAAUCAUGUUACAAAUUCUAGAUCAAUAAAAGCAAAAGAAGCUACUUGCCUAUCUCCGAAGAGAGAUUUGCAGUCCCCCCAUUUCGAUAAUGCAAUAAUUUUCUACAACCACAGCAAACAAAUAGAUUAUGGUUUAAAGGAAAUAUCAUGGGAUCCCAUCCAUUGCAAUGUGAGAGAUUGUAAACUGUUUAAAAUACCUUUGAUGCAUGAAGAAGUUCAUAGAACUCAUCUGCUAGACGUUUACGCUUUUUAGCUUCUUUUUCUUCUUUCUCCCUAGCCCUUUCCAGUAACUCCUCAAAGACAAACUAUGCAGAUGAAAUAUGCACAUUCAAUACUCAAUGACCUGGCAAGCCCUACCGCGUAGAAAUAAUGUUUAGAAAGGAAGUAUGGAAUAAAAUUAAGUAUAAUCCAUGUAUGUCCUCUUACUCCUUCGUUUGGAAGGCAAGGGGAAUAUAAUUUAAGAGUAUUAUUACCAUCUUUUGAAGUAACUCCUCACGUUAUAAUCUUUGAUAAAAUGCUUUACAAAAGUUUUGAGCUAUUGAAAGUAAACUAAAAGCCUUAAGAGACCCAACCAUCUAAGCAUAAUUCUUCGACAAGAUACCCCUUGCAAUUCCCUCUUCCCACAUACAUAGAUUAUACGCCAUGACCAUAAAUAACCUCCAAAAUCCAAAUGAUAUAUGAAGAAUAUCCUCAUUACAAAAAUAGCAAAUGAUUGUUGAUAUCAUCCAGUUAUGCUGUUAAACCAGUUUCGUAGAGUAAAACUCUUAUCCACUAACCGUAAAAAGAGAAAACUACAAGGCAUAGUGCUUUGACUUAAGUAACUUAAGAUAUGUGCGGUAGGUUUAAUAUUAAACACCGUCGUCCAGGAAAUAAAAACUAAGGAAAAUGGUACCAAAACUGAAGAAUUGGAAGCAAAAGCUAACACCAAAUAUUUGAUCAAUGUGGUCCUCGUCUUUAUUCUUGAAGGUUUUAGGCUUACUUGUUAACUGACACACUGCUCUUCUAUUAACUCCAUUACAAGAAGAUCCAAAUUUAAUGUGGGAUAGGUUAUGGUUAAUACUAAAGAAAAAUGCCACUAACCACAGUUGACUACCUAUGAGUUGCCAAUUUAGCAAUCACAAACUGACCAAUUUCCAGUGAAACAUAACAUGGAAGUACUACUAAUGCUUUUGCACUCAAUCCACUCAUCUUAUGCAGGACCUGUCCCAAAGACAAAAAGGGGACAAAUACAUAGAAAUCCAUUUUGUGAAUGGGGUACUUCAAUUUUCACAACAUUCAACUCAACAUUGGUCGAUGUGAAACAGUAUCCAGUGCUUAGCCAUAAUUUGACUUUUAAGUUGGUAUCUGACAUUGGUGGAGAGCUAAUAUACUUGGCGAUUGCAACCUUAAAAUCAUCAAGCGUCCAGGCUGAUGUCAAUCCAAUCUGAAAGUAGAGACGGCUCAGCCAAAAUAUUAGGUACUAAUCGAAGCACAACAGAGGUUAAAAUGGAGAGUGGUGAUUACCUCGGCCAUCCUAACUGAAUCUUUAAUUUGUGACUUGUCAUCAAGAUACUGAAGCAACAUACAAGUAACACAAAUUCAGAAUGCUUAUCAGUAAAAAAAAUAGGAUACCAAAUGGAGCCUUGUCCAUGCAUUUGAGUUCCAUAAAGUCUAUAAAUUACAAGCAGUGUGAUGGGGAUGAAAUUUCUUUCAUGAAUACCAACAUUUCUCCACUUGUUCAAAGUCAUCUACAAUAUCACAAGNNNNNNNNNNNNNNNNNNNNNNNNNNNNNNNNNNNNNNNNNNNNNNNNNNNNNNNNNNNNNNNNNNNNNNNNNNNNNNNNNNNNNNNNNNNNNNAAAAAAGUGAAUAAAUAAAAAUGGAUAGCAUCUCUGUUAACAGCGCUUUCGUUAUAUUUACUUAAUAAGAAUCAUUUAUGCAUACAAACAGUAAUACAAACUUUAAAGAUAGAAGUUGACAUCUUUAUUUUACAAGGGAAAAAGAAAAGAUUUUCAGCAUCGGAGUUUAUGUAUAACUCUCACUAUCCCAUAGCAAGAGCCUAACUCAAGAAAACAUUACCAAAUUCAAUCAUUGAAUAAGAGUACGAACAGGAUCAUUACCAUGCUAGGAUAGCAGGUAAACGCCCUCUUUCAUCAAGAAUGGAGAUAAAUGCUAAUAACAUUUGAUCAUUCAACUUCAAUUCUUUUCAGAAAGGGCAGAGGAUGAAACAAUAUAUCGUUUAGUUAGUCGCAAGUGUGCAUUACGGCGAAAAAAAUCACAGUGAGGGAGAUGCAACUUUAUUUAGAGAAACAAAGAUUCUCUCAGGCACUUUUUCCAAGGCUAAUCUUUUCUAAGCCUUUACUUUCAUUACAUCUCAACUACCUCUUCAGAGGCGAAUUCUGGCACUAAGUUUAUUUAGUCCAAUUUAUAUGGUUGACAACACAAUAUAUUUUGAAUUGGGUUUUAAGUUGCACGAUAUCAUCCGAAGUGAAAUCAAAAUUGGGGUGUGGUACAAAAGGACAAAACAUGGUCGAAACUUGACCAGACAAACUACUUUCAGGUCUCAUUUAUUUGCACUUAUUGGAUUUAUGAACCUGUUCAAACCUCAAACCAUUAAGUGCACUUGUUUUUAUUAGGAUUUUAGCUCUUAAUAGGCCUGAGUAGGUCUUAAUCAUUCAGAUGUGGAACCAAGACUAAAUAUCAUUUACAGAUAUUCUUGGGUAGGAAAAAAUUCACCACCACUCUAUCCACAAUCACCUGUCACCACCACCAACCACUUCCACCAUCACAACCAACAUCACUACCAACUACACUGCUAGCCGCUACCACACCUACCACUUCCAUUAUUCUAAUUAUAUCCACCGCCAACUAGGGGUGUUCACGGUUUGGUUUUUAACCAAACUGAACCGCGAUCCAAACCAAAUUGAUUAAGAAAACCUAUAUUUGGUUAGGUUUGGUUUGGAUUUGAAUUUUAAAAAAUCGAUACUAAUUUGGUUUAGUUUGGUUUGGUUUUACUCUAAAAUAACCAAACCGAACCGAUAUACAUAGAUAUUAUAAUUAUUUAUAUGUUUUUCAUAAAUGUAAUCUAAAUAUUUGUUGCAUUUUAUAUUUUAAUCAUGAUUUAACUUUAGUCGUAACACAUUCAUUCAUAUGUCUUCAUCUAGUUGACAAUACAUUAUGAAAUUCUAAAUGAAUUUCAUAUUUUGAAUGACAAAUGAUACUAAUUGUGAAAAUAAUAUCUUGUUAUAUAUUGAAAUUUACUGCUGAAAUUCAUUAGAUUAUACACAAUCACUAAUUUUAACUUUCUUUUGAACCUUGUUGAGCAAGAAGUUUAUGUGUUCACCUUUUGGGGGUAUAUCAUAUCAUUCUAUUAAAUAUAGUUUUUAAAUAUUUUUCUAAAAGCGUUCAUAUGGUGUUAUCAUGGCUUUGCCGAAGUAUAACACUCAAUUGACAUCAUAGUUUCAAGAUUGAGCUACAACACUCGGUUGACAUCUCAUAUGUUAGAUUGGAUUUGUUUUUUUAAAAUUUUCAACUUUUAUCAUUAACUAAAGUUAUAAACCAAAAAACCCGAAUCAAACCGAACUAAACCAACAAGAACCAAACCGAUGGUUAUUUUUUUUUUUUUGGUUUGGUUUGGUUUUAGAAAUUUAAAAACCAAUUAAGUUGGUUUGGUUAUGGUUUUGACCAAUAACCGACCCAUAUCGACCCAUAAAUACCCCUACCGCCAACGCCGCCACCAUCAACUCCUACCAGUCGACCCCUACUACCAACCAACUCAUCUAUCAGAACUAGCACUACCACUAAUAACCACCAACACAUCAUCAACUUCCACACAUCGCUAACAACCACUAACACAUCAUCAACUUCCACACAUUCUGCGAACACCAUCACCACCACUGUCACCAGCAUCACCACCUCUACCACCACCAUCCGCUACACUCGCUACAGUAUCUAUACUAACAACCAUUCCACCAUCACAGCUAACAGCGUCUCCAACGACCACCAACACAUCAUCAACCAUCAUGCAUACAGUUUUCCGUCACCACGAUCAACACCUCCAACUACUAACAUUAACCAACUUCACAUCACAACCACCACCACCACUACCAAUCGCCAAUAUCAUGAUAGUUACUACAAUGCCAACUAUCUCUACUAUCACAACUAUCAACACCAACGUUGCUAAUCACUAACAUCAAUUAAUUUAUUAGAACAACCACCACCAUUAAAAACCAUCUCCACUAUCACUAACAAACAUAAAUGUUUCUUUUUUUCAUCAAAUAAUAAUAUAAUUGCAUUAAAUUUAAAAAAAUUCUAAUAUAUAAUUAUAUUAUAUUUAGAAAUAAAUAAAUUUUGCACAUUCAGAUAUUGAGAAACACUCAACCUUAAUCAUUUAGUUUUCAGAUCUAGAGACAAUAUCUUAAUCAUUCAGAUGUACAUUCAAAAUUAUUCAAAUAUCUGAAUAUUAAUAAAAACAAAUGCAGUCUUAGCUGAAACACAAUGGUGUGGUUGUGUGAUACUUUAAAGGAGUCCUCGAAAGUCAAAGAAACUACGUGAAAACAUGGAAGUUUGAUGAUCACUUCUCAGAGUUGUUCUGAUCGAGAAACUAUAACAAUUAAGGAAAUAUAACCAUUAACAGCAUUCAAUGGAGGAGAAGUCAAUUACAAUUAUCCGUGAAGUAGAAUUUAAUACAGCUUGACUAUAUUGAAAGAAUCAUCUAUAUCUAUACUACAUUAAAAGCAUGGAACCCCUAACUUAAAAGUUUACGACAAUACCAUUCCUGUCAGCCUAAUUACCUACUAUCUAGUAAAAAAAAAAGAGGAAACUAAUUGGCAUAAAGAGAAACAAUGCAGAUGUUUAAUAGGAACAACCGGUCAUUGUUUUUAUCUGAACAAAAUAUGUGUUAUUUAAAAAAAAAAAAAGCAAGUAGAGGGGUAACUCUCAAAUCUCAAUCUCAUGCUUUUAUCCUACCAAGUAUGUUCUAUUUUUUAAUGCACUACAACAACAACAACAAACCCAGUAUAUUCCCACAUAGUAAUGCACUAACUUCCCUUUUUACCUAAUGAAUUGAACUUUUUAGUGAGAAUCUAAAUGAUUUUCAAACUUUGUUUAACAUCUGAUUCAUUAAGAUGUAUUAACAGGUUGAGUCUUUAAAAAAAACACUUAAUGGGUUGAUAUCUUAACCAUUCAAAUUCAGACCUUCAUUAAGUGAAAGCAAAUGAAAAGGGAUUGUAGUGUAAAGUCUAUAAAUAUGGCUUAGUGUAACAAAUGCAGUUGACACAAUUCAAUACUCCUAUUAGCAACCUAUUUCACCUGUUUCUCCAGCUCAUCCAUAACAUCUGUAAAUAAGUCUUUUGUUGUUGAUCCUGAAGUAUUUGAUGAGACAGCUAGAUAUGCAGCAAAAUCUUUAAUCUACAAACACAAAAUAAAGAAGGAAAUUAUUGGAAAAAAAAUUUAAAAAGACGAAAAGGGAACUCAUGAAGGUAAUCACUUACUGAACACAAGAAAGAAAAACUAACUUUGAUGCAAUAAUCACGCCAGUUAAUUUUUGCAUUAAGUAUUCCCGCAGGAACAUGCUCUUCCAUCAGUUUUUGAAACUCAUCACGAUUUUUACGUUCAGCUUUCCUCAAUUUUUCCUAUAUGAAUCAACAGUGUAUGCCCGGUGAGAAAGAGAUAAAUCAAAGUCUCCAAACAUAAAUUUAAUUUUAACCCCCGAGUCUAACAAGCAAUAUACCAUCCGCCAUUUCCUUUGCUCCUCCUCUUCGCUCUCUAAAUCACGUAUGUAUUCCUAAAACAGAAAAGGUUGCAACAUAACUUUAAAACUGAGGCGUACAAAUGAGAUGUUUGGAGAAAGUUAUUUAUGAUGUAUUAGAAAAAUGAGUAGUACCUGGAAAAUCUCCAAGCGUUCGAUUCUCUCAAGGCGGGAGCAUCUUUCAUCAGUUUCAAAGCAGUCCUGAACUUUCCGCCACUGGCUACUGGCCUGAACAAAAGAAGUCAGCAACAAUAGAACUAUGAAAGUUCUAUCUCCUGGAAAUAGAAAAAAAUAAUCUAGGAACUAAUGCUAAAUCCACUAGAACAAAUACCAUAAUAAAGUCACAAGAUUUUAAAAAUUCUAAGUACUCCACUCUAUUGCACUUCUGCUCCUCUAAUGCCUUCGCAUGCUCCUAAUAAAAUCCAGUACAAAGUAAAAAAAAAAAAAAAUUUCUCUAUAAAGAAGACAAUAUUUAAAAAGUGACUUUGACUACACUUGCAUGAAUGUAUUGAAAAACUUUUUCUAUUUUACGACGGAGGGGGGAGAGGAAGAAGCAUACCAUAGUUUCAAGUUUCAAGAAAAAUUACAUACAAUACAUGGAAGUCUGUUUAAAUUGGAAUUCAAUGGUGAACAAAUUUAAAUGUUAUACCUUUGAGAAGCCAUUAAAAAUGUAUUCAAAGAACACAAGAUUUUAAGUUGAAUAUCUACAACAUUCCUUCUUUCUACUCUUUAAGCAAAACAAAAAAAGGGAACAAACUAAAUGACAUCCUAUAAAGGAAAGGAGUGGAAUGACUGUUGUUAAUCAAGUGGACCAGCGUCUAACUCAACUUUAAAAACUAGGUCAGGUGGUGAAGAUUGUCCAAGAUCAUAUAAGGAAACUACAGUACAUACACCUUACUAGUGUGGGAUUCUCAUACAUUAAUCCCACACCAUGACUAGACAUUUGUAGCAUCAGUUAACCUAGGUUGGCUAACAUCUAAUAGUCUAACAUUAAUAUAGAUCUACCUCUAAUACCAUGUUUAAGAAAUUGGACCUUGUUUCUAUCUCAAAUGAAAGGCUAACUUAAUUUGUGAGGAGCCAAAGACCAUAUAAGGAAACUACAGUCCGCACACUUAGUUUUUAACAUAUAGAAGCUUACAAGAAAGUUCUGCAAAAGGAGCUUCACCUUUUUCUCAAGUUCCUCCACAUAAUCUUCAAAAAGGUCCUCACGGUCUUUAGCUUGCUCAACAGCUUUAAAACGUUCAUCAUGUUCGAAUAUAGAGAUUGCCUUACUGAAUAAUCAAUAGCAAAUAGUUAGUGGAUCAAAUGGAACUUACACAAGUAAUGGAUCAACUUCAAGGUACCAAACACAUACAAACAAUGACCAAGAUUAGAAAACAAGAAGCAGACAACUUAACAUUACAAGUGAAAGACAAACCUCCAUCUUGACGAUGGUGAUAGCUCCUUGCAAUCCUGUAAGAUUGAGAACAACGGACAUUGUUGUGAAAAAUACCACUUAUUCUUUUGAACAGGUCAAAUACCAGUCUCUAACACAUCAUGAAUAUUAUGAUAAUAUCUUUUUAUUUUUGAAACUGGUAAUGUGAAUAUCACGAUAUAUCAAAUGAAAGACACCACAAAAGAAAAUUUCACUUACUUCUAACAUUAUCCUGAAAUCUUCCCAAGCUUUUUUCUGCUUAACACGCCUCUCUUCAGCUUCCAGUGUUUUCUUUUGGCUCAGAUACUGAUACUGGAACAGACACACAACUUCAAAAUGAUCACUAUAGACCUUGGGUGUGUUUGAUAUGAAGGAAAAUGUUUUCCUAGAAAACAAGUUGGUUUCUUACUUGUUUUCUUAUGUUUGGUUGAUGAAAGGAAAACAUUUUUCAGAAAAUGUUUUCUAGUGUUUGGUUGGUGAAUAAAAAAAUAUUUUUCAAAAAAUACAUUUGAGAGUUGUAUAAACAUUUCAACUUAAGAGUGAGAUUGAAAGAGAGUUUUGGAAAAUGUUUUUCCUACUUUUUGAAGGGAAUUAAUUUUCCUUAUAUUUAAGGAAAAUAAGUUGAUUUGGAAAACAUUUUCCAAAAUAUUUAAGUCAACCGAACAUGAAACAAUUGUAUAUCAAACAAAAUCCAUCUUUUUGCAAUACGGUAUGCUGAAACAUUGAAGCAGCAAUUAACCCAUUCCAAUGCCGACAUGGAGAGAUACCUCAUUAAAAGCUUGCUUCCGCUCACAAAGGGAUUUUAGAGCACCAUAUCUCCAGUCAUUAAUUACUGAGCUCAUGCCUUGACAAAUACAAUUCAUGUCAAAUGAUCUCCCUCAAUUGUUUGGUACGCACAAAACAGUCAAGUAAUAAACCUGAUCCCACGUGCAAUCAGACCUAAUAUUUACAGAUUCCGGAAGAGUUUUGAAUGCACUCUUUGCCUCCUAAAUAAAUCAGAUACUUAAAAUAGAAAUAAGAGAAAUUUCGAGAACAUACAUUAAAUGGGACAAAAAGCAAUAAUCAACUAUACCGUUUUGCUCUUAUAAACUAAUGGUCCCAGCUCGACUAUUUUCUCAUCUGAUGGAGUAGCACCUCUAAUUUCAGUUACUGCAGCAUCUUUCUUGACAUUCUGCAUUUUAGGCACAACAUCAAGCGCAAAGGACAAAAGCAAACCUCAUUGGAAUUUCGAGCAUAUUCUUCACCUGUUAGCAGUUGACUAACAACUGCACUACAAAAUUGUUAGAUCAACAUCCAGCAUAACAGCUACGAAAAGCUUUCUUGGUGUUUUAACCAGUAACCAGUAGUAAUUAACUAAUCGCAUAAGUAUUUCAGAAGGACAAAGUACCUCUCCAUUCUUUGAAGAAAAUCCAUCACCAUACACUACUGCAUCUUGAGUUGUAGUAGUCUCAGAACUAUACAAAAAUUGAAUUCCAAAUAAGAAGCAACACAAACCAGAGGAAAAUUUAUAACAUACAAAUCUGAAAACAUACACCGGUGGCGCGACAGAAUUUCCCAAGGUUACUACUAUUCCAAUUUUCUCCGAAUUAGCAACAGCUGGCGAAUCAGGUUCUGAAGAAUUCUUCAUUUCGACAGUUUCAAUCAUUGGAGAAGAAACCUUACCAAAUAAACUUGAUGAUUCUGAAGCCAUAAUAGUUGGUAAGUUAGCAGCUGGUGACACAGCAAUUGGGCUUGAUUUAGCACCGUGUGCCGAGACUAAUGAACCAUCUGCACCCGGGGAUGAUGUUUUAAUAACAGAAAUAGAUCCAAAAUUAGAAGCGUGCGAAAUGGUGUCUUUUCACGAGCCAACUGUGAAUUUAUAAAUAAUUGAACUUUAUGAGAAUAGAGUAUCCAAGAAAACAGAAUAUUGCCCUUUCUUAUCAUGCUAGCAACUGUGAAUGCAUAAAGAUUUUAUGAGAACUAGAGCAUCCAAGAAAACAGAAUAUUUUCCCUUCUUAUCAUGAUAUUUAAAGCACAAAACACGGAAUAUUUUUCCUUCUUAUCAUGCUAUUUAAAGCACAGAACAAUCCCUUCUUAUCAUGCUAUUUAUAGAACGGAACAAACUCAUAUUGGAUAUAAAUAUAACAUCACCUUGACUUCAUCAGGCAUUAACCUUGUUGUAGUAAUACCUACAGAAAACAAACAAAGCAAUCAGCAUUAUGCACAAGUAACACACAAAAGUACCCACUGUAGAAGAACAAUUGGAAAGAGGCCAAGAAAAUAUAUAAGUUACACACUUUCUUCCCUCAGGACUUGUAAAUUCUCUCUAAUGAGUUGAUGCAUUUGUCCUCUGUCCCAAUGAAAAUAGCAUGAAAGUAGGUCAAGUCAAAAAACAGAACAUAAAUAGUACCCUGAGAGUAGAAAUCAGUCACUUCCAGCAGUACAAUACUUGAUGGAAGUGUUAAAAUAUGAAUGAUAUAAUGUCCCACAUGGAAAAGGACUAGAAUGUACUAUGUAGAAUAUAACUACAAGCAGGGUGGAAACAUUGCCAAGCUGCGGCUGAGCUACAGCUAUCCAAGGGUGAUCUUCUGUCGUUUCUGAGUAUUUUUAAUGAACACCCAUGCUACAAAAAACAAGACUGAGUGUGACAGUAAGGGUGUUCAAAUCCUGCACUAAGGUUCUAAGUUCCAUGCUCAACACAGCCCCCCAUAAUUUUUUUUCCAUUUGGACACGUUUGAAACUCAUAAACUACAGUUAUGCUUUUUUUCGAUGAAUCAAUUUCUGAACAUGUGUUUUUUGUCCCAAUUAGCUCUUGCAAAAGAGCUAGUAACUAGCAUGCCAUGUAUAAGAAUUUUGUUUAAAUAAACUUACAGGUAAAUUUAUAAAGUGGUUAUUAUACUAGCUAUCUUGCAUGGGGCAGAGUGUUUGGCUGGUCAAGAGCUCACAUGUUCGAAAGAUAAACGUAGCAGAAAUGAGGAUGUUGAGAUUGGUGUGUGGGCAUACUAGGAGAGAUAGAAUAAGGAACAGAGAUAUGCGAGAAAAAGUGGUAGUGCUCUUUGUGGUGGACAAUUGACAAGAAUACUAGAGGGUUGGGGAUAAAGAACCUAAAAAUUCAACAUAAGGCUCUCAUGAUGAAAUGGUUGUGGAAAUAUGCAAACAAUAACUAGCUGCUAUGGAGGAAAGUGAUUGGGGCUAAACAUCCUGAAGAAGAUAGAUGGAUGACAAAAGAAGUGACCACACCAUAUGGGAUUAGCCUCUAGAGAUCUAUUAGAUCUAUUAGACACUAGUGGAAUGAAGUUAAAAGCAACUCAAAGGUUAAAGUGAUGGAUGGAAACAAGACUAGGUUCUGGAAGGAUAAUUGACAUGAGGAUGGGAAUACGAAAGUGAUUUUUCCAGAUUCUACAACUUGGUAUUGUUUCGAUAGAGGACUAUAGCAGAAUUAUGGACACCACAUGGGUGGAACUUCAAUUUCAGAAGGCAACUUAAUGACCGGGAGGUAAUGAGAGUAGUUGAAUUGUUUAAUACCGUGGACUUAUUCAAUGGACUGCAGACAGUGAAGGACGUACUAUGGUGGAUGGGAAAUGAAAAACGAAUGUUCACUGUCAACAAAGCCUACAAGAUAAUGAACCAAAUAAAUAAAUCACCUGAAUCCAAGAUGGCCAUGGAAGCAAAUAUGGAAAAGUAGGAUACCUCACACAGUGUCGUGCUUUGUCUUUGUCUGGUUACUGACCAAGGAAGUAGUUCUUACACAAGAUAAGGUCAUGAAGAAAGGGAAAACCUUGUGCUCCAGAUGUUUCCCCUGUGGAGAAACUUUAGAGACGGUUAACCAUGUAUUUCUACAUUGUAAGUACACCCAACAACUUUGGAGAAUCGUCUUAAGACUAAAAGGAAUUUCCAUGACAAUGCCUAGGAAAGUAUCCGAGACUUUAAUGUGCUGGGAGAAGUAGGUAUACAUGCGAAGGACAAAAGUAGAUGGAGAAUUAUCCCUGGUGCUACAUGGUGGGCUAUAUGGAAAGAAAGGAAUUCUAGAUGUUUUGAGAGCAUAGAGAAUAGUGUGUAGAAGGUUAAACUCAACUAUAUUUUGCUUUUAUGUUUUUGGUGUAAUCAACUAUACUCUAAUGAUACUGCCUCGAUAAUUGAUGUUCUAGACUAAAUUUAGAUAUAGAACAGUCGAUUUAGGAGUACUCUUGUAUAUAAAGGUUUCAGUACAACCCAUGUACUGUGUGAUAUAAUACAAAGUUACCAAGUUCAAAAAAAAAAAAGAUAAUAAUUUUUAAAGUACUAAAAGUUUAUAAAAUAACAAAUAAAGCAAUUAAAUCUGAGUUCAAAUUGGGUGGGUUGGGUUAUGACCCGCAUUUUAGAGCAUUUCAAUCCAACCCAUUUCAGUCCAAGUAGCUUUAGGGUGGGUUAAUAACCCACCCAUUUAUUAACUCAGACCUCUUUGAUCCAGCCAACCCCGCCCAUUUGACACCUUUAGUUUAAUAGAAGUAAAGUGGAGCAUGCUAGAACACAUACCAGAUCUAUUGAGUUGAAGUAAAGUGGACUAUCAAAGGACACACAACAAUCUGUUGAGCUGUUGGAUUAGAGGGGAUUAGCAAGAGUUAGAAGAAAUGGGGGAGAACAAUCCUUCCUUAUAUUUGGUGGACUGUAUGGAGCAAGAAAAUUUGAAGGUAUUUUGAAGAUAAAUAUAAUUCAAUUCAGAAAGUUAAAUGGAAUAGCAUUGUAGAUUUUUGUUUUUUGUUUAAGGGACAAUGUGUAUAGGAUACCUAACAGGUAGUAGAUCUCUUCAAAUCCUCGCAUUAUUUUCAUUAUUUUUCAUUUCUUUUGGACUGCUAGCAUAACCUUAACGCUAACUUAUACAAAGUAAUAUCUCCAAAAAAAAACUGUUUAUCUCAAAAAGAAAAGAAUAAAAAUGCUCAAACUUCCUUACAACUCCAGUUGUUGGUUCCUUAAUACUUGUCCCUCACAACCAACCAAACUUUCUUUGAUAACCGUCGUGUUUGGGCCAGCUUGCACCUUGACUAGUUACACCAGGUACUGCUACCUCCCACCAGCACAGAUACUGGGUAACUCUGUCGAUCAAGGCUUGGACAGAUGGUAAGAAAUCACCUAGUGUUUUUAUCUCUGUUGGAAAUUAAACCUGAGACCUCAUGGUUCUCAAUCUACUUCAUUAACCAUUAGGUCACACUCUUGGGUGCAAGUGUGCAACUAGCAAAAUUAUUAUUCUAUAAACUAGAAUGAGAAGUGUGGACCACAAUAUUAUAUCAAGUUUCCUCUCUCCAUAUCGCCAUAGAGUUACAAUAACAUUACAUCAAUCAGGAAGUAAAUAAAAUUAUUUAAAAUAGACCAAAUAUAAUCCUUCCGUGUAUGCUUAAACACAUUUUUUCAGAACAAUAGUGUUAAAUAUAAAAUAUUUUAGAACUAUAUUGGAAAUAAAAGGUCAAUGUAAAUCCCAAAUGAAGCCUACAUAGUAUAGUAAGAUCAAGGAAAUCUGCUCGCUAAACAAACAUUCAACAGAAAUCACAUAUACUUAGGAAAGAAAAAGUGGUUCUACGAAGCUUCAUAGAAAAAGAAUUGUGUACUUCUUUUUUCAUUGAUAAGCACAGGAAACUGGAUAAAACUACCCAUAAAAAUCUCGAUGAAACGAGACCUCACCUCCAUUUCUGUCAUCAGCUCUCAAGGUUUCUCCCAGGUAGAGAUUCUUGUUCUUCUAUUAUAAUAGUAUCUAAAAAUCAAUUAAAGAAUUGUAAGAAUGUUAUUAAUUGGUUGGAGUAAUAAAGCCAUAGGAAAUAUGACAACAUUAGCAACCAUAAUUGGCUUACUGUUCAUCAAAAGAUGCUGAAAGUAGCAAUACCUACUAGCAUUUAGCCACAUGUAAAAUAUGUAUGAUGAUAGAUAAAUAGGGUCAAAAUGAAGUUAUCGGUAGAGGUGUAUCAAGUUCUGCCGAUGAACAGUCAGGUAAAAUUUGGUAGCGGUGAACGGCAGCCCAUAUGAUUACUUUGACAAAGAGGACUGAAACAAAGGGGCCUUUUAUCUCCAGUGCUAAUGGAAGCAGAAUGAUGUACAAAGCACUAGAUGUGGAUACUUGAGGGAUUUCUUGGCAGUGAUGGGGGCCAACAUAUCCACCACUUGUUCAUAGACAAGACAUUAAGUGUUUCUGAUGCAGACAUUAAACUAUUCAUAUAAGUAACCUAUGUGAAUAUAAUCCAAAAGAAAGAAUUACGGAAAGCCAAAUCGGCAUGCUCUUUUUUCUGUCUGGAGAACACAAAGUGGUAAAAAGAUUGGAUCUGAAUGAAAAUGAUAUUUUUACAGAGCUUCUUUUCUUGUGUACCGCGGUUUUACACCUUUUUUGUUCACUGGAAUCUUAAUUUUCUUACUAAAAACUAUCAUAGAAUUCAAAUGUUGACUCUCUCAGUCAACACACACCCAUUAACUUAAGCAUGUUACUUGUUGACAAUAUUUAUGCAAAACGGGUACAAUAAAACACAUUGAAUUCUCACCAGAACAACCAAGGGAGCUGCUAAUUCUCCAGUCUUCUGCACAAUUGUCUCAGAAUUCACAUUAUGAUUACUUAUUGGCAUCCAGGGUUGUACCCCUGAUGGAAACCUAUGAUCAUUUAUCUGUGUCUGAUACUGGAAGCUAGAAGAAUCUGCAUUUACCUGCUGUUAAAGACGAUAACAAAAUGUAUUUCAUCAAUAUAUGAAUGGAACAUCGGAAACCAAUUGACAAUAACCACAAAAGAUCUUCCCAAGGCCUUACAUUAUAUGAAGAAGAAAGAGGUAAAUUUGGGUCACCAGAACCAGGCAUGUGGUUAUUUAACAUCGGAAGAUUUCCCUGAAAAUCAUGGGGAGUAGGUGGUCCCUGAGGCAUACUAUGCAUUCCUACUACAGGUCUACCAGUAACCUGUUGCAUAGGUUGAGGAAAUUGGAUUUGAGAAGGUUGAGACAUCGCAACAUUUGCAUGUCCAAGUGGAAAAAAUUGUUGAGAUGACUCGGAACCAUAAGGUUGUGCCUGCUGGGAUGGAAGCAUAGGCUGGAAUUGCUAAAGAUGUGGGGAAAAUAGUUAUCAUAAUGUCUCUGCAUUCAAAAGUCAUUUAUUCCUCCCCCAAGCCUCCACAACUUUACCUGCAGUGACAUGGAUGGAAUUGCACCAGGAGCAGGACCAGCCAGAGGAGGUAUAAGAGGCUUCUCAACCAAUAUCCAUGCAAGGAAGAACAGAUGAAAUCAGAAUAUAGCUACUUUUCAAUCAUAUUUAGAAAGCUUGAAUCCAUGCGCAACUCCCUAAAUUAAUUUGAAGGACAAGGCAGAAUUUUGAAGCCAAACCACAUAGUAACAUGAAACCCUUUUCUUCAUCUAAUAAAUAGAAAGCUUGAAAUGAGAAUAAAGAGAGAUAACAAAUAGAUGACCUAUCACAGCGUUAGACGAGAAUGGACAAAAUGAUAAGCAUCUUUACCUUAUGGCUUGGGUUCAACAGCUACUGAUGGCCUAAGUAUCUUUUCUUCGGGUGUAAAGAAGCACGUCUGUUAAUGCAAAGCUAUGAUCAUGGAACUGAAACGUGAGGUAUGAGUAGGUAUUAGGAUAACCGAAAAAUACUUAGACCGGAAUAGGUUGAGCCUCACUCUUCCCUUCUAAUGUUCUAUGUCAUACUGACAUCACUACUAGAAUCUGAAAGACUGACUUGGUUAUUCUCUCUGUCAUCUCCCCCUUAGCUUCAAGCCAUCAAAUUAAGUUUGGGAGAUCCCUUACUAGACUCUAAACUAAAGUACACUCACUGCACUCUGGGUCUGGAAAACUAUUAUACACACAUAUCAUGGAACUUAACCUGAAUGAAUACACCUGAAAGUGGAAAACCCACUGUUAAUACUACCUUCUGAGAUACACUUUAUCAUUCUAUAGACCCAGUAGUCAUCAUAUAAUACUUGCAUACUUACUAACUUCAGGUCUUCAUGGGUAUCCCCAUAGUCAGAGUGCACAGCCUCUAGUGCUUUAACUCUUAUUUCUAUUAGUUCAACCUUUAAAAACUCAAACUUAGAAUCUAGCACUCAACAUGGAUAUCACCAAGCCUUUAAUGAAUCAUACCACUUCCGACACAGACUACCAAUAUCGCGACUCCAAACUUGCAUCUCUCUACUAUGAGAAUCAAGAUCAUAUAAAAAGGCUUAACACUAUCAAUCAAAUCUCCUUAACUUGGAUAUUUAGAAAACCAUAUACCAUCUAACUAGUCUUUCUCCACCUAGCAACUCAACGGUACCACUCGUCACACAAAACGUGUAAUAGUCUUAGAAAAUACCGCAACCCCUUACGCAUGAUUCUCACUUGGAUACCAUGAAAUAGACAUCAAGAAACACUAGUACACUAGAACUUCCAAACAACAAAUAAUUGAUCUUGACCUUACGGUCUUCCUUAUCAUAACUCAUUAGCACGUACUAUUUUAACACAUCAAGCCUACUAAUUUUUUCCCACAAAAUAUACAUCAUUACUCUCAUGCCACUAUUUUUAUCACCACAUUCUACAUUAAAUUUAAGCAUAUAGUCCUGUACCAAUCAUCUAUCACUAUUGAAAAAUGCAACAUAAUAUGCUAGUCCAUAAAAUUUGGGACAUACUAUACAAGCGCCUCAAAAAUCACUACUUACCUUCUCACAAGUAAUACUAGUUUACAAUUACCGACGAAAAGAAGGUCAAGGGGUAAAGUUGCAUAAUAGACAUGAUCAACCUUAAUCUUAUAUUAUAACCCCAUACAAUCUUUUCUACUUAUACGGAUUUCUCACCUCAUACUUACUUACCCAAACAUACAUUUAGACUACCUUCAAAUUCCACAAACAACCAUGAGUCUAUACUUACAACUUACUGGCUAAUAUAGCCAUUUUCACACUUUAAGCAAUCGAGAAAUCACCCUAACUAACAACUCCUUCUCUACCUUCUACUAAACUAACACACAAGGACAAAUCACCUCUUUCAAUCUCAUGCAAACUGAUUCAGCUAUAUAUAUAUAUAUAUAUAUAUAUAUUAAACUAACACAAGAACAACAAGUUGGACAACAAGUUGCUAGUGAAUCGAAAUAGGCCUCACACGGCUUCACUAGACUUUACUUUUGUAUUUUUAACAAGAAAAUGAGAUGAAUGACAAGUCAACUAUGCUAGUGAAUCGAAAGAUCCCCACAGGGCAAGAUUAAUACGCAAUAUCCAAUGAACUAAGAAUACACAUCUUACUCUGUAUAAAUAAAAUAGAGUCAAACACUUCCUCCACGGACUACCAUACCAUCCACACAUGCUACUAGUUACCAUAUUAGUCUAUCACCAUAAGGGGGUAAAUCAUUCUCGAACAUCGGUUAUUCAACUAAAAUAUUCAUUUACACAAAAGUCACCCUCGCUCUGACUUCUAACUUUGUGACUUCACAUCACCAACUUCUUGGCCAAAUUUCACUACCAAUAGGUCCUGAUAACAACACUUUAACGCAUACUACUAUUCAGGUGGAAAUAUAGUUCCAACAUUCUACUACACAUCAUCCCCCCUUAAUCAAGACAUUUGUAAUAUAAAUUUGAAGGGGACUAAAUGCAAUUAAUACCUCAAGCCGAAAAGCACGAUUCCACCAGGAUCAAUGUUUACAUCGGAAUCAAUACACAUUAAAGUACUAACGAACUCUUCUCAAGUCCUUGCACAGAUUUUAACUCUUAUAUGGUUCAAUUAGAAAGGAACAUACCAUUUAGAUUCUAAACUUCUGCACUUGAAUCACCUCAAUAAUGAGACAUAUCUGAGGACAUUAGAGUAAGGAAAGAAUUUGGGAUGACUUUUUUUUUACUUUCGUAUGGGCGACACCAUAGCACGAAUUAGAGUAUGAAAGAGGAACAUUCUGACUCUAUUGCAUGAAGUAGAACAUGAAGAAAGAGAGACAUUCCUAAACGCCUAGUAUCCUCCUACUUAUGAGUAUGGCGUGCUACACACCCAUAAAUAAGACUCUACCCGAUGCAAUUUCACAGACACCCUAGGCCCAUGAACUGUGCUUUGAUACCAAGUUUGUCAUGACCUGAACUGGGGCUCUGACCGUGACGAGCAUUCCGAACCAUGAAGGCCCGAAACACCCCUAUCUAUCUGGCAAUCAUGCACAUAAUUCAUAUGAUAAUAAGAUAUGUAGAAGAUACACAAUAUUAUGAAAAACAUGGUCAUAAAUCAAAUGAAAUCAACAAAGGGGAAAUGAUGUCCCACAACAUAUAUCGACAUCUGAACAAUCGUCUAUGAAAUCUCUAAAACAUGACUGAAAUAAAUUACUGUCUGAAAACUGGGACAAGGCCCCCAGUAGACCCAAAACUACUAAAUGAUAAAUGAAUUGACAGACAUCAGGCCUUCCAAAAUAUAGAAGUCUCACCACUUGAUUCUGCAAAUCUGUCGGAAGAGAUCUACUGGUUAUUUGGACCCCUAAACUAUGCCUCCAAACCUGGGAGGGAAAGUGUUCAAUACAAAAGUACUAGUACGCAGAGAAACCAAAAACAAAAUAUAAUGUUUUUUCCAAAUAUAGGUGAGAGCUAUUAUAAAGCAGUUCCAUAUCAAAUCAUUUGAAAACACAUGGGCAUAAGUUAGGGUGUGCGUCGCACACCUUAUGGCAUAAGUUAGGGUGUGCGUCGCACACCUUAUGCUGUACGACAUACUCCACUUUGUAAAGCCAUAACUUCUUCCUCGGGUGUCGGAAUUUCGCAAAAUUGGUAUCGUUGGAAAGAUAAUUUGAAUACCUUUCAUUUGAUAUAUAGUAGGCACUGUAAUUCAAUAUAUACAAAGAUUAAUGGUCGAUUGAAGUUAACCUAAGUUUCAACGUUCACUAAAAUUCGAACGAUAGGAAAACUUUCAACUUGUCCUUGAGCUUGGGGACCUUUAUGAUCUCAAUUCAUGCUAAAAUAGGUUUCUACACUACAUAAUUUAUUAACACACUAAACUUGCAUUGGAUUUAUGGCUUUUGGAACCUUUACGUGAAGAAAAUGACGAUUUUCGUUCUCGUCCGAAAUGCGGGGUGUUACAAAAUUUUGUUAGAAAAUGGAAAAUACAACAAUAUGGAGGACAUUUUAGCUGCACCGUACUCCCAAUAUACACCGUCCUCCUAAUACACUAAACUGAACAUUAAAAGUACUAAUGCAUUUCUUACCUGCACCGUACUCCAAAUACACUAAACUGAACAUUAAAAGUACUAAUGCAUUUCUUACCUGUUGGUGUGUAGCAUUCAAAAGUUUUAUUGUCUUUUGUCGGAAGAUAGCCACAACGACGGUUUCAAGAAUGAAGAUUAAACUUAAAAGAUGCCAUGCUCGCUCUGGAGUUCCUGCUACAUGAUACAACAUGACUCUACAAUGUUGAAGCCACUUUCCUAAUCCUUGGAGUCUAAGUUCUUACGAGAAUGAAAUAUGAUUAGGUAACACAUCCUCAACAUUAUUUGAAUUAGUGACAGGAGGGUUACUGUCGCGAUGUUCUCGAUCAGCGUCCAAACUACUUCUCUGCAACAAGGCUAGAAUCUUUGGGUCUAAUCCAUUCUCCUUCAGCAUCACUGCAAAAUUAGGAUCAAGCCCUUUAUCUUGCAAUAAAUUAGCUAAUUCACGAUCAGUGUGUCUUCCUUUCUGCUUUAAUAUAGAUGUAAUCCUGGGAUCACUCAACUUUUCUUGAAAUGCUAGUGCCAAAUUCAAGUCGAGUAUCUGUUGGUUUGCAGAAGUGGAUUUACUAGAAUCACCACCUUGGCUUUCAAGUCCACUGCUAGAACAAACAACCAAUGAAAUAUUAUGCUCUAAAUUUCUAUCAACAUAUGAGGAUCCUACUUCAGGCUCUUGAACAACUGAACGACAGGAACUACUACGUAGAGCUAGACUUGGUCUUCCACUGUCUAUGCUCUUAUCACUAUUAAUCCCCUCAAUGUUAUUCCAGGUACUGCCAUCACCAGUGCAAGGCAUAGUUGCAUUACCAAGAUGACCAGCAUCAGCACUUCUAAUGCGUUUGACACUUGAGCCACACCCCUCAGAAGAGCUUACGGAGCUAUUUUGGUCUUUUCUGCGGAAACCUUCUCUACGGCGGAUAACUAUACUCUGCAAGGCAUCUUGUUAGCUGCUAAUGGGUCUGUAACUGAUAAAUGCUGUGAAACAGCAGCACCCAACAGCACAGAUGCUACAACUACAUAACUGAUACAACAAAAUUGUUGCAAUAAAAGAUUAGAAUAUUUUUUUUUGAUAACAAAAGAUUAGAAGUUUCUAUUCAACAAAUAAUAUUAAAAGGGAUGCAUAUGCCACAAGUAUAAGAAGAUUUGAUUAUGGAAGAAAAUGAAUUAGCAUAGGUUAACAACAAACCAGUAAUGAACUCCAAAACAGACCAGGAACACCCGAGAUGUUCCGACAACAAUAAGUAUGAUGACUCAGCUUUUCAAAAGCUUAAAACCAUACAAGAAAGCUUCCAAGUUCCAAUCUAAUUGAAUGAAAAGAUAGUGAAUUCAUUACUUACCACAAAGAAAUAAGAAAUUAUUUCACAAUACGAGUCAGAAAAGGAGACAGAUAUAUGUAGGAAAUUAACUACCAAGGAUUAUCAUGGCAGCUGAUGUUGUAGCCCCAAGCCAGUUUGAUUCCUUUGUUGUCAGACCAUACAGGAUCGAAUACACAAGAAGUACUACAAGUGAACCAAUAUAUAGAAGUCCAAGAUUGAGAGCCCUGCAGAGCCCAAGUUCAAAGUGAAGAAGAGUAAAUUAUAGACUUCAGAGAAAAUGUUGAAAAGAUAGUGCAGAAAAUAUGAUGAGCAGUAUAAAUGAGAACCCACUGAACACAUAAUAUAACAAGGUGACUUUAUAAUCUAAAGCAGAAUUUAAAUUAAUUUGCUUAGCAGUGAGAUUUUAAGAUCUACUGUUUUUACUGGACUACUGGAGAGUGUGUUUUGUUCUCUCAGAGUUAGUAUUCCUUUUAUUCAAAUAGAUUUGAGUUACACCCAUUGUUUAGCGUUCUUUGGCUCUUAAUUUUAAAAGUCUGUUAGUUGAGAACAUUUUGGCCUAUCUUCAUAUCUUCCAUAUCUUAUAAAAAAAAUUAUGUUCCAUCCAGAAAAAGAGUUGUCAUAUUAGUCAUCCCUGUCCUUUAUAUAGAGCUCUUCCCAUCUUUGUUCAAAUCCCUAGCCAACAAGAAUGAUGUCCCCUUCAAAAAGUAUUACAUCUUACUCUGUCUUUCUAUUGCCUAUAAACAGUCUAGCACAUCAAUGAUGUCUUCUGCUAGAGCUAAUCAUCAUGUUUACACCAAAAAUAAAGAAGUGCUAAACUAUUCAAGUUGAUCUUCUGGACAUCCUCAAAACAACCCUUGUUUCUUUCUGUCCAAACUGUCCACCAUAUACAUGUUGAACAAUUUUCCAUCUCUCCUCCUUUAUUACAUUUACAUCCCCAUUCAUGCUGCUUAGUACUUUUUUAAUGCCACUAGGUUCUACCCACCUGAUCCCCUUCAGGUUGAAAACAUUCUCUACAGUUGCUCUGUCCGUUUCCAAUGUAAGAAAGAUGGUUGAUUAUGUAAAGAAAGGAUCUUGGGCCUAACUCAACCCUAAAAGCUAGCACAUGAGGGGAGGAUUGCUCAAGUCCAUAUAAUAAGACCGACAGUUAACUCCCCAACAAUGUAGGACUUUCACCUACUCUAACACCACCUUCACGCCCAGGCCCAAUAAGAGCGUGGUACGAGAGCUCAAACGUGGAUGGACCUGUUGUUUGAGAAGGAAUAUUAACUGCUGUUUGUAUGCAAGAGAGAAUAGAUAAGAUGUUUUUACUGAAUACAUUGGGUCUAUCAGCACAUACAGGUUCAUGCAUUAUGCCAUUAGGUUUUGCAGCAGUUCCAAUAUUUUCAGCAGCACCACAAGUUGAAUUUUGAUGCACUGCAGUAAGGAAAGAAAACUUAAACAUUAACUUGAGACAACAACACAAGCUUCUCAAAUGCAGGUUCUAGCAAGAACAAAGAUAACAAGCAAAUAGAAGGCAAUGAAGAUAAGGAUAAGUCUAGAUGAGCUUGGGGACAGGCUCCAAACUGAACACAGUGCUCGUUAUUCUUGUUGUAGAUAAGAUCAGACAACUUAUUAUUUUGACGUUAAGAGUUUCUUGUAGAGGAUGCUGAAUCCAUUUUGCAACUUUGGAGGCCUUGUAAAGCACAGAGAGGCUCAUUUUUGUAAAGAAAAUACUGCCCACAUAGUAUCUAUGCUAUCAUUUUUAAAAAAAUAUGGUGCUUGCUGGUUUUACCAAUAUCUUGUAUGCUUGUACCUUCCAAUGCAACCUCCCGGCGAAAAAACUAACCACCAAUAGGCAUCUUUUAGCAUAGAAGAUUCUAAGACUGUCUUACUAGGAAUUAGGUAAGUACAAGUUCUUGAAGGGAAAUUGUUUGCAUCAUUGAAGAUCAGAAAGCCAGGUAUAUAGGAGAUUAGACAUUUUAAAGAAAAAAUAACAGGUUUAAUAUCAGGAAAGACAUCAAAAACUCUUAUUUACAUAUAAAUGAUGGAUCCCAAAUAACUUCAGAAGUUACACACAAAAGGAAAAUGGUACAGAAACCAAUUCCACCUUCAUAAUAACUAUGUCUGCUUGAUGUAAGCAUAAACAUUAUCAAGAAAGACAUCAAAGACUCUCAUUGACAUAUAAAUAAUGGAACACAAAUAACUUCAGAAGUUACACGCAAAAGGAAAAUGGUACAGAAACCAAUUCCACCUUCAUAAUAAUUGUGUCUGCUUGAUAUAAGUAUAAACAUAAAGAACAUACUGACAUACCAAAAAAUUAUCAAAAUGUUCUACAAUGUAGUGCUAAUUUUUUUUGUUUUUUGAAAUUAAACGCAGUGUAUAGUUUAAAAAUGUGCAAACAACAUUUAAUGUGGCACGUGAAGCAUCAGGUACUGGAAGGAAAAUUUAAAACAUGGUGGAGGCAAAUGAAUCAAAUAUACUAAGACAAAGAAGGCAUUUGAUUGCAGAUCAAAUGGAAGAGUCUGCCAACCGACCAGAUUUAGGAGCAGCUCUGGUCCAUGCACCAUUUUGAGGUAAAUUUAUAUGGUUAAAAAUUUGGAUGUUACUUAAUAUAUGCACAAACUGAACAUGAACUGCCCGGUUAGACAAGUGCUUUUUGUAGCUACCCAGUGACAACCUUAGUGAAAGAAUACAUCAAUGAGAAGUUAACUCAGUAAGCUUAAUGAGCUUUCCCCUGUAAGGAAUGAAAGUGUGGAUGACCCGACAUCAAAUAUACGAUUGUUAUUAUACACACAAUCUCUAUACAAUAGCAACAACAUACCCGAUGUAUAUUCGGGCAGAAUAUAUGGAAACCAUACCUCUACCUCAAAGACGAGAAGAAAACGGUAGCACCAAUCCUCACUAAAUACUUCAUAAGAUAAAAAAACAGCCAAUACUUACAAAACCAAAUGAAGCAAAAGAAGUUCAUUUUCUUGAUCACCAGCAAGUAAAAGAAAUGUUUACAAUUGGAGAUUUAAAAAGGUUGCAAAAGAAAGAAGCAAACUUUCUAUUUAACAAGUGUCAAAGUGGGGAAAGAAUAAGAGUAAAACCAAUAAGUAUACGAGAAGUCUGAACACUAUAGUCAAUGAACAAAAUAUGAAUUGUAGUUUGGAAAUUUAGUAUCCAUCACUCCAACAGAGAAUCAGGACUUGCAAGAAGGUUGAAAGGUUUGCCUAUCGAGUUUUUCAAGAUUGUGAUUUGACCCUUUUUCAUAAGAAAGUCUUCAUCGAGGGUGUCUACCUUUCUUUUCAACAUGUUGAUCUCAUAAUUCAACAACAUGUUCAUCUCACUGUAGCUCUUAACUUCCUCCCACAUGAAAUCCCUCUCCUGAAAUACUUUUGGUAGUAUCGCCUUUACAACGCAAAGUUCCUUCAUGCAUUCUUGCAAAUCAUUGGUGAGCUAGUUGAUAUUUUCAUCCCUUUUUAGCACCUGUGAGAAUCAACCGUAAACCAUGAAAAACAAAAAAGACACAAAGAUCACCAAUAACAUUUCAUCAGAAAUUCAAAACAAACUCAUAGCCUAGAAGUUCAACCAAAUCAUGAAUCCUUUUUAACUAUUAAAAUUCAUAGUAGAUAACUCCUGAGCUUGUCCAAGAAUUAAGUAAGAUGAACGAGCAAAGUUACCAAAACCCCUUCGGGUAACUUUACCACAUCAGAGCAUAAUCAGAUCAAUGGAUUUGACGAUAUCACAAAGUUUAUCAUGUUCUUGGUUGGUUCAAGUGAUGACACAUUAAGGCGAUCAGAAAUUUCACAGAAGACUACCACAUGCCAGCAACUCAUGUAUACAAGUUCAUAAAGAAAUCUGUGAACUUUAGAUGGAACAAAGAUGAACCUAAAAUCAAAUAGAAGUAGAAAGCUAAUGCAGAGAGAGUAACAUGCGAACAGGCUAUCAUAUAUGAAGACAGGGUAUCCAAAGUUGAAAAAUAAAAACUAUUCAGUUGCAACGAGAUAUUAACAUUGCCUGCUUACCUGAAGUUUGAGAUAUUUCAACUUGGGUGUGGCAUAAGAAAGAGCAUCCAGUUUAUUUUGCACUUAACAUUGGAGAAUGUCGUUACCUCUAACUGUUAUGGCUAGAUUAGCCUGAAGUUGCUUUAUGUCCAUCUCCUCGGAAUAGAGCUUCUCCCUUAGCACAGUUGUCAGCAAAGUCUCUGAUUUAAGCCCUUUAACCUUUUCCUGGUAGUUUUCUCAGACAUAAUCUCUAUUGUCUUGAGAUACUCGAUAUUCCACUUGUAACUAAGUGAGAUGCUGCCGUAGAUUUUAAUUCUCCUCUGACACUUGCUCUAUUCUCUUAGACAAAUCUUCAAGGUGUUUCUCCGAAAAUGAUAUCUUGAUUCUAUUAUCUACUUCCUUCUCAUUAAAUGAAGAGACUUCCCUUUGUAGAGACACAUUCUGCUCUGCAAGCUCCCUCGCCCUUUCACGGGUCUAUGUUGUUCAAUUUGGUAUUUCUCAAGUUUUAGAGACCAAUUGUUGGAUCUUCUAUCCAACUUCUUUUCCAAUACUGAUUUUAACUCAUUCUUUUCUGUCUCCAAUCUUCGUGUCCGUGAAUCUAGUUCUGCCUGUAAUAUGCUGGCUUCUUGCUUAGCAGAAGCCCUUUCAGCAACUUGAUUCCAUAGCAUGCUUGAAACUUCAGAAGCCAUUUGUACCUUCUCCUUUGUCAAUCUUGUAAUAGUCCGAAUCAAUAAUGGAACGCUAAGGUCUCUGCCAUGAAGAAACAUUUGUUAUUACUUUGGACAAGCAAAUGCAAAUUAAAACAUCAGUUUAAGUGUGAAAAAGGAAGCUAAAGCAAAAUGAUAUGCAUACCGGCUUGAAUCACGACUAGAUUUCUUAGGAUGAACUUUCUUACUGUGACCAUGGGGAGAUUUGCUCAGAUCCAUGAAAUUCUUUUUUCCUAACCCACUGUCAUAGAAGGAUUCGGAUGAUAAUGAAACACUCCUCCAAGAAGAAACUUCCUUGGACUUUAAUGGUGGUGAAGGGGUCUUGUUUUCAUCAUUAGUUGAUGAUCGAAAAAAGAAGAAGUUGUUCUUCAUCAUCUCUAUGUAUGGAGACUGUACAUGAAUCAAACUAGUGUCCAUGAGAUUUCAAAGGGCAAAGCAAAACACUCAUAAAUAGCCACUCACAAAUCAUUAUCCAUUCAUGAAAAUACUGCAAGCUAACUAAAUACUUAUGAGACAAAGCAAAACAUCUCUCUUUCUACAUGCUUCUUCUUCAACAACAACAUACGUAACCCCUACCUUGGCAAGUAGAAAAUUUGUUUCUCAUAAAUCCUCGGCAAGGAAAGCAAAANNNNNNNNNNNNNNNNNNNNNNNNNNNNNNNNNNNNNNNNNNNNNNNNNNNNNNNNNNNNNAUACAACAAGUAGAAAAGAAAAAUAUAUACUAAUACUACUACCAGAAGAGAUAUGACGUGAAACUAUUUACUAAUAGUCUUCUACUGAAAAUUAAUAAAAUACCCCAUAAACAAAUAGCACAAGAACAAUUCAAAGAACUUAUCAAAUCCUUCUGAUAAAACAAAUAAUCAUGGUAAAUAAUCAAAAAAUAAGAGAAAUUACUGAAUCAAAGAGUUGAAAGAGUAAGAGCCGGCAAAAUGUUGUCAUAAUUUGUACGAUUCUUGUCAUUUUUUCUUGAAAUGUAAAAAUAGCAAAAGACUAGAAUUCUGUGUCUUUCAUUCAUCAUCGUACAAUGCAUAUAUACAACUAACAAGGAUCUGUAAAUUUCAAGUAAUAUUUACAAGGAUCUGUAAAAUUCAAGUAAAUAUUUACAAGGAUCUGUAUAUGGCAAGUGAAUAUUUACAAGGAUCCAGAAAUAUGGCAAGUGAAUAUUUAUAUACUCAUAAUGAAAAACUUAAGAAAUACCUAUGAGAGAGAGAAGAAAAGUGUAACAAAUAUUUUGUGUUAUUCAAUAGCUAUAAAUAGCCAUAUGAGAUCAAAUUUUCCAUAUAAUAGAAAUAAAAUUAAAACUAUAAAUUAAAUUUUUCAAAUUAGCACACAAAUUAACUUAAAUUAUGAAAUUUAAGAUAUUUAUUUUUUCAAAAUUUAACUUUUUCAUAUAAACAUCACUGAAUUGAUAUAAACAAUAUUUUGAAAUGUGAUAAAUUAAUUAAAUAACCCAAAAAUAUUGUAAUAUUGUAUUUNNNNNNNNNNNNNNNNNNNNNNNNNNNNNNNNNNNNNNNNNNNNNNNNNNNNNNNNNNNNNNNNNNNNNNNNNNNNNNNNACUUACCAUUUAAAAAUUGUUUCAUUUGAAUUAAUAAGAUCAUAGUAGAUUGUACAAAAUCAGUUAAUAAAUGAUAUAUAUUUCAAUUAAAUAAAUAAAGUACAAUAUAAUUGUAAUAAGAAUACACAAUCAACUAAUUAAUUUCACUUAAUUAGAUUAAAUUUUAUGAUCAUAAUAUAUAGACUAAAGUUCCUUAAAUUUAAUGUUGUAAAUUUCAAAAUAUAUUUAUGGCUNNNNNNNNNNNNNNNNNNNNNNNNNNNNNNNNNNNNNNNNNNNNNNNNNNNNNNNNNNNNNNNNNNNNNNNNNNNNNNNNNNNNNNNNNNNNNNNNNNNNNNNNNNNNNNNNNNNNNNNNNNNNNNNNNNNNNNNNNNNNNNNNNNNNNNNNNNNNNNNNNNNNNNNNNNNNNNNNNNNNNNNNNNNNNNNNNNNNNNNNNNNNNNNNNNNNNNNNNNNNNNNNNNNNNNNNNNNNNNNNNNNNNNNNNNNNNNNNNNNNNNNNNNNNNNNNNNNNNNNNNNNNNNNNNNNNNNNNNNNNNNNNNNNNNNNNNNNNNNNNNNNNNNNNNNNNNNNNNNNNNNNNNNNNNNNNNNNNNNNNNNNNNNNNNNNNNNNNNNNNNNNNNNNNNNNNNNNNNNNNNNNNNNNNNNNNNNNNNNNNNNNNNNNNNNNNNNNNNNNNNNNNNNNNNNNNNNNNNNNNNNNNNNNNNNNNNNNNNNNNNNNNNNNNNNNNNNNNNNNNNNNNNNNNNNNNNNNNNNNNNNNNNNNNNNNNNNNNNNNNNNNNNNNNNNNNNNNNNNNNNNNNNNNNNNNNNNNNNNNNNNNNNNNNNNNNNNNNNNNNNNNNNNNNNNNNNNNNNNNNNNNNNNNNNNNNNNNNNNNNNNNNNNNNNNNNNNNNNNNNNNNNNNNNNNNNNNNNNNNNNNNNNNNNNNNNNNNNNNNNNNNNNNNNNNNNNNNNNNNNNNNNNNNNNNNNNNNNNNNNNNNNNNNNNNNNNNNNNNNNNNNNNNNNNNNNNNNNNNNNNNNNNNNNNNNNNNNNNNNNNNNNNNNNNNNNNNNNNNNNNNNNNNNNNNNNNNNNNNNNNNNNNNNNNNNNNNNNNNNNNNNNNNNNNNNNNNNNNNNNNNNNNNNNNNNNNNNNNNNNNNNNNNNNNNNNNNNNNNNNNNNNNNNNNNNNNNNNNNNNNNNNNNNNNNNNNNNNNNNNNNNNNNNNNNNUAUUUAUUUACCAUAAAUCUGUCCUAAUUUUAUAUCUUGAUUGUAGUUAAUUAAUCUACAAUUACAUAAAGGUCUCAAAUAUGAAAACAAUUGAUAUUAAUUACCUUUAUAAUUUUGGCAAUUCAAUCCCAUGAAUUUCUCAUGUUUUUUAUAGAUUGAUUAUAUUAAAUUUAUUUCAAUUACCUUUUUAAUUUUGGUAAGAAUUUAAAAAAGGUAACGAUUAUUUUUUUUCCUAAUUACUGAUUUAUUUCUCAAAAAGUUCUUAUAAAUUCAUAAUUUGAUUAUAGUCAAUUGAUUAUUUAAUUAUCUUUAUAAUUUGCUAAAAGCUCAAAUAAGGUAACAAUUAUUUUUUUCUAAAUUAUGGAUUUUCUUAUAUUCAAUCUUUUAUUGUUUUACUAUAAUAGUUCAAAUUUAAUUGUUUUGAGGGAUGACAACUUUUUGUGUCUAAAUCUUUUUUAAUACAUAGGAAAUGCUAAAGGCAUACAAUAAUCUCCUUUCUUUUUAUAAUCCAAACUUACCAUUUACAAAUUAUUUCAUUUGAAUUAAUAAGAUCAUAGUAGCUUGUACAAAAUCAAUUAAUUAAUUAUAUGUAUUUUGAUAUAAAAAAAAAUGAUGUACGACAUAAUUGUAAUAAAAUUACACAAUCAACGAAUUAAUUUCAAUUAAUUAGAAUCAAUUUUAUAAUCAUAAUAUAUAGACUCAAGUUCCUUANNNNNNNNNNNNNNNNNNNNNNNNNNNNNNNNNNNNNNNNNNNNNNNNNNNNNNNNNNNNNNNNNNNNNNNNNNNNNNNNNNNNNNNNNNNNNNNNNNNNNNNNNNNNNNNNNNNNNNNNNNNNNNNNNNNNNNNNNNNNNNNNNNNNNNNNNNNNNNNNNNNNNNNNNNNNNNNNNNNNNNNNNNNNNNNNNNNNNNNNNNNNNNNNNNNNNNNNNNNNNNNNNNNNNNNNNNNNNNNNNNNNNNNNNNNNNNNNNNNNNNNNNNNNNNNNNNNNNNNNNNNNNNNNNNNNNNNNNNNNNNNNNNNNNNNNNNNNNNNNNNNNNNNNNNNNNNNNNNNNNNNNNNNNNNNNNNNNNNNNNNNNNNNNNNNNNNNNNNNNNNNNNNNNNNNNNNNNNNNNNNNNNNNNNCAUGAAUUUCACAUAUUCUUAUAGUUUGGUUAUAUCAAAUUUAUAUUAAUUACCUUUAUAAUUUUGGGAAGAAUUUUAAAAAGGUAACAAUUAGUUUUUUUUUCCAAUUACUGAUUUAUUUCUCAAAAAUUUCUUAUCAAUUUACAAUUUGAUCAUUUAAUUAUCUUUACAAUUAGCUAAAAGCUCAAAUAAGGUGACAAUUAUUUCUUUUCUUAGUUACGGAUUUUCUUAUAUUCAAUCUUUCAUUGUUUCACUAAAAUAGUUCAAAUUUAAUUGUUUUGAGGCAUGACAUCUUUUUGUCUAUAAAUCUUUUUUAAUACAUAAGAAAUGCUAAAGUCAUACAAUAAUCACCUUUAUUUUUAUAAUCCAAACUUAUCAUUUAAAAAUCAUUUCAUUUGAAUUAAUAAAAUCAUAGUAUAUUGCACAAAAUCAAUAAAUUAAUUAUAUGUAUUUUUAUUAAAUAAAUUAUAUACGAAAUUGUUGUGAUAAAACUAUACAAUCAAGUAAUUAAUUUCAAUUAAUUAGAAUCAAUUUUAUGAUCAUAAUAUAUAGACUCAAGUUCCUUAAAUUUAAUGUUGUAUGUAAAUUUUAAAAUAUAUUUAUAGCUAAAGUAAUAGUCAACGUUCGUUGUUUUUUUUACCAAUAUAUGCAUAUCAAUUACGAAUCUUUCCAUAUAUUUUAUUAUUAAAGUAGUUGUCAAUAUUAACUAAUUUCUAGUUCAAUUUAAUCUAAUUAAUUUGAUAGCAAUAAAAUUAUUAUUAAUAUUAUAUAUUUAUUUACCAUAAGUCUGUCCUAAUUUUGUAGCUUGAUUAUAUUUAAUUAAUCUACAAUUGUAUAAAGGGCUCAAAUAUGAAAAUAAUUGAUAUUAAUUACCUUCAUAAUUUUGGAAAUUCAAUCCCAUGAAUAUCUCAUUUUUUUAUAGAUUGAUUACAUUAAAUUGAUAUCAAUUACCUUUUCAAUUUUGGAAAGAAUUUUAAAAAGGUAACAAUUAUUUAUUUUCCUAAUUACUAAUUUAUUUUUCAAAUAUUUCUUAUAAAUUUAUAAUUUAAUUAUAGUCAAUUAAUUAUUAUUAUCUUUAUAAUUUGCUAAAAACUCAAAUAAGGUAACAAUUAUUUUUUUCCUAAUUACGGAUUUUCUUAUAUUCAUUCAUUUAUUUGUUUACAAAAAUAGGUCAAACUUAAUUAUUUUGAGGGAUGACACCUUUUUUUAAUAUUUUUUAUUCAAAAUGAUUGCAAUAUUUUCUAUAUAAAUUGAUCCGUUACUAUUUAUUAAUUGGUUAUUCUCUUAAAUAAUUUUUUCUUGUAAUAUUUCUUUUAAUCAAUUGUAAUGAAAUAAUUCAUAUUUAUUUUCUUAUAAUACUAUCAUUAAAAACAUAUGAAAUGUAAUUUAUUAAAUUCUUAGUUUUAGGCUAGACUAUCCUCCUUUAUUAUAUAGAUAGAUAAUUUCAACAAAAUUAAUUAGAGUAUUUUCUUAUAAAAAUAAUAUAAAAUUUUAUUUUAUAAAAAUAAUAUAAAAUAUGGUAUAUUAAUAAUAUUUGCAUUAAUUAUGUUUCUAUUUUCUUACAUAUUAUUUGAUUCUACGCAUUAAAAAUAACAUUGAAUCAAUGGUGAAAGUGGAGGGACUUCUUUCUUUAUUGGGGUUUUUCUUUUUGGGAAAGCUGACACUUUCUUGACUACCAACCACCCAACACAAAGCUGACACUUCUUGGUAGAUUGGCUAUUUUUUCAUACGGUACUAAUUUAUAUGCAUUUUCUUUGAUAUUUGUUAUAUUGUUAGUUUUAUUUUGCGUAUCGUAUUAGUUUAUAUGCAUUUAUUUUUUAUGUUUGGUAUGUUAUUAUGAUCCUAAGCUAGGAGUCUAUCGGAAACAUCCUCUCUACUUCACCUGAGUACUGAUAUGAUCUACAUAUACUAACCUCCCCAGACCCCACUAUCUGGAAAUACACUGAUUUUUGUUAUUGCUGUUGUUGUUUCUUAUACAGUAUUUGAUUCAAAGUAUUAAAAAUAACACGAAUUACAUAAUUUUUUUUUACAUAAUACCCCAACUUUAAGCAUGUUAAUGCAUGCAUUAGAUCCAUUGUAUUACUAAUGUCAUAAAUUUUGAAGUAUUAGUAAUACACGCCUCAAUACACAAUAGAGUAUAUUACUAAUUUUUGCAUUAGUUAUACAUAAGAUAAAAAGAUAUAUAUCAAACAAGGGACUACUAAUACACAUUAAAUUAAUGGAUGCAUUAAUUUUUACGUAAUACAUUCCAUGCUUUAUCACAGAUUUGAUUCCUUGUCUUAAGCUGGGAGUCUAUCGGAAAUAGCCUUUCUACUUCUUCGGAGGUAGUGAUAUGAACUACGUACAUCUUACCCUCUUUAGACCCCACUAUGUGGAAAUACACUGAAUUUAUUGUUGUUGUUGUUAUUAAUUUUUGAAUACACUCUAUCAAAAGACUCUAUGCUUCUCAUUUAAUUAUACCUUUAGCUCCUUUUUAAUUAUGAUAAUUGCUCUCUGACUCCACCUUGCUUUUUAAAAAUAUAAAUAAAUAGCAAUGAAUUUAAUUUUGCUCAUUACUCUACUAAUUGUAGUAAUGUUAGGUGAAUUCAUCAACUUAAAAUUAGAGUACAUUCACUCAAGCUACAUGUUAUAGAUAUAGUUCAAAAAAGGAAUUAUACGUUUGACAUAAUACAUAAAUGUGUUUUCAACUUGACAUCAUUAGCAAAUAUUUAUAUAUUUUAAUUUUGAAUGUUGCACAAAUAAAUACUUCGACUAUCAUAUAAAGUUAAAAUAAAUAUAUAUAUAUGUGAGUCUUGUAUCGCAAUUUGUCAUGCAAAAUGUGUGCAUCUCAUACAAUUUGUCAAGUAAUUAAAGCGUUUGUGUCUAGGGGAGUGCAUCGGUCGGUUCGGUUGGGUUUUACAUAUUAUCAUUAGAUUUAUCGAUUUUCGGUUUUUAAAUAUGCUAAACCAAUAACCAAACCAAUAAAAUAUUUUUUUUUGGUUCUUAGUCCUUAACGAUUUGGUUUUGGGUUUAACCGAUAAGAAAAUACUCAUAAAAUAGAAAUAGUAGUAACUAACAUGUAAAAAAUGAAUCUUAGUUGCAACAAAAAUCCUACAUGAAGUGUUUGAAUUUACAAAAAUCUUCAAGUUUGAACUAAAUGUUGUUAGGAGAAAUUCAGAGUUUAUAUAAUUGAAAUAACAGGUUUGUUAAUUUGUAGAAAUAAAAUAUAAAUAUAUAAUAAUUCAUAUUAUAUAUGUAUAUGCAUAUGUUUUGAAAAGGUGUUAAUUUGAGAGCAUGAAUUAUAUGGAAUCCCUCUCUUGAUGUGAAUUUGUUUUAAAUGUUCAUAUGAUGUAAAUUGUUUGAAAACAUCUUGAAAAGCAUGACAUGAAAUGUUUUGAGAAUUUAUAUGAUUUUGACUUGAAAACUAGAGGGCUAUUUGUGUUGAAACAUGUUGAAUACAAUGGUUGAAUGAGAAGAAUGAUGUGAUAUUGAUGGCUUGGAAGUCGGUUAUGAUGAUACCCUACAGAAUAUGAUUUGUGAUUAAAUCGGAUGAAAUUUGAAUGCAUUGAUUUUACAUGAGAUAGGUGGAUAUCCGAAGAAGGCAUUUGAGUAUAAGGGCUCAUCGCUAGAAAUCGUGUUUGCCGACAUGGGAAUUUGGUACCCUGCUUUGUGAUCUUGCGUACCUGACUUUAUGUCAUUCCCAAUUUGGGACUAUGGUUAGGAGCCCUGCUUUGUGAUCUUGUGCACUACCAUUGGGUCGAGAUAUCCUGUUGUGUGAUCUUGUGUGUCUUCCCCUCACUUAUACUCUAAUCUUGGCGGCAACCGAGGUUUGACAGUUGGUGUAAAUAUGAUAUGUAGGGUAUUCCACCUAGCUCAGCAGGAUUAUAUUGUUGUUGAAAACAAUUAUAUUAUGCCCAUGUGUUUUCAAAUGAUUUGAUAUGAAACUGCUUUAUAAUGGCUCUCAACUAUAUUUUGUAAAACUAUUAUGUUUUGUUUUGAUAUCUCUGCGUACCAGUACUUCUGAAUUGAACCCCUUUCCUCCCGGGUACAAAGGCACAGUCUAGGGGUCCAGAAAAUCAGUAGAUUCCUCAAACAGAUUUACAGAGUCACUUGGUGAGCCUUCUAUUUUUUGGAAGGCCUGAUAUUUGGAUCUACUGGAGGCCUUGUCCCAGUUUUCAAAUAGAUAUUUAUUUCAGUCAUGUAGUAGAGAUUUCACAAACGUUAUAGAGAUGUUGUGUUGAGAUUGUGGGACAUUAUUCCCCGUUAUUGAUUCAUAUGAUUCUUGACCAUGUUUCCAUAAUAUUGUUUGUCUUCCAUAUUUCUUUUAUCAUAUGAGUUAUGUGCAUGAUUAUCAGACAAAUAGGGGUGUUUCGGGCCUUUAUGGUUCGGAAUGCUCGUCACGGACAGGGCCCCAAUUUGGGUCGUGACAAACUUGGUAUCAGAGCAAGGUUCAUGGUCCCAGGGUGUCUACAAAAUCAUAUCGGGUAGAGUCUUAUUUAUGGGUGUGUAGCGUGCCACACUUAUAAGUAGGAGGCUCCUAAGCAUUUAGGAAUGUCUCUCUUUCUUCAUGUUCCAGUUCGUGCAAUAGAGUCAAAAUGUUCCUCUUUCAUACUGUCAUUCAUGCUAUGGUGUCGCUCAUAUGAAGGUAAAGUCAUACCAAAUUCUUUCCUUACUCUGAUGUUCUCAGACAUGUCCCAUUAUUGGGGUGAUUCAAGUGCAAAAAGUUUAGAAUCUACAUGAUAUAGUCUUUUUCGAUUGUGUCAUAUAAGAAAAAAAAUUGUGCAAAGACUCGAGAGGAGUCUGUUGGUGCUUCAAUAUGUGUUGAUUCUGAUAUAAACAUUGAUCCUGAUGGAAUCGUGCUUUCUAGCUUAUGGUAUUAAGUGCAUCUAGUCCCUCCCAAAAUUCUUGAUACAGAUGUGGACGGUGUAUAGCAGAAUGUUGGAACUAUAUUUCCACCCAAAUAGUAGCAUAAGUUAAAGUGUUGUUGUCAUGACCUAUUGGUAAUGAAAUUAGACCAAGAAUUUAGUGAUGUGAAGUCACAAAGUUAGAAGUCAGAGUGAGGGUGAUUUUUGGUGUAAAUGAAUAUUUCAGUUGAAUAACCAAUAUUUGAGGAUGAUUUACCCCUUUAUAGUGAUAAACUAACGUGGUAGCUAGUAGCACGUGUGGAUGGUAUGGUAGUCCAUGGGGAAGUAUUUUACUCAAAUUUUAAUUUAUAAAGAGUAAGAUGUGUAUUCUUAGACCAUUAAAUAUUGUGUCAAUUUCCUAUCUCUUGUAAUAUGUAAUCUUGUUAUCAUGGUAUUUUUGAAAUAAAUUUUAAAGUCUAGUGAAGCCGUGUGGGGCUCUUUCGAUUCACUAGCAUAGUUGCCUUGUCAUCCAUCUCAUUUUCUUGUUCAAAAUACCAAACCAAAGUCUAGUGAAGCCGUGUGAGGCCUAUUUCAAUUCACUAGCAACUUGUUGUCCAACUUGUUGUUCUUUUGUUGGUUUAAUAUAUGUAUGGCUGAAUCUGUUUGCAUGAGAUGGAGUUGGUAAAGAGGUGAUUCAUCCUUGUGAGUUAGUUUAGUAUAAGGUAGAGAAGGAGUUGUUAGUCAGGGUGAUUUGUUGGUUUCUUGAAUGUGAAAAAUGGCUAUAUUAGCGAGUAAGUUAUGAUCAUAGACUCAUGGUUGUUUGAGGAAUUUGAAGGCAGUCUAAAUGUAUGCUUGAGAAAGUAAGUAUGAGGUCAGAAAUCCGCAUAAGUAGAUAAGAUCUUAUGGGGUUAUAAUAUCAGUUAAGGUUGAUCAUGUCUAUUAUGUGACCUUACUCCUUGACUUUUUUCGUUGGUAGUUGUAAACUAGUACUACUUAUGAGAAGGUAUGUAGCAAAUUAUGAGGUAUUUGGAUAGUACUAUAUGACUGGCAGAGACUUUUCAAAGAUUUGCAGGAGUUCUCGAAACUAUUUUCUAAAAAAUUAAGAGUACUUUGAAAAAAAUCUAUAUAAAUCUUUUACUUAGUGAUUGCCUAGACAUCAAUUAGGAUGGGGAGUCAGGGGUGGAAGUCCCAACAUGAUGAAAUACCUAAAAGAUGGCAAGGGCAAAUCAAGGAUCGUAGGAGGUCAACACGGAGUAGUUUCUUUCAAACUAAUCAUUUUUUGUGGCUGCAGGGAUUGAUACACAAAAUGAGCGUUUCUUUCGAAAAAUCCCCAAGCAAGUCGGGAGCCAUGACAGAGCAUAUAAGGCUUAGUAACGGUACCUUUGGUAGCCCAAAAACCGGCUCAACACCCAUUUAUUGACGACCUUUCGAAUUGUCCAUCUCAUUUCUUGAGACCAUGGAGGACAAACAAAGUGUCUUGUCUUUUUUACAAAUAUUGUAUUUAGAAUUUUUCUAAAAAAAAAAAUAGUCGCUAGCAAAAGCGACUUUGUGUCUACUAAUCGUCUACCUUGAGUACGGGUACAUGCAGAAAGCAAGACCCUGACAAAUGAUUUCAGGAGAAACUAUUUUUAAUUUAUCGGAAGAACCAUUGCAUGUCAUUGCCAAGAGGGCCAUUACAUAUCAUCGUCAUUCAAUAUCUGUUGGCGUGCUAGACACAAUGCUAGCAUCGAGGAUAUCAUUAGCAUUCAAUAUAUCCAUUGACAUGCAAGACACAACACUGGCGUCGAGGAUAUCAUCAUCAUAUAAUAUCUAUUAACGCGCUAGACACAACGCAGGCAUUGAGGAUAUCAUCAACAUUCAAUAUAUCUGUUGACACGCAAGACACAAUGCUAGCGUCGAGAAUAUUAUCAUCAUUCAAUAUCUAUUGACGAUCUAGAUACAACGCUGGCGUCGAGGAUAUUAUCAGCAUUCAAUAUAUCUGUUGACACGCAAGACACAAUGCUGGCGUCGAAGAUAUCAUCAUCAUUCAAUAUAUGUUGACGCGCUAGACACAACGCUAGCGUCGAGGAUAUCAUCAUUAAUAUAUAACUAUUGACACGUAAGACACAACACUGGCAUUGAGGAUACCAUCAUGAUGCAAUAGCUGUUGACAUGCAAGACAUAACUCUGGCGUCGAGGCUAUCAUCAUCAUGCAAUAUUUGUUGACGCGGAAGACACAAUGCUAGUGUCGAGGAUAUCAUCAGCAUUCAAUAUAUCUGUUGACACGUAAGACACAACACUGGCAUCGAGGAUAUCAUCAUCAUUCAAUAUAUCUGUUGAUACGUAAGACACAACGUUGGCGUCGAGGAUAUCAUCAUCAUUUUAUUUCUGUUGACAUGCAAGACAUAAACACUAGCGUCGAGGAUAUCUUAUCAUUUUAUGAAUCAGCAUCCGAAUGCAUCAAGAGCACAUGAUUUGAAGGGACGCCUUUAAGUCGCUAUCUAAGGAUGAAUGAUAUAUAAGAUUUCCUAGAAAUUUACAAUUUGAGGGUCAUCUAUAAGUUAUAUUAUUUGAAAUAUGAUAGUGUACAAGAUCACCUAUGAGUUGAUAGCCGGUAGGUCAUCCGUAAGCCACAACAAAAUUCUAACCGGAUAGUGUGCAAGAUCGCCCAAAAAUUGAUAGUUCAAAGGUUAUCCAUAAGUCGCAACUAAAUCCUUACCAGAGAAUAUGCAAGAUUAUCAAAUGGAUACAUCCAAGGGUUCUCUAUAAGCCGUGUCAUAUCCAAGUUCGAUUAUAUGCAGGAUUACCCAAAGACUAACAAUUUGAGGGAUUAUCUAUAAGUCAUAUUAUAUCCUAGGUCGGAUGAUGUGCAGGAACACCUGAAAUCUAGCGAUUGGAGGGAUAUAUGUAAGCCAUCUCUUAUUUAAAGUCGGACAAUGUGCAGGAUUACCUAAAAGCUAGAAAUCAAAAGGAUAUCUGUAAGUCGCCUCGUAUCCAACAUCAAAUAAUGUGUAAGAUUAUCUAAAGAUUGAUAAUUUAAAGGAAAUUUAUAAAUCGAUCAUCGGCUAUAACUGGAGAGGUUAUCAUUCCACAUGCAACAAAUGAUAUAGGUACCCAAAGGGUUGCCACACCAGCACGCCAUUGUCCAAAAGGGCCACCCACUUUGAAGACAUAUUCAACCGACAAAUGUCAUAAUUAUACAACAACCAAGAGGGUUGUUGUGUUUGGUAUUGUCGGUUAUUUCAUUCCAAACAGGUACAUGAAGAGAUGACUCCACUUUUCAGGCCACAACUCACGUGGAGAUAUGGUAAAAGACUGCAUGCCUCUUUCGUGAAUUAUGUUUAGCACUAAAAAUUUUUGCUUGAAGCAUUGUCGAGGGCAUCCGUGAGGAUGAAAAUCUUAAAUCAAAACCACAGGUACGGAUGACUUCAAAUAGGAUGCAAUACCCGAAUCCAACCCGUUUUCUUUUUCCUCGUUAUGAUCACGCACGUUCCACAUGAAUCCAUACGAGAAGAUGCUAAGAAUAUUCUAGAAACACACUUAGGUGUCUCAUCCAACGUUCAAAUCUCAAAAUUCUCGCAUAGAGGUUUACGAAUUCGUACAUAGGUGGAGUAUUUUCAUUGGCUUGUGAAGAUUAUUCCCUUUCCACCAAUUUCUAUUGGCCACUUUUUGGAAUUCCGUUCAAGAAAAUCAAAAUAGAGGUAUAGUUUGUUAGGGUCCAGAUCUUUUUAAUUUAAAAAAUGAACCCUCAAUCCCCUUCUAUAAGUAGCUCUCUUUAGAGCAAGAAAAAGGGAUUUUUUAGGGGAUUUUGGAAUUUUUUUUCACUGGCAACUCCUUUCCUUUGUGGGUUUUCCUCUUCUUUCUCUUUGGAGUUUGAAAUUUUAGAAGCAAAAGGGGUUCAAAAGUUUUUAUUUGAAAAUUUGGGGUUAGAGAAAAUAUUCAAAAAUUCAGAAAUACACAAAAAAAAGAGGGUUAGAAAGGGGGGCUCUCAGAGGGAAAAAAUAUUCUCUUUACGCCCAAGAAACAUACAUUUUUAGGAGGUGCGUCUGAACUGUCGAAGCAGUUGUGAGUUUUUCGGUGGUUGGAAUCCUAUCGUCAGCUCGUUAUACCAUUUUGCUGCCCCGAAAGAGGUAAAUACACCUUUCUUUUUAAUUUUGUUGUGGUUAUCAUUUUCUUCUUCGUGGUUCCACUUCUGUUUGCUGGGAAUGACUGCUGUAGAGGCCUGAAAGGCAUAGGAUUUUCAUUUUUGAUAUAUUGUUCUACUAAAAAACUCAUUCUUGAUCAUGUUUGAUUGGUUGUCGUUCAUUCUUAAUCUCUCUCAUUUUAUUCUGUCUGAAUGUUACUAGUUAGCUUUAAUGCUUCAACUUUAGAAACUAUUUUACUGGUCUCAUAUUUGUUGUUGCUUUGUAGUUCAUAGAGUAGGAGAGUAACAUAUUUACGUAUUUUCGAAAUUCGAAAAAAUGUUCAAAGAAUAGAUAUUAGGCAGCCUGUUUGCAUAUCUUUUUCGCUCAGACGUAGGAAAUUGUUAUAAAUAAGAACUCCAAUGUUAUUUUCUACCGACUUGCCACUCUCGAUGUACGAUAGUCUCAUUUGAUUCUAAAGUUUAUUUUAAAAUAUGAGAGUGGACCAUAGGUCUGAAUUAUGUUUUCUUCAUGGCUAAUUCAAUUUGCUGUAAUUGACUCAUGAGAACAAAUUAAAGUUUGACGGGCUAAUGUUUCUUUCCUUUCUUGCUUUUCUUGUUCGGAUAUAAGCUGUGGCAUCUUGUCUUAUGAUUAAAUUACCUAAAAUUAGGUUUAUGUAGUGUUAGAAUCUCAUUUGUUUGUUAACCCAGUGGUAACGAAGGUAUUAAGAUUUCAGCCUUGCUUUUCUUGAAGUUUCAGCUAUCGUAUUCCUUGCCUAAAGUGAUUAAGUCUUUAAUUUUGUAUGUUUGGCAUUCUGGAAUUUGAAAGUUGCUUGUGAUCUAUCGUUUAUGUAGUAUGAUCUAGGAUUUGUAACUCUUUUUUGUGACAUGCUUAAUUGGGUCCUUUUGUGGCAUUAAAGUGAUAAAUUAUUUUCUUUAUUUUGCUAAAGACCAUAAGAAUUUCUUGUUGAAGCUUUAUUUCCUCCUGUAGUUGAAAUUUCUUUAAUUGAUUAUUAACAUUUUCUUCAAACAUAAUAGACUUUUUAUCCUAUGGCAUUUUUACCUGUGUAUGAGUGUAUUUGAAUGAAGAAGGAAUGCUAUAGCUUAUUAUAUGUUAAAAUCUUGGACGUAUGUUAAUUUCUUCAUUCCUUUCUUUACAUGUUCAUUCCUUUCUUUACAUGCACCCCCUUUGGAGUUCAAAUGGACCCCUUCUCUCUUUGCAUUUCAUAAAUGGGCCAAUGAGGCCUAUCCUUCUGAGUUAAACCCAAAAGAAAAUCCAAGAAUCCAUCACAUGGCGUAUGGAUACAAGGAAUCGAAAUAAGAAUGGGUUAAAGUUCAAUCUUUGAAGCGGCAAAGGGGACUUGAAAAUCUCGUUAUUUCUUAUUUAUUGAUUUAUUUAUCCAUUGUUUUCAUUAUUUAUUUAUUUAUUUACUUAUUUAUAUUUUUUUUUAUUUAGUGACUUAUUUAUUUAUUCAUUCGGGCCUCGAAGCCAAAGUUGUAAAUUUAAAACAGGUGGAGCGAGACUCGAGCUGAAAAGGGCUCAAAAACAUAAAAUUAAGACAGGUGAAAGAUGGGUCAAAAACCUAACUAGAUUAGGACAGGAUCGACUGUUUGGGCUUGAAAGCCUAAAUCACUACUUCCCCCCUUUCCCUUUUUUCUAUUUGCUUACUUGUUUUACGUGUGUUUUGCGAACCUAGUAAAAUCCUUAGUCAAGUCGCUAAAAAAAUUGGUUUUGCAUAAACACCAAAAUAUUCCUAAAAUUGCUUUUCUUUUCAAAAAAUACACUUUUUCAAAGUUAAUCAAAAGAUGAUUUUCAAACAGUCCGGAUAACCGCAAGUUAGCGGACAUUUUAGGUGCCUAAUACCUUCCUAAAACGUUAAUAGGAACCGCUUAUCUUGAAUCUCUAACUUAAAACGAUUUUUUUGUUUUGAAUCGUUUGCAGUAACUCUCUAAAGGUUUCUUAUUUCCUUUUCAAAAUUAAGUGGCGACUCUCAAAAAGUCAAAAUUUCCACAAAAAAAUAUCAACCACAAUCACAUCCACACAUCUACUACCCCCACCCGAAAGUAGUAGAAGAAUAAGGGUUUGUAGUAAUUCAAGUACCUUAUCCUCUUGACGCUUGCACUUCUUCUCUUUUAGUUCAUUAACAAAUUUGUUAAAUAUUUCAAGCAGCAAGCCCUCACCACCCAUUAUUCUGUAAAAUAAUAACAGCAAAGAAAUUCACAUUCAAUGUUACGGCAUAAUGAGAAUCAUGAGAUUAUGAAUAAAAAAGUAAAAAUCCAGAGCAUUUCAUUUUAUAGACAAAGAGGCUAGACAAAUUGAAACUAGAGAUUUAGCAGCAUACUUCAUCAGAACCGUGAAACAAUCACAAAUGCCAGCAAUUAAAAAACUAAAACAAUCACAAAUGUCAGAAAUUUAAAAAACUAACUGCUAGAGCUAUUAAACGCCCAGUGUUGGAACAACUAAUAAUUGACAUCAACCAAUUUCUAGAGGGAUAAGUUCAACAUUAAAAAUCACUUAGCAAAAUGGUAAUUCAUGCUAAUACUAUAAAGAAAUAGCCUACCUAAAUGUUGAGGAAUAUAAAACAACAAAUCAUUCAACACAGCUAUUAUUCUAAGGUACAUUCUAGAACUAUGUGAAUUGCUGAGUUUAGAAUAUUGAAGGAGUUGGUCCUUGAAAAUAAUAUCAAUUAUCAUUCUCCAAUAGUCCUUGCAAUCGUGUUACGAAUUCUAGAUCAAUAAAAGCAAAAGAAGCUACUUGCCUAUCUCUGAAGAGGGAUUUCCAGUCCUCCCAUUUCGACGAUGCAGUAAUUUCCUGCAACCAUAGCAAACAAAUAGAUUAUGGUUUAAAGGAAAUAUCAUGGGAUCCCAUCCAUUGCAAUGUGAGAGAUUGUGAACUGUUUUCUAUAUCUUUGAUGCAUGAAGGAGUUCAUAGAACUCAUCUGCUAGACGUUUACGCUUUUUAGCUUCUUUUUCUUCUUUCUCCCUGGCCCUUUCCAGUAACUCCUCAAAGACAAACUAUGCAGAUGAAAUAUGCACAUUCAAUACUCAAUGACUCGACAAGCCCAAACGCGUAGAACAUAAAGUUUAUAAAGGAAGUAUGGAAUAAGAUUCAGUAUAAUCCAUGUAUGUCCUCUUAUUCCUUCGUUUGAAAGGCAAGGGUGAUAUAAUGUAAGACUAUUAUUACCAUCUUUUGGAGUAACUCCUCGCAUUAUAAUAUUUGAUAAAAUGCUUUAAAAUAGUUUUGAGCUAUUGAAAGUAAACUAAAAGCCUUAAGAGACCCAACCGUCUAAGCAUAAUUCUUCGACAAGAUACCCCUUGCAAUUCCCUCUUCCCACAUACAUAGAUUAUACGCCAUGACCAUAAAUAAACUCCAAAAUUGAAAUGAUAUAUGAAGAAUAUCCUCAUUACAAAAAAAGAAAAUGAUCGUUGAUAUCAUCCAUUUAUGCUGUUUAACCACUUUCGCAGAGUAAAACUCUUAUCCACUAACCGUAAAAAUAGAAAACUACAACGCAAAUUGCUUUGAAUUAAGCAACUUAAGAUAUGUGCGGUAGGUGUAAUAUUAAACACCGCCAUCCAGGAAAUAAAAAGUAAGGAAAAUGGUACCAAAACUAAAGAAUUGGAAGAAAAAGAUAACACCAAAUAUUUGAUCAAUGUGGUCCUCGUCUUUAUUCUUGAAGGUUUCAGGCUUACUUGCUAACCGACACACUACUCUUCUAUUAACUCCAUUACUAGAAGAUCCAGAUUUAAUGUGGGAUAGGUUAUGGUUGAUACUAAAGGAAAAUUCCACUAACCACAGUUGACUACCUACGAUUUGCCAAUUUAGCAAUCACAAACUGACCGACUUCCAGUGAAACAUAACAUGGAAGUACUACUAAUGCUUUUGCACUCAAUCCACUCAUCUUAUGCAGGACCUGUCCCAAAGACAAAAAGGGGACAAAUACAUAAAAAUCCAUUUAACGAAUGGGGUACUUCAAUUUUCACAACAUUCAAUUCAACAUAGGUCGAUGUGAAACAGUAUACAGUGCUUAUCCAUAAUUAGACCUUUAAGUUGGUAUCUGACAUUGGUGGAGAGCUAAUAUACUUGGCGAUUGCAACCUUAAAAUCAUCAAGCAUCCAGGCUAAUGUCAAUCCAAUCUGAAAGUAGACAUGGCUCAGCCAAAAUAUUAGGUACUAACCAAAGCACAACAGAGGUUAAAAUGAAGAGUGGUGAUUACCUCGGCCAUCCUAACUGCAUCUUUAAUUUGUGACUUGUCAUCAAGAUACUGAAGCAACAUACAAGUAACACAAAUUCAGAAUGCUUAUCAGUAACAAAAAUAGGAUACCAAAUGGAGCUUUGUCCAUGCAUUUGAGUUACCAUAAAGUCUAUAAAUUACAAGCAGGGUGAUGGGGAUGAAAUUUCUUUCAUGAAUACCAACAUUUCUCCACUUGUUCAAAGUCAUCUACAAUNNNNNNNNNNNNNNNNNNNNNNNNNNNNNNNNNNNNNNNNNNNNNNNNNNNNNNNNNNNNNNNNNNNNNNNNNAAAAAUGGAUAGCAUCUCUGUUAACAGCGCUUUCAUUAUAUUUACUUAAUAAGAAUCAUUUAUGCACACAAACAGUAAUACAAACUUUAAAGAUAGAAGUUGACAUCAUUAUCUGACAAGGGAAAAAGAAAAAAUAUUCAGCAUCUGAGUUUAUGUAUAACUCUCAACAUCCCAUAGCAAGAGCCUAACUCAAGAAAACAUUUCCAAAUCCAAUCAUUGAAUAAGAGUACGAACAGGAUCAUUAUCAUGCUAGGAUACCAGGUAAACUCCCUCUUUCAUCAAGCAAGGAGAUAAAUGCUAAUAAAAUUUGAUCAUUCAACUUCAAUUCUUUUCAGAAAGGGCAGAGGAUGAAACAAUAUAUCGUUUAGUUAGUCGCAAUGGUGUAUUACGGCCAAAAAAAUCAUAGUGAGGGAGAUGCAACUUUAUUUAGAGAAACAGAGAUGCUCUCAGGCACUUUUUCCGAGGCUAAUCUUUUCUAAGCCUUUACUUUCAUUACAUCUCAACUACCUCUUCAGAGGCGAAUUCUGGCACUAAGUUUUUUUAGUCUAAGCUAUAUGGUUGACAACACAAUAUAUUUUGAAUUGGGUUUUAAGUUGCAUGAUAUCAUCCGAAGUGAAAUCAAAACUGGGGUGUGGUACAAAUGGACAAAACAUGGCCAAAACUUGACCAGACAAACUACUUUCAGGUCUCAUUUGUUUGCACUUAUUGGAUUUAUGAACCUGUUCAGACCUCAAACCAUUAAGUGCAUUUGUUUUUAUUAGGAUUUUAGCUCUUAAUAGGUCUGAGUAGGUCUUAAUCAUUCAUAUGUGGAACCAAGUCUAAAUAUCAUUUACAGAUAUUCUUGUGUAGGAUAAAAUUCACCACCACUUUAUCCACAAUCACCUGGCACCACCACCAACCACUUCCACCAUCACAACCAACAUCACUACCAACUACACUACCAGCCGCUACCACACCUACCACUUCCAUUAUUCUAAUUAUAUCCACCUCCAACUAGGGGUGUUCAAGGUUUGGUUUUUAACACAACUUAACCGCGAUACAAACAAAACCGAUUAAAAAAAACUAUAUUUGGUUAGGUUUGGUUUGGAUUUGAAUUUUAAAAGACCGAUACUAAUUUGAUUUGGUUUGGUUUGGUCUUACUCUAAAAUAACCAACAAAAUAACCAAAACGAACCAAUAUACAUAUAUAUUAUAAUUAUUUAUAUGUUUUUCAUAAAUGUAAUCUAAAUAUUUGUUACAUUUUAUAUUUUAAUCAUGAUUUAACUUUAGUCGUAACACAUUCAGUCAUGUGUCUUCAUCUAGUUGACAAUACAUUAUGAGAUUCUAAAUGAAUUUCAUAUUUUGAAUGACAAAUGAUACUAAUUGUGAAAGUAAUAUCUUGUUAUAUAUUGAAAUUUACAGCUGAAAUUUAUUAGACUAUACACAAUCACUAAUUUUAACUUUCUUUUGAACCUUGUUGAGCAAGAAGUUUAUGUGUUCACCUUUUGGGGGUUUAUCAUAUCAUUCUAUUAAAUAUAGUUUUAAAAUAUUUUUUAAAAGCGUUCAUAUGGUGUUAUCAUGGCUUUGCCGAAGUAUAACACUCAGUUGACAUCAUAGUUUCAAGAUUGAGAUACAACACUUGGUUGACAUCUCAUAUGUUAGAUUUGAUUUGUUUUUUAAAAAUUUCAACAUAUAUCAUUAACUAAAGUUAUAAACUAAAAAACCCGAAUCAAACCAAACUAAACCGACAAGAACCAAACCGAUGGUUAUUUUUUUGUUUGGUUUGGUUUGGUUUUAGAAAUUUAAAAACCAAUUAAUUUGGUUUGGUUAUGGUUUUGACCACUAACCGACCCAUAUUGACCCAUGAACACCCCUACCGCCAACGUCGCCACCAUCAACUGCUACCAGUUGAUCCCUGCUACCGACCAACUCAUCUAUCAGAACUACCACUACCACUAAUAACCACCUACACAUCAUCAACUUCCACACAUCACUAACAACCACUAACACAUCAUCAACUUCCACACAUUCUUCGGACACCAUCACCACCACUGUCACCGGCGUCACCACCUCUACCACCAGCAUCCGCUACACUCGCUACAGUAUCUGUACUAACAACCAUUCAACCAUCACAGCUAACAGUGUCUCCAACAACCACCAACACAUCGUCAACCAUCAUGCAUACAGUUUUUCAUCACCACGAUCAACACCUUCAACUACUAACAUUAACCAACUUCACAUCACAACCACCACCACCACUACCAAUCGCCAAUAUUAUGACAGUAACUACAAUUCCAACUAUCUCUACUAUCACAACUAUUAUCACCAACAUUGCUAAUCACUAACAUCAAUUAAUUUAUUACAACCACCACCACCAUUACAAACCAUCUCCACUAUCACUAAUAAACAUAAAUGUUUCCUUUUUUAAUCAAAUAAUAAUUUUAUUGCAUUAAAUUAAAAAAAUUUCUAAUAAAUAAUUAAAUUAUAUUUAGAAAUAAAUAAAUUUUGCAUAUUCAGAUAUUGAGAAACACCCAACCUUAAUCAUUUAGUUUUCAGAUCUAGAGACAAUAUCUUAACCAUUCAGAUGUGCAUUCAAAAUGAUUCAAAUGUCUAAAUAUUAAUAAAAACAAAUGCAGUCUUAGCUGAAACACAAUAGUGUGGUUGUGUGAUACUUUAAAGGAAUCCUCGAAAGUCAAAGAAACUACAUGAAAACAUGGAAGUUUGAUGAUCACUUCUCAGAGUUGUUCUGCUCGAGAAACUAUAACAAUUAAGGUAACAUAACCAUUAACAGCAUUCAACGGAGGAGAAGUCAAUUACAUAUGUCUGUGAAGUAGUAUUUAAUAUAGCUUGGCUAGAUUGAAAGAAUCAUCUAUAUCUAUACUACAUUAAAAGCAUGGAACCCCUAACUUAAAAGUUUACGACAAUAUGAUUCCUAUCAGCAUAAAUACGUACUAUCUAGUAAAAAAAAAGAGGAAACUAAUUGGCAUAAAGAGAAACAACACAGAUGUUUAAUAGGAACAACCGAUCAUUGUUCUUAUCUCAACAAAAUAUGUGUUAUUUAAAAAAAAAAAAAGCAAGCAGAGGGGUAACUCUCAAAUCUCAAUCUCAUGCUUUUAUCCUACCAAGUAUGUUCUAUUCUUUAAUGCACAACAACAACAACAACAACAACAACAAACCCAGUAUAUUCCCACAUAGUAAUGCACUAACUUACUUUUUUACCCAAUGAAUUGAACUUUUUAGUGAGGAUCUAAAUGAUUUUCAGACUUUGUUUAACAUCUGAUUCAUUAAGAUAUAUUAACAGGUUGAAUCUUUUUUUAAAAAAAGCACUUAAUAGGCUGAUAUCUGAACCAUUCAGAUCCAAACCUUCAUUAAGUGAAAGCAAAUGAAAAGGGAUUGUAGUGUAAAGUCUAUAAAUAUGGGUUAGUGUAACAAAUGUAGUUGACACAAUUCAAUACUCCUAUUAGCAACCUAUUUCACCUGUUUCUCCAGCUCAUCCAUAACAUCUGUAAAUAAGUAGUACCUGGAAAAUCUCCAAGCGAUUGAUUUUCUCAAGGCAGGAGCAUCUUUCAUCAGUUUCCAAGCGGUCCUGAACUUUCCACCACUGGCUACUAGCCUGAACAAAAGAAGUCAGCAACAAUGGAACUAUGGAAGUUCUAUCUUCUUGAAAUAGAAAAACAUAAUCUAGGAACUGAUGCUAAGACCACUAGAACAAAUACCUUAAUAAAGUCAAAGGAUUUUAAAAAUUCUAAGUACUCCACUCUAUUGCGCUUCUGCUCCUCCAAUGCCUUCGCAUGCUUCUGGUAAAAUCCAGUACAAAGUAAAAAAAAUAAAAUUUCUCUUUAAAGAAAACAAUAUGGACAAAGAGACUGUAACUACACUUUCAUGAAAGUAACGAAAAACUCUUCCUGUUUUACGAUGGAGAGGGGAGAGGAAGAAGCAUAUCAUAGUUUCAAGUUUCAAGAAAAAUUACAUACAAUACAUGGAAGUCUAUUUAUAUUAGAAUUCAAUGGUGAACAAAUUUAAAUCUUGUACCCUUGAGAAGCCAUUAAAAAUGUAUUCAAAGAACACAAGAUUUUAAGUUGAAUAUCUACAACAUUCCUUCUUUCUACUCUUUAAGCAAAACAAAAAAAGGGAACAAACUAAAAGACAUCCUGCAAAGGAAAGGAAUGGAAUGACUGUUGUUAAUCAAGUGGACCAGUGCCAAACUCAACUUCAAAGUCUAGGUCAGGUGGUGAAGAAUGUCCAAGAUCAUAUAAGGAAACUACAGCACAUACACCUUACUAGUGUGGGAUUCUCAUACAUUAAUCGAACACCAAGACUAGACAUUUGUAGCAUCAGUUAACCUAGGUUGGCUAACAUCUAAUAGUCUAACAUCAAGAUAGAUCUGCCUCUAAUACCAUGUUUAAGAAAUUGGACCUUGUUUCUAUCUCAAAUGAAAGGCUAACUUAAUUUGUGAGGAGCCAAAGACCAUAUAAGGAAACUACAAUCCGCACACUUUGUUUUUAACAUAUAGAAGCUUACAAGAAAGUUCUGCAAAAGAAGCAUCAACUUUUUAUCUUAUUCCUCCACAUAAUCUUCAAAAAGGUCCCCACAGUCUUUAGCUCGCUCAACAGCUUUAAAAUGUUCAUCAUGUUCAAAUAUGGAGAUUGCCUUACUGAAUAAUCAAUAGCAAAUAGUUGGUGGAUCAAAUGGAACUUACAUAAGUAAUGGAUCAACUUCAAGGUACCAAAACACAUACAAACAAUGACCAAUAUUAGAAAACAAGCAACAGACAACUUAACAUUACAAGUGAAAGACAAACCUCCAUCUUGAUGAUGGUGACAGCUCCUUGCAAUCCUGUAAGAUUGAGAACAACGGACAUUGUUAUGAAAAAUACCACUUAUUCUUUUGAACAAGUCAAAUACCAGUCACUAACACAUCAUGAAUAUUAUGAUAAUAUCUUUUUAUUUUUGAAACUGGUAAUGUGAAUAUCAUGAUAUAUCAAAUAUAAGACACCCACAAAAGAAAAUUUCACUUACUUUUAAAAUUACCCUGAAAUCUUCCCGAGCUUUUUUCUGUUUAACACGCCUCUCUUCAGCUUCUAGUUUUCUCUUUUGGCUCAAAUACUGGAACAGACACACGACUUCAAAAUGAUCACUAUAGACCUUAGGUGUGUUUGGUAUGAAGGAAAAUGUUUUCCUAGAAAACAAGUUGGUUUCUUACUUGAUUUCUUAUGUUUAGUUGAUGAAAGGAAAAUAUUUUUUAGAAAAUUUUUUCUAGUGUUUGGUUGGUGAAUAAAAAAAUAUUUUUCAGAAAAUACAUUUGAGAGUUGUAUAAAAAUUUCAACUUAAGAGUGAGAUUGAAAGAGAGUUUUGGAAAAUGUUUUUCCUACUUUUGGAAGGGAAUUCAUUUUCCUUAAAUUUAAGAAAAAUAAGUUGAUUUGGAAAACAUUUUCCAAAAUAUUUAAGUCAACCAAACAUGAAACAAUUCAAUAUCAAACACAAUCUAUCUUUUUGCAAUAUGGUAUGCUGAAACAUUGAGGCAACAAUUAACCAUUCCAAUGCCGACUUGGAGAGAUACCUCAUUAAAAGCUUGCUUCUGCUCACAAAGGGAUUUUACAGCACCAUAUCUCCGGUCAUUAAUUACUGCUCUCAUGGCCUGACUAAUACAAUUCAUGUCAAAUGAUCUCCCUCAAUUGUUUGGUACGCACAAAACACUCAAGUAAUAAACCUGAUUCCACAUGCAAUCAGACCCAAUAUUUGCAGAUUCCAAAAGAGUUUUGAAUGUACUCUUUUCCUCCUAAAUAAAAUCAGAUACUUAAAAUAGAAAUAAGAGAAAUUUCGAGAACAUACAUUAAACGAGACAAAAAGCAAUAAUCAACUAUACCGCUUUGCUCUCAUAAACUAAUGGUCCCAGCUCGACUAUUUUCUCAUCUGAUGGAGUAGUACCUCCGAUUUCAGUUAUUACAACAUCUUUCUUGACAUUCUGCAUGUUAGGCACAACAUCAAUCACAAAGGACAAAAGCAAACCUCAUUGGAAUUUGUAGCAUAUUCUUCACCUGUUAGCAGUUGACUAACAACUACACUACAAAAUUGUUGGAUCAACAUCCAGCAUAACAGCUAUGAAAAGCUUUCUUGGUGUUUUAACCAGUAACCAGUAGUAAUUAACUAAUUGCAUAAGUAUUUCAGAAGGACAAAGUACCUCUCUAUUCUUCGAAGAAAAUCCAUCACCAUACACUACUGUAACUUGAGUUGUAGUAGUCUCAAAACUACAGAAAAAUUGAAUUCCAAAUAAGAAGCAACAUAAACCAGAGGCAAAUUUAUAACAUAUAAAUCUGAAAACAUGCACCGGUGGCGCGACAGAAUUUCCCAAGGUUACUGCUAUUCCAAUUUUCUCUGAAUUAGCAACAGCUGGCAAAGCAGGUUCUGAAGAAUUCUUCAUUUCAACUGUUCCAAUCAUCGGAGAAGAAACAUUACCAGAUAAACUUGAUGAUUCUAAAGCCACAAUAGUUGGUAAGUUAGCAGCUGGUGACACAGCAAUUGGGCUUGAUUUAGCAUCGUGUGCCGAGACUAAUAAACCAUCUGCACCCGGGGAUGAUGUUUUAACAACAGAAAUGGAUCCAAAAUCAGAAGCGUGCAAAUUCUCUCCAGGACUUGUAAAUUCUCUCCAGUAAGUUGAUGCGUCUGCCUUCUGUCCCAAUGAAAACUGAAUAAAAGUAGGUUAAGUCAAAAAAUAGAACAUAAACAGUACCCUGAGAGUAGAAAUCAAUAACUUCCAGCAGUACAAUACUGGAUGGAAGUGUUAGAAUAUGAAUGAUAUAAUGUCCCACAUAAAAAAGGACUAGCAUGUACUGUGUAGAAUAUAACUACAAGCAGGGUGGAAACAUUGCCAAGCUGCGGCUGAGCUACAACUAUCCAAGGGUGAUCAACUCAACAACAUUCGCUUGAUAAUCGUAUUUUGUAUAUAUAUAUAUAUAUAUAUAUAGGUCAAAUUCUGUCGUUUCUAAGUAUUUUUUAAUGAACACCCUCGCCACAAAAAACAAGACGGAGUGUGACAGUAAGGGUGUUCAAAUCUUGCAAUGAGGUUCUAAGUUCCAUACUCAACACAGCCCCCCCAUAAUUUUUUUUUUCAUUUGGACACGUUUGAAACUCAUAAACUACAGUUAUGCUUUUUUUGAUGAAUCAAUUUCUGAACAUGUGUUUUUUGUCCCAAUUAGCUCUUACAAAAGAGCUAGUAACUAGCAUGCCAGGUAUCAGAAUUUUGUUAAAAUAAACUUAAAGGUAAAUUUAUAAAGUGGUUGUUAUACUAGCUAUCUUGCAUGGGGCAGAGUGUUUGGCUGGUCAAGAGCUCGCAUGUUCGAAAGAUAAACGUAGAAGAAAUGAGGAUGUUGAGAUUGGUGUGUGGGCAUACUAGGAGAGAUAGAAUAAGGAACAAAGAUAUGCGAGAAAAAGUGGUAGUGCUCUCUGUGGUGGACAAUUAACAAGAAGACUAGAGGGUUGGGGAUAAAGAACCUAAAAAUUCAAAGUAAGGCUCUCGUGAUGUAAUGGUUUUGGAAAUAUGCAAACAAUAACCAGCUGCUAUGGAGGAAAGUGAUUGGGACUAAAUAUCCUGAAGAAGAUAGAUGGAUAAAUAAAGAAUUGACCACACCAUACGGGAUUAUCCUCUAGAGAUCUAUUAGACAAUAGUGGAAUGAAGUUAAAAGAAACUCAAAGGUUAAAGUGAUGGAUGGAAACAAGACUAGGUUCUGGAAGGAUAAUUGACAUGAGGAUGGGAAUAUGGAAGUUAUUUUUCCUGAUAUCUACAACUUGGUAUUGCUUCAAUAGAGGACUAUAGCAGAAUUAUGGACACCACAUGGGUGGAACUUCAAUUUCAGAAGGCAACUUAAUGAACGGGAGGUAAUGAGAGUAGUUGAAUUUUUUAAUACCAUGGACUUAUUCAAUGGACUGCAAACAGUGAAGGAUGUACUAUGGUGGAUGGGAAAUGAAAAAGGAAUGUUCAGUGUCAACAAAGCCUACAAGAUAAUGAACCAAAUAAAUCACCCAGAUCCAAGAUGGCCAUGGAAGAAAAUAUGGAAAAGUAGGAUACCUCACACAGUGUCGUGCUUUGUCUUUGUCUGGUUACUAACCAAGGAAGUAGUUCUUACACAAGAUAAUGUCAUGAAGAAAGGAAAAACCUUGUGCUCCAUAUGUUUCCUCUGUGGAGAAACUUAGUGAUGGUUAACCAUGUAUUUCUACAUUGUAAGUACACCCAACAACUUUGGAGAAUCGUCUCAAGACUAAAAGGCAUUUCCAGGACAAUGCCUAGGAAAGUAUCCAAGACUUUAAUAUGCUGGGAGAACCAGGUGUACAUGCGAAGAACAGAGGUAGAUGGAGAAUUAUCCCUGGUGCUAUAUGGUGGGCUAUAUGGAAAGAAAGGAAUUCUAGAUGUUUUGAAAGCAUAGAGAAUAGUGUGCAGAAGGUUAAACUCAAUUGCAAUUUUGCUUUUAUGUUUUUAGUGUAAUCAACUAUACUCUAAUGAUAUUACCUCGAUAAUUGAUGUUCUAGACUAAAUUUAGAGAUAGAACAGUUGAUUUUGGAGUACUCUUGUAUAUAAAGGUUUCAGUACAACCCAUGUACUGUGUGAUAUAAUACAAAGUUGCCAAGUUCAAAAAAAAAGAUAAUAAUUUUUCAAGUACUAAAAGUUUAUAAAAUAACAAAUAAAGCAAUUAAAUCUGAGUUCAAAUUAGGUGGGUUGGGUUAUGACCCGAAUUUUAGAGCAUUUCAACCCAACUCGUUUCAGCCCAAGUAGCUUUAGGGCGGGUUAAUAACCCGCCCAUUUAUUAACUCAGACCUCUUUGAUCCGCCCAAAUCCAGCCAACCCCGCCCAUUCGACACCUUUAUUUUAAAAGAAGUAAAGUGGACCAUGCCAGAACACAUACCAGAUCUAUUGAGUUGAAGUAAAGUGGACUAUCAAAGGACACACAACAAUCUGUUGAGUUGUUGGAUUAGUGGGGAUUAAAAAGAGUGAGAAGAAACGGGGGAGAACAAUCCUUCCUUGUAUUUGGUGGACUGUAUGGAGCGAGAAAAUUUGAAGGUAUUUUGAAGAUAAAUAUAAUUCCAUUCAGAAAGUUAAAUGAAAUAACAUUGUAGAUUUUUGUUUAUUGUUUAAGGGCCAAUGUGUACAGGAUGCAUAACAGGUAGUAGAUCUCUUCGAAUCCUAGCAUUAUUUUCAUUAUUUUUCAUUUCUUUUGGACUGUUAGCAUAAUCUUAACGCUGACGAAUACAAAGUAAUAUCUCUGAAAAAAAACUGUUUAUCUGAAAAAAAAAAGGAAUAAAAAUGUUCAAACUUCCUUACAGCUCCAGUUGUUGGUCCCUUAAUACUUGUCCCUCACAACCAGCCAAACUUUCUUUGAUAACCGUCAUGUUUGGGCCAGCUUGCACCUUGACUAGUUACACCAGGUACUGCUACCUCCCACCAGCACAGAUACUAGGUAACUCUGUCCAUCAAGGCUUGGACAGACGGUAAGAAAUCACCUAGUGUUUUUAUCUCUGUUGGAAAUUAAACCUGAGACCUCAUGGUUCUCAAUCUACUUCAUUGACCACUAUGUCACACUUUUGGGUGCAAGUGUGCAACCAGCCAAACUAUUAUUCUGUAAACCAGAAUGAGAAGUGUCAACCACAAUAUUAUAUCAAGUUUCCUCUCUCCAUAUCAUCAUUGAGUUACAAUAACAUUACAUUAAUCAGAAAGUAAAUAAAAUUGUUUAAAAUAGACCAAAUAUAAUCCUGUCGUGUAUGCUUAAACACAUUUUUUAGAACAAUAGUGUUAAAUAUAAAAUCUUUUAGAACUAUAUUAGAAAUAAAAGGUCAAUGCAAAUCCCAAAUGAAGCCUACAUAGUAUAGUAAGAUCGAGGAAAUUUGCUCGCUAAACAAAUUUUCAACAGAAAUCACAUAUACUUAGGAAAGAAAAAGAGUUUCUGCGAAGCUUCAUAGAAAAAGAAUCAUGUACUUCUUUUUCAUUGAUAAGCACAGGAAACUGGAUAAAACUACCCAUAAAAAUCUCGAUGACAUGAGACCUCACCUCCAUUUCUGUCAUUAUCUCUCGAGGUUUCUCCCAGGUAGAGAUUCUUGUCCUUCUAUUAUAAUAGUAUCUAAAAAUCAAUUCAAGAAUUGUAAGAAUGUUACUAAUUGGUUGGAGUAAUAAAGCCAUAGGAAAUAUGACAACAUUAGCAACCAUAACUGGCCUACUGAUCAUCAAAAGAUGCUGAAAAUAGCAAUACCUACUAGCAUUUAGACACAUGUAAAUAUGUAUGAUAAUAGAGAAAUGGGGUCAAAAUGAAGUUAUCGGUAGUGGUGUAUCAAGUUCUGCUGAUCAACAGUCAGGUAGAAUUUGGUAGCGGUGAACGGCAGCCCAUAUGAUAACUUUGACAAAGAGGACUGAAACAAAUGGGCCUAUUAUCUCCAGUGCUAAUGGAAGCAGAAUGAUGUACAAAGCACUAGAUGUGGAUACUUGAGGAUUUCUUGGCAGUGAUGGGGGCCAACAUAUCCACCACUUGUUCAUAGACAAGAAAUUAAGUGUUUGUCCAAAUCGGCAUGCUCUUUUUUCUGGAGAACACAAAGUGGUAAAAAGAUUGGAUCUAAAUGAAAAUGAUUGCAGAGCUCCUUUUCUUGUAUACUGUGGUUUUACACCUUUCUUGUUCACUGGAAUCUUAAUUUGCUUACAAAAAACUAUCAUAGAAUUCAAAUGUUGACACUCUCAGUCAACACACACCCAUUAACCCAUUAACUUAAGUAUGUUACUUGUUGACAACAUUUAUGCAAAACGGGUACAAUAAAACACAUUGAAUUCUUACUGGAAUAACCAAGGGAGUUGUUAAUUCUCCAGUCUUCUACAUAGUUGUCGCAGAAUUCACAUUAUGAUUAAUUAGUGGCAUCCAGGGUUAUACCCCUGAUGGAAACGUAUGAUUAUUUAUCUGUGUCUGAUACUGGGAGCCAGAAGAAUCAACAUUUACCUGCUGUUAAAGACGAUAACAAAAUGUAUUUCAUCAAUAUAUGAAUGGAACAUCGGAAACUUAUUGACAAUAACCAAAAAAGAUCUUCCCAAGGCCUUACAUUAUAUGAAGAAGAAACAGGUAAAUUUGGGGCACCAGAACCAGGCAUGUGGUUAUUUGACAUCGGAAGAUUUCGCUGAAAAUCAUGGGGAAUAGGUGGUCCCUAAGGAAUACUAUGCUUUCCUACUACAGGUCUACCAGUAACCUAUUGCAUAGGUUGAGGAAAUUGGAUUUGAGAAGGUUGAGACAUCGCAACAUUUGAAUGUCCAAGUGGCAGAAAUUAUUAAGAUGACCCGGAACCAUAAGGUUGUGCCUGUGGGCUGGAAGCAUAGGCUGAAACUGCUAAAGAUGUGGGGAAAAUAGUUAUCAUAAUGUCUCUACAUUCAAAAGUCAUUUAUACCUCCCCCGAGCCUCCACAACUUUACCUGCAAUGACAUGGAUGGAAUAGCACCAGGAGCAGGACCAGCCAGAGGAGGUAUAGGAGGCUUCUCAACCAAUAUCCAUGCAAGGAAGAACAAAUGAAAUCAGAAUUUAGCUACUUUUCAAUCAUAUUUAGUUAAUUUUCUAAUCAAUGUCGAAAGAUUGUAUCCAUGCGCAACUCCCUAAAUUAAUUUGAAAGACAAGGAAAGAAUUUUGAAGCCAAACCACAUAGUAACAUGAAACCAUUUUCUUCAUCUAAUAAAUAGAAAGCUUGAAACGAGAAUAAAGAGAGAUAGGAAAUAGAUGACCUAUCAUAGCGUUAGAAGAGAAUGGACAAAAUGAUAAGCAUCUUUACCUUAUGGCUUGGGUUCAACAUCUACUGAUGGUCUAAGUAUCUUUUCUUCGGGUGUAAAGAAGCACGUCUGUUAAUGCAAAACUAUGAUCAUGGAACUGAAACAUGAGGUAUGAGUAGGUAUUAGAAUAACUGAAAAAUACUGAGACCAGAAUGGGUUGAGCCUCACUCUUCCCUUCUGAUGUUCUAUGUCAUACUGACAUCACUACUAGAAUCUGAAAGCCUGACUUAGUUAUUCGCUCUAUCAUCUCCCCCUUAGCUUCAAGUCAUCAUAUUAAGUUUAGGAGAUCCCUUACUAGACUCUAAACUGAAGUACACUCACUGCAAUCUGGGGUUUGAAAAACUACUAUACACGCAUAUCAUGGCACUUAACCCAAAUGACUACACCUAAAAGUUGAAAACCCACUGUUAAUACUACCUUCUGAGAUACACUUUAUCAUUCUAUAGACCCAGUAGUCAUCAUAUAAUACUUGCAUACUUCUAACUUUGGGUCUUCAUAGGUAUCCCCAUAGUCGGAGUGCACACCCUCUAGUGCUUUAACUCUUAUUUCUAUUAGUUCAACCUUCAAAAACUCAAACUUAGAAUCUAGCUCUCAACAUGGAUAUCACUAAGACUUCAAUGAAUCAUACUACUUCCGACAUAGCCUACCAAUAUCGCGACUCCAAACUUACAUCUCUCUACUAUGAGAACUAAGAUCAUAUAAAAAGUCUCAACACUAUCAAUCAAACUCCUUAACUUGGCUAUUUAGAACGCCAUAUACCAUCUAACUAGUCUUUCUCCACCUAGCAACUCAACGGUACCACUCAUCACACAAAACGUGUAAUAGUCUUAGAAAAUACCGCAACCCCAGAUCACCUUGGGUAUACUUCUACAUUAUAUAUGCAACAUCAUACUUCACUACGAAUCAAAUAAACUUAAGCUCUUGCAUAUAUCUUUCAAUCCUAUUAGAUUACUUUCAUAAAACUAGUAUCAUUAACCAAGAAAUCAUCACAUCCACCUUCAUGGACAUCAAUUGUUCAAAACUUAAUGUCUAGUGCUAAACAUGAUUUUACAACCCAACCUUACACAUGAUUCUCACUUGGAUACCAUGAAAUAGACAUCAAGAAACACUAGUACACUAGAACUUCCAAACAAAAAAUAAUUGAUCUUGACCUUAUGGUGUUCCUUAUCAUAACUCAUUAGCACGUACUAUUUUAACACAUCAAGCCUAAUAAUUUUUUUCCCACAAAACAUACAUCAUUAAUCUCAUACCACUAUUUUUACCACCACAUUCUACAUUAAAUUCAAGCAUAUAGUCCUGUACCAAUCAUCUAUCACUACUGAAAAAUGCAACAUAAUAUGCUAGUCCAUAAAAUUUGGGACAUACUAUACAAGCGCCUAAAAAAUCACUACAUACCUUCUCACAAGUAGUACUAGUUUACAAUUACCAACGAAAACAAGGUCAAGGGGUAAAGUUACAUAAUAGACAUGAUCAACCUUAAUCUUAUAUUAUAACCCCAUACAAUCUUUUCUACUUAUACGGAUUUCUCACCUCAUACUUACAUACCCAAACAUACAUUUAGACUACUUUCAAAUUCCACAAACAACCAUGAGUCUAUACUUACAACUUACUGGCUAAUAUAGCCAUUUUCACACUUCAAGCAAUCGAGAAAUCACCCUAACUAAAAACUCCUUCUCUACCUUCUACUAAACUAACACACAAGGACAAAUCACCUCUUUACCAACUCAAUCUCAUGCAAACAGAUUCAGCUAUAUAUAUAUAUAUAUUAAACUAACACAAGAACAACAAGUUGGACAACAAGUUGCUAGUGAAUCGAAAUAGGCCUCACACAGCUUCACUAGACUUCGAUUUCGUAUUUUGAACAAGAAAAUGAGAUGAAUGACAAGUCAACUAUGCUAGUGAAUCAAAAGAUCCCCACAGAGCUUCACUAGACUUUAUUUUUUUCAACAACACCUUGAUGACAAGAUUACAUGAGAUACAAAUUUAAUAUGCAAUAUCCAAUGAACUAAGAAUACACAUCUUACUUUGUAUAAAUAAAAUCGGAGUCAAACACUUCCUCCACGAACUACCAUACCAUCAACACAUGCAACUAGUUACCACAUUAGUCUAUCACCAUAAGGAGGUAAAUCAUUCUCGAACAUCGGUUAUUAUACUAAAAUAUUCAUUUACACAAAAGUCACCCUCGCUCUGACUUCUAACUUUGUGACUUCACAUCACCAACUUCUUGGUCUAAUUUCACUACCAAUAGGUCAUGACAACAACACUUUAGCACAUACUACUAUUCGGGUAGAAAUAUAGUUCUAACAUUCUACUACACAUCAUCCCCCCUAAAGCAAAACAUUUGUAACAUAAAUUUGAAGGGGACUAAAUGCAAUUAAUACCUCAAGAUGAAAAUCACGAUUCCAUCAGGAUCAAUGUUUACAUCGGAAUCAAUACACAUUGAAGCACUAAUGGACUCUUCUCAAGUUCUUGCACAAAUUUUAACUCUUAUAUGGUUCAAUCAGAAAGGACCAUACCAUUUAGAUUCUAAACUUCUUCACUUGAAUCACCACAAUAAUGAGACAUAUCUGAGGACAUUAGAGUAAGGAAAGAAUUUGGGAUGUCUUUUUUUUUUUACUUCCGUAUGGGCGACACCAUAGCACGAAUUAGAGUAUGAAAGAGGAACAUUCUGACUCUAUUGCAUGAACUAGAACAUGAAGAAAGAGAGACAUUCCUAAACGCCUAGUAGCCUCCUACUUAUAAGUGUGGCGCGCUACACACCCAUAAACAAGACUCUACCCGACGCGAUUUCACAGACACCCUGGGACCAUGAACCGUGCUUUGAUACAAAGUUUGUCACGACCCGAACCGGGGCCCUGGCCGUGACGAGCAUUCUGAACAAUGACUAAAACAACCAUGUCCCACAAUAUAUAUCGACAUCUGAACAACCGUCAGCGAAAUCUCUAAUAUAUGACUGAAACAAAUUACUGUCUGAAAACUGGUCCCCAGUAGACCCAAAAAUACUAAAUGAUAAAUGAACUGACACAGAACUUCCGAAAUAUAGAAGGCUCACCACUUGAUUCUGCAAAUCUGUCGAAAGAGAUUUACUGGUUAUCUGAACCCCUAAACUAUGCCUCCAAACCUGGGAGAGAAGGGGGUCAAUAUAAAAGUACUAGUACGCAGAGAAACCAAAAACAAAAUAUAAUAUUUUUUUCCAAAUAUAGGUGAGAGCCAUUAUAAAGCAGUUCUAUAUCAAAUUAUUUGAAAACACAUGGGCACAAUGUAAUAGUUUUCAACAAUAAUGUAAUACAGCUGAGCUAGGUGGAAUACCCUGCAUAUAACAUUUACACCAACUGUCAAAUCUCGGUUGCCGCUGAGAUUAGAGUAUAAGUGAGAGGAAGACAUACAAGAUCACAUAGCAGGGUGUCUCGACCCAAUAAAGUAUAGUACUGCCCAAGAUCACUUAUCCUGGGCGCCUAACCAUAGUCCCAAUUUGGGAAUGACAUAAAGUCAAGUACACAAGAUCACUUAGCCAAGUACCAAAUCCCCAUAUCGGCAAACAUGGUUUCCAGCGAUGAGCCCUUACACUCAAACGCCUUCUUCGGGCAUCCACCUAUCUCAUGUAAAAUCAAUGCAUCAAACUCCAUUUAAUUCAAUCACAUAUCUUAUUCUGUAGGGUAUGGUCAUACCCGACUUACAAGCCAUCAAUAUCACAUCAUUCUUUCAUGCAACUAUUAUAUUCAUCAUAUUUCAACAUAACAACACUCUUAUUGUAAGUCAAAACCAUGACCAUUUUAAAAAUAUUUCAUGUCACGCUUGUCAAGAUGAUUUCAAACAUUUCAUAUCAUAUGAGAAUUUAAAACGAGAUCAUAUAAAAAGAGGGAUUUCAUAUAAUUCAUGCUCUCAAGUUAACAUCUUUUCGGAAUACAUGCAUAUACAUAUAUCAUAUAUCAAACCACUUCGGGAAUAGGCCUAAAGACCAAAUCAAUAUCAUAAAAUGUUUAAAAUGGGAUUAUAUUCAUAAUUUCAAAACCCCCAUUUUUAAAACAUAAAUUUUUAAGCCCAUGAGAUUUUUUAGAUAACCCCGCGUACCUCUAUAUGCGAAGAUGAUAGGUGCUUCUUGAAACCUACGUUCUAGGGAUUCCAACUAUGCAAUUCGUUUCAAAAACCCACGGUUGAAUCUUGAGUUGCUUAGGUUUUUAUUUUGAAACCCUCAGGAGAGUUCUUGAGAAAUUUUGAUGAAUGAAGGUGUAUUUUGGGGUAUUUUGGGAACUGAAUUUCGUGUUUAUGGCUAAAUAAGGGUGGAAAAAGGACCAUUUUGGCCCAAAAAUGGAGUGUUUAAGUCACUUGAGUAAUAAUAUAUGCGGCACAAACCUUAUCACAUAAUUUAGGUUGUGCGUCACACUCUUUAUCGCACACAUUAGAUUGUGCGUCGCACACCUUAUGGCAUAAGUUAGGGUGUGCGUCGUACACCUUAUGGCAUAAGUUAGGGUGUGCAUCGCACACCUUAUGCUGUACGAUACACUACACUUUGCAAAGCUAUAACUUCUUCCUCGGGUGUCAAAAUUUUGUUAAAUUGGUAUCGUUGGAAAGAUAAUUCGAAUAUCUUUCAUUUGAUAUAUAUUAGGAACUCUAAUUCAAUAUAUACAAAGAGUAAUGGUCGAUUGAAGUUGACCUAAGUCUCAACGCUCACUAAAAUUCGAAUGAUAGGAAAACUUUCAACUUGUCCUUGAGCUUGGGGACCUCUAUGAUCUCAAUUCAUGCUCAAAUAGGUUUCCACACUACAUAAUUUAUUAACACACUAAAUUUGCAUUGGAUUAUGGAUUUUGGAACCUUUAUGUGAAGAAAAUGACAAUUUUCGUUCUCGUCCGAAAUGCGGGGUGUUACAAAAUUUUGUUAGAAAAUGGAGUACAUUUUAGCUGCAUCGUACUCCAAAUACACUAAACUGAACUUUAAAAGUAAUAAUGCAUUUCUUACCUGUUGGUGUGUAGCAUUCAAAAGUUUUAUUGUCUUUGGUCGGAAGAUAGCCACAACGACGGUUUCAAGCAUGAAGAUUAAACUAAAAAGAAGCCAUGCUCGCUCUGGAGUUCCUGCUACAUGAUGCAAUAUUACUCUACAAUGUUGAAGCCACUUUCCUAAUCCUUGGAGUCUAAGUUCUUUCGAGAAUGAAAUAUGAUUAGGUAACACAUCCUAAACAUCAUUUGAAUCGGUGACAGGAGGUUUACUAUCGCGAUGUUCUCCAUCAGCAUCCAAACUACUUCUCUACAAUAAGGCUAGAAUCAUUGGGUCCAAUCCAUUCUCCUUCAGCAUCACUGCAAAAUUAGGAUCAAGCCCUUUAUCUUGCAAUAAAUUAGCUAAUUCAUGAUCAGUGUGUCUUCCUUUCCGCUUUAACAUAGAUGUAAUCCUCGGAUCACUCAACUUUUCUUGAAAUGCAAGUGCGAAAUUCAAGUCCAGUAUCUGUUGGUUUGCAGAAGUGGAUGUACUAGAAUCACAGCCUUGGCUUUCAAGGCCACUGCUAGAACAAAAAAACAAUGAACUAUUGUGCUCUAAUUUUCUGUCAACAUAUGAUGAUCCUACUUCAGUCUCUUGAACAACUGAACGAUAGGAACUACUACGUAGAGCUAGACUUAGUCUUUCACUGUCUAUGCUCUUAUCACUAUUAAUCCCCUCAAUAUUAUUCCAGGUACUGCCAUCACUAGUGCAAGGAACAAUUGCAUUAUCAAUAUGACCAGCAUCAGCACUACUACUACAUUUGAUACUUGAGCCACAACCCUCAGAAGAGCUUGCGGAGCUAUUUUGGUCAUUUCUGUGGAAACCUUCUCUAAGGCGGAUAACUGUGCUCUACAAGGCAUCUCGUCUAGCUGCUGAUGGGUCUGUAACUGAUAAAUGCCGUGAAACAGCAGCACCCAACAACACAGAUGUUACAAUUUCAUAACUGAUACAAUGUCCAAAGUACCUGAAACAAAAUUAUUGCAGUAAAAGAUUAGAAGAUUUUUUUUGAUAACAAAAGAUUAGAAGUUUCUAUUCAACAAAUAAUAUUAAAAGGGAUGCAUAUGCCACAAGUAUAAGAAGACUUAAUUAUGGAAGAAAAUGAAUUAGCAUGGGUUAAAAACAAACCAAUAAUGAACUCCAAAAUAGAUCAGGAACACUCGAGAUGUACCGGCAACAAAAAGUAUGAUGACUCGACUUUUCAGAAGCUUAAAGCCAUACAAGCAAACUCCUAAGUUCCAAUCUGAUUGAAUGAAAAGAUAGUGAAUUCAUUACUUACCACAAAGAUAUAAGAAAUUAUUUCACAAUACGAGUCAGAAAAGGAGACAGAUAUAUGUAGAAAAUGAACUACCAAGGAUUAUCACGGCAGCUGAUGUUGUAGCCCCAAGCCAGUUUGAUUUCUUUUCUGUCAGACCAUACAGGAUAGAAUACACAAGAAGUACUACAAGUGAACCAACAUAUAGAAGUCCAAGAUGCAGAGCCCUGCAGAGCCCAAGUUCAAAGUGAAGAAGGGUAAAUUAUAGACUUCAGAGAAAAUAUUGAAAAGAUAGUGCAGAAAAUAUGAUGAGCAGUAUAAAUGAGAACCCACUGAACACAUAAUAUAAUAAGGUACUUUCUAAUCUAAAGCAGCAUUUAAAUUAAUUUUCUUAGCAGUGGGAUUUUAAGAUCUACUAUUUUUACUGGACUACUGGAGAGUGUGUUUUGUUCUCUCAGAGUUUGUAUUCCUUUUACUCAAAUAGGUUUGAGUUACACCCAUUGUUUAGCGUUCUUUGGCUCUUAAUUUUAAAAGUCCAUUAGAAUGAUUAGAGGGCAGGGUGGAACUCCCUCAUAGCAAGUCAAAUGAAGUUUAAAACUAUAUAAAGAAGAUGAAACUAGAGGCUUCUGUAUGUGUCUCACAUACUUGGCAUAAACCAUGUGUGAAUGAGCACAACAGAAUCAAAUGUACUGAGACAAAGCAAGCAUUUGAUUGCAGAUCAAAUGGAAGAGUCUGCCAACCAACCAAAUUUAAGAGCAGCUCUGGUCCAUGCACCAUUUUGAGGUAAAGUUAUAUGGUUAAAAAUUUGGACGUUACUUAAUAUAUGCACAAACUGAAAAUGAACUGCCCAGUUAGACAAGUGCUUUUUGUAUCUACCCAGUGACAACCUUAGUGAAAGAAUACAUCAAUGAGAAGUUAACUCAGUAAGCUUAAUGAGCUUUCUCCUGCAAGGAAUGAAAGUGUGGAUGACCCAACAUCAAAUAUACGAUUAUUAUUAUACACACAAUCUCCAUACAACAGCAACAACAUACCCGAUGUAUAUUCGGGCCGAAUAUAUGCAAACUAUACCUCUACCUCAGAGACGAGAAAAAAAUGGUAGCACCAAUCCUCACUAAAUACUUCAUAACACAAAAAACAGCCAAUACUUACAAAACCAAAUAAAGCAAAAGAAGUUCAUUGUCUUGAUCACCAGCAAGUAAAACAAAUGUUUACAAUUGGAGAUUCAAAAAGGUUGCAAAAGAAAGAAGCAAACUUUCUAUUUAACAAGUAUCAAAGGGGGGAAAAUAAGAGUAAAACCAGUAAGUAUACGAGAAGUAUGAACACUAUAGUCAAUGAACAAAAUAUGAAUUGUAGUUUAGCCAUUUAGCAUCCAUCACUCCAACAGAGAAUUAGGUCUUGUAAGAAGGUCGAAAGAUUUGCCUAUCGAGUCUUUCAAGAUUAUGAUUUGACCCUCUUUCAUAAGAAAGUCUUCGUUGAGGGUAUCUACCUUCCUUUUCAACAUAUUGAUUCAUAAUUCAACGGCAUGUUCAUCUCACUGUAGCACUUAACUUCCUCCCACAUGAAAUCCCUCUCCUGAAACACUUUUGGUAGUAUCUCCUUCACAAUGCCAAGUUCCUUCAUGCAUUCUUGCAAAUCAUUAGUAAGCUGGUUGAUAUUUUCAUCCUUUUUUAGCAGCUGCCAGAAUCAACCGUAAACCAUGAAAAACAAGAAAGACACAAAGAUCACCAAUAACAUUUCAUCAAAAAUUCAAAACAAAACCAUAGCCUAGAAGUUCAACCAAAUCAUGAAUCCUUUUUAACUGUUAAAAUUCACAGUAGAUAACUCGUGAACUUGUCCAAGAAUUAAGUCAGAUGAACGAGCAAACUUACCGAAACCCCUUCGGGUAACUUUACCACAUCAGAGCAAAAUCAGAUCAAUGGGUUUGAGGAUAUCACAAAGUGUAUCAUGUUCUUGGUUGGUUCAACUUAUUACACAUUAAGGCGAUCAGACAUUUCAUAGAAGACUACCACAUGCCAGCAACUCAUGUAUACAAGUUCAUAAAGAAAAUCGUGAACUUCAGAUGGAACAAAGAUGAACCUAAAAUCAAACAGAAGUAGAAAGCUAAUGCAGAGAGAGUAAGAUAUGAACAGACUAUCAUAUAUGAAGACGAGGUAUCCAAAGUUGAAAAAUAAAAACUAUUUCGUUGCAAUGAGAUCUUAACAUUUCAUGCUUACCUGAAGCUCGAGAUAUUUCAACUUAGGUAUGGCAUAAGAAAGAGUGUCCAACGCAUUUCGCACUUCAUAUUUGAGAAUGUCGUUACCUCUAACUAUUGCGACUAGAUCAGCCUGAAGCUGCUUUAUGUCCAUCUCCUCGGAAUAGAGCUUCUCCCUUAGCAUAGUUGUUAGCAAAGUCUCUGAUUUAAGAUCUUUAACCUUUUCCUGGUAGUUUUCUCAGACAUAAUCUCUAUUGUCUUGAGCUACUCGAUAUUCCGUUUGUAACUGAGUGAGCUGCAACCUUAGAUUUUGAUUCUCCUCUGACACUUGCUCUAUUCUCUUAGACAAAUCUCCAAGGUAUUUCUCCGAAAAUGACAUAUUGAUUCUAUUAUCUACUUCCUUCUCAUUAAAUAAAGAGACUUCCCUUGGUAAAGAGACAUUCUACUCUACAAGCUCCCUCACCCUUUCAUAGAGUCUAUGUUGUUCAAUUUGGUAUUUCUCAAGUUUUAAAGACCAAUCACUGGAUCUUCUAUCCAACUACUUUUCCAUUAUUGAUUGUAACUCAUUCUUUUCUGUCUCCAAUCUUCGUGUCCAUGAAUCUAUUUCUGCCUGUAAUAUGCUAGCUUCUUCCUUAGCAGAAGCCCUUUCAGCAACUUGAUUCCAUAGCAUGCUUAAAACUUCAGAAGCCAUUUGUACCUUCUCCUUUGUCAAUCUUCUAAUAGUCUAAAUCAACACUGGAAUGCUAAGGUCUCUGCCAUAAGAAAUAUUUGUCAUUACUUUGGACAAGCAAAUGCAAAUUAAAACAUCAGUUUAAGUGUGAAAAAGAAAGCUAUAGCAAAAUGAUAUGCAUACCGGCUUGAAUCACGACCAGAUUUCUUAGGAUGAACUUUCUUACUAUGACCAUGGAGAGAUUUGCUCAGAUUCGUGAAAUUCUUUUUUCCUAACCCACUGUCAUAAAAGAAUCCAGAUGACAAUGAAACACUUCUCCUAGAAGAAACUUCCUUGGACUUUAAUGGUGGUGAAGGGGUCUUGUUUGCAUCAUUAGUUGAUGAUCAAAAAAAGAAGAAGUUGUUCUUCAUCAUCUCUAUGUAUGGAUACUGUACAUGAAUCAAAACUAGUGUCCAUGAGAUUUCAAAGGAUAAAGCAAAACACUCAUAAACAGCCACUCACAAAUCAUUAUCCAUUCAUGAAAAUACUGCAAGCUAACUAAAUACUUAUGAUACAAAGAAAAACAUCUCUCUUUCUACAUGCUUCUUCUUCAACAACAACAUACGUAACCCCUACCUUGGCAAGUAGAAAAUUUAUUUCCCAUAAAUCCUCGGCAAGGAAAGCAAAAACACGAGGAUAUUAACAACAGUAGCAAGUAUGAAAAUAGAGGUAUACGAUACAAAAAGUAGAAAAAAAAAUAUGUACUAAUACUACUACCAGAAGAGACAUGACGCGAAACUAUUUAGUACUAGUCUUCUACUGAAAAUAAAUAAAAUACCCCACAAACAAAUAGCCCAAGAACAAUUCAAAGAACUUAUCAAAUCCUUCUGAUAAAACAAAUAAUCAUGGUAAAUAAUUAAAAAAAAAAAAAGAGAAAUUACUGAAUCAAAGAGUUGAAAGAGUAAGAGCCGGCAAAAGGUUGUCAGAAUCUGUAGGAUUCUUGUCAUUUUUUCUUGAAAUGUAAAAAUAGCAAAGGACUAGAAUGGAGAAAACUUUAUUUCUGUGUCUUUCAUUCAUCAUCGUACAAUGCAUAUAUACAACUAACAAGGAUCUGUAAAUUGCAAGUAAAUAUUUACAAGGAUCUGUAUAUGGCAAGUAAAUAUUUACAAGGAUCCAUAAAUAUGACAAGUGAAUAUUUACAUACACAUAAUGAAAAACUUGAGAAAUACCCAUGAGAGAGAGAGAGAAGAAAAGUGUAACAAAUAUUUUGUGUUAUUCAAUGGCUAUAAAUAGCCAUAUGAGGUCAAAUUUUCCAUAUAAUAGAAAUAAGAUGUAAACUAUAAAUUAACUUUUUCAAAUUAGCACACAAAUUAACUUAAAUUAUGAAAUUAAAGAUAUUUAUUUUUUCAAAAUUUAACUUUUCCAUAUAAACAUCACUGAAUUGAUAUAAGCAAUAUUUUGAAACGUGAUAAAUUAAUUAAAUAACACAAAAAUAUUGUAAUAUUGUAUUUCUUUUAUCUCUAGAUCUUUUUUAAUACAUAAGAAAUACUAAAGUCAUACAAUAAUCUCCUUUCUUUUUAUAGUCCAAACUUACCAUUUAAAAAUCGUUUCAUUUGAAUUAAUAAGAUCAUAGUAGAUUGUACAAAAUCAGUUAAUAAAUGAUAUAUAUUUCCAUUAAAUAAAUAAAGUACGAUAUAAUUGUAAUAAGACUACACAAUCAACUAAUUAAUUUCACUUAAUUAGAUUAAAUUUUAUGAUCAUAAUAUAUAGACUAAAGUUCCUUAAAUUUAAUGUUGUAAAUUUCAAAAUACAUUUAUGGCUAAAGUAGUAGUCAAUGUUCGUUAUUUUUUUUAAUCAAUAUAUGUAUAUCAAUUAUAGAACUUUGCAUAUAUUCUUUAUUAAAAUAAUUGUCAAUAUUAAUUGAAUUUUACCAUAAUUUAAUCUAAUUAGUUUGAUAACAGUACAAUUAUUAUUAAUAUUAUAUAUUUUUUAACCAUAAAUUUGUCCUAAUUUUAUAGAUUAUUCUAUUUAGUUAAUCUACAAUUACAUAAAGGACUCAAAUAUGGAAACAAUUGAUAUUAAUUACCUUUAUAAUUUCAAAAAUUUAAUCCCAUGAAUUUCUCAUACUCUUAUAGUUUGAUUAUAGCAAAUUGAUAUUAAUUACCUUUAUAAUUUUGGGAAGAAUUUUUAAAAGUUAACGAUUAUUUUUUUCCUAAUUGUUGAUUUAUUUCUCAAAAAUUUCUUAUAAAUUUAUAAUUUGAUUGUAGUUAAUUGAUUAAUUAAUUAUCUUUUUAAUUUGCUAAAAACUCAAAUAAGGUACAAUUAUUUUUUCUCAAUUACAGAUUUUCUUAAAUUCAAUCUUUUAUUGUUUUACUAAAAUAGUUCAAAUUUAAUUGUUUUGAGGCAUGACAUCUUUUUGUCUAUAAAUCUUUUUUAAUACAUAAGAAAUGCUAAAGUNNNNNNNNNNNNNNNNNNNNNNNNNNNNNNNNNNNNNNNNNNNNNNNNNNNNNNNNNNNNNNNNNNNNNNNNNNNNNNNNNNNNNNNNNNNNNNNNNNNNNNNNNNNNNNNNNNNNNNNNNNNNNNNNNNNNNNNNNNNNNNNNNNNNNNNNNNNNNNNNNNNNNNNNNNNNNNNNNNNNNNNNNNNNNNNNNNNNNNNNNNNNNNNNNNNNNNNNNNNNNNNNNNNNNNNNNNNNNNNNNNNNNNNNNNNNNNNNNNNNNNNNNNNNNNNNNNNNNNNNNNNNNNNNNNNNNNNNNNNNNNNNNNNNNNNNNNNNNNNNNNNNNNNNNNNNNNNNNNNNNNNNNNNNNNNNNNNNNNNNNNNNNNNNNNNNNNNNNNNNNNNAUUUCAUUUGAAUUAAUAAGAUCAUAGUAGAUUGCACAAAAUCAAUCAAUUAAUUAUAUAUAUUUUUAUUAAAUAAAUGAUGUACGAAAUUGUUGUAAUAAAACUAUACAAUCAACUAAUUAAUUUCAAUUAAUUAGAAUCAAUUUUAUGAUCAUAAUAUAUAGACUCAAGAUCUUUAAAUUUAAUGUUUUAAAUUUUAAAAUAUAUUUAUGGCUAAAGUAGAAGUCAGUGUUCGUUGUUUUUGUAACCAAUAUAUGUAUAUCAAUUACGAAAAUUUGCAUAUAUUUUUUAUUAAAAUAAUUGUCAAUAUUAACUAAUUUUUAACUCAAUUUAAUGUAAUUAAUUUGAUAACAAUAAAAUUAUUAUUAAUAUUAUAUAUUUAUUUACCAUAAAUCAGUCCUAAUUUUAUAGCUUGAUUAUAGUUAAUUAAUCUAUAAUUACAUAAAGGGCUCAAAUAUGAAAACAAUUGAUAUUAAUUACCUUUAUAAUUUCGGCAAUUCAAUCCCAUGAAUUUCUCAUGUUUUUAAUAGAUUGAUUAUAUUAAAUUGAUAUCAAUUACCUUUUUAGUUUUGGGAAGAAUUUAAAAAAGGUAACGAUUAUUUUUUUUCCUAAUUACUGAUUUAUUUCUCAGAAAAUUCUUAUAUAUUCACAAUUAGAUUAUAGUUAAUUGAUUAUUUAAUUAUCUUUAUAAUUUUCUAAAAGCUCAAAUAAGGUAACAAUUAUUUUUUUCUAAAUUAAGGAUUUUCUUAUAUUCAAUCUUUUAUUGUUUUACUAAAAUAUUUCAAAUUUAAUUGUUUUGAGGGAUGACAACUUUUUGUAUCUAAAUCUUUUUUUAAUACAUAAGAAAUGCUAAAGGCAUACAAUAAUCUCCUUUCUUUUUAUAAUCCAAACUUACCAUUUACAAAUUAUUUCAUUUGAAUUAAUAAGAUCAUAGUAGCUUGCACAAAAUUAAUUUAUUAAUUAUAUGUAUUUUUUUAUAAAAAAUAAUGUACGACAUAAUUGUAAUAAAAUUACACAAUCAACUAAUUAAUUUCAAUUAAUUAGAAUCAAUUUUAUGAUCAUAAUAUAUAGACUCAAAUUCCUUAAAUUUAAUGUUGUAAAUUUUAAAAUAUAUUCAUGGCUAAAUUAAUAGUCAGUGUUCGUUGUUUUUUACCAAUAUAUGUAUAUCAAUUACGAAAAUUUGCAUAUAUUUUUUAUUAAAAUAAUUUCAAUAUUAACUGAUUUCUUUCUCAAUUUUGAUCUAAUUAAUUUUAUAACAAUAAAAUUAUUAUUAAUAUUAUAUAUUUAUUUACCAUAAAUCUAUCCUAAUUUUAUAGCUUAAUUAUAUUUAAUUAAUCUACAAUUACAUAAAGGACUCAAAUAUUGAAACAAUUGAUAUUAAUUACUUUUAUAAUUUUAAAAAUUUAAUCCCAUGAAUUUCACAUAUUCUUAUAGUUUGGUUAUAUCAAAUUUAUAGUAAUUACCUUUAUAAUUUUGGGAAGAAUUUAAAAAGGUAACGAUUAUUUCAUUUCCUAAUUACUGAUUUAUUUCUCAAAAAUUUCUUAUCAAUUCACAAUUUGAUUAAUUAAUUAUCUUUACAAUUUGCUAAAAACUCAAAUAAGGUGACAAUUAUUUCUUUUAUUAAUUAUGGAUUUUCUUAUAUUCAAUCUUUCAUUGUUUCACUAAAAUAGUUCAAAUUUAAUUGUUUUGAGGGAUGACAUAUUUUUGUCUAUAAAUCUUUUUUAAUACAUAAGAAAUGCUAAAGUCAUACAAUAACCACCUUUAUUUUUAUAAUCCAAACUAAUUGCAUAUUUGGAAUCCCCAGAACGCAGGCUUCAAGAAACACCUAUCAUCUUCGCAUUUAGAGGUACGUGGGGUUAUCCUAAAAUCUCAUAGGCCUUUAAAUUCAUGUUUUACAAUGGGGGUUUUAAAACUACGAUCAUGUUUUGAAUGUUUCUAUAAUAUUGAUUUGGCCUUUAGGCCUAUUUCCGCAGUGAUUUGACAUAUUAUAUAUGUAUAUGCAUGUGUUUUGAAAAGGUGUUAAUUUGAGAGCAUGAAUUAUAUGGAAUCCCUGUCUUGAUGUGAACUUGUUUUAUAUUUUCAUACGAUUUAAAUUGUUUGAAAACGUCUUGAAAAGCAUGAGAUGAAAUGUGUUGAGAAUUGAUAUGAUUUUGACUUGAAAACGAGAAGGCUAUUUGCGUUGAAACAUGUUGAAUACAAUGGUUGAAUGAGAAGAAUGAUGUGAUAUUGAUGGUAUGCAAGUCGGGUAUGACGAUACCCUACAGAAUAUGAUAUGUGAUUGAAUCAGAUGAAAUUUGAAUGCAUUGAUUUUACAUGAGAUAGGUGGAUGCCCGAAGAAGGCGUUUGAGUGUAAGGGAUCAUCACUGGAAACUGUGUUUGCCGACAUAGGAAUUUGGUACCCUGCUUUGUGAUCUUGCAUACCUGACUUUAUGUCAUUCCCAAGUUGGGACUAUAGUUAGGAGCCCUACUUUGUGAUCUUGUGCACAACCAUUAGGCCGAGACACCCUGUUGUGUAAUCUUGUGUGUCUUCCCCUCACUUAUACUCUAAUCUCGGUGGAAACCAAGGUUCAACAGUUGGUGUAAAUGUGAUAUGUAAGGUAUUCCACCUAGCUCAGCUGCAUUAAAUUGUUGUUGAAAACAAUUACAUUACGCCCAUGUGUUUUCAAAUGAUUUGAUGUGAAACUGCUUUAUAAUGGCUCUCAACUAUAUUUUGUAAAAAUAUUAUGUUUUGUUUUGAUAUCUCUGCGUACCGGUACUUUUGUAUUGACCCUCUUCCCUUCCAGGUUCGGAGGCACAGUCUAGGGGUCCAAAAAAUCAGUAGAUUCCUCAGACAGAUUUGCAGAGUCACUUGGUGAGCCUUCUAUAUUUCGGAAGGCCUGAUCUCUGGCAGUUUCAUUUAUCAUUUAUUAGUUUUGGAUCUACUGGGGGCCUUGUCCUAGUUUUCAGAUAGAUAUUUAUUUCAGUCAUAUAGUAGAGAUUUUGCAAACAUUAAUAGAGAUAUUGACUUGAGAUUAUGGGACAUUAUUCCCCGUUAUUGAUUUCAUAUGUUUCUUGACCAUGUUUCCGUAAUAUUAUUUAUCUUCCGUAUUUCUUUUAUCAUAUGAGUUAUGUACAUGAUUAUCAGACAAAUAAGGGUAUUUUGGGCCUUCAUGGUUCGGAAUGCUCGUCACAGCUAGGGCCCCAGUUUGGGUUGUGACAAACUUGGUAUCAGAGCACGGUUCAUGGUCCUAGGAUUUUUACAAAAUCACAUCGGGUAGAGUCUUAUUUAUGGGUGUGUAGCGCGCCACACUUAUAAGCAGGAGGAUACUAGGCGUUUAGGAAUGUCUCUCUUUCUUCAUGUUCCAAUUUGUGGAAUAGAGUCAAAAUGUUGCUAUUUCAUACUGUCAUUCGUGCUAUAGUGUCGCCCAUAUGAAGGUAAAGACAUCCCAAAUUCUUUCCUUACUCUGUUUUUCUUAGACAUGUCCCAUUAUUGGGGUGAUUCAAGUGCAAAAAGUUUAGAAUCUACAUGAUAUAGUCUUUUUCGAUUGUGUCAUAUAAGAAAAAAAAUUAUGCAAAGACUCGAGAGGAGUCUGUUGGUGCUUCAAUAUGUGUUGAUUCUGAUGUAAACAUUGAUCCUGAUGGAAUUGUGCUUUCCAGCUUAAGGUAUUAAGUGCAUCUAGUCCCUCCCAAAAAUCUUGAUACAGAUAUGGAUGGUGUAUAGCAGAAUGUUGGAACUGUAUUUCCACCCAAAUAGUAGCAUAAGUUAAAUUGUUGUUGUCAUGACCUAUCGGUAAUGAAAUUAGACCAAGAAGUUAGUGAUGUGAAGUCACAAAUUUAGAAGUCAGAGUGAGGGUUAUUUUUUGUGUAAAUGAAUAUUUCAGUUGAAUAACCGAUAUUUGAGGAUGAUUUACCCCUUUAUAGUGAUAAACUACUGUGGUAGCUAGUAGCACAUGUGGAUGGUAUGGUACUCCAUGGGGGAAGUAUUUUACUCUGAUUUUUAUUUAUACAGAGUAAGAUAGGUAUUAUUAGACCAUUAAAUAUUAUGUGUCAAUUUCCUAUCUCUUGUACUAUGUAAUAUUGUUAUCAUGGUGUUUUUGAAAAAAAAAAAAAUUUAAGUCUAGUGAAGCCAUGUGGGGAUCUUUCGAUUCACUAGCAUAGCUGUCUCAUGUAAUAUGUAAUCUUGUUAUCACGAUGUUUUUGGAAAAAAAAAUGUAAAAACUUUUUAAAGUCUAGUGAAGCCGUGUGGGCUCUUUCGAUUCACUAACAUAGUUGCCUUGUUAUUCAUCUCAUUUUUUGGUUCAAAAAUAUAAAAUUAGAGUCUAGUGAAGCCGUGUGAGGCCUAUUUUGAUUCACUAGCAACUUGUUGUUCUUUUGUUGGUUUAAUAUACGUAUGGCUGAAUCUGUUUGCAUAAGAUGGAGUUGGUAAAGGGGUGAUUCGUCCUUGUGAGUUAUUUUAGUAUAAUUUGAGGAAUUUGAAGGCAGUCUAAAUGUAUGCUUGAGUAAGUAAGUAUGAGGUGAGAAAUCCGCAUAAGUAGAUAAGAUCGUAUAGGGUUAUAAUAUCAGAUUAAGGUUGAUCAUGUCUAUUAUGUGACCUUACCACUUGACUUUUUUCGUUGGUAUUUGUAAACUAGUACUACUUAUGAGAAGGUAUGUAGCAAAUUAUGAGGUAUUUGGAUAGUACUAAAUGACUGGCAGAGAUUUUUCAAAGUUUUACAGGAGUUCUUGAAACUAUUUUCUAAAAAAUUAAGAGUACUUUGAAAAAAAUCUAUAUAAAUCUUUUACUUACUGAUUUCCUAGACAUCAAUUAGGACGGGGAGUCAGGGGUGGAAGUCCCAACAUGAUGAAAUACCUAAAAGAUGGCGAGGGCAAAUCAAGGAUAGUAGGAGGUCAACACGGAGUAGUUUCUUUCAAACUAAUCAUUUUUUGUGGAUGCAGGGAUCGAUACACAAAAUGAGCGUUUCUUUCGAAAAAUCCCCAAGCAAGUCGGGAGCCAUGAUAGAGCAUAUAAUGCUUAAUAACGGUACUUUUGGUAGCCUAAAAAUCGGCUCAACACCCAUUUAUUGACGACCUUUUGAAUUGUCCAUCUCAUUUCUUGAGAUCAUGGAGGACAAACAAAAGUGUCUUGUCUUCUUUACAAAUAUUGUAUUUAGAAUUUUUCUAAAAAAAAUAAUCGCUAGCAAAAGCAACUUUGUGUCUACUAAUCUUCUACCUUGAGUAUAGGUACAUGCAGAAAGCAAGACCUUGACAAAUGAUUUCAGGAGAAACUAUUUUUAAUUUACCGAAAGAACCAUUGCAUGUUAUUGCCAAGAGGUCCAUUGCAUAUCAUCGUUAUUCAAUAUCUGUUCACGCGCUAGAUACAACGCUGGCAUCGAGGAUAUCAUUAGCAUUUAAUAUAUCCAUUGACACAAAAGACACAAUGCUGGCGUCAAGGAUAUCAUCAUCAUUCAAUAUCUAUUGACGCGCUAGACACAACACUGGCGUCGAGGAUAUCAUCAGCAUUCAAUAUAUCUGUUGACACGCAAGACACAACACUCGCGUUAAGGAUAUUAUCAUCUUUCAAUAUUUUUUGAUGCGCUAGACAAUGCUGGCAUCGAGGAUAUCAUCAGCAUUCAAUAUAUCUGUUAACACACAAGACACAACGCUGGCAUCGAGGAUAUCAUCAUCAUUCAAUAUUUGUUGACGCACUAGACACAACGCUGGCAUCGAAGAUAUCAUCAUUAUUAUAUAUCUGUUAACACACAAGACACAAUGCUGGCAUCGAGGAUAUCAUCAUUAUGCAAUAUCUGUUGACAUGGAAGACACAAUGCUGGCAUCGAGGAUAUCAUCAUCAUGCAAUAUCUGUUGACAUGCAAGACACAAUGCUCGCGUCGAGGAUAUCAUCAUCAUGUAAUAUCUGUUGAUGCGUAAGACAUAACACUGUCAUCAAGGAUAUCAUCAUCAUUUUAUAUUUGUUGACACGCAAGAUAUAAAUGCUGGCAUCGAGGACAUCUUAUCAUUUUAUAAAUCAGUAUAUGAAUGCAUCGAGAGCAUACGAUUUGAAGGGACACCUUUAAGUCGCUAUCUAAGGAUGAAUGUAUAUAAGAUUUCUUGGAAAUUAACAAUUUGAGGGUCAUAUAUAAGUCAUAUUAUUUGAAAUAGGAUAGUGUGCAAGAUCACCUAUAAUUUGAUAGCCGGUAGGUCAUCCGUAAGCCACAACAACCUCCUAAUCGGAUAGUGUGCAAGAUCACCCAAAAAUCGAUAGUUCAAAUCCAUAAGUCGAAACUAAAUCCUUACCGGAGAAUAUGGAAGAUUAUCAAAUUGAUACGUCCAAGGAUUCUCUAUAAGCCGUGUCAUAUCUAAGAUCGAUUAUGUGCAGGAUUACCCAAAGACUAAUAAUUUGAGGGAUUAUCUAUAAGUCAUAUUUUAUCCAAGGUCGGAUGAUGUGCAGGAACACCUGAAAGAUAGCGAUUGGAGGGAUAUCUGUAAGCCAUCUCUUAUUCAAAGUAUGAUAAUGUGCAGGAUUACCUAAAAGCUAGAAAUCAAAAGGAUAUCUGUAAUUCACCUCGUAUCCAACAUCAAAUAAUGCGUAAGAUUAUCCAAAGAUUGAUAAUUUAAAGGAAAUUUAUAAAUUGAUCAUCGGCUAUAAAUGGUGAGAUUAUCCAAAGGGUUGCCACACCAGCACAAGACUACACGGUUGUAGAGACUGUUCUGCAUAAAGUAUCACUGGUGUCCAAAAUGGGCACCCACUUUGAAGACAUAUUCAACCGACAAAUGUCAUAAUUAUACAACAACCAAGAGGGUUGUUGUGUUUGGUCUUGUGGUUUAUUUCAUUCCAAACAGGUACAUGAAGAGAUGACUCCGCUUUUCAAGCCACAACUCAUGUGCAGAUAUGGUAAAAGACUGCAUACCUCUUUAGUGAAUUAUGUUUAGCACUAACACUUUUUGCUUGAAGCAUUGUCAAGAGUAUCCGAGAGGAUGAAUAUCUCAAAUGAACACCACAGGUGCAUAUGACUUCAAAUAAGAUGCAACACCCGAAUCCAACCCGUUUUCUUUUUCCUCUUUAUGAUCACGCAUGUUCCAUGAGAAUCCAUACGAGAAGAUGUCGAGAAUCUUCUAGAAACACACUUAGGUGUCUCAUCCAACGUUCAAAUCCCAAAAUUCUCGGAUAGAGGUUUACGAAUUCGUACAUAGAUGGAGUAUUUUCAUUGGCUUGUGAAGAUUAUUCCCUUUCCACCAAUUUCUAUUGGCGACUUUUUGGAAUUUCGUUCAAGAAAAUCAAAAUAGAGGUACAGUUCGUUAGGGUCCGGAUCUUUUGAAUUUCAAAAAUGAACCCUCAAUUUCCUUCUAUAAGUAGCUCUCUUUAGAGAAAGAAAAAGGGAUUUUUUUGGGGAUUUUGGAAUUUUUUUCACUGGCCUCUCCUUUCCUUUAUGGGUUCUCCUCUUCUUUCUCUUUGGAGUUCAAAAUUUUAGAGGCAAAGAGUGUUCAAAAGUUUUGGGUUGAAAAUUUAGGGUUAGAGAAAAUCUUCAAAAAUUCAGAAAUACACAAAAAAAAAAAGGGUUAGAAAGGGGGCUCUCAGAGGGAAAAAAUAUUCUCUUUACGCCUAAGAAACAUACAUUCUUAGGAGGUGCAUCUGAACUGUCGAAGCAGUUGUGAGUUUUUCAGUGGUCGGAAUCCUAUAAUCAGCUUGUUAUCCCAUUUUGCUGCCCCAAAAGAGGUAAAUACACCUUUCUUUUUAAUUUUGUUGUGGUUAUCAUUUUCUUCUUCGUGGUUCCACUUCUGUUUGCUGGGAAUGACUGCUGUAGAGGCCUGGAAGGCAUAGGAUUUUCAUGUUUGAUAUAUUGUUCUACUAAAAAACUCAUUAUUGCCCGUGUUUGAUUGGUUGUCGUUCAUGCUUGAUCUCUCUUAUUUUAUUUUGUUUGAAUGUUACAGUUAGCUUUAAUGCUUCGACUUUAGAAACUAUUUUGCUGGUCUCAUAUUCGAUGUUUCUUUGUAGUUCAUAGAGUAGGAGAAUAAAAUCUUUACGUAUUUUCUAAAUUCAAAAAAAUGUUCAAAGAAUAGAUAUUAGGCAGCCUGUUCGCAUAUCUUUUUCACUCAAACGCAGGAAAUUGUUAUAAAUAAGAACUAGAAUGUUAUUUUCUUUCGACUUGCCACUUUAGAUGUACAAUAGUCUUAUUUUAUUCUAAAGUUUAUUUUAAAAUAUGAGAGUGGACCAUAGGGAUGAAUUAUGUUUUCUUCAUGGCUAAUUCAAUUUGCCGUAAUUGACUCAUGAGAACAAAUUAAAGUUUGACGGGNNNNNNNNNNNNNNNNNNNNNNNNNNNNNNNNNNNNNNNNNNNNNNNNNNNNNNNNNNNNNNNNNNNNNNNNNNNNNNNNNNNNNNNNNNNNNNNNNNNNNNNNNNNNNNNNNNNNNNNNNNNNNNNNNNNNNNNNNNNNNNNNNNNNNNNNNNNNNNNNNNNNNNNNNNNNNNNNNNNNNNNNNNNNNNNNNNNNNNNNNNNNNNNNNNNNNNNNNNNNNNNNNNNNNNNNNNNNNNNNNNNNNNNNNNNNNNNNNNNNNNNNNNNNNNNNNNNNNNNNNNNNNNNNNNNNNNNNNNNNNNNNNNNNNNNNNNNNNNNNNNNNNNNNNNNNNNNNNNNNNNNNNNNNNNNNNNNNNNNNNNNNNNNNNNNNNNNNNNNNNNNNNNNNNNNNNNNNNNNNNNNNNNNNNNNNNNNNNNNNNNNNNNNNNNNNNNNNNNNNNNNNNNNNNNNNNNNNNNNNNNNNNNNNAAUGCUAUGGCUUAUUAAUUGUUAAAAUCUUGGACGUAUGUUAAUUUCUUCAUUCCUUUCUUUUCAUUCACCCCCUUGAAGUUCAAAUGGGCCCCUUCUCUCUUGUCAUUUCAUAAAUGGGCCAAUGAGGCCUAUCCUUCCGAGUUAAUCCCAAAAGAAAAUCCAAGAAUCCAUCACAUGGUGUAUGAAUACGAGGAAUCGAAAGAAGAAUGGGUUAAAGUUCCAUCUUUGAAGCGGCAAAGGGGACUUGAAAAUCUCGUUAUUUCUUCUUUAUUAAUUUAUUUAUCCAUUGUUUCCAUUAUUUAUUUAUUUACUUAUUUAUAUUUUUGUUUAUUUAGUGAAUUAUUUAUUUAUUCAUUUGGGCCUCGAAGCCAAAGUUGUAAAUUUAAAAUAGGUGGAACGAGACUUGAGCUAUUUGCUUACUUGUUUUACGUGUGUUUUACGAACCUAGUAAAAUCCUUAGUCAAGUCGCUAAAAAACUGGUUUUGUAUAAACACCAAAAUAUUUCUAAAAUUGCUUUUCUUUUCAAAAAAUAAACUUUUUCAAAGUUAAUCAAAAGACGAUUUUCAAACAAUCCGGAUAACCAUAAGUUAGCGAACAUUUUAGAUGCCUAAUACCUUCCUAAAACGUUAAUAGGAACUGCUUAUCUAGAAUCUCUAACUUAAAACGAUUUUUCUAUUUUGAAUCGUUUGCAGUAACUCUCUAACGGUUUCUUAAUUCCUUUUCAAAAUUAAGUGGCGACUCUCAAAAAGUCAAAAAUUCCGCAAAACAAUAUCAACCACAAUCACAUCCCCACAUCUACUACCCCCACCCGAAAGUAGCAGAAGAAUAAAGGUUUGUAGUAAUUCAAUCCUCUUGACGCUUGCGCUCCUUCUCUUUUAGUUCAUUAACAAAUUUGUUAAAUAUUUCAAGCAGCAAGCCCUUAUCACCCAUUAUUCUGUAAAAUAAUAACAGCAAAGAAAUUCACAUUCAAUAGAUUACGACAUAAUGAGAAUCAUGAGAUUAUGAAUAAAAAAGUAAAAAUCCAGAGCAUUUCAUUUUAUAGCCAAAGAGGCUAGACAAAUUAAAACUAGAGAUUUAGCAGCAUACUUCAUCAGAACCGUGAAACAAUCACAAAUGCCAGAAAUUAAAAAACUAAAACAAUCACAAAUGUCAUAAAUUUAAAAACUAACUGCUAGACCUAUUAACUGCUAGAUAUCAAAACAAGAUAACCCUUGCAAUUCUCUCUUCCCACAUACAUAGAUUAUACGCCAUGACCAUAAAUAACCUCCAAAAUCCAAAUGAUAUAUGAAGAAUAUCCUCAUUACAAAAUAGAAAAUGAUCGUUGAUAUCAUCCAGUUAUGUUGUUUAACCAGUUUCGUAGAGUAAAACUCUUAUCCACUAACUGUAAAAACAGAAAACUACAAGGCAAAUUUCUUUGAAUUAAGCAACUUAAUAUAUGUACGGUAGGUGUAAUAUUAAACACCGCCGUCCAGGAAAUAAAAACUAAGGAAAAUGGUACCAAAACUGAAGAAUUGGAAGCAAAAGCUAACAUCAAAUAUUUGAUCAAUGUGGUCCUCGUCUUUAUUCUUGAAGGUUUCAGGCUUACUUGCUAACCGACACACUACUAUUCUAUUAACUCUAUUACAAGAAGAUCCAAAUUUAAUGUGGGAUAGGUUAUGGUUGAUACUAAAUAAAAAUGCCACUAACCACAGUUGACUACCUACGAGUUGCCAAUUUAGCAAUCACAAACUGACCGAAUUCCAGUGAAACAUAACAUGGAAGUACUACUAAUGCUUUUGCACUCAAUCCACUCAUCUUAUGCAGGACCUGUCCCAAAGACAAAAAGGGGACAAAUACAUAGAAAUCCAUUUAGUGACUGGGGUACUUCAAUUUUCACAACAUUUAAUUCAACAUGGGUCGAUGUGAAACAGUAUACAGUGCUUAGCCAUAAUUAGACCUUUAAGUUGGUAUCUGUCAUUAGUGGAGAGCUAAUAUACUUGUCGAUUGCAACCUUAAAAUCAUCAAGCGUCCAGGCUGAUGUCAAUCCAAUCUGAAAGUAGAGACGGCUCAGCCAAAAUAUUAGGUACUAACUGAAGCACAACAAAGGUUAAAAUGAAGAGUGGUGAUUACCUCGACCAUCCUAAUUGCAUCUUUAAUUUGUGACUUGUGAUCAAGAUACUGAAGCAACAUACAAGUAACACAAAUUCAGAAUGCUUAUAAGUAACAAAAAUAGGAUACCAAAUGGAGCUUUGUCCAUGCAUUUGAGUUACCAUAAAGUUUAUAAAUUACAAGCAGGGUGAUGGGGAUGAAAUUUCUUUCAUGAAUACCAACAUUUCUCCACUUGUUCAAAGUCAUCUACAAUAUCACAAGACACUUGACACAUAAACUUAAUUGCACUGAUCAGGUUAAAUUGAAGGAAAAAUCAAGCACCCCUGUUUGGAUAAUAGAAAAAAAGUGAAUAAAUAAAAAUGGAUAGCAUCUCUGUUAACAGCGCUUUCGUUAUAUUUACUUAAUAAGAAUCAUUUAUGCACACAAACAGUAAUACAAACUUUAAAGAUAGAAGUUGACAUCUUUAUCUUACAAGGGAAAAAGAAAAGAUUUUCCGCAUCUGAGUUUAUGUAUAACUCUCACCAUCCCAUAGCAAGAGCCUAACUCAAGAAAACAUUACCAAAUUCAAUCACUGAAUAAGAGUACGAACAAGAUCAUUACCAUGCUAGGAUACCAGGUAAACUCCCUCUUUCAUCAAGCAAGGAGAUAAAUGCUAAUAACAUUUGAUCAUUCAACUUCAAUUCUUUUCGGAAAGGGCAGAGGAUGAAACAAUAUAUCGUUUAGUUAGGCGCAAGUGUGUAUUACGGCAAAAAAAAAUCAUAGUGAGGGAGAUGCAACUUUAUUUAGAGAAACAGAGAUGCUCUCAGGUUCUUUUUCCGAGGCUAAUCUUUUCUAAGCCUUUACUUUCAUUACAUCUCAACUACCUCUUCAGAGGCGAAUUCUGGCACUAAGUUUAUUUAGUCCAAUUUAUAUGGUUGAUAACACAAUAUUUUGAAUUAGGUUUUAAGUUGCACGAUAUCAUCCGAAGUUAAAUCAAAACUGGGGUGUGGUACAAAUGGACAAAACAUGGUCGAAACUUGACCAGACAAACUACUUUCAGGUCUCAUUUGUUUGCACUUAUUGGAUUUAUGAACCUGUUCAGACCUCAAACCAUUAAGUGCAUUUAUUUUUUUAGGAUUUUAGCUCUUAAUAGGUCUGAGUAGGUCUUAAUCAUUCAGAUGUGGAACCAAGUCUAAAUAUCAUUUACAGAUAUUCUUGUGUAGGAUAAAAUUCACCACUACUCUAUCCACAAUCACUUGCCACCACCACCAACCACUUUCACCAUCAAAACCAACAUCACUACCACCUACACUGCCAGCCGCUACCACACCUACAACUUCCAUUAUUCUAAUUAUAUCCACCGCCAACUAGGGGUGUUCACGGUUUAGUUUUUAACCAAACUGAACCGCGAUCCAAACCACACCGAUUAAAAAAACCUAUAUUUGGUUAGGUUUGGUUUGGAUUUGAAUUUUAAAAAACCGAUACUAAUUUUGUUUGGUUUGGUUUUCCUCUAAAAUAACCGACAAAAUAACCAAACCGAACCAAUAUACAUAUAUAUAUUAUAAUUAUUUAUAUGUUUUUCAUAAAUAUAAUCUAAAUAUUUGUUACAUUUUCUAUUUUAAUCAUGAUUUAACUUUAGUCGUAACACAUUCAGUCAUAUGUCUUCAUCUAGUUGACAAUACAUUAUGAGAUUUUAAAUGAAUUUCAUAUUUUGAAUGACAAAUGAUACUAAUUGUGAAAAUAAUAUCUUGUUAUAUAUUGAAAUUUACAGCUGAAAUUCUUUAGACUAUACACAAUCACUAAUUUUAACUUUCUUUUGAACCUUGUUGGGCAAGAAGUUUAUGUGUUUACCUUUUGGGGUUUAUCAUAUCAUUCUAUUAAAUAUAGUUUUUAAAAUUUUUUUUAAAAGCGUUCAUAUGGUGUUAUCAUGGGUUUGCCGAAGUAUAACACUCAGUUGAGAUCAUAUUUUCAAGAUUGAGAUACAACACUCAGUUGACAUCUCAUAUGUUAGAUUGGAUUUGUUUUUUAAAAUUCUCAAAUUUUAUCAUUAACUAAAGUUAUAAACCAAAAAACCCGAAUCAAACCGAACUAAACCGAUAAGAACCAAACAGAUGGUUAUUGUUUUUUUUGGUUAGGUUUGGUUUUAGAAAUUUAAAAACCGAUUAAGUUGGUUUGGUUAUGGUUUUGACCAAUAACCAAUCCAUAUCGACCCAUGAACACCCCUACUGCCAACGCCGCCACCAUCAACUGCUACCGGUCGAUCCCUACUACAAACCAACUCAUCUAUCAGAACUAGCAUUACCACUAAUAACCACCAACACAUCAUCAACUUCCACACAUCGCUAACAACCACUAACAGAUCAUCAACUUCCACACAUUCUUCGGACACCAUCACCACCACUGUCACCGGCGUCACCACCUCUACCACUACCAUCACAGCUAACAGCGUCUCCAAUGACCACUAACACAUCGUUAACCAUCAUGCAUAUAGUUUUCCUUCACCACAAUCAACACCUCCAACUACUAACAUUAACCAACUUCACAUCACAACCACCACUACCACUACUAAUCGCCAAUAUCAUGACAGUUACUACAAUGCCAUCUAUCUCUACUAUCACAACUAUCAUCACCAACAUUGCUAAUCACUAACAUCAAUUAAUUUAUUACAACCACCACCACCAUUACAAACCAUCUCCACUAUCACUAACAAACAUAAAUGUUUCUUUUUUUAAUCAAAUAAUAAUUUAAUUGCAUUAAAUUAAAAAACUUUCUAAUAUAUAAUUAUAUUAUAUUUAGAAAUAAAUAAAUUUUACACAUUCAGAUAUUGAGAAACACCCAACCUUAAUCAUUUAGUUUUCAGAUCUAGAGAUAAUAUCUUAACCGUUCAGAUGUGCAUUCAAAAUGAUUCAAAUAUAUGAAUAUUAAUAAAAACAAAUGCAGUCUUAGCUGAAACACAAUGGUAUGGUUGUGUGAUACUUUAAAGGAGUCCUCGAAAGCCAAAGAAACUACGUGAAAACAUGGAAGUUUGAUCAUCACUUCUCAGAGUUGUUCUACUCGAGAAACUAUAACAAUUAAGGUAAUAUAACCAUUAACAGCAUUCAACGGAGGAGAAGUCAAUUACAAUUGUCCGUGAAGUAGCAUUUAAUACAGCUUUGCUAGAUUGAAAGAAUCAUCUAUAUCUAUACUAAAUUAAAAGCAUGGAACCCCUAACUUAAAAGUUUGCGACAAUACCAUUCCUAUCAGCCUAAAUACCUACUAUCUAGUAAAAAAAGAGGAAACUAAUUGGCAUAAAGAGAAACAAUACAGAUGUUAAUAGGAACAACCAGUCAUUGUUCUUAUCUCAACAAAAUAUAUGUUAUUUAAAAAAAGCAAGCAGAGGGGUAACUCUCAAAUGUCAAUCUCAUGCUUUUAUCCUACCAAGUAUGUUCUAUUCUUUAAUGCACAACAACAAUAACAACAACAAAUCCAGUAUAUUUCCACAUACUAAUGCACUAACUUUCUUUUUUACCUAAUUAAUUGAACUUUUUAGUGAGGAUCUAAAUGAUUUUCAGACUUUGUUUAACAUCUGAUUCAUUAAGAUGUAUUAGUAAUAGGUUGAAUCUUUUGAAAAAAAACACUUAAUGGGCUGAUAUCUUAACCAUUAAGAUUCAGACCUUCAUUAAGUGAAAGCAAAUGAAAAGGGAUUGUAGUGUAAAGUCUAUAAAUAUGGCUUAGAAUAACAAAUGUAGUUGACACAAUUCAAUACUCCUAUUAUCAACCUAUUUCACCUGUUUCUCCAGCUCAUCCAUAACAUCUGUAAAUAAGUCUUUUGCUAUUGAUUCUAAAGUAUUUGAUGAGACAGCUACAUAUGCAGCAAAAUCUUUAAUCUGCAAGAACAAAAUAAAGAAGGAAAUUAUUGGAUGAAAAAAUCAAAAAGACAAAAAGGGAACUCAUGAAGGUAAUCACUCACUGAACACAAGAAAGAAAAACUAACUUUGAUGCAAUAAUCACGCCAGUUAGUUUUUGCAUUAAGUAUUCCCGCAGGAACAUGCUCUUCCAUCAGUUUUCGAAACUCAUCAAAAUUUUUACGUUCAGCUUUCCUCAAUUCUUCCUAUUUGAAUCAAUGGUGUAUGCCCAGUGAGAAAGAGAUAAAUCAAAGUCUCCAAACAUAAAUUUAAUUUUAACCCCCGAGUCUAAUAAGCAAUAUACCAUCCGUAGUUUCCUUUGCUCCUCCUCUUUGCUCUCUAAAUCACAUAUAUAUUCCUAAAACAGAAAAGGUUGCAACAUAACUUUAAAACAGAGGUGUACAAAUGAGAUGUUUGGAAAAAGUUAUUUAUGAUGUAUUAGAAAAAUGAGUUGUACCUGGAAAAUCUCCAAACGAUCAAUUUUGUCAAGGCGGGAGCAUCUUUCAUCAUUUUCCAAGCGGUCCUGAACUUUCCGCCACUGGCUACUGGCCUGAACAAAAGAACUCAGCAACAGUGGAACUAUAGAAGUUCUAUCUCCUGGAAAUAGAAAAACAUAAUCUAGGAACUGAUGCUAAUUCCACUAGAACAAAUACCUUAAUAAAGUCACAGGAUUUUAAAAAUUCUAAGUACUCCACUCUAUUGCGCUUCUGCUCCUCCAAUGCCUUCUCAUGCUCCUAAUAAAAUCCAGUACAAAGUAAAAAAAAUAAAAUUUCUCUAUAAAGAAGACAAUAUUUACAAAGAGACUUUAACUACACUUGCAUGAAAGUAUUGAAAAACUUUUUCUAUUUUACGACGGAGGGGGAGAGGAAGAAGCAUAUCAUAGUUUCAAGUUUCAAGAAAAAUUACAUACAAUACAUGGAAGUCUAUUUAUAUUAGAAUUCAAUGGUGAACAAAUUUAAAUCUUGUACCCUUGAGAAGCCAUUAAAAAUGUAUUCAAAGAACACAAGAUUUUAAGUUGAAUAUCUACAACAUUCCUUCUUUCUACUCUUUAAGCAAAAUAAAAAAAGGGAACAAACUAAAAGACAUCCUGCAAAGGAAAGGAAUGGAAUGACUGUUGUUAAUCAAGUGGACCAGUGCCUAACUCAACUUCGAAAACUAGGUCAGGUGGUGAAGAUUGUCCUUGAUCAUAUAAGGAAACUACAGCACAUACACCUUACUAGUGUGGGAUUCUCAUACACUAAUCGCACACCAAGACUAGACAUUUGUAGCAUCAGUUAACCUUGGUUGGCCAACAUCUAAUAGUCUAACAUCAAGAUAGAUCUGCCUCUAAUACCAUGUUUAAGAAAUUGGACCUUGUUUCUAGCUCAAAUGAAAGUCUAACUCAAUUUGUGAGGAGCCAAAGACCAUAUAAGGAAACUACAGUCCGAACACUUAGUUUUUAACAUAUAGAAACUUACAAGAAGGUUCUGCAAAAGGAGCUUCACCUUUUUCUCAAGUUCCUCCACAUAAUCUUCAAAAAGGUCCUCACAGUCUUUAGCUCGCUCAACAGCUUUAAAACGCUCAUCAUGUUCGAAUAUGUUCGAAUAUGGAGAUUUCCUUACUGAAUAAUCAAUAGCAAAUAGUCAGUGGAUCAAAUGGAACUUACACAAGUAAUGGAUCAACUUCAAGGUACCAAAACACAUACAAACAAUGACCAAGAUUAGAAAACAAGCAGCAGACAACUUAACAUUACAAGUGAAAGACAAACCUCCAUCUUGACGAUGGUGACAGCUCCUUGCAAUCCUGUAAGAUUGAGAACAACGGACAUUGUUGUGAAAAAUACCACUUAUUCUUUUGAACAAGUCAAAUACCAGUCUCUAACACAUCAUGAAUAUUAUGAUAAUAUCUUUUUAUUUUUGAAACUGGUAAUGUGAAUAUCAUGAUUUAUCAAAUGGAAGACAACCACAAAAGAAAAUUUCACUUACUUCUAACAUUAUCCUGAAAUCUUCCCGAGCUUUUUUCUGUUUAACACACCUCUCUUCAGCUUCCAGUUUUUUCUUUUGGCUCAGAUACUAGAACAGACACACAACUUCAAAAUGAUCAUUAUAGACCUUGGGUGUGUUUGGUAUGAAGGAAAAUGUUUUCCUAGAAAACAAGUUGGUUUCUUACUUGUUUUCUUAUGUUUGGUUGAUGAAAGGAAAACAUUUUUCAAAAAAUGUUUUCUAGUGUUUGGUUGGUGAAUAAAAAAAUAUUUUUCAGAAAAUACAUUUGAGAGUUGUACAAACAUUUCAACUUAAGAGUGAGAUUGAAAGAGAGUUUUGGAAAAUGUUUUUCCUACAUUUUGAAGGGAAUUCAUUUUCCUUAAAUUUAAGGAGAAUAAGUUGAUUUGGAAAAUAUUUUCCAAAAUUUUUAAGUCAACCAAACAUGGAACAAUUGGAUAUCAAACACAAUCUAUCUUUUUGCAAUACAGUAUGCUGAAAUAUUGAAGCAGCAAUUAACCCAUUCCAAUGCCGACUUGGAGAGAUACCUCAUUAAAAGCUUGCUUCCACUCACAAAGGGAUUUUAGAGCUCCAUAUCUCCGGUCAUUAAUUACUGCUCUCAUGGCCUGACAAAUACAAUUCAUGUCAAAUGAUCUCCCUCAAUUGUUUGGUACGCACAAAAUAGUCAAGUAAUAAACCUGAUCCUACGUGCAAUCAGACCCAAUAUUUGCAGAUUCCAAAAGAGUUUUGAAUGCAUUCUUUGCCUCCUAAAUAAAAUCAGAUACUUAAAAUAGAAAUAAGAGAAAUUUCGAGAACAUACAUUAAACAAGGGAAAAAGCAAUAAUCAACUAUACCGCUUUGCUCUCAUAAACUAAUGGUCCCAGCUCGACUGUUUUCUCAUCUGAUGGAGUAGCACCUCUGAUUUCAGUUAUUGCAGCAUCUUACUUGACAUUCUACAUUUUAGGCACAACAUCAAGCACAAAGGGAAAAAUCAAACCUCAUUGGAAUUUGUAGCAUAUUCUUUACCUGUUAGCAGUUGACUAACAACUGCACUACAAAAUUGUUGGAUCAACAUCUAGCAUAACAGCUACGAAAAGCUUUCUUGGUGUUUUAACCAGUAACCAGUAGUAAUUAACUAAUCUCAUAAGUAUUUGAGAAGGACAAAGUACCUUUCUAUUCUCCGAAGAAAAUCCAUCACCAUACACUACUGCAUCUUAAGUUGUAGUAGUCUCAGAACUACAGAAAAAUUGAAUUCCAAAUAAGAAGCAACACAAACCAGAGGCAAAUUUAUAACAUAUAAAUUUGAAAACAUACACCGGUGGCGCGACAAAAUUUCCCAAGGUUACUGCAAUUCCAAUUUUCUCCGAAUUAGCAACAGCUGGCGAAGUAAGUUCUGAAGAAUUCUUCAUUUUGACUGUUUCAAUCAUCGGAAUAGAAACCUUACCAGAUAAACUUGAUGAUUCUGAAGCCACAAUAGUUGGUAAGUUAGCAGCUGGUGACAUAGCAAUUGGGCUUGAUUUAGUACCGUGUGCCAAGACUAAUAAACCAUCUGCACCCGGGAUGAUGUUUUAACAACAGAAAUGGAUCCAAAAUCAGAAGCGUGCGAAAUGGUGUCCUUUUUACGUGCCAACUGUGAAUUUAUAAAUAAUUGAACUUUAUAAGAAUAGAGUUUCCAAGAAAACAGAAUAUUGCCCCUUCUUAUCAUGCUAGCAACUGUGAAUGCAUAAAGAUUUUAUGAGAACUAGAGCAUCCGAGAAAACAGAAUAUUAUCCCUUCUUAUCAUGCUAUUUAAAGCAUAUAACAAUCCCUUCUUAUCAUGCUAUUUAAAGCACGAAAUAAACCCAUAUUGGAUUUAAAUAUAACAUCACCUUGACUUCAUCAGGCAUUCUCCAUUUGGACGUUCUAGUAACCUUCUUGUAGUAAUACCUACAGAAAACAAACAAAGAAAUCAGCAUUAUGCACAAGUAACACACAAAAGUACCCACUGUAGAAGAACAAUUGGAAAGAGGCCAAAAAAAUAUAUAAGUUACACAUUUUCUUCCCUCAGGACUUGUAAAUUUUCUCCGGUCAGUUAAUGUGUCUGCCCUCUGUCCCAAUGAAAACAACAUAAAAGCAGGUCAAGUCAAAAAAUAGAACAUAAACAGUACCCUGAGAGUAGAAUUCAGUAACUUCCAGCAGUACAAUACUGGAUGGAAGUGUUAGAAUAUGAAUGAUAUAAUGUCCCACAUGGAAAAGGACUAGAAUUUACUGUGUAGAAUAUAACUACAAGCAAGGUGGAAACAUUGCCAAGCUGCGUUCGAGCUACAGCUAUCCAAGGGUGAUCAACUGAAUAACAUUCGCCUGAUAAUCACAUUUUGUAUAUAUAUAUAUAGGUUAAAUUCUGUCAUUUCUAAGUAUUUUUUUAUAAACAACCUUGCCACAAAAAAUAAGACUGAGUAUGAUAGUAAGGGUGUUCAAAUCCUACACUGAGGUUCUAUGUUCCAUACCCAACACAGCCCUUCCAUAAUUGUUUCUCCAUUUGGACACGUUUGAAAAUCAUAAACUACAGUUAUGCUUUUUUUCGAUGAAUAAAUUUCUGAACAUGCGUUUUUUGUCCCAAUUAGCUCUUGCAAAAGAGCUAGCAACUAGCAUGCCAUGUAUAAGAAUUUUGUUAAAAUAAACAUAAAGGUAAAUUUAUAAAAUGGUUGUUAUACUAGCUAUCUUGCAUGGGGCAGAGUGUUUAGCUGGUCAAGAGCUCGCAUGUUCGAAAGAUAAACGUAGCAGAAAUGAGGAUGUUGAGAUUGGUGUGUGAGCAUAGGAGAGAUAGAAUAAGGAACAAAGAUAUGCGAGAAAAAGUGGUAGUGCUCUCUAUGGUGGACAAUUUACAAGAAGAAUAGAGGGUUGGGGAUAAAGAACCUAAAAAUUCAAAGUAAGGCUCUCAUGUUGAAAUGGUUGUGGAAAUAUGAAAACAAUAACCAGCUGCUAUGGAGGAAAGUGAUUAGGGCUAAAUAUCCUGAAGAAGAUAGAUGGAUAACUAAAGAAGUGACCACACCAUACGGAGUUAGCCUCUAGAGAUCUAUUAGAUCUAUUAGACACUAGUGGAAUGAAGUUAAAAGCAACUCAAAGGUUAAAGUGAUGGAUGGAAACAAGACUAGGUUCUGGAAGGAUAAUUGACAUGAGGAUGGGAAUAUGGAAGUGACUUUUCCAGAUAUCUACAACUUGGUAUUGUUUCAAUAGAGGACUAUAGCAGAAUUAUGGACACCACAUAGGUGGAACUUCAAUUUCAGAAGGCAACUUAAUGACCGGGAGGUAAUGAGAGUAGUUGAAUUUUUUAAUACCGUAGGCUUAUUCAAUGGACUGCAGACUGUGAAGGACAUACUAUGGUGGAUGGGAAAUGAAAAAGGAAUGUCCAGUGUCAACAAAGCCUACAAGAUGAUGAACCAAAUAAAUCACCCGAAUCCAAGAUGGACAUGGAAGAAAAUAUAGAAAAGUAGGUUACCUCACACAGUGUCGUGCUUUGUCUUUGUGUGGUUACUAACCAAGGAAGUAGUUCUUACACAAGAUAAUGUCAUGAAGAAAGGGAAAACCUUGUGCUCCAGAUGUUUCCUCUGUGGAUAAACUUUAGAGACGUUUAACCAUGUAUGUCUACAUUGUAAGUACACCCAACAACUUUGGAGAAUAGUCUUAAGACUAAAAGUCAUUUCCAGGACAAUGCCUAGGAAAGUAUCUGAGACUUUAAUGUGCUGGGAGAAGUAGGUGUACAUGCGAAGGACAGAGGUAGAUGGAGACUUAUCCCUGGUGCUAUAUGGUGGGCUAUUUGGAAAGAAAGGAAUUCUAGAUAUUUUGAGAGCAUAGAGAAUAGUGUGCAGAAGGUUAAACUCAACUGUAUUUUGCUUUUAUGUUUUUGGUGUAAUCAACUAUACUCUAAUGAUACUGCCUCGAUAAUUGAUGUUCUAGACUAAAUUUAGAUAUAGAACAGUCGAUUUAGGAGUACUCUUGUAUAUAAAGGUUUCAGUACAACCCAUGUGCUGUUUGAUAUAAUACAAAGUUACAAAGUUAAAAAAAAAGAUAAUAAUUUUUCAAGAACUAAAAGUUUAUAAAAUAACAAAUAAAGCAAUUAAAUCUGAGUUCAAAUUGGGUGGGUUGGGCUAUGACCCGCAUUUUAGAGCAUUUCAACCCAACCCAUUUCAGCCCAAGUAGCUUUAGGGCGGGUGGAUAACCCGCCCAUUUAUUAACUCAGACCUCUUUGAUCAGCCCAAAUCUAGCCAGCCCCGCCCAUGUGACACCUUUAGUUUAAUAGAAGUAAAGUGGACCAUGCCAAAACAGAUCUAUUGAGUUGAAGUAAAGUGGACUAUCAAAGGACACACAACAAUCUGUUGAGCUGUUGGAUUAAAGGGGAUUAGCAAAAGUUAGAAGAAAUGGGGGAGAACAAUCCUUCCUUGUAUUUGGUGGACUGUAUGGAGCGAGAAAAGUUGAAGGAAUUUUGAAGAUAAAUAUAAUUCCAUUCAGAAAGUUAAAUGGAAUAGCAUUGUAGAUUUUUGUUUAUUGUUUAAGGGCCAAUGUGUACAGAAUGCAUAACAGGUAGUAGAUCUCUUCAAAUCCUCGUAUUAUUUUCAUUAUUUUUCAUUUUUUUUUUUGGACUGCUAGCAUAACCUUAACUCUGACGAAUGCAAAGUAAUAUCUCCAAAAAAAAAAUUGUUUAUCUCGAAAAGAAAAGAAUAAAAAUGUUCAAACUUCCUUACAGCUCUAGUUGUUGGUCCCUUAAUACUUGUCCCUCACAACCAGCCAAACUUUCUUUGAUAACCGUCGUGUUUGGGCCAGCUUGCACCUUGACUAGUUACACCAGGUACUGCUACCUCCCACCAGCAUAGAUACUGGGUAACUCUAUCCAUCAAGGCUUGGACAGACGGUAAGAAAUCACCUAGUGCUUUUAUCUCUGUUGGAAAUUAAACCUGAGACCUCAUGGUUCUCAAUCUACUUCAUUGACAACUAGGUCACACUCUUGGGUGCAAGUAUGCAACCAGCCAAACUAUUAUUCUGUAAACCAGAAUGAGAAGUGUGAACCGCAAUAUUAUAUCAAGUUUACUCUCUCCAUAUCGCCAUAGAGUUACAAUAACAUUACAUUAAUCAGAAAGUAAAUAAAAUUGUUUAAAAUAGACCAAAUAUAAUCCUGCCGUGUAUACUUAAACACAUUUUUUAGAACAAUAGUGUUAAAUAUAAAAUCUUUUAGAACUAUAUUGGAAAUAAAAAGCCAAUACAAAUCCUAAAUGAAGCCUACAUAGUAUAGUAAGAUCGAGGAAAUCUGCUCGCUAAACAAACUUUCAACAGAAAUCACAUAUACUUAGGAAAGAAAAAGUGGUUCUACGAAGCUUCAUAGAAAAAGAAUUGUGUACUUCUUUUUUCAUUGAUACGCACAGGAAACUGGAUAAAACUACCCAUGAAAAUCUCGAUGACACGAGACCUCACCUCCAUUUCUGUCAUCAGCUCUCGAGGUUUCUCCCAGGUAGAGAUUCUUGUCCUUCUAUUAUAAUAGUAUCUAAAAAUCAAUUCAAGAAUUGUGAAUGUUAUUUUAAUUGGUUGGAGUAAUAAAGCAAUAGGAGUCAGGUAGAAUUUGGUAGCGGUGAACGGCAGCCCAUAUGAUAACUUUGACAAAGAGGACUGAAACAAAGGGGCCUAUUAUCUCCAGUGCUAAUGGAAGCAAAAUGAUGUACAAAGCACUAGAUGUGGAUACUUGAGGGAUUUAUUGGCAGUGAUGGGGGCCAACAUAUCCACCACUUGUUCAUAGACAUGACAUUAAGUGUUUGUGAUGUAGACAUUAACCUAUUCAUACGAGUAACCUAUGUGAAUAUAAUCCAAAAGCAAGAAUUCUGGAAAGCCAAAUCGGCAUGCUCUUUCUUCUGUCUGGAGAACACAAAGUGGUAAAAAGAUUGGAUCUGAAUGAAGAUGAUAUUUUUGCAGAGCUCCUUUUCUUGUAUACCGUGGUUUUACACCUUUUUUGUUCACUGGAAUCUUAAUUUUCUUACAAAAAACUAUCAUAGAAUUCAAAUGUUGACUCUCUCAGUCAACACAGACCCAUUAACCCAUUAACUUAAGCAUACUUGUUGACAAUAUUUAUGCAAAAUGGGUACAAUAAAACACAUUGAAUUCUCACCAGAACAACCAAGGGAGCUGCUAAUUCUCCAGUCUUCUGCAUAGUUGUCGCAAAAUUCACAUUAUGAUUACUUAUUGGCAUCCAGGGUUGUACCCCUGAUGGAAACCUAUGAUUAUUUAUCUGUGUCUGAUACUGGGAGCCAGAAGAAUCUGCAUUUACCUGCUGUUAAAGACGAUAACAAAAUGUAUUUCAUCAAUAUAUGAAUGAAACAUCGAAAACUGAUUGACUAUAACCACAAAAGAUCUUCCCAAGGUCUUACAUUAUAUGAUGAAGAAAGAGGUAAAUUUGGCCCACCAGAACCAAGCAUGUGGUUAUUUGACAUCGGAAGAUUUUGCUGAAAAUCAUGGGGAAUAGGUGGUCCCUGAGGCAUACUAUACAUUCCUACUACAGGGAUACCAGUAACCUGUUGCAUAGGUUGAGGAAAUUGGAUUUGAGAAGGUUGAGACAUCGCAACAUUUGCAUGUCCAAGUGGCAGAAAUUGUUGAGAUGGCCCGGAACCAUAAGGUUGUGCCUGCUGGACUGGAAGCAUAGGCUGGAACUGCUAAAGAUGUGGGGAAAAUAGUUAUCAUAAUGUCUCUACAUUCAAAAGUCAUUUAUCCCUCCCCCAAGCCUCCACAACUUUACCUGCAGUGACAUGGAUGGAAUAGAACCAGGAGCAGGACCAGGCAGACGAGGUAUAGGAGGCUUCUCAACCAAUAUCUAUGCAAGGAAGAACAGAUGAAAUCAGAAUAUAGCUACUUUUCAAUCAUAUUUAGUUAAUUUUCCAAUCAAUGCUGAAAGCUUGUAACCAUGCGCAACUCCCUAAUUUAAUUUGAAAGACAAGGCAAGAAUUUUGAAGCCAAACCACAUAGUAACAUGAAACCCUUUUCUUCAUCUUAUAAACAGAAAGCUUGAAACGAGAAUAAAGAGAGAUAGGAAAUAGAUGACCUAUCACAGCGUUUGACGAGAAUGGACAAAAUGAGAAGCAUCUUUACCUUAUGGCUUGGGUUUAACAGAUACUGAUGGCCUAAGUAUCUUUUCUUCGGGUGUAAAGAAGCACGUCUGUUAAUGCAAAACUAUGAUCAUGGAACUAAAACAUGAGGUAUGAGUAGGUAUCAGGCUAACUGAAAAAUUCUGAGACCGGAAUGGGUUGAGCCUCACUCUUCCCUUCUGAUGUUCUAUGCCAUACUGACAUCACUACUAGAAUCUAAAAGCCUAACUUGGUUAUUCGCUCUAUCAUCUCCCCCUUAGCUUCAAGCUAUCAUAUUAAGUUUGGGAGAUCCCUUACUAGACUCUAAACUGAAGUACACUCACUGUACUCUGGGGUCUGGAAAACUACUAUACAUGUAUAUCAUGGAACUUAACCCGAAUGACUACACUUGAAAGUGGAAACCCCACUGUUAAUACUACCUUCUGAGAUGCACUUUAUCAUUCUAUAGACCCAGUAGUCAUCAUAUAAUACUUGCAUACUUACUAACUUCGGGUCUUCAUGGGUAUCCCCCAUAGUUGGAGUGCAUACCCUCUAGUGCUUUAACUCUUAUUUCUAUUAGUUCAACCUUUAAAAACUCAAACUUAGAACCUAUCACUCAACAUUGAUAUCACCAAGCCUUCAAUGAAUCGUACUACUUCCGACAUAGCCUACCAAUAUCGCGACUCCAAACUUACAUCUCUCUACUAUGAGAAUCAAGAUCAUAUAAAAGGGUCAACACUAUCAAUCAAAACUCUUUUACUUGGCUAUUUAAAACACCAUAUACCAUCUAACUAGUCUUUCUCCACUAGCAACUCAACGGUACCACUCGUCACACAAAACGUGUAAUAGUCUUAGAAAAUACCGAAACCUCAGAUCACGUUGGGCAUACUUCUACAUUAUAUAUGCAACAUCAUACUUCACUACGAAUCAAACAAACUUAAGCACUUGCAUAUAUCGUUCAAGCCUAUGAGAUUACUUCCAUAAAACUAGUAUCAUUAACCAAGAAAUCAUCACAUCCACCUUCAUGGACAUCAAUUGUUCAAAACUUAAUGUCUAGUGUUAAACAUGAUUUUACAACCCAGCCUUAUGCAUGAUUCUCACUUGGAUAACAUGAAAUAGACAUCAAGAAACACUAGUACACUAGAACUUCUGAACAACAAAUAAUUGAUCUUGACCUUAUGGUCUUCCUUAUCAUAACUCAUUAGCACGUACUAUUUUAACACAUCAAGCCUACUAAUUUUUUCCCACAAAACAUACAUCAUUAAUCUUAUGCCACUAUUUUUACCACCACAUUCUACAUUAAAUUCAAGCAUAUAGUCCUGUACCAAUCAUCUAUCACUACUAAAAAAAUGUCCUACAACAUAUAUUGACAAAGGGGAAAUAAUGUCCCACAACAUAUGUGGACAUCUGAACAACCGCUUGCGAAAUCUCUAAUACAUGACUGAAACAAAUUACUAUCUGAAAACUAGGACAAGGCCCCAGUAGACCCAAAACUACCAAAUGAUAAAUGAACUGACAGACAUCAGGCCUUCCGAAAUAUAGAAGGCUCACCACUUGAUUCUGCAAAUCUGUCGGAAGAGAUCUACUAGUUAUCUGGACCCCUAAACUAUGCCUCCAAACCUAGAAAGGAAGGGGUUCAAUACAAAAGUACUAGUACGCAAAGAAACCAAAAACAAAAUAUAAUGUUUUUUUCCAAAUAUAGGUGAGAGCCAUUAUAAAGCAGUUCCAUAUCAAAUCAUUUGAAAAUAUAUGGGCAUAAUAUAAUAGUUUUCAACAACAAUGUAAUGCAGCUGGGCUAGGUGGAAUACCCUACAUAUAACAUUUACACCAACUUUCAAAUCUCAGUUGCUGCCGAGAUUAGAGUGUAUGUGAGGGGAAGACACAUAAGAUCACACAGCAGAGUGUCUCGACCCAAUAAAGUAUAGUAGUUCCCAAGAUCACGUAGCCUAGGCUCCUAACCAUAGUCCCAAUUAGGGAAUGACAUAAAGUCAAGUACACAAGAUCACAAAGCAGGGUACCAAAUCCCCAUGUCGGCAAACAUGGUUUCCAGCGAUGAGCCCUUAUACUCAAACGCCUUCUUCGGGCACCCACCUAUCUCAUUUAAAAUCAAUGCAUCAAACUCCAUUUAAUUCAAUCACAUAGCUUAUUCUGUAGGGUAUCGUCAUACCCGACUUGCAAGCCAUCAAUAUCAUAUCAUUCUUUCAUGCAACCAUUAUAUUCAUCAUAUUUCAACAUAACAACCCUCUCAUUGCAAGUCAAAACCAUAACCAUUUUCAAAAUAUUUCAUGUCACGCUUGUCAAGAUGAUUUCAAACAUUUCAAAUCAUAUGAGAAUUUAAAAUAAGAUCAUAUAAAAAGAGGGAUUUCAUUUAAUUCAUGCCCUCAAGUUAACAUCUUUUUGGAAUACAUGCAUAUACAUAUAUCAUAUAUCAAACCACUUCGGCAAUAGGCCUAAAGACCAAAUCAAUAUCAUAAAACGUUUAAAACGGGAUUAUAUUCAUAAUUUCAAAACCCCAAUUUUUAAAACAUGAAUUUUUAAGCUCAUGAUAUUUUUGAGAUAACCCCACGUACCUCUAUAUGCAAAUAUGAUAGGUGCUUCUUGAAGCCUACGUUCUGGGGAUUCCAAAGAUGCAAUUAGUUUCAAAAACUCACGGUUGAAUCUUGAGUUGCUUGAGUUUUUAUUUUGAAACCCUAAGGAGAGUUCUUGAGAAAUUUUGAUGAAUGAAGGUGUAUUUUGGGGUAUUUUGGGAACUGAAUUACGUGUUUAUGGCUAAAUAAGGGUGGGAAAAGAACCAUUUUGCCCCAAAAAUAAAGUGUUUAAGUCACUUGAGUAAUUAUAUAUGUGGCGCAAACCUUAUUAGAUAAUAUAGGUUGUGCGGCGCACUCUUUAUCGCACAUAUUAGGUUGUGCGUUGCACACCUUAUGGAAUAAGUUAGGGUAUGCGUCGCACACCUUAUGCUGCACGACACACUCCAUUUUGGAAAGCCAUAACUUCUUCCUCAGGUGUCGGAAUUUUGCGAAAUUGGUAUCGUUGGAAAGAUAAUUCAAAUAACUUUCAUUUGAUAUAUAGUAGGCACUCUAAUUCAAUAUAUACGAAGAUUAAUGGUCGAUUGAAGUUGACCUAAGUUUCAACACUCACUAAAAUUUGAACGAUAGGAAAACUUUCAACUUGUCCUUGAGCUUGGCUACCUCUAUGAUCUCAAUUCAUGCUCAAAUAGGUUUCCACACUACAUAAUUUAUUAACAUACUAAACUUGCAUUGGAUUUAUGGAUUUUGUAACCUUUACGUGAAGAAAAUGAUGAUUUUCGUUCUCGUCCGAAAUGCGGGGUGUUACAAAAUUUUGUUAGAAAAUGGAAAAUACAACCAUAUGGAGUACAUUUUAGUUGCACCGUACUCCAAAUACACUAAACUGAACUUUAAAAGUACUAAUGCAUUUCUUACCUGUUGGUGUUUAGCAUUCAAAAGUUUUAUUGUCUAUGCUCGGAAGAUAGCCACAACGACGGUUUCAAGAAUGAAAACUAAUCUUAAAAGAAGCCAUGCUCGCUCUGGAGUUCCUGCUAUAUGAUGCAACAUUAAUCUACAACGUUGAAGCCACUUUCCUAAUCCUUGGAGUCUAUGUUCUUCCGAGAAUGAAAUAUGAUUAGGUAACACAUCCUUAACAUCAUUUGAAUUAGUGACAGGAGGAUUACUAUCGCAAUGUUCUCGAUCAGCGUCCAAACUACUUCUCUACAAUAAGGCUAGAAUCAUUGGGACUAAUCCAUUCUCCUCAGCAUCAAUACAAAAUUAGGAUCAAGCCCUUUAUCUUACAAUAAAUUAGCUAAUUCAUGAUUAGUGUGUCUUCCUUUCUGCUUUAACAUAGAUGUAAUCCUGGGAUCACUCAACUUUUCUUAAAAUGCAAGUACCAAAUUCAAGUCUAGUAUCUGUUGGUCUGCAGAAGUAGAUGUACUAGAAUCACCGCCUUGGCUUUCAAGGCCACUGCUAGAACAAACAACCAAUGAACUAUUAUGCUCUAAAUUUCUAUCAACAUAUGAUGAUCCUACUUCAGGCUCUUGAACAACUGAACGAUAGGAACUACUGCGUAGAGCUAGACUUGGUCUUCCACUGUCUAUCCUCUUAUCACUAUUAAUCCCCUCAAUGUUAUUCUAGGUACUUCCAUCACCAGUGUAAGGCACAGUUGCAUUACCAAGAUGACCAGCAUUAGCACUACUACUGCGUUUGAUACCUGAGCCACACUCUUCAGAAGAGCUUGCGGAGCUAUUUUGGUCUUUUCUAUGGAAACCUUCUCUAAGGCAGAUAACUGUGCUCUGCAAGGCAUCUCGUCUAGCUGCUAAUGGUUCCGUAACUGAUAAAUGCCAUGUAACAGCAGCACCCAACAGCACAGAUACUACAACUGCAUAACUGAUACAAUGUCCAAAGUACUUGAAACAAAAUUGUUGCAGUAAGAGAUUAGAAGAUUUUUUUUUAUAACAAAAGAUUAGAAGUUUCUAUUCAACAAAUAAUAUUAAAAGGGAUGCAUAUGCCACAAGUAUAAGAACACUUGAUUAUGGAAGAAAAUGAAUUAGCAUGGGUUAACAACAAACCAGUAAUGAACUCCAAAAUAGAUCAGGAACACCCGAGAUAUACCGGCAACAAAAAGUACGACGACUCGACUUUUCAGAAGCUUAAAACCAUACAAGCAAGCUCCCAAGUUCCAAUCUGGUUGAAUGAAAAGCUAGUGAAUUCAUCACUUAACACAAGGAAAUAAGAAAUUAUUUCACAAUACGAGUCAGAAAAGGAGACAGAUAUAUGUAGGAAAUGAACUACCAAGGAUUAUCACGGCAGCUGAUGUUGNNNNNNNNNNNNNNNNNNNNNNNNNNNNNNNNNNNNNNNNNNNNNNNNNNNNNNNNNNNNAGUACUACAAGUGAACCAACAUAUAGAAGUCCAAGAUGCAGAGCCCAAGUUCAAAGUGAAGGAGAGUAAAUUAUAGACUUCAGAGAAAAUGUUGAAAAGAUAGUGCAGAAAAUAUGAUGAGCAGUAUAAAUGAGAACCCACUAAACACAUAAUAUAAUAAGGUGACUUUCUAAUCUAAAGCAGCAUUUAAAUUAAUUUUCUUAGCAGUGCGAUUUUAAUAUCUACUGUUUUUACUGAACUACUGGAGAGUGUGUUUUGUUCUCUCAAAGUUAGCAUUCCUUUUAUUCAAAUAGAUUUGAGUUACACCCGUUGUUUAGCGUUCUUUGGCUCUUAAUUUUAAAAGUCUGUUAGUUGAGAACAUUUUGGCCUAUCUUCAUAUCUUCCAUAUCUUAUAANNNNNNNNNNNNNNNNNNNNNNNNNNNNNNNNNNNNNNNNNNNNNNNNNNNNNNNNNNNNNNNNNNNNNNNNNNNNNNNNNNNNNNNNNNNNNNNNNNNNNNNNNCAUCGUGUUUACACCAAAAAUAAAGAAGUGCUAAACUAUUCAUGUUGAUCUUCUGGACAUCCUCAAAACAACCCUUGUUUCUUUCUGUCCAAACUGUCCACCAUAUACAUGUUGAACAAUUUUCCAUCUCUCCUCCUUUAUUACAUUUACAUCCCCGUUCCAGCUGCUUAGUACUUUUUUAAUGCUCCCAGGCUCUACCCACCUGAUCCCCUUCAGGUUGAAAACAUUCUCUACAACUGCUCUGUCCAUUUCCAAUGUAAGAAAAAAUGGUUGAUUGAGUAAAGAAAGGAUCUUGGGCCUAACUUAACCCCAAAAGCUAGCACAUGAGAGGAGGAUUGCUCAAGUCCAUAUAAGAAGACCGAUAGUUCACUCCCCAACAAUGUGGGACUUUCACCCACUCUAACACCACCUUCACGCCCACGCCAAACAAGAGCGUAGUCCGGGAGCUCAAACGUGGAUGGACCUGCUGUUUGAGAAGGAAUAUCAACUGCUAUUUGUAUGCAAGAGAGAACAGAUGAGCUGUUAUUACUGAAUGCAUUGGGUCUAUCAGCACGUACAGGUUUAUGCAUUAUGCCAUUAGGUUUUGCAGCAGUUCCAAUAUUUUCAGCAGCACCACAAGUUGAAUUCUAAUGCACUGCAGUAAGGAAAGAAAACUUAAACAUUAACUUGAGACAACAACACAAGCUUCUCAAAUGCAGGUUCGAGCAAAAACAAAGAUAAUAAGCAAAUAGAAGGCAAUGAAGAUAAAGGAUAAGUCUAGAUAAGCUUAGGGACAGGCUCCAAACUGAACAUAGUGCUCGUCAUUCUUGUUGCAGAUAAGAUCAGACAACUUAUAAUUUUGACGUUAAGAGUUUCUUGUAGAGGGUGCUGAAUCCAUUUUGCAACUUGGGAGGCCUUGUAAAGCAUAGAAAGGCUCAUUUUUGUAAAGAAAAUACUGCCCACAUAGUAUAUAUGCUAUCAUUUUCAAAAAAAUAUGGUGCUUGCUGGUUUUACCAAUAUCAUGUAUGCUUGUACCUUCCAAUGCAACCUUCUGGCGAAAAAACUAACCACCAAUAGGCAUCUUUCACCAUAGAAGAUUCUAGGACUGUCUUACUAGGAAUUAGGUAAGUGCAAGUUCUUGAAGCAAAAUUGUUUGCAUCAUUGAAGAUUAGAAAGCCAGGUAUACAAGAGAUUAGACAUGUUAAAGAAAAAAUGACAGGUUUAAUAUCAGGAAAGACAUAGAAAACUCUCAUUGACAUAUAAAUGAUGGAUCCCAAAUACCUUCAGAAGUUACACACAAAAGGAAAAUGGUACAAAAACCAAUUCCACCUUCAUAAUAACUAUGUCUUCUUUAUGUAAGCAUAAACAUUAUCAGGAAAGACAUCAAAGAAUCUCAUUGACAUUUAAAUAAUGGUUCCCAAAUAACUUCAGAAGUUACACGCAAAAGAAAAAUGGUACAAAAACCAAUUCCACCUUCAUAAUAAUUGUGUCUACUUGAUGUAAGCAUAAACAUAAAGAACAUAUUAACAUACCAAAAAAUUAUCAAAAUGUUCUACAAUAUAGUGCAUAGUUUUUUUCGUUUUUUGAAAUUGAACGCAGUCCAUAGUUUAAAAAUAUGCAAACAACAUUUAAUGUGGCAGGUGAAGCAUCAAGUACUGGAAGGAAAAUUUAAAACAUGGUGGAGGCAAAUGAAAGAGAAUAUCUAAAAGAAUGAUCAGAGGGCAGGGUGGAAUUCCCUCAUAGCAAGUCAAAUGAAGUUUAAAACUAUAUAAAGAAGAUGAAACUAGAGGCUUCUGUAUGUGUCUCACACACUUGGAAUAAACUAUUUGUGAAUGAGCAUAACAGAAUCAAAUGUACUGAGACAAAGCAGGCAUUUGAUUGCAGAUCAAAUGGAAGAGUCUGCCAACUGACCAGAUUUAAGAGCAGCUCUGGUCCAUGCACCAUUUUGAGGUAAAGUUAUAUAGGUAAAAAUUUGGACAUUACUUAAUAUAUACACAAACUGAACAUGAACUGCCCAAUUAUACAAGUGCUUUUUGUAGCUACACAGUGACAACCUUAGUGAAAGAAUUCAUCAAUGAGAAGUUAACUCAGUAAGCUUAGUGAGAUUUCCCCCACAAGGAAUGAAAGUGUGGAUGACCCGACAUCAAAUAUACGAUUGUUAUUAUACACACAAUCUCCAUACAACAGCAAUCCUCACUAAAUACUUCGUAAGACAAAAAUCAGCCAAUACUUACAAAACCAAAUGAAGCAAAAUAAGUUCAUUGUCUUGAUCACCAACAAGUAAAAGAAAUGUUUACAAUUGGAGAUUCAAAAAGGUUGCAAAAGAAAGAAGCAAACUUUCUCUUUAACAAGUAUCAAAGGGGGGAAGAAUGAGAGUAAAACCAGUAAGUAUACGAGAAGUAUGAACACUAUUGUAGUUUGGCCAUUUAGCAUCCAUCACUCCAACAGAGAAUCAGGACUUGCAAGAAGGUCGAAAGGUUUGCCUAUUGAGUCUUUCAAGAUUGUGAUUUGACCCUCUUUCAUAAGAAAGUCUUCGUCGAGGGUAUCUACCUUCCUUUUCAACAUGUUGAUCUCAUAAUUCAACAGCAUGUUCAUCUCACUGUAGCUCUUAACUUCCUCCCACAUGAAAUCCCUCUCUUGAAACACUUUUGGUAGUAUCGCCUUCACAAUGCCAAGUUCCUUCAUGUAUUCUUGCAAAUCAUUAGUGAGCUGGUUGAUAUUUUCAUCCUUUUUUAGCACCUUCCAGAAUCAACUGUAAACCAUGAAAAACAAAAAAUACACAAAGAUCACCAAUAACAUUUCAUCAGAAAUUCAAAACAAACUCAUAGCCUAGAAGUUCAACCAAAUCAUGAAUCCUUUUUAACUGUUAAAAUUCACAGUAGAUGACUCGUGAGCUUGU
Molecule: long non-coding RNA, 182287 nt
Filed under: Capsicum annuum
Lineage: Eukaryota; Viridiplantae; Streptophyta; Magnoliopsida; Solanales; Solanaceae
Description: long non-coding RNA (CANN_LNC013019)
Source: RNAcentral